CUGGAGCAGCUGAGCCUAAUCUGGCCCUGCGUCCCUGUCUUCGGCGCGAUGUUGCCCAUCUUGAUCAUGGCGGUCGUGAAGGCGCUGCUGAACGCUGCCGGGUUCGAAGCGAAGUUCCGGACAGUGUUGUCAGUGGUGUCGUUGUUGAACAGCACCUGGUCCGAGUGCAGGAGCCCCCUCUGUGACAUGAGGUUGGUGUAGUAGGCGUUGUCGAACGCGUUGGGGGUCGUCGUGUCCAGGUUCGCCAGGCUGCCGUCACCGGAGCCCACUGUCUGGGGCAGUUGGCCCUAAGCGACGCCGCAUAGGCCGCACUGAUGUUGGUGUCACCGCCGUAGAUCCGAGCCCGGAAGGUCGAGCACUGCGCCUGGCCGAUGGUGUGCGCGCCCGAGGGGGCCACCAUGUCGACCGUAUUGAGUCCGCCCUUCCUGAGGAAUGCUGCCUCGAGCUCUGAGCGGCUAGAAUUAAAGCCUGGAAGUUCGCUGUUUGCCUCUGCCUCGUUUGCAUCUAUGGAAUCUCUUCUCCCCAAAGGGACUGUCCAUGACGGGCCCCGAGCUGCACGCGAAGAAUUCAAACAAAAGGCAAACAAACGGUUAACGAUGGUGUAAAAGAUGCCGAGCAUCCAGUCGAUGAUCUACAUGAUCGUAAGAUGAUAUUCUUACGGCGACGACGGAGUCGCGGGCGGCGACGGUGAGGAUGUCAGCGCAAGAGACGGUCUGAUUACAGAUGGCCUCGAUCUGCGUCUUGAUGCUGUUGAUGACGCCGAAGCCCCUCAGCGACCCCGCGUUCGGGAUAGCGUUUUGUUCCAUGCCAGACAGCAGAACAGACGCGUCGCAGCCCUGCACAUCACAUACGCAUAGUGUUCAGCAUUCAGCAAGCAAAACCGAUAGAAAACCGGGUACGUGACGGCUAUCAGGCCAUGCAUGCAUGUGGCCAACUUACUUGAACGAAGCAGUCGUGGAAGUGCAGCCGGAGCAGUGACGCGCCCAUCCGAGGGUCGCUGCUCACGGCGGCCAUGACGCCGCUCUUGAUGGUGGCCAGAGCCCUGGGGCACGACGUGUCGUAGAACGUCGGCGACAACUGCCCCGACGCCGCCGUGGCCAAAGCCACGAGCACCACCAGAGAAAUGCAGGACGCUGAGGCGGCCAUGGUUAGCUAACUAGCUACAAGAGCUGAAGAGCAAAGCCACGCCUGCUUACUAGCUACCUGCACUUCUUACUGGAGCGGUGGUGACUUGGUGGCUUGUGCAAGAGAGUAGUGCAUCGCAUGCAUAUUUAUAGCCAAAGAUUCAGCUCACGUGCAUAUGCAGAUCGCCCACGGUCUCCUACUAAGGAUAGAGCUUCCAACAUUCACUUUAUGCAUGCAUGCAUUGCAAUUAAUGCAUUCGUAAAUACAAUUUUCUGAGAAAAACAAGAGCAUUAAUUGGGUGCUUUUGCAAACUACAAAAAAUAUUCCACCACUCAUCGUCUAUCUUGGUUGAUGAGAUUUUUGAAUUGAGCCUUAUAAACCGAAAAUGAGGGAGUAGAUGGCAUAUUGGCAUCGAUCGACAAGCUUAUUUGGAAGGAAGGGUCGCGCAUGCAUCCAAGGCUUAGGCUGCGGCAGCUUCCAGCUUGAGUCGCUACUCGCUACCGCCAACACCAACCUGGCCAACUUGAGCGAUCUCUCUUGGAGUUUAUCGGGCAGAUAUAUGCAAAACAUUGAACGAUCUCUCUUUUUUCAUCAGUUCCAUGCUCACGGACGCCUGGAGCCAUGUGUGCGUGGACGCCAACCGUUUGGCCUUACGUACAUACGAAUAGUAGAGUCAGCGUUGUUCCAAGGCGAUUCACCCUCGUUUUGACCGGUGCGCAGUCAUCUUGCGCUCCCGUCGCCUUCGGCCCACACGAGACAAUUCUGCAGCUGGGACGCUGAGAGGUGAGCCUAGCUUCUCAAACGCACGGUGGGAACGGUGAGGCAGAACUGAGGCCGCACAGCCGUAGACCGGCACCGACGGAUGUUUAGGCCGGCCCUAACGUGGCCCGGUCUACAGGCCGGACGAAUUUUCUUAGGCUUCCUUGCCUCCGAAGAAUUGCUGGUUAGAUUUGAGUUUCUGAAGCAUGGGGGAGAUGGACACCGGAAGAUUGAGGCGCCAUCGGCCGUGUGCAUUUUUUUUGUCUAGAAACUGUAACUACCAUUGGUCGAACUUUGCUUGCUAAGUCGGUCAAUUCCUCCUAAGCAGUGUACUCCAUCACGCCUCUCAUCGUCCCGCUGAGCACGCUCUAAAACCUCAACAAAAUUGAGCGGGCUUUUCUUUGGUCUGGCUCCAACAAGACCACCAGCGCUAAGCACAAUGUCAAAUGGGAGAUUGUAUGCUGCCCGAGUGAGUACGGUGGCCUUGGCGUUCUAAACACUCAAAUUUGUGAGAGCUCUGCGUCUUCAUUGGCCAUGGUAUGAAUGGAAAGGGCCCAACAAGCUGUGUGUGAGGCUUGAAAAUCCAUGCACCAAGAAAGACCUAGAUUUUUUAUAUGCUUGCACCACUAUCACCGUGGGCAAUGGCGCAAAGACACCAUUUUAGGACUCCCCAUGUCUCCUUGGCCGUAAGCCAAAGGACAUCACACCUUAUCUUUGAAGCUUCGAGAAGGAAGAAUUUAAAUGAGAGUGAAGCCCUUAAAGAUAACGCUUAGAUCCUCGAGAUCAAACAAAACACUAUCGUCUCCAUUGCCCACAUCUGGGAGUUUUUUACUCUUUAGACGCAUGUGCAUGACUUCCCUCUUGAUGACCUCGUGGAGGAUGACAUUCUCUGGAAGCACUCUAAUGAUUAGAUCUAUUGGGCAGUCAUCUUGCGCUCCCGUCGCCUUCAGUGAGCACGAGAUAAUACCUCAGCUGGGACGCUGAGAGGUGAGCCUGGCUUCUCAAAUGCACGGUGGGUAAUGGUGAGGCAGAACUAAGGCCGCACAGCCAUAGGCCAGCACCGACGGAUGUUUUAGGCCUGAUCUGUAGGCCGGACGAAUUUUCUUAGGCUUCCUUGCCUCCGAACAAGUGCUGGUUAGAUUUGAGUUUCUGAUGCAUGGGGGAGAUGGACACCGAAAGAUUGAGGCGGCAUCGACCGUGUGUAUUUCCUAUUUCCAGAAACUGUAACUACCACUGGUUGAACUUUGCUUGUUAAGUUUGUGGUUUCCUCCCAAGUUGACCGGUGUACUCCAUCACGCCUCUCACCGUCCUGCUGAGCACACGCUCCAAAACCUGAACAAAAUUGAGCGGGUUUUUCUUUGGUCCGGCUUCAACAAGACGAUCGGCGCUAAGCGCAACGUCAACUGCAAGAUUGUAUGCUGCCCCAGUGAGUACGGUGAUCUUGGCGUAUGUCCUAAACACUAACAAAUUUGUGAGAGCUCUGCGCCUUCGUUGGUCAUGGUAUGAAUGGAAAGAACCCAACAAGUUGUGUGUGAGGCUUGGAAAUCCGUGCACUGACAAGGACCUAAAUUUUUUAUAUGCUUCCACCACUAUCACCGUGGGCAAUGGCACAAAGACAUCAUUUUGGGACUCCUCAUGGCUCCUUGGGCGUAAGCCUAAGGACAUUGCAUCGCAUCUUUGAAGCCUCAAGAAGUAAGAAUUGAAAGGUGCAUGAAGCCCUUAAAGAUAACGCUUGGAUCCUUAAGACCAAACAGAACACUAUCAUCUCGGCUGCCCACAUUGGGAGUUUUUUUCCCUUUGGAGUUUGGAUGCUUGUGCAUGGCUUCCCUCUUGAUGAACUUGUGGAGGAUGACAUUCUCUGGAAGCACUCCAAUGAUGAAAUCCACCCGGCGUCCACCGCAUAUAAAAGCAUAAUUUCUUGGGAGGACUCUUUCCCCGAUGGAUCCCGUGACAUGAAAGGCUUGGGCUCCACCAAAAGUCAAUUUCUUUUCUUGGCUCGCGAUCCAACACCGGAUUUGUCUUGAAUGUUUUGCACUACCUCCGUCCUACUUUAUUCGUCACCUUCAUGUUUUGUGCCAAAUUUUGACUUUAAAUUUAACUAACAAAAUAUUAAUGCAUGUCACUAAAAAUAGCAACAUUGAAAACUAUGUACAAAUACGAAUCAAAGGAUGUAAUUUUUUAAUUAUGGCAUGCAUUCAUAUUUUGUUAGUUAAAUUUAUGAUCAAAAUUUGACACAAAAUAUAAAAGGGGCCUGUAAACCAGGACAAAGGUAGUACAUAGAUAAGAGUCAAUUACACCAGUGGUGCUAGAACUUGGCGCAAACGGUCACUUUAGUGCUAGAACUUGCGGGAUACAUUAAAGUGGUGCAAAAACUUGGUUUGGACAUGCAAAUAUGGUGCAAAUCUUGUUUGUAUACGGCCGCAACACUGACGAGGCAUGGCAUCGUGGCAUAGGGCCCGCUGUCAGUGACUGCAUAGUGAAGGCUGGGCAUGUGGCGUGCUCUUUUUGCAAAAGCACCCUUAGUUAUUUAUUUAUUUUUUCUCACGAAAAGGCACCUGUUAGACGUGUGGCAUCUGGUGGGUCUCACUUCUCAGUAAAACAUCGCAAUUUUUGUUAGAAUGAAAAAUAUGAUGCAGAGGGAUUCAUACUGGUGACCGUGGUCUAACCACAGCGCGCGGCUAACCACCCGCCCAGAGUUCACUUGCUGAUGCAUAAGCAUACACAAGUUUUAUAUCUUUGAAUUAAGUAAUAUAAAUCAACAAUUUUAAUCUGUAAAAGUUUCGCCCGUGGGGUUUCGAACGAACUACCCAUAAAACCCAUUAACAGUCACGUAAAUGGCGAUCCAUAGAGUGAGCCACGUCAUCAUAGGCGAACUGUUGUGGGAGGCCAAUCGGGAGAGAGCUUUGUGCCCGGCCAAUUGCGUUAUCAUGCGUGAGAAGAAGAAAAAAGCGAUAGAAAAAAUGCCGCUAGAUAGCACCUCCUUGUGAUUGGGCACAAUGCCUUUGUAGGGAAGCAAACUCUUUUCCUCCGAUCCUGCAGCCUUCCUCAUCCCUCUUCCUCGAUCCUCCCUCCACCACCAGCCGCUGCUACCGCUCCUCCAUGGCUCAACCCCUCCUCUUCGUCCGAUGGAGGUGACCGACUUUGCUCCGUCUCGAGCUGCUCGUUCUCUCCUCUCCCCCGGCGACCAGUGCAGGAGAGAGAAGAUGAGAGAGGAGGGAGAGAGAAGGAAGGAGAGGAGGGAUAAAGAGAUAGGAAAGAGAAAAGGGAGGUACGACGGCGGACGGGGUAGGUUCACCGGUCGGCGCCGGCAAGGUCGGGCGUGGUCUCGGGGUCGGUGGUGGCUUGAUCCGCUCUUGGAUCGGGGGCCUCCCGUCCGCGCCGCAGCGUCGCUGGCAUGGAGGCCCGGGCUCGGGCAGCCACUGUCGUGUCGGGCGUGCUGGUGAGGUCUCUAGGGACACCAUGGCCCCAAUGUAAACGGCAACGCGGCCGCCCCAGAGGAAGUCAAAGACGAAGGAUCACUGGCAGUUUGAUCGAGUUCAUCUUCAUCCUACAGGUGGAUCCAACAAGUUUGAGUGAGUAAUGCUACUAUUCUUCUCUUGGCUGGUGUUCGUGCUCUGCUUUUGGGCAUUAUUGUUUCUCAUUUGAUGCUGAUGCAGCAGCUGGAGACACAGAAGAAGGGAGGCAGGUUGUAACGCCCCGAGACCGACGCUCCAGAAGACUUCCAGCUACUCCGAGUUUCGUCGUGUGAUUUGUUUUGUUUGUUGCAUCAUUUGCAUUGCAUCAUGCCAUCAUGUCAUUUAUUUUUUUAAACCUCAACUAAUAAAUUGUAUGGAUUUUUCGAUCCAUUUAAAUCGAGGGACUCACAUGGUGACUUCUCUUUAUAACAUAUCCUCCGAUAUUAGGGAGCUAUAAUAAAAUAUUCCAUUGUUUCGGAAUCACCAAAACACACUUGCAAAAUAAUUCCCCAUGCCUUUGACCUCAAACAUUGUCCAAUAAUUUAUUUCAUCAUUUUCCGGAGCUCCACCAAAAAUCCGAACAUUUUUUGACCUUCCUUUCAUCAAGUCCUAGUUCAAACCCAUUUGAAUUUCAAAUGAGUUUGAAUUUAAAUCUUUCGAUCAUGCCCAUUUCUAUUUUUCUCGGAACAAACUCAUUUUUGCGAGUCCGGGAAAAUUACCCCCAUGCCCAAAUUCUUGUCCACUCAUUUCUUUUCUCUCCCUUUCUUUCUUUACUUUUCUGUUUUUGGAAGAGUUUUGAAGAGAGAGGGAGAAGAGAGCCUUGCAGCCCAGCCGGCCUCUUAGGCCCGGCCAACCUAAGCCGGCCCAAGGCCCAGCCGGUGCCCCUCUAACCCUAGCCGCAGCGCCCGAUCCCCAUCUCUCCCUCUCGUCUCCCUCUCCUCCCUCGCGCCGCCAGAGGAGCCCAUCUCCUCGAUCUUCCCCUUCCCCUCCUUUGCGCCCCAUCUCUCGCUCGAUCCCGCACGCAGGAGCCCCACGCCCGAUCCCCAUCAUCGCCGUCGUGCCCCGUCCACCAGGAACCGCAGCUCGCCGCGCCCUGCUUCUCCUCCCCUUGCUCCCGCGCUCCGCCCUUGCCGAAGAAGAGAACCAGGCCGGAGCCCCGUUGGCCUCCUCCGCGAGCUCGCCUGCCCGCACGGCCAUGGCGCCGCCGGCCUCCUUGGUUCACCCGCGCCCCGCUGCCGAACCUUCUCCGCCUCGCGCCUCCACCUCCGUCGCCUGCACCCGUUCCCCUCGCCGGCUUGCCGCCUCCAGCCGCUCCUCUGCAGCUCCUCGCGCCUCCGCCUCGCCCCUCUCAACCUCCUCUCCGAGCAGGAGCCGCCUCCCCUGCUGCGCGCCAAGGCCCACGCCGACCACUUCAUACUUCGCCGCCCUGCUACCGCUGCAGUCCAGCCGCGCCUCUUCUUCGUGUCUGUGACCUUCUGUCGUCGUCCCCAUCGACCCGUUGGACCCCGCUGCCUCCCGCAUCUCCUCGUCGCACGCUGCGACCACCAGGAGCUCCGCCGCGCCCCGAGCCUCCUCUGCUCGAGCUCCACCUCCUACGCACCCCGAUGGCACUGCUGCCAUCUCUGCUGCUUUGUGCCGUUGGCCAUGCUUGCCUCGGGCCCCGGUGUAGCCUCCCCGUGUUCCUGCAGUCACCGCUGACCUCCUGAAGAUCAGGACCCGAGACCCGGGCGCUCCGCUGCUAGUUCCGUGGACGUCAAGUACAGCUUCGAUGACCCUGGAUGUCUACGAGCGUCAAGUACCACUACAACCCAUGUUCGACCACGUGGAUUCGCCAAGUACACCACCACCAAGUCCGCACGGGAGCCCGAACGACUACUUCCACGACGAUGCGAGUACAAGUACCCCUUCGGAUCGCCAAGUACAUCUACGGCCGUGUACCACUACUUCCUCUACCCUCGACCCUAGAGCAUGCGAGAACGACAACUUCCACUACUACCGUCGCCGUGUACAACUACUUCCUCUACGUCGCCACGUGAACGUCUACCUCCACUACGGCCGUGAACGACUACUUCCUUCGCCGAACGAGAACCGUCCCGAUUGCUCGCUUCGAAGGUAUAACCACCGAAACGACCGCCGUGGACCGAAUGCAUGUUGUAUGAGAUGCCCGUGUUUGCACCAUGUCCGAAUUGUUCCUUGCACGUUCGCCGUAAGCCAUGCCACCAUUAUGUGGGACACCCGGAAUCCGGGAUCACCCCACCAUCCAUGCACGCAUCCGCACGCCUCCUUUUGCACCGGUAUCUCUGUGAGCUACCGGAACCGAUAUGUUGCCAUGGCAUCAUUUUCGGAUAUGUUGCCAUGGCACCAUUUCUGUUUCGCCGCCGUGGCACCCUUUUCAUUCCGCCAUGGCGACUAAUGCUUUAUAACAUGCUUAUGUUAACGUUUUUAUAAAAUUGCAUAAAACUUGUAUAUGUCAUCCGCAUCAUGAUAACAACAUUUAAAAAUGUUUAAACUUGUUGUUGCAUUAAAUUGCUAAAUGCAUAUGGGGAUUUACCGGAUUUGUUGUUUUUAUAUCCGGCCCCAUUUAAAUUGUUUAGAUGGUAUUGUUAGUUUAAUUAUGCCUCACCUCUUGCCAUGUUUAACAACAGUUAAUAUUGUUGGAUAGCAUAACCGAGAGAGAACUAAAUAAUUGAUGUGGUGUUUCGUCAAUAUGCAACUCCGUUGCAUAUUGAGCUCCACUUAAUUUGUAAGAUAGUUUGUUGCAUUUUGCCAUGCCAUGCCUCAUUAAAUCGGACAUGCAUCAUACUUGAUUGUGCAUCGUGCCUUGUUUAUGCUUGUGUGUUUACUAUGUUGUUUGUUUCUUUCCGGGUUGUUUCUCUCGUUAGCUUCGGUUUCGUUCCGGAGUUGUGAGGAUCCGUUCGUCUACGACCGUUUGUCUUCUUCUUGGACACGUUCUUCUUCCAUGCGGGAUCUCAGGCAAGAUGAUCAUACCCUCGAAAUCACUACUAUCUUUGCUAUGCUAGUUUGCUCGCUCUUUUGCCAUGCCAAUGCUACGAUGCCUACCAUUUGCUUGUCAGCCUCCCAAAUUGCCAUGUCAAACCUCUAACCCACCAUGUCCUAGCAAACCGUUGAUUGACUAUGUUACCGCUUUGCUCAGCCCCUCUUAUAGCGUUGUUAGUUGCAGGUGAAGAUUGAAGUUUGUUCCUUGUUGGAACAUGGAGAUGUUGUUCCUUGUUGGAACAUGUUUACUUGUUGGGAUAUCACAAUAUAUCUUAUUUAAUUAAUGCAUCUAUAUACUUGGUAAAGGGUGGAAGGCUCGGCCUUAUGCCUGGUGUUUUGUUCCACUCUUGCCGCCCUAGUUUCCGUCAUAUCGGUGUUAUGUUCCCGGAUUUUGCGUUCCUUACACGGUUGGGCUAUAAUGGGAACCCCUUGACAGUUCGCCUUAAGUAAAGCUCCUCCAGCAAUGCCCAACAUUGGUUUUACCAUUUGCACUAACAACCUACCACCUUCCCUUGGGUUCUGCANNNNNNNNNNNNNNNNNNNNNNNNNNNNNNNNNNNNNNNNNNNNNNNNNNNNNNNNNNNNNNNNNNNNNNNNNNNNNNNNNNNNNNNNNNNNNNNNNNNNNNNNNNNNNNNNNNNNNNNNNNNNNNNNNNNNNNNNNNNNNNNNNNNNNNNNNNNNNNNNNNNNNNNNNNNNNNNNNNNNNNNNNNNNNNNNNNNNNNNNCUCUGAGUGUUGGUCCGAACUGAGCUGCCUGCGGGGCCACCUCGGGGAAACUUGAGGGUUGGUUUUACUCGUAGCUAGUCUCAUCUGAGUGUGCCCUGAGAAAGAGAUAUGUGCAGCUCCUAUCGGGAUUUGUCGGCACAUUCGAGCGGUGUUGCUGGUUUAGUUUUACCCUGUCGAAAUGUCUUGUUGUAUCGGGAUACCGAGUCUGAUCGGAGUGUCUCGGGUGGAGGUCUAUUCCUCCGUUGACCGUGAGAGCUUGUCAUGGGCUAAGUUGGGACACCCCUGCAGGGUAUUAUCUUUCGAAAGCCGUGCCCGCGGUUAUGUGGCAGAUGGGAAUUUGUUAAUGUCCGGUUGUAGAAAAUCCGAAGUUGACCUUAAUUAAAAUACAUCAACCGUGUGUGUAACCGUGAUGGUCUCUUUCCGGCGGAGUCCGGGAAGUGAACACGGUGUUGGAGUUAUGCUUGACGUAGGUUGCUAUAUGAUCACUUCUUGAUCAUACUUUUAUCGACCGUGCUUUGCCCUCUCUUCUCGCUCUCUUUUGCGAUUGUAGCCACCAUAUAUGCUAGUCGCUUGCUGCAGCUCCACCUCAUUACUCCAUCCUUCCUAUAAGCUUAAAUAGUCUUGAUCUCGCGGGUGCGAGAUUGCUGAGUCCCCGUGGCUCACAGAUACUUCCAAAACCAGUUUGCAGGUGCCUAUGUUACCGAGCAGGUGACGCAACCAAGCUCAAGGAGGAGCUCGAUGAAGAUCUUGCCCUUUGUGUUGUUUCGUUUUAGUUGAUCAGUAGUGGAGCCCAGUUGGGGUCGAUCAGGGACCUUUGUCGCAUUUGGGGUUCUUCUUUUAUUUUGGUUCCGUAGUCGGACCUUGAUUGUAUCUGGAUGAUGUAAUGCUUUAUUCAUGUAAUUGUGUGAAGUGGCGAUUGUAAGCCAACUAUGUAUCUCUUUCCCUUAUGUAUUACAUGGGUUGUGUGAAGAUUACCUCACUUGCGACAUUGCUUUCAAUGCGGUUAUGCCUCUAAAUCGUGCUUCGACACGUGGGAGAUAUAGCCGCAUCGAGGGCGUUACACAGGUGGAGCAGUUGAUGGAACAGGAAGAGGACAUCAUGGUAUUUUCAAUCAGCAUCUGCACUUCUCCUUUUUCUUCUUUGUUUAGGUGUUUCAAAUCUCAAUUCAUCGGUUUGGAACUUGGACCCUCGGAACUCAUUUUUCAGUUCUUACUAAAAUCCCAAUUUGGUUGUCUUAUAAUAUUUUACUUCUCUGAAUUUUCUCUUUCGCCUGUUGGUUUAGUUGUUCUGCAUGCACUUGGCCCCAAAUCUUUUAACUUAGUUGGUCACAACUCACAGCUGGUGUUUAUCUUCUUAGGAUCUACCUAGCUGAGGAUGGCAUGCUGGCACAACAACAUGGUCCUAUUGGGGAUGGUGAAGAAACAAACCCCACUGUCAGUUCUCCAAACCCUACUGGGGAUGAUGCGCCUCCUGCUCUCGUCCUCUGUUCGUCCGUCCACCUCGCUCCAGCCGCCGCCUCUCGUCCUCGGUUCGUCGUUCCGCCUCUCUCCACCCGUCGUUGCACUGCUUCUGUAGACCACCAUGAAGGUGAGAUUGCCCCUCCCUUACCCGACAUUCUUCCCUUUUCGGAUCUAUUGCUGCUGUGCUUACUGGUCGUGGAUGUUCUGUCGUUGUAGGUGGUUGUUGGUUGAGUGUGAGAGCUGUAGUUCUUCGUCGAUCGCUGAUCUUGUUCGUCAAUGAAUUCUGCGGCUGUCAUCGUCACCAAGGUAUGGUUUGUGGUCUACUGAUGCGUAUCCAUGGAUGUUUCUGUGUCGAUUUUUGGUUCGUGCCUGUGUAACUCAUGAACUGUUUGAUCUUAUGUCCUCUCACUGUGGGACGUUAAAUUUGUUUUUCUUUUUUCAGAAAUCGCACUAAUUGGUUCGUCGUCAGAUUUGCCUUGCUGUUUCUUCUGCUCAAACGAUCAUCUUUGUGUUGAGGUUCGAUUUUCAGCACUUUUCCUUGCCGCUUCAAUUUAUUGUGCUUUUUCUUGUAUGAGAUUUCAAGCAAGCUUGUUGAGUUUGUCCUUCUUCUUCUUCUUAGAGAAUCUGAGGAGAAUUGUUAUGUGCGAGUGUACAAACAUAGAUUUGAAAUCAAUUCUGCUGUGUUAUAUGCUUUAAAACGAGAUGUACCUAACUGAACUUGUUUGUGCCGUUUAAAAUUCAGUUAUGUGCAAAGAAACAGCAAAUAGCGGUUUACUGUAACUUUUCUUGUAUGAGAUUUCAAGUGAGAUUGUUCAGUUCGUUAUUCUUUUUGUUCAUAGAGAUUCUGAGAAAGAUUGUUAUGUGCCACUGUAUAAAGAUGAAUUUGAAAUCAAUUGAGCUGUGUUGUAUGCUUUAGUAGGAAAUGAACUUAACUGAACUUGUUUCUGGCGUUUAGAAUUCAGUUAUCUACAGAGACACAACAAAUACCAGUGUAGUGUAGCUUUUCUUGUAUAAGGUUCCAAGCAAUAUAGUUCGGUUAGUUCUUAUUUUUCUUCUUAGAGAUUUUGAGCAAGAUUGUUAUGUGUGAUUGUGUGAAGGUGGAUUUCAAAUCAAUUCUGCUGCGGUGUGCACUUUAAAACAAGAACUGAACUUGCUUGUGCCAUUCAAAAUACUGAUCUACAAAGAAACAACAAAUAAGUUGCCAGUUUUAGAAGUGGUGCAACAGAUAGUUUGUUAGAUGAUUGAGACAGCUACAAGGUCAUUUGACUCUCCAAUCGUUCAAAUUUUCAUCCAAAAGUACAGAUUCGCUGCUCAUAGACCACAUGAAUCGAUUGACGUCGUAUGUGCUAAAUGCACAUUAAGAUUCAGUUUCGCGUACUGUUUCAGUUACAUGAAUAUUUUUGUCAUCAAUACAUCCAUUAUAUAUUAAUCUACUCCCUCCGUCUCAAAAUAAGUGACUCAACUUUGUACUAACUUUUCCAUUUUGCCUUCCUGAUUGUACUAUGCUCUAUCCAUUUUGGCUUACAUUUUGCCUUCCCGGUUGAUCACGUACAUGCUUACCUGUACACAUAAUUCUCAUCACUCUUUUUCAUGAUUCUCGACAUCGCAAAAAAUAAUAAAGAGCAAGUAAUUUGAUAAUAAUAUGUACCCUGAAAGCCACUCUUCUUCAUGACUAUAUCGUUGUCAUCGGAUAUUAUAUAGAUGUUAAGACUUUUGUUCUUAGAGAUUUUGAGCAAGAGCAAGUAAUUUGAUAAUAAUAUGUACCCUGAAAGCCACUCUUCUUCAUGACUAUAUCGUUGUCAUCGGAUAUUAUAUGGAGAUUAAGACUUUUGUUCUUAGAGAUUUUGAACAAGAGCAAGUAAUCUGAUAAUAAUAUGUACCCUAAAAGCCUUGUCAUCAGAUAUUAUAUACAGAUUAAGACUGCAUAUCGAGGUCAUUUUAUAAGAUUUUGAGUUCCAUCUUUAAGGACAAUUUGCAAUAUCAUGUUUACUACGUCUGUAAUACUCUUACUGCUGUAUUGGGUGUUGAAAUGAACUAACUGAUAUUGAAUGUAAUGUAGAAUCUUAGUUAUCAUAGUUACACUAUGGAAUUAGGUCAUUGUUGCUGAAUAUGGUAUGUGCUUCUCAUGAGUUGGUUGCUUUCAAUCACUUAAGUUACGGUAUCUUUUCUCAGGAAUUGGCGUCAUCAAUUGAUACUCGAGUUUACCUUGUUAUUUGAUCUGGGCAUAUCGACUCUGCGGUAAGGUGUGCUUGCCACUCAUUUUAUCUGGGUUGAGUUACUUGUGCUUGGAUUGUGUGUGCUUACUCACACUUUUUUUCUUUCACCGGCUGUGAUAUUUAUAUGCAUAAAAAACAGAGAACAUGAAUUCCACUGAUCCUGAUUUCGAUCAUGCUGCUGCACGUAGUCGAACUGUUUCCCAACACCGUAACAGAGUGGCAGCACGUCUUGCCCUAUUCCAAAGUGCGCUAUGGUUUGACAUGAUCAUAGGUUAUUCUUGUCCUUAUAAUAUUACGUUCUGUGUGAUGUGAACUUAUGUGCAAAUGACUUGUUUAGGCGCCUUGAAUUCUGUACCCGGAUCAUUGUCCUCUGGUGCAAAUGGUGCAUUUAUGGGUAUGGAUCAUCAACAUUCUAAUUCAAGCCUAUUAUGGUAGUGCCCUUUUAACGUAUAUUACGCCAUAGGAGGUGGUUUCUUUCCGGUUGUCUCGCAUACAUACAUACAGCUAGUUAAGGCGCCGUCAGCGAAUGCAAAAGAGAAAAAUGCGUAUCUGGCGUCGAACAGGUCUGUCCUGCUUGUGUCGCCUUGCGAUCAAUUGUAAAAACAACACCUAGGUCAUUAUCGAACUGUGCUAAAUUAGUUCUUCCGUUUGUUUGAAAGUUACCCCUACCAGACUACAUCUACCACACGCUCUGUUUUCUUCUGAUUACACAGAGUUUUUAAAAGGUAUUUUUGUAGUCAAGGUCAUAUACCUUAGAAACUUUCUGAAAACAUCUAAUGCAUUCUCUCUACAGCAUCGUAUAAAAAGAGGUCGUAUCUGGGAGCGCCUGAGUACACAUGCCAGUUCUAUGGCGCCGUGUUUUGGUUCCGCGAGAGAUGUAAGAAAGAAACGUGUGUGCCUGAGCAUCGUAUCAUAUAUAACCUAUGCUGCAAGGGCGGUAAAGUGUCAAUGCCUGCUUUCAGAAACCCACCACUUUUUCUGUCAGAACUACUUAGGUUUGAUGGUGAUUCACGUUCUAAGCAAUUCUUGGAUAAAAUCAGACAAUACAAUUCCCUUUUUGCUUUCACCUCCAUGGGAGCAGGUAUUGAUAAACAUAUUAACGAAGGUGGUGGUCCAUAUGUAUUUAAAAUUCAUGGUCAGGUAUAUCACCGUAUUGGAUCGCUUCUGCCAAAUAGAGGUGCGACUCCAAAAUUUGCCGAGCUAUAUAUUCAUGACACACAAAAUGAGGUCUCAAAUCGAAUUAAUGCCGUGAUGAACGAAGAUAGUGAAAAAGACAGUGGUAUUGAUAGAGACAUAGCUGAUGGUUUGAUGAAGAUGCUUGAUGAGUUUAAUCCUCUUGUACGGACAUUUAGAAUGGCUAGAGAUUGACUUGAAAACCAAGGCGAGGAAAGAAUUGCUAUUAGAAUAGUUGGUGCGGAAAAAAUGAUUCGGUGCAAUAUAAUCUCCCUGCAUGCACAAUCAACAAGACGUUUACCAAACCAGGCCAGCGCAUGGUAUGCUCAAAUGCACAGCCUAUUCAAUAUUUACUAAGUUCAUAGUAUACCAAAUUGUAUCUCCAUACUGUACAAGUCCCACUUUUUAUUGUCUUUUUAACAGAAAAGAUGCUGCUUGAUUUUAACCGAGCAUCUCUGCUUUUAACUUUAUCUUUUCAACAACACUACUAAUGCUUUAAUGGCACGCGCACACUGUAUAUGAAAAUGACAAAUUUGCCUUGUGUAAGCCCAAUUUUCUUUCAUCACCAUUCUUUCCCACUCUCAUACUUUGUUAUACUCAAUGAGAUUCAUUCAACUCACUUUUAAAAUAUUACUCUGUAGUCGACCAUUCAAUUACAAGCACAUUUAUUUUUACUUCUUCAUCUUCCUUUACUUCUUCACUCUUUUCAUGUGCUUCAUCAGCCAUUUUACAGAAUAUACAGUGUUGUUUUGUUAUGCAUUUUAAUUACCUUAACUGUUGUAAGUUUGUGAUGAUACAAAGGGAAGUUGCAUACAUAUUUUCUUAUUUAUACUAUUCUUCUAUCCAUGCUUAAGAUAUAAAAAAUCUUGUUCUGUUCAUACUACUUAACAGUCAGCACUUUAGUCAUCUUACAAAUACCAAUUAUGUUCCCCUUCUCACUGUAUAUCAGAUAGAUCAACACCUGGUCUGUUGUUAUUUUUCUCCUGCCCCUUUUGAAAUUUCUACUUUAUCUUUUCUAGCUUACCAUUUUUCAUUCCUUUGUUAUCUAUUCAUACACUAGGCUGUACAUACUCAAAUCAUCAAUUGGACACCAGAAAUAUUGACUUCUCUUUGCUCUUUCAUCAGCCAUUUUACUUGAGCAUUCAUAAAUGUGGGUCCUCAAGAUAUGUACUCACUAACGAUACUUUCCUAUCACCAUUAAUAUCAUUAAUAUCCAUAGAACACGCUCCUAUCUUCCAUAUCACACAACAAUUUCUGUCCAUGUAAAUAACUUGCUUUCUUUUACCAAUAUUUUCAGGUUAACUAUACUGAAGAGAACCUGCUCGACUACAUUGAUCCAAACAAUGAUACACUCAUGGUCAGACUUGCAGACGACCAUCUGCUCGCCGAAUGUCGCAUCAUGCUAGGAACUGACAAGAGGGCCACUACAACCACCAACAUUCGUGAAGGAGACAUCUGUGCAUUUCGUUUCAGGAUCACUUCAAAGGGCCGCCUGGUUCUCACCGUGCACCGCCUCUAGAUGCACCAUCGAAGACGCUGCAGCCCAUGUGUGACUGUGUCAAUAUAAUAUAAUAUAAUCCUAUGAUAACCUAUGGUUCGCUUUUGGGCAUCAUGGUUGUCACUAUUCUUUAUAGUAUAUAUUUCUAUUUCUCAUAUUAAAUUUUUGUUAACUAAAGCAAGCAUCCCAAACGCUAACUAGAAUAGAAAAGAGUGUUAAAGGGGCGAGUACAACCAGGCACCGCCCAGCUCCCCCUCAAGAGGCGCGCCACGGGCGCGCCCCAACACCUAGUGUAAACACAAGUAGGAGGGCGUGCCACUCCAACUAUGGACUCUCACAUGUUUUUUUUUGAGACAAAUGGAUUCUCAUGUGUCAAUUUUUUUGGGAGGAGUGUAAAUAUAAUUGUUACAGUACAUGUCUAUAACAGAACGUGCUCCAGGGCUACAAUUUACCUGUAUAUUAUUACAAUUUACAUGUCUAUAACAGAAUAUGUAUAAAAUUUGUAAUUAUAAAUAAUAUACAUAUAAAUAAAUAUAUAAACCAAAAAAUGCUCACCUAUUAAUUUAAAAUCCAUCAAAUUAAAUUAUGAUUUUUUUUAUAAUUUUAAUUUUUUGCAUAUGAAUUGAAUAUCAAAGUAAUUUUAGAAAAUAUUUGUAUUAAAUAAAUUAUGCUAUAAGUUAAAAAAACUAUUUUUUAUAAAAUAACUAUGUUGUAUAUAAAAUUGUCCAAGAUUUAAUCUGUUUAUUUUGUUUUAUAAGUGUUCAUGCAUUUUUUAUAAAUUUUGUGUGUUUCUAUAAAUUAUAUUUGCAUUUCUAGAUUAAUUUAAAUAUAUGUAUGAAGAAAAUUUAGCCAAGUGUGCCUCAGACUGCAGAUUCUCAAAUGAAUAUGUAUUUACAAUACAAUUUACAUUUUUGAGGCUAAAAAUGAAAAAGGAAAAAACUAACAUGUUUAAGGCACGAAAUGCUAGUGGUUGUAUUGCUAGGUCCUGCUGGUGGUAAUUGUCAGGCCGCUAGUACGAAAUCCCACGGCGGUAUCUUUUUUGUCUUUUCAAAUUUACAUUUCUUAUUUUAUGUUCCCUGUGUUUUUUUUCCUUCUUCUUAUUUUACAAUAUUUUAGGUCAGGAUGUAAAAGGCUUAAUAUCAUUAUAUGACAUCGAUUGUUAUUUGCUGGGUUGGCUACCCGCCACACUCCGUUUGACCCAAGCGUCACUGGUUCGAGUAAUGCGUAUAGAAACGAUAUUUGCACCGUAUUUGCACAUUCGAGCCAAGUUUUUGCACCACUUCGAUGUAUGCCACAAGUUCUAGCACUAAGGUGAUCAUUUACGCCAAGUUCUAAUACUACCGGUGUAAUUGACUCAUACCUGCCCAGCUCGGCACGAUGCUAAAGUCCUUUUUUUGGGGUUGGGUUUGCCAAAAUAAUUAACUGCUCUUGGUGUACCUACUUGCAUGAUUACCAAGAGAACCCUUUCAUACAGCUAGUCGACAAAAGGCAGUAAUGCUACAUUCAUGGGGAGGUUUUUUACAGACUUCACGUGGUAGCAAAUGUGAAGGCUGAAGGCUUAAGAUUGGGUUUAACGGGUGGGAAGAGGCCCACCCCUGGUGAAAAUCAGGGGGAGGGGGGCUAGUUUGAUUAGAUGGAACAAGCCCGUAUUAGUCCCCUAAAGGCCCAUGAGUCUAGCAUUCUUGCGACAAAAUGUAUUACGGCAGUUGUCUUUUUGCUUGUCCCAUGCUGGAUAUGACGGCCAAUUUAAUUUCUUGGACUACAGAGUAGUGUUCUCGAUGGCCAACUCUUGAUGGUCCUCAAGCUUUUGGUUUUGCAACUAGACCUAAUAAUAUAUAGAAAUAUGAGUAAUUUCAAUUUUUGCCCUGUCAGCUUUUACUCCGUUUAGGAAAGGUUUUCUACUACCUCUAUAAAAUUUUAUAAGUCGUUUUAGCUCAUUUAAUGAGUUAAAUGACUAAUAAAAAUUUACAAAGGGAGUAGCUUUUACAUCACUUAGUAAUCUAUGAGGUGGGUCUUAAAACGUGUGUGAAAAACAAAUUGUAACAAUAUCUUUUUUCAAAAUCUUCUUAGUUGAGACGAACAACUCAACUAAAAAAUACUUUUUACGUUACAUCGUACUACCUAAUAUGAUGGGUAGUAUUUAAUUGAUCAAAUGAUCAACAUAGGCUGACUCGGGAUUUGGCUCAAGGACAUAUUGGUAAUUCUUUGUGUGGCACCGCUCCUGUAUGAUGCCAAAAGCGUGAGCAAUAUAAGAGGAGAUCUCCGCUUCGGCGCCUAGGGCAUCUCCGACAAUGUCCCGCAAAUUUGCUCCGGCAUUCGUCCACAGUAAUGGGACCAGUCCGCUUAGGGCAUUGUAAUUAAUGGUAGAAAAAAUCCAGUCAUUAUGCACCCAAUAUUAGGUACACACAAUGCAUCAGCAUGACAACAGUGCUCUCAGGUUCUGACGGUUAUUUUAGAGGAUGAUGAUACAACAUAAAAGUAAAUAAAUAGUUCCUUCGCAGAGGGAAGCAGUGAUUUGCAGCUGUGCCAGAGCUCAAAUUUUUUAAAACAGAUGUAAAUGAUAUUUUGAGACAUGCACCCUUCUCAUUUACUUCACGACUAUCAAUUAUCAAUAUCUUCCAUACUAAGCACGCUAGUGGCGGUUCCCAAGCGAUAAAAGUAAAUGUUUUGACUCCAUUGGGAGUUUUUGUUUGAUUAUUUGUAAGCUUUUUCUAUUUGCAGUUUGGGUCUGGCCAUCUCUAUUGCCGUCAUUUUCUCGUGCGAUGGCGAGUGAAUAAACACUCGACCUGAGAAUAAUUCGCUUAGCAUGGAAGAUACCGACCACCUUCUGUCGUUCCAUGAAAGAUCCAGACACACACAAAAAGAUAUUUAUUUGAAGUUUAUAGAGGUGGCACAUGCAAAUUUACUUAGGACGGCAGGGUAAUACCGCAUAUAGGUAGGUAUGAUGGACUCAUCUAGAAUAAUUUGGGUUCAAGGUUUUAGAUGUACAAGCAGAAUUCCCACUUAGUACAGGUGAAGGCUAGCUAAUAGAUUGAGAAGCGGCCAGCUAGAGAGCAACAACGGUCAUGAACAUGCAUCAUGCAUAAGUAACAUUGGACACUAGCAUGAGUAGGAUAUGAACACCAAGAACAUAAAUAUCAUAGAUGCUAUGUUGGUUUUGAUUCGACUACAUGCAUGAACAUGUGCCAAGUCAAGACACUCAAACAUUCAGAGGAGGAUACCAUAUCGUCAUACUACAUCACAAUUAUUUUAACGCAAUGUUGAUAUCCAAGAUAAGUCAUUAUCCACUCCCAACUACUUAUGCAUGGCAUGAGAAACUAUAAUAUCUAAUUGUCAUUGCAAACAUGUUUAAUCAUAAUAGGCUGAAUCAUAAAUACUAGGUUAAACAUAUUUACAAAAGCAGAACAAGUCGAGUUCAUACCAGUUUCUCUCUGCCACAUCCAGUUCAUCAAAUAUUGUCAUUAUUGCCUUUCACUUCCAUGACCGAACGAUGUGAAAAUAAUAAUAGUACAAGAGUGCCGUGGACUAAGCUGGAAUCUGUAAACAUUUUAUUCAACAAGAGAAGACAAGGUAAAAUGAGCUCUUUGUUAGAUCAACAAUAAUGCAUAUGAGAGCCACUCAACAUUUUCAUCCUGGUCUUCUCCUCGAUAUGACUCAAAAGAUGGAAAAAUAAAUUCAGAGAAACACACUGAAAUAUUUUUGAAGUUUUUGGUUUUCUUGAACAAGCAAAUAAAAGGGAAAAGCAAAAACGAGAGAAACUAUUUACACGGGAAAGCUCCCAAGAAGCAAAAGAAGAGCAAUGAAAUCUUUUGGGGUUUUCUUUUUAGUACUACUCACUACAACUAUUUUUUUUGGUUUUUCUAAGGUUUUUCAAACACACAAGAAGAAAGCGAGAAAAUAAAUCUAACAUGGAUGGUACAAUGAAAAAGUGUGGACACCGACAACUAGAAUGAAAUAUAAAAACAUGAAUGUAAUGUUGGUGGAAAACACGUACUCCCCCAAGUUUAGGCUUUUGGCUUAACUUGGUAAUCAGUCAGUAGCCUGGAUAGUAGUCAGAGUGGUAGCUCACGAAGGCUCUCUGUGCGGACACCUCGGCCUGUCGUGCUGCCUCAACCGCCUCAUUGUGGGCUCGGGCCUCGCUCUCAAGAACAGAAUACCUCCCCUUGUUGUGAUAAUCAAAGAGAGCGGGCGUAGGCAAAUAUGUGUAUACCACAGAUGCUUGGUUAAACAACAAUUUAUAGGUGAAAUUAUGAAUAUCUCCUUUAAGGAUCUUAUGAUGUUUCAUAGCAUCAAAAUCUAAAUACUGCGUGGGUAGGAUAUGGUCAAAGGGCAAAGGUGAAACACCCAGCUCUCUUGCUAAACGCAUGGCAUAAAUUCCAUCAUAGAAAUAGACACUAUUAGCGUUGUGUUGCAGUUUGCGUGCAACAAUCGCUCCAAGAUUAUAACUCCUAUCACCGAUGAGAGCGAUGCGUAAAAGGCUCAAGUCUGGAGCACAAAGUGUACUACAAUCUUGUUUGCCUACAAUACAAUUCGCAUUGAAUAAAGCAAAGUACUGAAUUGCGAGAAAAUGAAUGCUCUUUAUUCUACCUUGCGUCACUCCCCUCGUCUCACCGUACCAAAGACUAGUUAAGAAUGAUUGGUACUCAGCCCUUGGCGGUUCGUCAAGCGAACCCCACAAUGGGAGUUUGCAGUGGUGAGCAAAUAUCUCUUGUGAUAUGAUAAAUGAAUUUUCAUACAGUUUAAAUGACACCCUAGACUCACAAGAAUGAAAUUUAAAUCCUUUGACAAAUGAUUCAGUGAGGGUGUGGUGUUGAUCGCACUUAUCUGAAAUGUAGGGACCGUGACCGGCAUUGUGAACAUAUUGCUCAAAUUCCUCCUUAAUGCCCACACGCACCAUAUAACCAUCGCAUGGACAUAGGCAUGUUUUGGUGGCGGCAUCUCGAAUGGAACUUUCACUCGGUUCAACAUAAGACCGACGAGUAGAGUUGUCACUAGAAGCUGCCCUCGAGAAUCUCCUCCUCGAAGAACUCCUUCCAAAUAGGUUCAUCAUGUUCGCAUACAAUUUUCUGAAAUUUUUUGGGGUGACAAAAAUUCAUCAACAAAAUUUUACAAGAUUGAUAGCAACUACUCAUAGGGAUACAUAGAAGCCAUAGCAAGCAUUCUAACUACUUAGAACUAUAAGAAUUCAACAUGCAAGCUCAUCUACAUAAGCACCAAGAGUAGCUAAUUAUUCAAAAUGUAAACCAUUAAAGAAAAAACUAAUUGGAAAAAUGGAGGAGUCACAUACCAAGCUACAAUCCCCCGAAACAGUUUUGGAAACGGAGCUUCGAGCAAAGAGAUCGAAAUCCACGGGUUUGAGAGCAAGAACACGAGAGAGAGCAAUGGUGAAUUUUUCUGGAGGUAGGUGAUGAUGUGGUGUGAAGAGAUAAGUGAGGGGAGCCCACGUGGGGACCACAACCCACCAGGGCGCGCCUGGGGGUCCUGGCGCUCCCAGGUGGGUUGUGCCCACCUGGUGCACCUCCCUCUGAUAUUAUUUGCACCAAAAAUUCUUAAAUAUUCAGAAAAAAUCGUAUUAAAUUUUCAGAGCAUUCUGAGAACUUUUAUUUUUGGGUCUUUUUUUAUUGCACGGGAAAUUCAGAAAACAAACAAAAUAUAGAAUUUUAUUUUAUUUAACUAAUAAAAACAGAAAACAAAAGGUAGGGACAAAAGGUAGUGCUUACUAAAUUCAUCAACUUCAUACCUCUCAAAAAUGAUCCAUUAAUAUGGUUGAUCAAGUCUUAUUAACAACUACUUUCGAUUAGCAUGAAACCGAAGAACUUUCAUAAAUCACUAAGUUACCUCAACGGGGAUAUGAAUGUCCCCAAAAAUAAGCAUUUCAUAUUUCUUUUUGGCAGUAGGUAGAGGUAGUUGAAAACUUCCAAUAUUGAUUUUUCAAUCAGGGGGUUCCGGUAACCUCCCGGUACUCCGAAAAAUACCUGAAUCACUUCGGAACCAUUCUGGUGUCCGAAUAUAACCUUCCAAUAUAUCGAUCUUUACCUAUCGACCAUUUCGAGACUCCUCGUCAUGUCUGUCGUCUCAUCCGGGACUCCGAACAAACUUCGGUCAUCAAAUCACAUAACUCAGAAUACAAAUCGUCAUCGAACGUUAAGCGCGCGGACCCUACGGGUUCGAGAACUAUGUAGACAUGACCGAGACACAUCUUCGAUCAAUAAUCAAUAGCGGAACCUAGAUGCUCAUAUUGGCUCCUACAUAUUCCACGAAGAUCUUUAUCGGUCAAACCGCAUAACAACAUGUUUUUAUUCCCUUUGUCAUCGGUAUGUUAAAUUACUUGCCCGAGAUUCGAUCGUGGUAUCAUCAUACCUAGUUCAAUCUCGUUAUCGGCAAGUCUCUUUACUCAUUCCCUAAUGCAUCAUCCCGUAACUAACUCAUUAAUCACAUUGUUUGCAAGGCUUAUAGUGAUGUGCAUUACCGAGAGGGCCUAGAGAUACCUCUCCGAUACUCGAAGUGACAAAUCCUAAUCUCGAUCUAUGCCAAAACAAACACCAUCGGAGACACCUGUGGAGCAUCUUUAUUAUCACCCAGUUACAUUGUGAUGUUUGAUAGCACACAAAGUGUUCUUCUGGUAUUCGGGAGUUGCAUAAUCUUAUAGUCAGAGGAACAUGUAUAAGUCAUGAAGAAAGCAAUAGCAAUAAAACUAAACGAUCAUAAUGCUAAGCUAAUGGAUGGGUCUUGUCCCAUCACAACAUUCUCUAAUGAUGUGAUCCCGUUCAUCAAAUGACAACACAUGUCUAUGGUUAGGAAACUCAACCAUCUUUGAUUAACGAGCUAGUCAAGUAGAGGCAUACUAGGGACACUCUGUUUGUCUAUGUAUUCACACAUGUACUAAGUUUCCGGUUAAUACAAUUCUAGCAUGAAUAAUAAACAUUUAUCAUGAUAUAAGGAAAUAUAAAUAACAACUUUAUUAUUGCCUCUAGGGCAUAUUUCCUUCAGCUGGAUAUGAUGAAAGCCCAUGACCGGGUCAAGUGGAUAUUUCUGAAGCAAAUGCUUGGGAAAUGCGGCUUUUAACCAGCCUGGAUUGAGAUGAUCAUGAGAUGUGUGACAACAGCAAGUUUUAGGGUUAAAUUAAAUGGAGACCUCUCAAGGUGUUUUUCUCCCUCGAGGGGUCUGAGGCAAGGUGAUCCUCUAUCCCCUUACCUGUUCCUCUUCUCUGUGGAGGGUUUCUCAGCUCUCUUAAGAAGGCACAAAGAGAAAGAAAGAUAAAAGGGGUGAACUUUGGGGGCACUGGCCCUCAUGUGACACACCUCCUUUUUGCUGAUGAUAGCAUUGUAUUUCUUGAGGGAACCAAAGAAAAUAUGGACACACUCAAGGAUAUAUUGCAGCAAUACGAGAGAGCCUUCGGACAAAGUGUCAAUAUGCAAAAAUCAUCUAUCUUCUUAGGGAAGGGGUGUCAAGAAGACAAAAAAGCGGAGUUGAAAACUGCUCUCGGGGUACAAUCUGAAGCUUUGAGUGAAAGGUACUUGGGUCUACCAACACUGGUUGGAAGAUCAAAAGAUGGAACCUUCAAGUAUUUGACUGAGACAUUAAAAGGAAAGGUGAGUGGGUGGAAGGGGCAAGGUUUGUCCAAGGCUGCAAGGGAGGUUCUUGUCAAGUCCGGCCUCCAAGCAGUACCCGCUUUCACCAUGAGCCGCUUUCGCCUCACAAAGAAGAUGUGCGGGAACUUGACAUCCAUCUCUUCGAAAUUCUAGUGGGGCGUGGCUAAUGGUGAGAGGAAGGUACAUUGGAUCUCCUAGCAAAAGAUGUGUGCAGCAAAAAGGGAUGGCGGAAUGGGGUUUAGGGAUCUCAAAGUUUUCAACCAAGAUUUGCCUGCAAAACAUGCUUGGCGAAUUCUCCAUACCCCUACCUCUCUUUGUGCAGGGGUUCUCAAUGCAAGGUAUUUCAAUGAGGACUCGAUUCUCACAGCAUCCUGCCCCCCAAUGGCGUCGUAUACUUUCAGAAGCAUAUUACAUGGGAGGGAUCUGCUUAGAGAGGGGCUGAUAUGGCGCAUAGGCGAUGGAACACAGGUCCGCAUUCAUCACACAAAUUGGAUCCCGAGGAGCAGCAGCAUGAAGCCGUUGCGGCAGAUUUAUAUGUCGGGUGUAACAAGAGUUUCCCACCUUCUCUCUGCUGAUGGGAAGAGCUGGAAUGUGGGCAGACUAGAAACAAUGUUCUCACUAGAUGAUGGGAAAGACAUCAAGCAAAUUGCGGUGGGAGGACCGGGCCAUGAUGAUUACCUAGCGUGGAACUUUACAAAGAACGGGUGCUUCACGGUGAAGUCUGCAUAUCACAUGAAAAUGGCUAUGCUAAGGGCGGGGACCGGACAACCGGAACCCUCAUCUUCAGUUGCAAAGCAUCGUGGCUUCAUGUCUUUAUGGGAUACUCAAGCGCCGACAAAGGCAAAAAUCCAUAUGUGGAGACUCAUCAAAAAUGGCUUGGCCAUCGGAGCCGAACUGCAUCGUCGUCGGAUAAAACCCGGAGUUUUUUGUGUUGCCUACGGCCGGGAGGGAAUAGUCCAUCACAUGUUUUGGUCGUGUCAGCAUUCAGUACAAUUUUGGCAGCUCCUACAAUUGGAGAUGGGAGUAUCGGUGGCGAUCCCACCGGUCCAGAUAGGCUCCCAGAGUGAAUUGGCUAGCUGGCUUAUUGACUAGUUUUCCGGCGCUUCGGGUGAUGAGAGGGAGGUGAUGAUACAUGCGACUUAUGUAUUAUGGCUGGCACAGAACGAGGCGAGAGAUGGGAGAAGGAUUGCAGCCCCACAUGAAAUCAUAGCUACGGUUGUAGCUCACGUGCAGGAGUGGAAGGAGGUGCACUCAAAUCAGAGACAACCUGCGAUGCUGACGCCCCGUCCAAGAUGGCAGGCACAUGAAGAUGGUUGGCUCAAAGUCAAUGCAGAUGGUGCAGUGUCAAAGAAUGGAGACAAGGGAGGAGGUGGAGCGGUGGUGAGAGAUCACUAGGGUGCUUUCAGGGCGGGCAUGAGCCACUUUUUCCUGAGUAUCACUGACCCAGAAGCUACGGAGAUUAUGGCGUGUAAAAGGGCACUGGAGCUUGCAAGGGAGGUGGUGCCAGGAAGAGUUCAUGUAGAACUAGAUAGCCAGAAUGUGGUGCACAUGCUAAAUCAACCAUCAAAGAACCUGGGAGCUGCUGGACCCUGGGUGGAGGAGAUUAAAAGCCUCUUAUGUUCUUUUGAGAGUUUUAAAGUGUCUUGGGUUGGAAGAUCCGCUAAUGUUGCCGCGCAUAAAUUUGCUGGAGAUGAACUAAAUAAGAUUUGGUUGGGGGCUUCCUUGGAUUUUGUUCUUGAUGUAAUCUUGGAAUACAUUCCGAGCUUCGUUGGUUAAAUAAAGCGGCAGUAUUACCCUAAAAAAGAUCAUUCUAUUUUUGACCAUAAUGUCUAGCCACCUUUGUAUACACAAGCUGUAUGUAUGCGUACACAAACCGAUCAGCCAGAGCGCACAGCCCCUCCAUCUUGAGCUGGCCCAUUUUUUCCUUUUUUAUUUUUAACCUUCAAAAAAUAGUUGAAGGAGAUAGGAUUCAAACUCCCAACCUCUUAGUUUAAUCUUUCCCUAAUAUUAAAGGGAGGAUUGUUUCUCCACCUUUUUUGUCCAUGGUGGGGCCAUCAGUUUUUUCGUCCGUCUUGGGUGCCUAUAUGGCUAUAUGUCCCUAGCCUUGGUUGGUCCUCCGUUUUUAUAAGAAGAAAAAAAGUCUGAACUGGAAAAAACAAACAUGCAAGGCGGGAUUCAAUCCCUGGACUGCUUGGUUGGUACUCGCGCUGCCAACCAGCUCAGCUGUGCUGCUGUUAGUGCUUAAAUUAAACACCUCCACCUUUCGAUAGAGGAGUGGGCGUGCGGAAAUAAGGUACUACAAAAGUCAUGCGAGGAGGGUUACAUAAUUUUUUUGAGGGGCGGAUUAGGUACUUAAUAUCGUUCACUACAAUGAGGCCAGCCCAACUAAUCAACCACUUGGCCUUAACCCGUUUAACAAUGCAGCCGCAUUUAAUUCAUUAUUGGCCUCAAAUUAUUAAAUAGUCCCAUCUUGUUUUCUUAUAUUCAGUCCUUCUAAUUUAAAUAGUAUCUCUUUCAAGUUCCUAGGUAUUAAGGAAGUGUCCCGGGAAUCAGUAAGGUUGAAUGACAAGGGAUGAGGAAUGGAAAAAACUUUGGCCCAGCCACCUGAUGCAACCAUUCGGAAGGCGGCCGUUUGGUCAUUUACUACCACUGUCGUUAUUUGGCAGUCUUUACGAGAUAUGAGAUUUCGUUCGAGUCCAAACUGUUACUUUCUUUGGUAGAUUUAUUCAUUAUUCUGAUCCGUGUUUGACUCUUUCAAAUGAAGUGCACUAAAGUGGUUGUACUAGCUAUGUGGUUUGUUUUCACUAAUGUGUAUUUGAACCAUUGAAUAUGUUUAACUAUAACAGUUGCGGUAUGAGAAAGACAUGCAUAAAAAAGUGAUUGAUUAAAUGGUCUAUGUUGUUCUUCUCACUAAUUUGACUUUUUGUUUAUUUAAAUCCUUCAUUUUUAGAAGAGAAUUAAAUAGAUGUUUCACUUGAUUUUAUGUGUUAUUAUUGGGCUAGGGUCAUAUGAUAUUUUAUGUAGUUUUCUUAUAAAGAAUGCUUUUAUAUUUUUUCCUUCUUUCCACCGUCACUCUGAAUAUUUGGAUGUACUGAAUAAUACGUCUUUUAUUUUCAAACUUUUUGUCUCAGUGGUAACAGCUAAUCAAACUUUUGCUCACUUUAAGAAUAGUUAUAUUAUUAUUUCUCAAUUCAACCAUAGCUGACAUAAUUUACAUUGUUCACUGUAGCAAAAAAAAUAGGUAGAUAUUUAUCAGUUUAGAUAUAUUCUAUUCUUUAAGAUCAGGCUUGGUAUGGGGAUAACUUUUUCCAUUGCGACACACCGUAAGGUCUUUCGAAAGUAGCAUGCUAGACUCUGAUGAUGUAGCUCGUUGCCUUGAGAUUGUCAUGUUUGUUGUCAUGUUUGUCGUGAGGUGGACAAUGUGACCAUGAUGGCCAAGAGAGUGGUAACAUGGAUAGGUCACUUGGAGCGUGCGAGGAUUUUCUUUUGUCCCGUUGCAACGCACGGGCAUAUGUGCUAGUUCCACACAAUGUAACCAACUGGGAAAGCUAAGUUGUCAUGCGUAGGUACUUCUCUUACCCUUUUUGUUGUCCAUCUUCUCAGUCGUUUUUUUGUUUUGUUUGGCCAUUUUAUUCUUUGGUUUUAUUCUUUUUUUAUUUUUCUUUGUAAAACACGCUCGUCCCCGUGUUAACAAAACGAGUCACACGCGUGACGUUAAACACACACAGUUGACACAAAAAAAAUAUUAAAUACAAAAGGUGAGCGUGUUUCAGUAAAUCAAUGAAGGAAAAGUCCGCAUGCAUAAGAUGGAUGGAUGAUCCAUUCCAUGUUGUCUAUACACAUGACGUACAGGUUCUCAUCGCAUCAGUUGCCAUAUCGGUCCUCAGAAAAAGAAUUAAAUUAAACGCAAAACAAAUAAUAAGACGUGUUUCAAGGAACGAACGAAAACGUAUACUGACUGGGCAGUGCUUGGUUUCAAUGUAGAUUUUACUAAUUUAAAUGCUUCGGUUAUUUGCAAUUUUUGUUAUUAUCAACCAACAUUAACAUUUUUUAUGUCCUAAUCAUUUCUUGAAAUUUGUCAACAAUUUUAGAAUUUUAAAUUGUGUAUAAUUUUUUUGUAAACUUGAACACUUAUUCUAGAUUUAUUAACAAAUUCGCAACAAUUUUAGAAUUUUGCGUGUGGAACUGCCAAGGGCAUGCCCACAUGCUGGCAAAAUUUGAUGUCAUUUCGUGUGUCAACAAAUACACCAUGUUCUACCGGGACCGUUCAGGUCUGCCGGUAGGGCAAGUCUCACAACACUUUUUUCACCUCACCAAACAUAACCAAUUUUCCCCCACACAAUUGCAUCACCAUGGCCAGCGGGCAUGCAAACUUUCGUUCAUUUCCGGCAUUCUAUGCAUUUUCUAUGGAUUUUCCCUGUGAAAAAUCCCUAAACACAGGGCGGAUGUGACACAACGUGCGUUCGGUGUCCGAAUUCGUUCAUUUUUUUGCGUUGGGGGCUUCUCACAUGCUGGCAAAAUUUGGUGUCAUUUUGUGCAGGGCAACAAAUACACCAUGUUCAACCGGGAUCGUUCGGGUAUGCCGGUAGGGCAAGUCUCCAAUCAGUUUUUUCUCCUCCACCAAACGUACCUAAAACUCUUCCACACAAUGACAUCACCAUGCCCAACAUGCAUGCCAAGUUUUGUUUCUGACAUUCUAUGCAUUUUCUAAUAUUUUCCCGGUGAAAACCCCUAAAACAAAGGGCGGACGUGACCCAACAUGCGUUCGCUGUCUGAAUUCGUUCAUUUUUUUGCGCGGGGGGCUGCCAUGGGCAUGCGCACAUGCUGGCAAAUUUCGGUACCAUUUUGUGCAUGGAAACAACUACACCAUGUUCAACCGGGACAACUGGGGUCUGUCGGUAGGACAAGUCUCGAAGCACAUUUUUUCACCUUCACCAAACGUACCCAAAUUGUUUCCACACAAUGGCAUCACCAUGGCCAACAUGCAUGCCAAGUUUCGUUCAUUUAUGCCAUUGUAUGCAUUUUCUAUGGUUUUUUCAGUGAAAAAACCUUAAAUAAAGAGGUUGGACGUGUUGCAAAGUGCUCGGCGUUAGAACUUGUUCAUUUUUUCGUGGGAGUGGAGCUGAUCCGGUGUUGCGCGGGGUCCCAACAUCACAUAUCCGUUGGUGGUGAUGUGCCAAUCCUUCGGCAACCACGCCGACGGUGGAGCGAGCAACCCGCAGUGGCUCAACUCCGCCUGCAGCCACGAGAGAGUCGACGACCAAGAUCAAUUGUCGCCACUAUCAGAUCCGGAGCGAGCCAUCGAGAACAGAAGGGGCGACUGGGGAGGACCGGGGCGACGGUGGAAAACCGGGGCGAUGGGGGACCGAGGAGGAGGAGGAGGAGGAGGGGGCGAUGUUUGACGGUUGUCCGGCCCCGGCUUUUUAUAGACGGCGGCUGUGAUGGCAAUAGGUUGGUAGGCGCUGCAUCGGUGGGAAUGCGGGGCCAGGCGGCGCGACGCAACGACUUAAUGGCGGGGCGGGCAAGGUGGCAUGUGGCAGCGAAAGUGGCGCGGUAGGCGAGGCAGGUGUCGUGGAUCUAAGACUGACAGUAGAAUGGGGUAGGUAUGAGGAGGCAAGAUCCUAGCUAUGGCGAAGUUGUACACACGAGUUUUACGAGUUCAGGCCAUUCGUGGAGGAAGUAACAGCCCUACGUCUCGGUGCCCAUAGGCGGUCGACUGGAUUAUGUAUGUGUGUGUUUACAGGGGGUGCGAACCCUUGUGCCAGUGGAGGGAGGUGGCUUAUAUAGAGUGCGCCAGGACCCCAGCCAGCCCACGUUACAAGGGGUUUAAGGUACAUCAAGAGGGGGGCGUUACUGGUAAUGCUAGCAAUUAAGUGACAUAAAUGCCUAUUAAGUCUAUGGAGUAAACGUCCGACCGUUGUCGUGCAGAGUGACUUCAGGUCUUUUGUCUGUCGAGUGAUAAUUGUUGUGGUCGAGUGACUUUGAAUCUUCCGAGUGGAAUGCCUUGUAGUCGAGUGGAUGAUGCUAUCCCUUGAAUGCUUCUGGUUUUAAGAUGGUGUCCUAGGGGAGGGUGUCUAGGUCAGGCCUAUGACCUACCCUAGGUACAUAGCUUCAUCAUUAGCCCCCGAAUGGAUCAGGGUUUGAGUGGCGAAGGAGUUGAGAACACCUCCGAUUCAAUUUUCGUGCUUCAGAAGCGUCUUAUUGGGACCAAAUGAGCAAUCAUGAUGACUUCAACUUCUUUUUCAGUCGCCUGGAUCCAUUCUUGGUUCUUCCGAGUGAACUUUUACUACGAUGCUUCGAGUACUGAUAUGAGAAAAAUCUUCCGUCUGACAGGUUGCUCUGCUGCUCACGGAUAUUGUGGGAUUCGAAUUUUGGGGAAGCGCGCGGGGCGGAGGAGGUCGCAGUAAUCGGACGGGAUUAGGCAGGGCCGCCCCGAUCAUCGCGCCACCUUUUUCGCCACGUAUCUCGCGCGCGACUGUUGCGGGAUUUGAUAGGAUCGUCCGGACCCACACACUACUAGGAAAAAGCCUAUACACAGAAUCUUACCAGCAGUGCGCUUUAAAAUCAGGCGCUACUGCUAAGUAGCAGUAGCGCGGGCCAUGGAAACUCGCUGCUGAAACAAGUUUAUCAGUAGUGCGUGCACUCCAAGAAGCGCUACUGCUAAAAUUCCCACGACGCCGCCGCGAGGCCAAUUAUAGCAGCAACGCGUUAAAAUAAACAGCGCUACUGCUACGUAACAUAGCAGCAACGCAUUCAGGCAAUAAUCGCUACUGCUAAAUUAACUACAAAAAUCAAUGAGCAUUCAGCGCAUUCAGCGUAACGUAGCAGCAGCGUAUUUUUAUGUCUAUGUCUAUUUUUACAUACUGACACAUAGCAGUAGCGCGUUCAGGCCGAAAGGCGCUACUGAUAGGUACUUUAGCAGUAGCGUGUUUAUCUAUAGCGCGCUACUGCUAUUCCAUUCCAUCUCCCCCACUCACUAGCCUCAUCCACAGAUCACACUCACACACACUCACGGUCUCCUCCUCACCCCCCGCGCCGCCGGUCCUCCCCCGUCGCCCCUCCCCCGAUCUGCGCCGCCGUCGCCUCAUCCUCCUCGCUGGACUCGGUACCGGCCUCCUCCUCCGUCCUCCCUCCACUCGUCGCUGGCCGCCCCCUCCUCGCUCCGCCUUCCUCCUCGAUCCGUCCUCCCUCCACUCGCCGCCGGCCGGCCCCUCCUCGCUCCGCCUUCCUCCUCCGUCCUACUAUCUUCUCCCUCCUCGAGUCGCCCCUCCUUGUCCCUCCUCCCUGAUACAUUUUGAUUUAGUAGGCUUUCAUAUGUAACAUUUUGAUUUAGUUGAUAUGAUUCAGUUGAUUAGUAAGCUAGUUGAUUUAGUUGAUUUAGAACAUUUUGAUUUAGUUUAUUUAGUAGGCUAGUUGAUUUAGAACAUUUUGAUUUAGUUGAUUUAGUAUGCUAUUGGAUUUAGUAUGCUAGUGGAUUUAGUAUGCUAGUUGACUUAGUUGAUUUAGUAUGCUCGAUUUAGUUUUUUUGUAAUAAGUUAUUUUUUGGCAAAAUGUAGGUGCCAAUUUAGUUAAAUUUGCCACUUGUUUCCUGUGAAGUGAAUCGUUAAUCCUUUGCUCAUAUUGCUUUAGGAAAAUGGCGCCACCACCAGCACCACUAUGUCGACUGUGCAAGUCAAGGUGCGCCAGCAGCCUUGCAACUGGCAAGCUGUUCGACAUCUACUUCCAUCCGAGUUUUCGUCAUGCGGCAGUAAGAAAUUAGAUGAAAUGUAACAACUAUUUUAUUUUUAGUGUUGGCAUUAUUGCAUUGUGUCAUUUUGCUUUUCUUACACAGAUCGUCCCAUGCAAUGUGAGGUUGAAAUUCAACAAGCUGACAGGAGACACUGUGAUAUUUGAGGCUCCUGGGGGGCCGUACACUAUGGAGGUCGAGAAAGGACGCAAUAUGUCGCAGAUUGGAGGAGAUGGAUGGGCCCGUUUCCUCGCUCGCAUGCGUCUUACUGGUGGUGAGUUGAUCAGAUUCUCCUUCAGAGCAGAAAGACCCAAGCUGCUUGUCAUUUAUAUCAACCUGGUGGAAGAUGAUGAAGAUAACGAAGAUGAUGAAGAUAAUGAGGACCCACUCAAUGAAGAUGAUGAGAAUCCACUUCAUGAAGCCAUCAUAGCUCAAAGAAUGAGGCUGAGCGAGGAGGAGGUGUGCAACCUAUGGGACAUAAUUCCGCCACGUGAUGACUUUGUCGGGGUGCCAUUCGUAACCCGCCUGACAAGUACCAUGGUCGAUCGGCAUGAAAUGGUAUGUUAUACGUACUGCAUGUAGUAAUUUGAUGAUAUAUAUGCUUUAUUGUUAUACUUACAAAUACAAAUUAUCCGAUUAUAUGCUUAGUGAAUCCGAUGAUAUGCUUAGUGUAGAGUCCAAUGAUAUGCUUUGUGGAAUCUAGUCGAUGAUAUACUUUAGUGUAGAGUCUGAUCACAUGCUUAUUAGUGUAGAAUCCAAGGAACUAUUAAUAGUGUAGAUAAUCCAUAUAUAUACUUAUUAGUAGAAUUCAUGAUUAAUUAGUACAAAUGCGUAGUACUGUGUCUUUUGAUAGUGUAGAAAUCUAGACUUCAUAGAAAUAUAUUUGCAAGAGUAUGUGUGAGGCUAUUUAUUAAUUGAUAUGUUUUUCUUAUUCAAAUAUUGCCAAAGAACCUAUCUGUGAGUUGUGGUAUCGAGCCUGAUGAAGAAGGCUCAGUUGGACUACGCCUUACCGCAAGGGGCUCCAUCAUCACAUGUACUUACCGCAUGGGCACAGAUGGUCGCACACACUUGAACUCGGUUGGGUGGAAGAGAUUCCUCGUUGGCAAGAAUCUUCGUGCUGGAUAGGCCAUCCUAAUUACUAUCAGGAACACCCACCGCCCAGGCUUGAGGAUGAUGAUCGUCGUCGAUAUCAUCUAGAACUACAUAUGUGUGUGUGGCUAUAUCAUCUAGAACUACAUAUGAUGAUCAUCGUUGAUAUCAUGUAGAACUACAUAUGAUGAUCGUCGUCGAUAUCAUCUAGAACUAAAUAUGAUGAUUGUCGUCGAUGUCACCUUGUACUGCUUGAGGAUGCAUGUUGAGUAUAUAUGAAAUUGUUAUCUAGUACUCCCUCGGUUCCAAAUUACUCGUCGUGGUUUGAGUUCAAAUUUGAACUAAAACCACGACGAGUAAUUUCGAACUGAGGGAGUACUACCUAGUACCUAUAAUGCUUUAUGAAAUUGAUAUCUAGUAGUACCUAGUAGUACCUAGUAUCUGGAAAUUGCAGUGUAUCGAAGCUGGAAUGGGAAAUGGUGAAAGAUAUAACAGUAGCGCUGGACCGGGAAAUCGCUACAACUAAGUAAUAGCAGCGCGUUCCUGAAAAGCGUUGCUGCUAUAGUCAAUAGUGGUAGCGCGGGUACAGGCAGCGCUACUAAUAAGAGUUAGCUGUAGCGCCUUAUUGGUAGCGCGGGCACCCGCGCUGCUGAUAGGCCUAAAACCCGCGCUGCUGCUAGCCUUUUCCCUAGUAGUGACAGGUCAGCCACUCGGAAACGGCCUCAUAUAAGGUGCCGGAUUGGGGUUUUUUGCACAGUGCAUUCCCAUUCUCCCCCGCCUUCUCCGCCUCAUCCAACUCUGCUCCCGGCGCCGCCGCUCUGCUCGAGCUCCGCCCGCUGCAAUGGGGAAGUGAUGUCUACUACACAACCUUCUUCUUGUAGACGUUGUUGGGCCUCCAAGUGCAGAGGUUUGAAGGACAAUAGAAAAUUUCCCUCAAGUGGAUGACCUAAGGUUUAUCCAUCCGUGGGAGGCGUAGGAUGAAGAUGGUCUCUCUCAACCAACCCUGCAACCAAAUAACAGAGUCUCUUGUGUCCUCAACACACCCAAUACAAUGGUAAAUUGUAUAGGUUCACUAGUUCGGUGAAGAGAUGGUGAUACAAGUGCAGUAUGGAUGGUAGAUAAAGGUUUUUGAAAUCUGAAAAUAUAAAAACAGCAAGGUAACUAAUGAUAAAAGUGAGCACAAAUGGUAUUGCAAUGCGUUGAAACAAGGCCUAGGGUUCAUACUUUCACUAGUGCAGGUUCUCUCAACAAUAAUAACAUAAUUGGAUCAUAUAACUUUCCCUCAACAUGCAACAAAGAGUCACUCCAAAGUCACUAAUAGCGGAGAACAAAUAAAGAGAUUAUGGUAGGGUACGAAACCACCUCAAAGUUAUCCUUUCUGAUCGAUCUAUUCAAGAGUCCGUAGUAAAAUAACAUGAAGCUAUUCUUUCCGUUCAAUAUAUCAUAGAGUUCAUACUAGAAUAACACCUUAAGACACAAAUCAAUCAAAACCCUAAUGUCACCUAGAUACUCCAAUGUCACCUCAAGUAUCCGUGGGUAUGGUUAUACGAUAUGCAUCACACAAUCUCAGAUUCAUCUAUUCAACCAACACAAAGAACUUCAAAGAGUGCCCCAAAGUUUCUACCGGAGAGUCAAGACGAAAACAUGUGCCAACCCCUAUGCAUAGGUUCAUGGGCGGAACCCACAAAUUGAUCACCAAAACAUACAUCAAGUGGAUCACGUGAUAUCCCAUUGUCACCACAGAUAAGCACGUGCAAGACAUACAUCAAGUGUUCUCAAAUCCUUAAAGACUCAAUCCACGGAAUAGUGGGAGUAUCAUAAGAGACUUGAAUACUAUAAAUUGUUUUCACAUUAAAAGAGUAAUGUUCAAAAAAGGGGUAAUCAUAAUCAUGACAAGUUUUAUAAAUAUAAUCAUCACUACUUUUUAUAGCAUACAUGUCAUCACAAUAAUCAUCAUAAGUAGCAACUUUGUUCUCAUCAUAAUCAAUUGAAACCUCUUGCAAGAUAGUGGAAUCAUUACUAAAUAAAGUCAUGACCUCUCUAAAUCCACCUUGAUAAUUAUCACAAUAAGAUUCAACAUCCUCUAGAAUAGUGGGAUCAUUACUUCCUAAAGUUGACACUCUUCCAAACCCACUUUCAUAAUUAUCACAAUAAGAUUCAACAUCCUCAAAAAUAGUGGGAUCAUUACUUUCUAAAGUUGACACUAUUCCAAACCCACUUUCAUCAAUAUAAUCAUCAUAAGUAGGAGGCAUUCUAUCAUCAUUAUAAAUUUGCAUAUCAAAACUUAGGAGACUAAAAAUAUCAUCUUCAUUAAACGUAGCGUCCCCAAGCUUGGUACAAAUAUUAAUUGCAAAAAAUAUAUUCUCAAAAACAUCAUCUUCAUCAAACAUAACAUCCCCAAGCUUGGGCCUUUUCAUAUCAUAAGCAUAAUCACUCUCAUCGUUAAUAGUAUGGAUAGCACCAAUAGUAUAGCAAUUAUCAUCAUCACAAGGAGUAAUAGGAGCAACAUUAUUUGGGAGAGAUACCUUUCUACCUUUGCUUCUCCGUCUUUUCUUUUUCUUCUUCACAUCAUGUGUGGGUUCAACCCUCUUUUUGGAGCUCCUUAUUAAUGAGAUUGGUUGACUAGAGGGCUCCUCCUCGUUACCUGAUUCAUCAUAAGAAUAAUAGGAGGAUAUUGGGAAGUCUCUUCCCUUUCAUUAGUAUUCUCUUCAUCUUCUAUUUGUUUUCUUUUCUUUAUGUAAUUGGCAAUAUAAGGAUUUUCAAUACAAUUCACCGCACAAUACAUAUAAAUUUCCUCUAGAUCAAAAUCAAGAAGUUUAUCAUGGGCAAAUACUAGAAGAUAGUUAGUUAUAUGUUUCAUUUCUUCAUAACCCAUAAGAAAACUAAGUUCAUUAUGAUUUGCAAGGGAAAUCAAGUCAUCACAAUUUUUGGAAACGAUUAGAUCAUGAAACAAUUUGCAUCGGAUGGUUAAAUGACCACGUUCAUUGCAAAGUUCACAAGUACAACUAAGAAAAUUUAAAUUUUCAGCACAAACAUCUAGCCUUUCUUGCAACCAUUUAGUUUCUAAGUACUUAUGCCUCUUGCAAAAUCUAUCUUCCCUAAUUGGUGUGUACUUGCAAACUCUAUGCACUCCACAAAAAUUGACAUGCUUAUAAGAGACAUUCUCAUCAUGACUAGUGUAAUCAUCAUUAGUACUAAGGAUAUUCAAAGAGUUCAUACUAAUAACAUUGCAAUCAUGCUCAUCAUUCAAAGAUUUAGUGCCAAACAUUUUAAUGUAUUAUUCUUCUAACACUUCGGCGCAAUUUUCCUGUCCAUCAUACUCAUGAAAGAUAUUAAAAAGAUGAAGCGUAUGAGGCAAACUCAAUUCUAUUUUUUUGUAGUUUUCUUUUAUAAACUAAACUAGUGCUAAAACAAGAAACAAAAAGAUUCAAUUGAAAGAUCUAAAGAUAAACCUUCAAGCGCUAACCUCCCCGGCAACGGCGCCAGAAAAGAUCUUGAUGUCUACUACACAACCUUCUUCUUCUAGACGUUGUUGGGCCUCCAAGUGCAGAGGUUUGUAGGACAGUAGCAAAUUUCCCUCAAGUGGAUGACCUAAGGUUUAUCAAUACGUGGGAGGCGUAGGAUGAAGAUGGUCUCUCUCAAGCAAUCCUGCAACCAAAUAAUAAAGAGUCUCUUGUGUCCCCAACACACCCAAUACAAUGGUAAAUUGUAUAGGUGCACUAGUUCGGCGAAGAGAUGGUGAUACAAGUGCAAUAUGGAUGGUAGAUAAAGGUUUUUUAAAUCUGAAAAUAUAAAAACAGCAAGGUAACUAAUGAUAAAAGUGAGCACAAACGGUAUUGCAAUGCAUUGAAACAAGGCCUAGGGCUCAUACUUUCACUAGUGCAAGUUCUCUCAACAAUAAUAACAUAAUUGGAUCAUAUAACUGAAGGAAAUAUGCCCUAGAGGCAAUAAUAAAGUUAUUAUUUAUUUCCUUAUAUCAUGAUAAAUGUUUAUUAUUCAUGCUAGAAUUGUAUUAACCGGAAACAUAAUACAUGUGUGAAUACAUAGACAAACAGAGUGUCACUAGUAUGCCUCUACUUGACUAGCUCGUUAAUCAAAGAUGGUUAUGUUUCCUAACCAUGGACAAAGAGUUGUUAUUUGAUUAACGGGAUCACAUCAUUAGGUGAAUGAUCUGAUUGACAUGACCCAUUCCAUUAGCUUAGCACCCGAUCGUUUAGUAUGUUGCUAUUGCUUUCUUCAUGACUUAUACAUGUUCCUAUGACUAUGAGAUUAUGCAACUCCCGUUUGCCGGAGGAACACUUUGUGUGCUACCAAAUGUCACAACGUAACUGGGUGAUUAUAAAGGUGCUCUACAAGUGUCUCCAAAGGUACAUGUUGGGUUGGCGUAUUUCGAGAUUAGGAUUUGUCACUUCGAUUGUCGGAGAGGUAUCUCUGGGCCCUCUCGGUAAAGCACAUCACAUAAAGCCUUGCAAGCAUUGCAACUAAUGAGUUAGUUGUGAGAUGAUGUAUUACGGAAAGAGUAAAGAGACUUGCCGGUAACGAGAUUGAACUAGGUAUUGAGAUACCGACGAUCGAAUCUCGGGCAAGUAACAUACCGAUGACAAAGGGAACAACGUAUGUUGUUAUGCGGUCUAACUGAUAAAAGAUCUUCGUAGAAUAUGUAGGAGCCAAUAUGAGCAUCCAGGUUCCGCUAUUGGUUAUUGACCGGAGACAUGUCUCGGUCAUGUCUGCAUUGUUCUCGAAUCCGUAGGGUCCGCACGCUUAAGGUUUCGAUGACAGUUAUAUUAUGAGUUUAUGCAUUUUGAUGUACCGAAGGUUGUUCGGAGUCCCGGAUGUGAUCAUGGACAUGACGAGGAGUCUCGAAAUGGUCGAGACAUAAAGAUUGAUAUAUUGGAAGCCUAUGUUUGGAUAUCGGAAGUGUUCCGGGUGAAAUCGGGAUUUUACCGGAUUACCGGGAGGUUACCGGAACCCCCGGGAAAGUAUAUGGGCCUUAGUGGGCCUUAGUGGAAGAGAGGAGAGGUGGCCAGAGAUGGGCCGCACGCCCCUCCCCCCUUGGUCCGAAUAGGACAAGGAGAGGGGGCCGGCCCCCCUUCCUCCUCUCUCUCCUCUUUUCCCCCCUCCGCGAAUCCUAUUUCAACUAGGAAAUGGGGGAGUCCUACUCCCGGAAGGAGUAGGACUCCUCCUGGCGCGCCACCUCUUGGCCGGAAAGCCCCCCCUCCCUUUUGAGCCUUUAUAUAUGGAGGCACGGGGCACCCCUAGAGACACCAGUUGAUCCACGUGAUCAUAUUCUUAGCCGUGUGCGGUGCCCCCUUCCACCAUAGUCCUCGAUAAUAUUGUAGCGGUCGGGCCGUGGAGACGUACGACUACAUCAACCAAACGCUUCCGUUGUCAAUCUACAAGGGUACGUAGAUCACACUCUCCCCCUCUCGUUGCUAUGCAUCACCAUGAUCUUGUGUGUGCGUAGGAAUUUUUUUGAAAUUACUACGAAACCCAACAGUGGUAUCAGAGCCAAGUUUUAUAUGUUGAUGUUAUAUGCACGAGUAGAACACAAGUGACUUGUGGGCGAUAUAAGUCAUACUGCUUACCAGCAUGUCAUACUUUGGUUCGGCGGUAUUGUUGGACGAAGCGGCCCGGACCGACAUUAUGCGUACGCUUACGCGAGACCGGUUCUCCCGACGUGCUUUGCACAAAGGUGGCUAGCGGGUGACAGUUUCUCCAACUUUAGUUGAACCGAGUGUGGCUACGCCCGGUCCUUGCGAAGGUUAAAACAGCACCAACUUGACAAACUAUCGUUGUGGUUUUGAUGCGUAGGUAAGAUUGGUUCUUGCUUAAGCCCGUAGCAGCCACAUAAAACUUGCAAAAAAAUAGAGGACGUCUAACUUGUUUUUGCAGGGCAUGUUGUGAUGUGAUAUGGUCAAGACAUGAUGCUAAAUUUUAUUGUAUGAGAUGAUCAUGUUUUGUAACCGAGUUAUCGGCAACUGGCAGGAGCCAUAUGGUUGUCGCUUUAUUGUAUGCAAUGCAAUCGCGCUGUAAUGCUUUACUUUAUCACUAAGCGGUAGCGAUAGUCGUGGAAGCAUAAGAUUGGCGAGACGACAACGAUGCUACGAUGGAGAUCAAGGUGUCGCGCCGAUGACGAUGGUGAUCACGACGGUGCUUCGAAGAUGGAGAUCACAAGCACAAGAUGAUGAUGGCCAUAUCAUAUCACUUAUAUUGAUUGCAUGUGAUGUUUAUCUUUUAUGCAUCUUAUCAUGCUUAGAUUGACGGUAGCAUUAUAAGAUGAUCUCUCACUAAUUAUCAAGAAGUGUUCUCCCUGAGUAUGCACCAUUGCGAAAGUUCUUCGUGCCGAGACACCACGUGAUGAUCGGGUGUGAUAGGCUCUACGUUCAAAUACAACGGGUGCAAAACAGUUGCACACGCGGAAUACUCAGGUUAUACUUGACGAGCCAAGCAUAUACAGAUAUGGCCUCGGAACACGGAGACCGAAAGGUCGAGCGUGAAUCAUAUAGUAGAUAUGAUCAACAUAGUGAUGUUCACCAAUGAAACUACUCCAUCUCACGUGAUGAUCGGACAUGGUUUAGUUGAUUUGGAUCACGUAAUCACUUAGAGGAUUAGAGGGAUGUCUAUCUAAGUGGGAGUUCUUAAGUAAUAUGAUUAAUUGAACUUAAAUUUAUCAUGAACUUAGUCCUGGUAGUAUUUUGCAAAUUAUGUUGUAGAUCAAUAGCUCACGUUGUUGCUUCCCUGUGUUUAUUUUGAUAUGUUCCUAGAGAAAAUUGUGUUGAAAGAUGUUAGUAGCAAUGAUGCGGAUUGGAUCCGUGAUCUGAGGUUUAUCCUCAUUGCUGCACAUAAGAAUUAUGUCCUUGAUGCACCGCUAGGUGACGAACCUAUUGCAGGAGCAGAUGCAGACGUUAUGAACGUUUGGCUAGCUCAAUAUGAUGACUACUUGAUAGUUUAGUGCACCAUGCUUAAUGGCUUAGAAUCGGGACUUCAAAGACGUUUUGAACAUCAUGGAGCAUAUGAGAUGUUCCAGGAGUUGAAGUUAAUAUUUCAAGCAAAUACCCGAGUUGAGAGAUAUGAAGUCUCCAACAAGUUCUAUAGCUAAAAGAUGGAGGAGAAUCGCUCAACUAGUGAGCAUGUGCCCAGAUUGUCUGAGUACUACAAUCGUUUGAAUCAAGUGGGAGUUAAUCUUCCAGAUAAGAUAGUGAUUGACAGAAUUCUCUAGUCACCAUCACCAAGUUAGUAGAACUUCGUGAUGAACUAUGAUAUGCAAGGGAUAACGGAAACGAUUCCCAAGCUCUUCGUAAUGCGGAAAUUGACGAAGGUAGAAAUCGAGAAAAACAUCAAGUGUUGAUGGUAGACAAGACCACUAGUUUCAAGAAAAGGGCAGAGGGAAGAAGGGGAACUUCAAGAAGAACAGCAAGCAAGUUGCUGCUCAAGUGAAGAAGCCCAAGUCUAGUCCUAAGCCUGAGACUAAGUGUUUCUACUGCAAAGGGAUUGGUCGCUGGAAGCGGAACUACCCCAAGUGAUUGGCAGAUAAGAAGGAUGGCAAAGUGAACAUAAGUAUAUUUGAUAUACAUGUUAUUGAUGUGUACUUUACUAGUGUUUAUAGCAACCCCUCAGUAUUUGAUACUAGUUCAGUUGCUAAGAUUAGUAACUCGAAACGGGAGUUGCAGAAUAAACAGAGACUAGUUAAGGGUGAAGUGACGAUGUGUGUUGGAAGUGGUUCCAAGAUUGAUAUGAUCAUCAUCGCACACUCCCUAUACUUUCGGGAUUAGUGUUGAACCUGAAUAAGUGUUAUUUGGUGUUUGCGUUAAGCAUGAAUAUGAUUUGAUCAUGUUUAUUGUAAUACGGUUAUUCAUUUAAGUAAGAGAAUAAAUUGUUGUUCUGUUUACAUGAAUAAAACCUUAUAUGGUUACACACCCAAUGAAAAUAGUUCGUUGGAUCUCGAUCGUAGUGAUACACAUAAUCAUAAUAUUGAAACCAAAAGAUGCAAAGUUAAUAAUGAUAGUGCAAUUUAUUUGUCGCACUGCCGUUUAGGUCAUAUUGGUGUAAAGCGCAUGAAGAAACUCCAUGCUGAUGGGAUUUUGGAAUCACUUGAUUAUGAAUCACUUGAUGCUUGCGAACCAUGCCUCAUGGGCAAGAUGACUAAGACUCCAUUCUCCGGAGCGAGCAACCGACUUAUUGGAAAUAAUACAUACUGAUGCAUGCGGUCCAAUGAGUGUUAAGGCUCACGGCAAGUAUCGUUAUUUUCUGAACUUCACAGAUGAUUUGAGCAGAUAUGGGUAUAUCUACUUGAUGAAACAUAAGUCUGAAACAUUUGAAAAGUUCAAAGAAUUUCAGAGUGAAGUGGAAAAUCAUCGUGACAAGAAAAUAAAGUUUCUACGAUCUGAUCGCGGAGACAAAUAUUUGAGUUACGAGUUUGGUCUUCAAUUAAAACAAUGUGGAAUAGUUUCACAAACUCAUGCCACAUGGAACACCACAGUAUAAUGGUGUGUCCGAACGUCAUAACCGUACUUUAUUGGAUAUAGUGCAAUCUAUGAUGUCUCUUACCGAUCUACCACUAUCGUUUUGGGGUUCUGCAUUAAAGACAGCUGCAUUCACGUUUAAAAGGGCACCAUCUAAGUCCGUUGAGACGACACAAUCUGAACUGUGGUUUGGCAAGAAACCAAAGUUGUCGUUUCUUAAAUUUUGGGAUUGUAAUGCUUAUAUGAAAAAGUUUCAUCCUGAUAAGCUCAAACCCAGAUCAGAGAAAUAUGUCUUCAUAGGAUACCCAAAGGAGACUAUUGGGUACACCUUCUAUCACAGAUCCGAAGGCAAGACAUUCGUUGCUAAGAAUGGAUCCUUUCUCGAGAAGGAGUUUCUCUCAAAAGAAGUGAGUGGGAGGAAAGUAGAAAACUUGAUAAGGUAAUUGUACCAUCUCCCUUAUUGGAAAGUAGUUCAUCACAGAAAUCUGUUCUUGUGACUACUACACCAAUUAGUGAGGAAGCUAAUGAUGAUGAUCAUGUAACUUCAGAUCAAGUUACUACCGAAUCUCGUAGGUAAACCAGAGUGAGAUCCGCACCAGAGUGGUACGGUAAUCCUGUUCUGGAAGUCAUGUUACUAGACCAUGACGAACUUGCGAACUAUGAAGAAGCGAUGGUGAGCCCAGAUUCCGCAAAAUGGCUUGAGGCCAUGAAAUCUGAGAUGGGAUCCAUGUAUGAGCACAAAGUAUGGACUUUGGUUGACUUGCCCGAUGAUCGGCAAGCCAUAGAAAAUAAAUGGAUCUUCAAGAGGAAGAUGGACGCUGAUAGUAGUGUUACUAUCUACAAAGCUAGAAUUGUUGCAUAAGGUUUUCGACAAAGUUCAAGGUGUUGACUACGAUGAGAUUUUCUCACUCGUAUCGAUGCUUAAAAGUCUGUCCAAAUCAUGUUAGCAAUUGCCGCAUUUUAUGAAAUCUAGCAAAUGGAUAACAAAACUGCAAUCCUUAAUGGAUUUCUUAAAGAAAGAGUUGUAUAUGAUGCAACCAGAAGGUUUUGUCAAUCCUAAAGGUGCUAACAAAAUAAGCAAGCUCCAGCGAUCCAUCUAUGGACUGGUGCAAGCAUCUCGGAGUUGGAAUAAACGCUUUGAUAGUAUGAUCAAAGCAUAUAGAUUUAUACAGACUUGCCGUGAAGCCUGUAUUUACAAGGAAGUGAGUGGGAGCACUACAACAUUUCUGAUAAGUAUAUGUGAAUGACAUAUUGUUGAUCGGAAAUAAUGUAGAAUUAUUCUGCGAAGCAUAAAGGAGUGUUUGAAAGGAGUUUUUCAAAGAAAGACCUCGGUGAAGCUGCUUACAUAUUGAGCAUCAAGAUCUAUAGAGAUAGAUCAAGACGCUUGAUAAGUUUUUUUUUCAAUGAGUACAUACCUUGACAAGAUUUUGAAAUAGUUCAAAAUGGAACAGUCAUAGAAAGGGUUCUUACCUGUGUUACAAGGUAUGAAAUUGAGUAAGACUCAAAGCCCGACCACGGCAAAAGAUAGAAAGAGAAUGAAAGUCAUUCCCUAUGCCUCAGCCAUAGGUUCUAUAAAGUAUGCCAUGCUGUGUACCAGAUCUAUUGUAUACCCUACACUGAUUUUGGCAAGGUAGUACAAUAGUGAUCUAGGAGUAGAUCACUGGACAGCAGUCAAAAUUAUCCUUAGUGGAAUAAGGAUAUGUUUCUCGAUUAUGGAGGUGACAAAAAGGUUCGUCCUAAAGGGUUACGUCGAUGCAAGUUUUGACACUAAUCCAGAUGACUCUAAGUCUCAAUAUGGAUACAUAUUGAAAGUGGGAGCAAUUAGCUAGAGUAGCUCUGUGCAGAGCAUUGUUGACAUGGAAAUUUGCAAAAUACAUACGGAUCUGAAUGUGGCAGACCCGUUGACUAAACUUCUCUCAUAAGCAAAACAUGAUCACACCUUAGUACUCUUUGGGUGUUAAUCGCAUAGCGAUGUGAACUAGAUUACUGAAUCUAGUAAACCCUUUGGGUGUUGGUCACAUGAAGAUGUGAACUAAUCACAUAAAGAUGUGAACUAUUAGUGUUAAAUCACAUGGUGAUGUGAACUAGAUUAUUGACUCUAGUGCAAGUGGGAGACUGAAGGAAAUAUGCCCUAGAGGCAAUAAUAAAGUUAUUAUUUAUUUCCUUAUAUCAUGAUAAAUGUUUAUUAUUCAUGCUAGAAUUGUAUUAACCGAAAACAUAAUACAUGUGUGAAUACAUAGACAAACAGAGUGUCACUAGUAUGCCUCUACUUGACUAGCUCGUUAAUCAAAGAUGGUUAUGUUUCCUAACCAUGGACAAAGAGUUGUUAUUUGAUUAACGGGAUCACAUCAUUAGGUGAAUGAUCUGAUUGACAUGACCCAUUCCAUUAGCUUAGCACCCGAUCGUUUAGUAUGUUGCUAUUGCUUUCUUCAUGACUUAUACAUGUUCCUAUGACUAUGAGAUUAUGCAACUCCCGUUUGUCGAAGGAACACUUUGUGUGCUACCAAAUGUCACAACGUAACUGGGUGAUUAUAAAGGUGCUCUACAGGUGUCUCCAAAGGUACAUGUUGGGUUGGCGUAUUUCAAGAUUAGGAUUUGUCACUCCGAUUGUCGGAGAGGUAUCUCUGGGCCCUCUCGGUAAUGCACAUCACAUAAAGCCUUGCAAGCAUUGCAACUAAUGAGUUAGUUGUGAGAUGAUGUACUACGGAACGAGUAAAGAGACUUGCCGGUAACGAUAUUGAACUAGGUAUUGAGAUACCGACGAUCGAAUCUCGGGCAAGUAACAUACCGAUGACAAAGGGAACAACGUAUGUUGUUAUGCGGUCUGACUGAUAAAAGAUCUUCGUAGAAUAUGUAGGAGCCAAUAUGAUCAUCCAGGUUCCGCUAUUGGUUAUUGACCGGAGACAUGUCUCGGUCAUGUCUGCAUUGUUCUCGAACCCGUAGGGUCCGCACGCUUAAGGUUUCGAUGAUAGUUAUAUUAUGAGUUUAUGCGUUUUGAUGUACCGAAGGUUGUUCGGAGUCCCGGAUGUGAUCACGGACAUGACGAGGAGUCUCGAAAUGGUCGAUACAUAAAGAUUGAUAUAUUGGAAGCCUAUGUUUGGAUAUCGGAAGUGUUCCGGGUGAAAUCGGGAUUUUACCGGAUUACCGGGAGGUUACCGGAACCCCCGGGAAAGUAUAUGGGCCUUAGUGGGCCUUAGUGGAAGAGAGGAGAGGUGGCCAGAGAUGGGCCGCGCGCCCCUCCCCCCUUGGUCCGAAUAGGACAAGGAGAGGGGGCCGGCCCCCCUUCCUCCUCUCUCUCCUCUUUUCCCCCCUACGCGAAUCCUAUUCCAACUAGGAAAGGGGGGAAGUCCUACUCCCGGAAGGAGUAGGACUCCUCCUGGCGCGCCACCUCUUGGCCGGCCAGCCCCCCCUUUUUGAGCCUUUAUAUACGGAGGCACGGGGCACCCCUAGAGACACAAGUUGAUCCACGUGAUCAUAUUCUUAGCCGUGUGCGGUGCCCCUUCCACCAUAGUCCUCGAUAAUAUUGUAGCGGUGCUUAGGUGAAGCCCUACGACGGUAGAACAUCAAGAUCGUUACCAUGCCAUCGUGCUGACGGAACUCUUCCCCGACACUUUGCUGGAUCAGAGUCCGGGGAUCGUCAUCGAGCUGAACAUGUGCUAGAACUCGGAGGUGCCGUAGUUUCGGUGCUUGAUCGGUCGGGCCGUGGAGACGUACGAGUACAUCAACUAAACGCUUCCGUUGUCGAUCUACAAGGGUACGUAGAUCACACUCUCCCCCUCUCGUUGUUAUGCAUCACCAUGAUCUUGUGUGUGCGUAGGAAUUUUUUUGAAAUUACUACAAAACCCAACAAUAACUUUCCCUCAACAUGCAACAAAGAGUCACUCCAAAGUCACUAAUAACGGAGAACAAACGAAGAGAUUAUGGUAGGGUACGAAACCACCUCAAAGUUAUCCUUUCUGAUCGAUCAAUUCAAGAGUCCGUAGUAAAAUAACAUGAAGCUAUUCUUUCCGUUCAAUCUAUCAUAGGGUUCGUACUAGAAUAACACCUUAAGACACAAAUCAACCAAAACCCUAAUGUCACCUAGAUACUCCUAUGUCACCUCAAGUAUCUGUGGGUAUGAUUAUACAAUAUGCAUCACACAAUCUCAGAUUCAUCUAUUCAACCAACACAAAGAACUUCAAAGAGUGCCCCAAAGUUUCUACUGGAGAGUCAAGACGAAAACGUGUGCCAACCCCUAUGCAUAGGUUCAUGGGCGGAACCCGCAAAGUGAUCACCAAAACAUACAUCAAGUGGAUCACGUGAUAUCCCAUUGUCACAACAGAUAAGCACGUGCAAGACAUACAUCAAGUGUUCUCAAAUCCUUAAAGACUCAAUCCGAUAAUUUAACUUCAAAGUUAAAACUCAAUCCAUUACAAGAGAGUAGAGGGGGAGAAACAUCAUAAGAUCCAACUAUAAUAGCAAAGCUCGCGAUACAUCAAGAUCAUACCACCUUAAGAACAUGAGAGAGAGAGAGAGAGAUCAAACACAUAGCUACUGGUACAUACCCUCAGCCCCGAGGGUGAACUACUCCCUCCUCAUCACGGAGAGCGUCGGGAUGAUGAAGAUGGCCACCGGAGAGAGAUCCCCACCUCCGGCAGGGUGCCGGAACAGGUCUAGAUUGGUUUUCGGUGGCUACGGAGGCUUCUAGCGGCGGAACUCCCGAUCUAUUCUCGUCCUCGAAUUUUUUAGGGUAUAUGGGUAUAUAUAGGAAGAAGAAGUACGUCGGUGGAUCUCCGGGCUGUCCACGAGGCAGGGGGUGCGCCCCCCACCCUUGUGGGCAGCCCGGGACACUCCUGGUCCAUCUCCGAUACUCCAUCGGCUUCUUCUGGUCCAAAAAUAAGUUCCAUGAAGUUUCAGGUCAAUUGGACUUCGUUUGAUUUUCCUUUUCUACGGUACUCUAAAACAAGGAAAAAACAGAAACUGGCAUUGGGCUCUAGGUUAAUAGGUUAGUCCCAAAAAUCAUAUUAAAUAGCAUAUAAAUGCAUAUAAAACAUCCAAGGUUGAUAAUAUAAUAGCAUGAAACAAUCAAAAAUUAUAGAUACGUUGGAGACAUAUCAGGAAGGAGAAGACGGUGGCCUUAGAGCGCGCGAAGAAGGCGACGGCGAAGGCGAAGGGGAAGAAGUCCAGCCAGGACGGAUCUUCGUCGAGGUCUGGCCUGCCGCGCGACUGGAUCCAGGGCGACUGGAUUCGGUCGACGAUUCGUCAGGACGACAUCGAUGAUCUGGUCGAGGGGGGACUGAUUCCCCAUGAAUCGGCGUGGCUCUCAGAGGGCGAGACCGAACCGCAUCCGCGGGAGGGUGAGUGCGUUCUCCUCGCCACCCAUGUUGAUCGCAGAUUUUCUUUGCCUCCGCAUCCUUUUUUCCAAGGCUUCUUGAACUUCUUUGGAGCACAACUCCACCAAUUUUCUCCCAACACCAUUGUGUACCUCGCUGCCUACGUGUCCAUGUGCGAGAACUUCUUAGGUUGUAGGCCGCACUGGGGCCUUUUCAAGCACAUUUUCAUGUGACGUUCCCAGUCGGUCAAGAAGGCCAACCCGGGUGAUGAGAGGACGCACGUGAUCCAGAUGUGCGGGGGUCUUGGGAUUCAAAUGAGAGGUAAAAGCACUUUCCCAGCCAUGAUCCUUCCCGAGUGAGUCCGAGGAUGGCAGUUGACCUGGUUCUAUUGCAAAGACCAGCCGACUCCAGGUCAGUCGACCAGACUUCCUCCCUUCUCCAUGGCUCAGGUCGAGAAGCCCUCCGCCUUGAAAGUGAUCCCGAAGGAGAAAGCGCAGGUGAAGGUGUUGGUCGAGCGGGUGGUCCAACUCGUUCGUGAUGGCGUGACUGGUAUGGAUCUGUUGGAGGUCUUCCUCAAACGACACAUUCAACCGCUUCAAGCCUGUGACCAUCCGAUGUGGAUGUAUUCGGGUAUUGAGGAUUCCACUCGGAUCCAUCCAGAAGAGGUCGAUGAGGACACGAUGGAGAAGUGGCUAAGAGGUAUCACUGGCAACAAAGAUAACUCCAGGGGUAUAGGAGAGUCCCUCCAUUCGACAACUCGCGCCAACCAGACAAGGUCCAACUCUGAACUGCCGAGUGUUCUCUUGAUUUGUCAUGUAACUGCUUGUUGUCAACUGACUGAUUUUUGCUUCGCUUGUUGUCUUUUAGGCCCUUACUGAGAUGUACUCGAUGCCCAACGGGGAACAGGAUCCGGAGGGGGAGGCGAGCGGAUGGGAGAGCGGCGAGUGGCAAUCUGAUGAAGAGGAGGUCGAGGAGAGCGACGACCGAGUGAUGAAGAAGAGGUCGACUCAGCUCCCCGUAGGAAAAAAAUGGUCCAAGUAGGCUCACGACCCGGCAAGCAUCCAUGACAAAGCGACCGUACCGACUGGACAGUCAUCGAAGCGCCCUGGGACGUCUUCUCCAGUGCCGACUGAGAGGACACUUGAAGCAACCGAAAGCUGCACUGUCUCUAGCACAGACUGAAAAGGCGCCGACACAACUGAAAGUUGCAUCGUCAAAACCGCCAAAGGCCUUGCCCAGGAUCAAAGUGGCCAUUCCUACUGUUUCCACGUAAUGAUCAGACCUGAUUUCUUCGUUUAGUACGAGUCAAAUUUUGGUCGACCCACCGUGAUAGGCAUGACCGACUGAAUCUUGAAAUUUACAGUGCUGCUACCUCCGGGACUUCCACCCACAGUAUGAAGAUGAAGAAAUUGAAGACGCAGUCACUUCCAACCCGGGUAUAACUUCUCGUAAUCCUGUCUUCAGUUACUCGGUCGAUUGAAUUCUGACGAUUAAUCUGGAGUCGACUGAUCUUUCUGCAACUCCUGCCAAUGUCAUUGAGCUUCCAGAUGACGACGAGUACGUGCCACUGAGGUCCAGGAGGAACAAAAAGGCAUCAGCUGGCAAGACAUCCCAAUCGGUGCUGGCGGCAGAGCCAGAGGUUCAACAGCCUGACAAUGUGACUCGGGCUUCUGUUACUUUUGCUGAUCCAGUAUCGAGUGAACGCCCCACAUCGUUGACUGUGCCAGAGCUUGCUUCCACCGUCCAGCUUCAUGACUCGGAACUUCCAGCUGCUGCGUCUGGACCGUCAGUCCCAUUCUUCACUACUCAUCAUGUUCCGGAAAGCCAGGCGGACGCCGCUGCAGAAGUCAUUCGUCAAGCUGGCCUAAUGAUGGAACGAGUGAAGGUGGUUCACGAAAACAGUCAGGCUGCUUACGACGCCAGCGCGGCCCUUUGAGCCAAUGUCCAGGUAAGUUGGCUUUGGACUGAACUUAUUAUGUUAGGAUAUGCUACCUGAAAACUUUUCUCCAUGCAAUCUCUUGUUAUCCUGCACUUCGCAUCUGCGCACCAGUGGGUGUUUGGCAUCUUUGUUAUUUUCACUCUUCCACUCGAUCUGGGCGGGCCAUGUUGAGCGGAAUCUGAACCAGUGGGGGAAUGCUAAGUGCACCCACUAGGUGUAGUCCCCAAGACCGUAGUCGACUGCUGGCAGUCGGUUGGGGUCUGAGUAUUUCUUUCUCUUUUUUUUCUUCCACUCGGUCUGGAUGGACCAUGUCGAGUGGAAUCUGAAUCAGUGGGGGCACGAUAAGUGCACCCAAUGGGUGUAGUCCCCGAGGCUACUGUAGAAUGUUUGAUUCUGCAGUAGUCUUAAAGUUUUAUUCACUCGGAAGUAAAUAAUCUUUGAUCUUCGAGUACAUGUCUUUUGCUCAUUGUAGAAAUCCUGUGCACUUAUCUCCAAGUUCGAUGAAUUCGAGGAAAAACAGAGACAACUCAACCUUGACUUGGAGCUGGCCCAUCAGAACUUGAAAAAGGCUAAAGAUGAACUGGCUGGUACUGAAGGUAACGACCCAUCGACGGUUUAUUUUGACUUCUGUUAUUUCUUCGUUCUUCUGUCAGACCCAAGUGUAUAUCUUGCAGAGAAAAUGAGGCUGGCUCUGGCGAAGAAGGACCUCGAUCUUGCAGCUACGCAAUAGGAGGCUCAGGAGAAGACUGCACUUGCUGACAAAAAGCUGGCUUCGGUCGACGCAUUAGAGGAAGAAAUCACCAAGGUGAAGACGUCUCUUACCGAGUCCAACUGAGAGGUGACUCGUCUGAAGAAGAAUAAGGUGACUCUGAACGAGCAACUGGAAAGCACGUCUCGUAGGAGAAACGACCUGGAAGCUUAUCUGAAAGCACUCGCCAAGAAGCUCUUCCUUAUGCUCGAAGGUACUUUUCUUUAUCCGACUGAUUCACUGUUUGUAAGUCAUCAUGAAUUGGUCGACUCACUAACUCCUUGAAUCUGCAGAAUUCUGCCAAAACUUUGAAGAAGAAACCGGACUGAUCGAGACAGGCUUGGACCCUACCUUUCUCCAGUCGGCGAUGAGGCUGCCAUGAACGUGCUCUGACUGGAAUCUCGUGUUGCCAGCGUUACAAGAUAUCUUGCUCGCCUGAAGGUGGCGAUGUCGUGCAUUGAUACAUCACUCUAGCCAAGGGCAACGUUUCAAAAUUACCUCGAGUCUCUGAUGACUCGACUCAACGAGGUUCCUAGUCGAGUGCAGGAAUGGAAGAAGUCUUCUGCCCGAUGUGGUGCUGAUGUGGCUCUGUCGCUGGUUAGGGUCUACUGCAAAGAAGCUCGAGAAGAGAAGCUGGUGGCGAUCAAGGUUGCCAACACCAAAAGGCAUGACUUCCAAUCCUUCAUGGAAACCUUCAUUGCUGCUGCCACUCGGUUCGCUGACGGAAUUGAUCUAGACGAGUUCGUCGAGCCUGCAAGCCCUCCUCCUGUGGAGUGAACAAACUUUAUACCUCGCCUUAAAUUUGCCUCGGAAUUACGAGUGAUUUUGUAACCGUUAAACUCCUUCGGGCUUGAUGCCCAAGUACUUUUAUCUUUGUUCUGGAACUUUAGGAUUUAUCUGAACUUGGUUUAUCUUCUGAAUGUGCUUGCGUUUGCCUUCGAGUGGAACUUGUUCUUCACUUGGAAUAUUCUUUGUACUUGAGAUGCAGUUCUGAGGAAGAUACCCCAGUCGACCUGCACCUCGUCGUCCUUGCAGAUGAGGAUGGAGCACACGUUGUAUUUGUGGCGUAGCUCCGAGGAGAAGGUUGCAGUCAACCUGCACCUCAUCGUCCUUGCGGAUGGGGAUGGGGCGCACAUUGUAUUUGUGGCGCAGCUCCGAAUAGAAGGUUGCAGUCGACCUGCACCUCAUCGCCCUUGCGGAUGAGGAUGGAGUGCACAUUGCAUUUGUGGCGCAGCUCCGAGGAGAAGGUUGCAGUCUACCUACACCUCAUCGUCCUUGCGGAUGGGGAUGUGUUUCAAACUUAGGCGAGUACUGGACUACAGCUAAGCCCCCGAGUGUGAGGGGCUUGCUCACCACUCGGUAGGAUUUUUCAAACUUAGGCGAGUACUGGACUGCAGCUAAGCCUCUGAGUGAGAGGGUUGCUCACCACUCAGUAGGAUUUUUUAAACUUAGGCGAAAUGGAUUCGCAGCUAAGCCCCCGAGUGAGAGGCUUGCUCAUCACUCGGUAGGAUUUUUCAAACUUAGGCGAAACGGAUUCGCAUCUAAGGCACCCACUGGGGGAUUUAGAACAUAUAAAAAAGGAACAAUAUCAUUUAAGAGACUGUAAAACUAUGUCUUUGAUAAUCAAACUAAAGGGUGUUUCUUAUUACAUCUCAACAGUCUGAAUGCUUAAGUGUAAAAGGGGCGGAGCAGCUCCGCAUUCCAAGCACGUGGCUCGUCUUUCUUGUGCUCGACAUUGUAUUGUUGGAAGUAUGCCCUAGAGGCAAUAAUAAAAUGGUUAUUAUUAUAUUUCUUUGUUCAUGAUAAUUGUCUAUUGUUCAUGCUAUAAUUGUGUUAUCCGGAAAUCGUAAUACAUGUGUGAAUACAUAGACCACAACACGUCCCUAGUGAGCCUCUAGUUGACUAGCUCGUUGAUCAAAAGAUAGUCAUGGUUUCCUGACUAUGGACAUUGGAUGUCAUUGAUAACGGGAUUACAUCAUUAGGAGAAUGAUGUGAUGGACAAGACCCAAUCCUAAGCAUAGCUCAAAGAUCGUGUAGUUCGUUUGUUGUAGCUUUUCCGAAUGUCAAGUAUCAUUUCCUUAGACCAUGAGAUUGUGCAACUCCCGGAUACCGUAGGAGUGCUUUGGGUGUGCCAAACGUCACAACAUAACUGGGUGACUAUAAAGGUACACUACAGGUAUCUCCGAAAGUGUUUGUUGGGUUGGCACGAAUCGAGACUGGGAUUUGUCACUCCUUAUGACGGAGAGGUAUCUCUGGGCCCACUCGGUAAUGCAUCAUCAUAAUGAGCUCAAUGUGACCGAGUGGUUGAUCACAGGAUCAUGCAUUACGGUACGAGUAAAGUGACUUGCCGGUAACGAGAUUGAACGAGGUAUUGGGAUACCAACGAUCGAGUCUCGGGCAAGUAACGUACCGAUUAACAAAGGGAAUUGUAUACAGAUUGAUUGAAUCCUCGACAUCGUGGUUCAUCCGAUGAGAUCAUCGAGGAGCAUGUGGGAGCCAACAUGGGUAUCCAGAUCCCGCUGUUGGUUAUUGACUGGAGAGUCAUCUCGGUCAUGUCUGCGUGUCUCCCGAACCCGUAGAGUCUACACACUUAAGGUUCGGUGAUGCUAGGGUUGUUGAGAUAUUAGUAUACGGUAACCUGAAAGUUGUUCGGAGUCCCGGAUGAGAUCCCGGACAUCACGAGGAGUUCCGGAAUGGUCCGGAGGUGAAGAUUUAUAUAUAGGAAGUCAAGUUUCGGCCAUCGGGAAAGUUUCGGGGGUAAUCGGUAUUGUACCGGGACCACCGGAAGGGUCCCUGGGGUCCACCGGGUGGGGCCACUUAUACCGGAGGGCCCCAUGGGCUGAAGUGGGAGGGGAACCAGCCCCUAGUGGGCUGGUGCGCCCCCCUUGGGCCUCCCCCUGCGCCUAGGGUUGGAAAUCCUAGGGGUGGGGGCGCCCCACUUGGCUUGGGGGGCAAGCCACCCCCUUGGCCGCCGCCCCCUUGGAGAUUGGAUCUCCUAGGGCCGGCGCCCCCCUAAUGACCCUAUAUAUAGUGGGGGGAGGGAGGGAAUCCGCACCCUAGCCCCUGGCGCCUCCCUCUCCCUUCUGUGACACUCCUCCAUCUCCCUGAGCUUGGCGAAGCCCUGCCGAGAUCGCCGUUGCUUCCACCACCACGCCGUCAUGCUGCUGGAUCUUCAUCAACCUCUCCUUCCUCCUUGCUGGAUCAAGUUGGAGGAUACGUCUUCCGAACCGUACGUGUGUUGAACGCGGAGGUGCCGUCCGCUCGGCGCUAGGUCAUCGGUGAUUUGGAUCACGGCGAGUACAACUCCAUCAACCCCGUUCUCUUGAACGCUUCCGCCCGCAAUCUACAAGGGUAUGUAGAUGCACUCCUCUCUCCCUCAUUGCUAGAUGACUCCAUAGAUUGAUAUUGGUGAUGCGUAGAAAAAUUUAAAAUUCUGCUACGUUCCCCAACAGUGGCAUCAUGAGCCAGGUUUAUGCGUAGUUUCUAUGCAUGAGUAGAACACAAAGCAGUUGUGGGCGUGGAUAUUGUCAAUUUGCUUGCCGUUACUAGUCUUAUCUUGAUUCGGCGGCAUCGCGGUAUGAAGCGGCCCAGACCGACCUUACACGUAUGCUUACGUGACACUGGUUCCACCGAUUGACAUGCACUAGUUGCAUAAGGUGGCUGGCGGGUGUCUGUCUCUCCCACUUUAGUCGGAUCGGAUUCGAUGAAAAGGGUCCUUAUGAAGGGUAAAUAGAAAUUGGCAUAUCACGUUGUGGUUUUGGCGUAGGUAAGAAACGUUCUUGCUAGAAACCUAUAGCAGCCACGUAAAAACUUGCAACAACAAUUAGAGGACGUCUAACUUGUUUUUGUAGCAUGUGCCGUGUGAUGUGAUAUGGCCAAAAGGAUGUGAUGAAUGAUAUAUGUGAUGUAUGAGAUGGAUCAUGUUCUUGUAAUAGGAAUCACGACUUGUAUGUCGAUGAGUAUGACAACCGGCAGGAGCGAUAGGAGUUGUCUUUAUUUAUUUAUGACAUGCGUGUCAACAUAAACGUCAUGUAAUUACUUUACUUUAUUGCUAAAGCGUUAGCCAUAUUAGUAGAAGUAAUAGAUGACGAGACAACUUCAAGAAGACACGAUGAUGGAGAUCAUGGUGUCAUGCCGGUGACAACGAUGAUCAUGGAGGCCUGAAGAUGGAGAUCAAAGGAGCAAAUGAUAUUGGCCAUAUCAUGUAACUAUUUGAUUGCAUGUGAUGUUUAUCAUGUUUUACAUCUUAUUUGCUUAGAACGACGGUAGCUUAAAUAAGAUGAUCCCUCGUAAUAAUUUCAAGAAAGUGUUCACCCUAACUGUGCACCGUUGCGAAGGUUCGUUGUUUCGAAGCACCAUGUGAUGAUUAGGUGUGAUAGAUUCUAACGUUCGAAUACAACGGGUGUAAGCCAGAUUUACACACGCAAUACAUUUAGGUUGACUUGAUGAGCCUAGCAUGUACAGACUGUUGGGUUACGUAGUAAUUUCAAAAAAAUUCCUACUCACACGCAAGAUCAUGGUGAUGCAUAGCAACGAGGGGAGAGUGUGAUCUACGUACCCUUGUAGAUCGACAACGGAAGCGUUUGGUUGAUGUAGUCAUACGUCUUCACGGCCCGACCGAUCAAGCACCGAAACUACGGCACCUCCGAGUUUUAGCACAUGUUCAACUCGAUGACGAUCCCCGGACUCCGAUCCAGCAAAGUGUCGGGGAAGAGUUCCGUCAGCACGACGGCGUAGUGACGAUCUUGAUGUACUACUGUCGCAGGGCUUCGCCUAAGCACCGCUACAAUAUUAUCGAGGACUAUGGUGGCUGGGGGCGCCGCACACGGCUAAGAAUAAGAUCACGUGGAUCAACUUGUGUCUCUGGGGUUCCCCUGCCUCAGUAUAUAAAGGACCAAUGGGGGGGGGGUGCGGCCGGCCUAGGAGAGGCGCGCCAGGAGAGUCCUACUCCCUCUGGGAGUAGGAUCCCCCCCAAUCCUAGUUGGAUUAGGAUUCGCGGAGGGGGGAAAAGAGAGAGGGUGGCCGGCCCCCUCUCCUUGUCCUAUUCGGACCAAGGGAGGGGAGGGGCGCGUGGCCCACUUUGGGCAGCCCCUUCUCUUUUCCACUAGGGCCCACUAUGGCCCAUAUAGCUCCCGGGGGGUUCCGGUAACCUCCCGGUACUCCGGUAAAAUCCCGAUUUCACCCAGAACACUUCCGAUAUCCAAACAUAGGCUUCCAAUAUAUCAAUAUUUAUGUCUCGACCAUUUCGAGACUCCUCGUCAUGUCCGCGAUCACAUCCGGGACUCCGAACAAACUUCGGUACAUCAAAAUGCAUAAACUCAUAAUAUAACUGUCAUCGUAACCUUAAGCGUGCGGACCCUACGGGUUCGAGAACAAUGUAGACAUGACCGAGACACGUCUCCGGUCAAUAACCAAUAGCGGAACCUGGAUGCUCAUAUUGGCUCCUACAUAUUCUACGAAGAUCUUUAUCGGUCAGACCGCAUAACAACAUACGUUGUUCCCUUUGUCAUCGGUAUGUUACUUGCCCGAGAUUCGAUCGUCGGUAUUCCAAUACCUAGUUCAAUCUCGUUAGCGGCAAGUCUCUUUACUCGUUCUAUAAUACAUCAUCCCGCAACUAACUCAUUAGUUGCAAUGCUUGCAAGGCUUAAGUGAUGUGCAUUACCGAGAGGGCCCAGAGAUACCUCUCCGAUAAUCGGAGUGACAAAUCCUAAUCUCAAAAUAUGCCAACCCAACAUGUACCUUUGGAGACACCUGUAGAGCUUCUUUAUAAUCACCCAGUUACGUUGUGACGUUUGGUAGCACACAAAGUGUUCCUCCAGCAAACGGGAGUUGCAUAAUCUCAUAGUCAUAGGAACAUGUAUAAGUCAUGAAGAAAGCAAUAGCAACAUACUAAACGAUCGGGUGCUAAGCUAAUGGAAUGGGUCAUGUCAAUCAGAUCAUUCACUUAAUGAUGUGAUCCCGUUAAUCAAAUAACAACUCAUUGUUCAUGGUUAGGAAACAUAACCAUCUUUGAUUAACGAGCUAGUCAAGUAGAGGCAUACUAGUGACACUUUGUUUGUCUAUGUAUUCACACAUGUAUUAUGUUUCCGGUUAAUACAAUUCUAGCAUGAAUAAUACACAUUUAUCAUGAGAUAAGGAAAUAAAUAAUAACUUUAUUAUUGCCUCUAGGGCAUAUUUCCUUCAGUCUCCCACUUGCACUAGAGUCAAUAAUCUAGAUUACACAGUAAUGAUUCUAACACCCAUGGAGCCUUGAUGCUGAUCAUGUUUUACUCGUGGAAGAGGCUUAGUCAACGGGUCUGCAAUAUUCAGAUCCGUAUGUAUCUUGCAAAUCUCUAUGUCUCCCACUUGGACUAGAUCCCGGAUGGAAUUGAAGCGUCUCUUGAUGUGCUUGGUUCUCUUGUGAAAUCUGGAUUCCUUUGCCAAGGCAAUUGCACCAGUAUUGUCACAAAAGAUUUUCAUUGGACCCGAUGCACUAGGUAUGACACCUAGAUCGGAUAUGAACUCCUUCAUCCAGACUCCUUCAUUUGCCGCUUCUGAAGCAGCUAUGUACUCCGCUUCACAUGUAGAUCCCGCUACAACACUUUGUUUAGAACUGCACCAACUGACAGCUCCACCGUUUAAUGUAAACACGUAUCCGGUUUGCAAUUUAGAAUCGUCCGGAUUAGUGUCAAAGCUUGCAUCAAUGUAACCUUUUACGAUGAGCUCUUUGUCACCUCCAUAUAUGAGAAACAUAUUCUUAGUCCUUUUCAGGUAUUUCAGGAUGUUCUUGACCGCUGUCCAGUGAUCCACUCCUGGAUUACUUUGGAAACUCCCUGCUAGACUUAUAGCAAGGCACACAUCAGGUCUGGUACACAACAUUGCAUACAUGAUAGAGCCUAUGGCUGAAGCAUAGGGUACAUCUUUCAUAUUCUCUCUAUCUUCUGCAGUGGUCGGGCAUUGAGUCUUACUCAACUUCACACCUUGUAACACAGGCAAGAACCCUUUCUUUGCUUGAUCCAUUUUGAACUUCUUCAAAACUUUGUCAAGGUAUGUGGUUUGUGAAAGUCCAAUUAAGCGUCUUGAUCUAUCUCUAUAGAUUUUAAUGCCUAAUAUGUAAGCAGCUUCACCGAGGUCUUUCAUUGAAAAACUCUUAUUCAAGUAUCCCUUUAUGCUAUCCAGAAAUUCUACAUCAUUUCCAAUUAGUAAUAUGUCAUCCACAUAUAAUAUCAGAAAUGCUACAGAGCUCUCAUUCACUUUCUUGUAAAUACAGGCUUCUCCAAAAGUCUGUAAAAAACCAAAUGCUUUGAUCACACUAUCAAAACGUUUAUUCCAACUCCGAGAGGCUUGCACCAGUCCAUAAAUGGAUCGUUGGAGCUUGCACACUUUGUUAGCUCCCUUUGGAUCGACAAAACCUUCUGGUUGCAUCAUAUACAACUCUUCUUCCAGAAAUCCAUUCAGGAAUGCAGUUUUGACAUCCAUCUGCCAUAUUUCAUAAUCAUAAAAUGCGGCAAUUGCUAACAUGAUUCGGAAAGACUUAAGCAUCGCUACAGGUGAGAAGGUCUCAUCGUAGUCAAUCCCUUGAACUUGCCGAAAACCUUUUGCGACAAGUCGAGCUUUGUAGACAGUAAUAUUACCGUCAGCGUCAGUCUUCUUCUUGAAGAUCCAUUUAUUCUCAAUUGCUUGCCGAUCAUCGGGCAAGUCAACCAAAGUCCACACUUUGUUCUCAUACAUGGAUCCCAUCUCAGAUUUCAUGGCUUCAAGCCAUUUUGCGGAAUCUGGGCUCACCAUCGCUUCUUCAUAGUUCGUAGGUUCAUCAUGAUCUAGUAGCAUGACUUGCAGAACAGGAUUACCGUACCACUCUGGCGCGGAUCUUACUCUGGUUGACCUACGAGGUUCAGUAGUAUCUUGUUCUGAAGUUUCAUGAUCAUCAUCAUUAGCUUCCUCACUCACUGGUGCAGGUGUCACAGAAACAGUUUUCUGUGAUGCACUACUUUCCAAUAAGGGAGCAGGUACAGUUACCUCAUCAAGUUCUACUUUCCUCCCACUCACUUCUUUCGAGAGAAACUCCUUCUCUAGAAAGUUUCCGAACUUAGCAACAAAAGUCUUGCCUUCGGAUCUGUGAUAGAAGGUGUAUCCAAUAGUCUCCUUUGGAUAUCCUAUGAAGACACAUUUCUCCGAUUUGGGUUCGAGCUUAUUAGGUUGAAGCUUUUUCACAUAAGCAUCACAGCCCCAAACUUUCAGAAACGACAACUUUGGCUUCUUGCCAAACCACAGUUCAUAAGGCGUCGUCUCAACGGAUUUUGAUGGUGCCCUAUUUAACGUAAAUGCGGUCGUCUCUAGAGCGUAUCCCCAAAAUGAUAGCGGUAAAUUAGUAAGAGACAUCAUAGAUCGCACCAUAUCUAGUAAAGUACGAUUACGACGUUCGGACACACCAUUGCGCUGUGGUGUUCCGGGUGGCGUGAGUUGUGAAACUAUUCCGCAUUGUUUCAAAUGUACACCAAACUCGUAACUCAAAUAUUCUCCUCCACGAUCAGAUCGUAGAAAUUUUAUUUUCUUGUUACCAUGAUUUUCAACUUCACUCUGAAAUUCUUUGAACUUUUCAAAUGUUUCAGACUUAUGUUUCAUUAAGUAGAUAUACCCAUAUCUGCUUAAGUCAUCUGUGAAGGUGAGAAAAUAACGAUAUCCGCCAUGAGCCUCAAUAUUCAUUGGGCCACAUACAUCUGUAUGUAUGAUUUCCAACAAAUCUGUUGCUCUCUCCAUAGUACCGGAGAACGGUGUUUUAGUCAUCUUGCCCAUGAGGCACGGUUCGCAAGUACCAAGUGAUUCAUAAUCAAGUGGUUCCAAAAGUCCAUCAGUAUGGAGUUUCUUCAUGCGCUUUACACCGAUAUGACCUAAACGGCAGUGCCACAAAUAAGUUGCACUAUCAUUAUCAACUCUGCAUCUUUUGGCUUCAACACUAUGAAUAUGUGUGUCACUACUAUCGAGAUUUAAUAAAAAUAGACCACUCUUUAAGGUGCAUGACCAUAAAAGAUAUUACUCAUAUAAAUAGAACAACCAUUAUUCUCAGAUUUAAAUGAAUAACCGUCUUGCAUCAAACAAGAUCCAGAUAUAAUGUUCAUGCUUAAUGCUGGCACCAAAUAACAAUUAUUUAGGUCUAAUAUUAAUCCCGAAGGUAGAUGUAGAGGUAGCGUGCCGACUGCGAUCACAUCGACUUUGGAACCGUUUCCCACGCGCAUCGUCACCUCGUCCUUAGCCAAUCUUCGCUUAAUGUGUAGUCCCUAUUUCGAGUUGCAAAUAUUAGCAACAGAACCAGUAUCAAAUACCCAGGUGCUACUGCGAGCAUUAGUAAGGUACACAUCAAUAACAUGUAUAUCACAUAUACCUUUGUUCACCUUGCCAUCCUUCUUAUCCGCCAAAUACUUGGGGCAGUUCCGCUUCCAGUGACCAGUCUGCUUGCAGUAUAAGCACUCAGUUUCAGGCUUAGGUCCAGGUUUGGGUUUCUUCUCUUGAGUAGCAACUUGCUUGCCGUUCUUUUUGAAGUUCCCCUUCUUCUUCCCUUUGCCCUUUUUCUUGAAACUAGUGGUCUUGUUGACCAUCAACACUUGAUGCUCCUUCUUGAUUUCUACCUCCGCAGCUUUCAGCAUUGCAAAGAGCUCGGGAAUAGUCUUAUUCAUCCCUUGCAUAUUAUAGUUCAUCACGAAUCUCUUGUAGCUUGGUGGCAGUGAUUGGAGAAUUAUGUCAAUGACGCAAUCAUCUGGAAGAUUAACUCCCAAUUGAAUCAAGUGAUUAUUAUACCCAGACAUUUUGAGUAUAUGCUCACUGACAGAACUGUUCUCCUCCAUCUUGCAGCUAUAGAACUUAUUGGAGACUUCAUAUCUCUCAAUCGGGCAUUUGCUUGAAAUAUUAACUUCAACUCCUGAAACAUCUCAUAUGCUCCAUGACGUUCAAAACGUCGUUCAAGUCCUGAUUCUAAGCCGUAAAGCAUGGCACACUGAACUAUUGAGUAGUCAUCAGCUUUGCUCUGCCAGAUGUUCAUAACAUCCGGCGUUGCUCCAGCAGCAGGCCUGGCACCCAGCGGUGCUUCCAGGACGUAAUUCUUCUGUGCAGCAAUGAGGAUAAUCAUCAAGUUACGGACCCAGUUCGUGUAAUUGCUACCAUCAUCUUUCAACUUUGCUUUCUCAAGGAACGCAUUAAAAUUCAAUGGAACAACAACACGAGCCAUCUAUCUACAAACAAGCAUAAACAAGCAAGAUACUUAUCAGGUACUAAGUUUCAUGAUAAAUUUAAGUUCAGUUAAUUUACUUAAAGAACUCCCACUUAGAUAGACAUCCCUCUAAUCCUCUAAGUGAUUACGUGAUCCAAAGCAACUAAACCAUGUCCGAUCAUCACGUGAGAUGGAGUAGUUUCAUUGGUGAACAUCACUAUGUUGAUCAUAUCUACUAUAUGAUUCACGCUCGACCUUUCGGUCUCCGUGUUCCGAGGCCAUAUCUGUAUAUGCUUGGCUCGUCAAGUUUAACCUGAGUAUUCCGCGUGUGCAACUGUUUUGCACCCGUUGUAUUUGAACAUAGAGCCUAUCACACCCGAUCAUCACGUGGUGUCUCAGCACGAAGAACUUUCGCAACGGUGCAUACUCAGGGAGAACACUUCUUGAUAAUUAGUGAGAGAUCAUCUUAUAAUGCUACCGUCAAUCAAAGCAAGAUAAGAUGCAUAAAAGAUAAACAUCACAUGCAAUCAAUAAAAGUGAUAUGAUAUGGCCAUCAUCAUCUUGUGCUUGUGAUCUCCAUCUCCGAAGCACCGUCGUGAUCACCAUCGUCACCGGCGUGACACCUUGAUCUCCAUCGUAGCAUCGUUGUCGUCUCGCUAAGCUUGUGCUUCCACGACUAUCACUACCGCUUAGUGAUAAAGUAAAGCAUUACAUCGCGAUUGCAUUGCAUACAAUAAAGCGACAACCAUAUGGCUCCUGCCAGUUGCCAAUAACUUGGUUACAAAACAUGAUCAUCUCAUACAAUAAAAAUCAGCAUCAUGUCUUGACCAUAUCACAUCAUAACAUGCCCUGCAAAAACAAGUUAGACGUCCUUUACUUUGUUGUUGCAAGUUUUACGUGGCUGCUACGGGCUUAAGCAAGAACCAAUCUUACCUACGCAUCAAAACCACAACGAUAGUUUGUCAAGUUGGUGUUGUUUUAACCUUCGCAAGGACCGGGCGUAGCCACACUCAAUUCAACUAAAGUUGGAGAAACUGUCACCCGCAAGCCACCUAUGUGCAAAGCACGUCGGGAGAACCGGUCUCGCAUAAGCGGACGCGUAAUGUCGGUCCGGGCCGCUUCGUCCAACAAUACCGCCGAACCAAAGUAUGACAUGUUGGUAAGCAGUAUGACUUAUAUCGCCCACAACUCACUUGUGUUCUACUCGUGCAUAUAACAUCAACAUAUAAAACCUAGGCUCGGAUGCCAUUGUUGGGUUAUGUAGUAAUUUCAAAAAAAUUCCUACGCACACGCAAGAUCAUGGUGAUGCAUAGCAAUUAGGGGAGAGUGUGAUCUACGUACCCUUGUAGAUCGACAACGGAUGCGUUUGGUUGAUGUAGUCGUACGUCUUCACAGCCCGACCGAUCAAGCACCGAAACUACGGCACCUUCGAGUUUUAGCACAUGUUCAGCUCGAUGACGAUCCCCGGACUCCAAUCCAGCAAAGUGUCGGGGAAGAGUUCUGUUAGCACGAUGGCGUGGUGACGAUCUUGAUGUACUACUGUCGCAGGGCUUCGCCUAAGCACCGCUACAAUAUUAUCGAGGACUAUGGUGGCUGGGGGCGCCGCACACGGCUAAGAAUAAAAUCACGUGGAUCAACUUGUGUCUCUGGGGUUCCCCUGCCUCAGUAUAUAAAGGACCAAGGGGGGGGGGGUGCGGCCGGCCUAGGAGAGGCGCGCCAGGAGAGUCCUACUCCCUCUGGGAGUAGGAUCCCCCCAAUCCUAGUUGGAUUAGGAUUCGCGGAGGGGGGAAAAGAGAGAGGGUGGCCGACCCCCUCUCCUUGUCCUAUUCGGACCAAGGGAGGGGAGGGGCGCACGGCCCACUUUGGGCAGCCCCUUCUCUUUUCUACUAAGGCCCACUAUGGCCCAUAUAGCUCCUGGGGGGUUCGGGUAACCUCCUGGUACUCCGGUAAAAUCCCGAUUUCACCCGGAACACUUCCGAUAUCCAAACAUAGGCUUCCAAUAUAUCAAUCUUUAUGUCUCGACCAUUUCGAGACUCCUCGUCAUGUCCGUGAUCACAUCCGGGACUCCGAACAAACUUCAGUACAUCAAAAUUCAUAAACUCAUAAUAUAACUGUCAUCGUAACCUUAAGCGUGCGGACCCUACGGGUUCGAGAACAAUGUAGACAUGACCGAGACACGUCUCCGGUCAAUAACCAAUAGCGGAACCUGGAUGCUCAUAUUGGCUCCUACAUAUUCUACGAAGAUCUUUAUCGGUCAGACCGCAUAACAAAAUACGUUGUUCCCUUUGUCAUUGGUAUGUUACUUGCCCAAGAUUCGAUCGUCGGUAUUCCAAUACCUAGUUCAAUCUCAUUACCGGCAAGUCUCUUUACUCGUUCUGUAAUACAUCAUCCCGCAACUAACUCAUUAGUUGCAAUGCUUGCAAGGCUUAAGUGAUGUGCAUUACCGAGAGGGCCCAGAGAUACCUCUCCGACAAUCGGAGUGACAAAUCCUAAUCUCGAAAUACGCCAACCCAACAUGUACCUUUGGAGACACCUGUAGAGCUCCUUUAUAAUCACCCAGUUACGUUGUGACGUUUGGUAGCACACAAAGUGUUCCUCCGGCAAACGGGAGUUGCAUAAUCUCAUAGUCAUAGGAACAUGUAUAAGUCAUGAAGAAAGCAAUAGCAACAUACUAAACGAUCGGGUGCUAAGCUAAUGGAAUGGGUCAUGUCAAUCAGAUCAUUCACUUAAUGAUGUGAUCCCGUUAAUCAAAUAACAACUCAUUGUUCAUGGUUAGGAAACAUAACCAUCUUUGAUUAACGAGCUAGUCAAGUAGAUGCAUACUAGUGACACUUUGUUUGUCUAUGUAUUCACACAUGUAUUAUGUUUCCGGUUAAUACAAUUCUAGCAUGAAUAAUAAAUAUUUAUCAUGAGAUAAGGAAAUAAAUAAUAACUUUGUUGUUGCCUCUAGGGCAUAUUUCCUUCACAGACAUGGCCUCGGAACACGGAAGACCGAAAGGUCGAGCAUGAGUCGUAUAGAAGAUACGAUCAACAUGAAGAUGUUCACCGAUGUUGACUAGUCCAUCUCACGUGAUGAUCGGACAUGGCCUAGUUAACUCGGAUCAUGUUUCACUUAGAUAACUAGAGGGAUGUCUAUCUGAGUGGGAGUUCAUUGAAUAAUUUGAUUAGAUGAACUUAAUUAUCAUGAACUUAGUCUAAAAUCUUUACACUAUGUCUUGUAGAUCAAAUGGCCCAUGCUAAUGUUGCCCUCAACUUCAACGCGUUCCUAGAGAAAACCAAGCUGAAAGAUGAUGGCAUCAACUAUACGGACUGGGUCUGGAACCUGAGGAUCAUCCUCAUAGCUGCCAAGAAAGAUUAUGUCCUAGAAGCACCGCUAGGUGACGCACCCAUCCCAGAGAACCAAGACUUUAUGAACGCUUGGCAGUCACGUGCUGAUGGUUACUCCCUCGUUCAGUGUGGCAUGCUUUACAGCUUAGAACCGGGGCUCCAAAAGCGUUUUGAGAGACACGGAGCAUAUGAGAUGAUCGAAGAGCUGAAAAUGGUUUUCCAAGCUCAUGCCCGGGUCGAGAGAUAUGAAGUCUCCGACAAGUUCUUCAGUUGUAAGAUGGAGCCAAAUAGUUCUGUCAGUGAGCACAUACUCAAAAUGUCUAGGUUGCAUAACCGCUUGACUCAGCUGGGUGUUAAUCUCCCGGAUGACGCGGUCAUUGAUAGAAUCCUUCAGUCGCUUCCACCGAGCUACCAGAGCUUUGUGAUGAACUUCAAUAUGCAGGGGAUGGAAAAGACAAUUCCUGAGGUAUAUUCAAUGCUGAAAUCAACGGAGGUGGAAAUCAAAAAGGAACAUCAAGUGUUGAUGGUGAAUAAAACCACUAAGUUGAAGAAAGGCAAGGGUAAAAAGAACUUCAAGAAGGACGGCAAGGGAGUUGCCACGCCCGGUAAGCAAGCUGCCGGGAAGAAGCCAAAGAAUGGACCCAAGCCCGAGACUGAGUGUUUUUAUUGCAAGGGAGGUGGUCACUGGAAGCGGAACUGCCCCAAAUACUUAGCGGACAAGAAGGCCGGCAACACUAAAGGUAUAUGUGAUAUACAUGUAAUUGAUGUGUACCUUACCAGUACUCAUAGUAGCUCCUGGGUAUUUGAUACCGGUGCGGUUGCUCACAUUUGUAACUCAAAGCAGGAGCUGCGGAAUAAGCGGAGACUGGCGAAGGACGAGGUGACGAUGCGCGUCGGGAAUGGUUCCAAGGUCGAUGUGAUCGCCGUCGGCACGCUGCCUCUACAUUUACCUACGGGAUUAGUUUUAAACCUCAAUAAUUGUUAUUUAGUGCCAGCUUUGAACAUGAACAUUGUAUUAGGAUCUCGUUUAAUUCGAGAUGGCUACUCAUUUAAAUCCAAGAAUAAUGGUUGUUCUAUUUAUAUGAGAGAUAUGUUUUAUGGUCAUGCUCCGUUGGUGAAUGGUUUAUUCUUAAUGAAUCUCAAGCGUAAUGUUCCACAUAUUCAUAGUGUGAAUACCAAAAGAUGUAAGGUUGAUAAUGAUAGUCCCACAUACUUGUGGCACUGCCGCCUUGGUCACAUAGGUGUCAAACGCGUGAAGAAGCUCCAUGCAGAUGGACUUUUGGAGUCUCUUGAUUACGAAUCAUUUGACAUGUGCGAACCAUGCCUCAUGGGUAAAAUGACCAAGACUCCGUUCUCAAGAACAAUGGAGCGGGCAACCAACUUAUUGGAAAUCAUACAUACUGAUGUGUGCGGUCCAAUGAGUGUUGAGGCUCGCGGUGGCCAUCAUUAUGUUCUCACCCUCACUGAUGACUUGAGUAGAUAUGGGUAUGUCUACUUAAUGAAACACAAGUCUGAGACCUUUGAAAAGUUCAAGGAAUUUCAGAGUGAGGUUGAGAAUCAACGUGACAUAAAAAUCAAGUUCUUGCGAUCAGAUCGUGGGGGAGAAUACUUGAGUCACGAAUUUGGCACACACUUAAGGAAAUGUGGAAUAGUUUCACAACUCACGCCGCCUGGAACACCUCAGCGUAAUGGUGUGUCCGAACAUCGUAAUUGCACUCUAUUGGAUAUGGUGCGAUCUAUGAUGUCUCUUACCGAUUUACCGCUGUCAUUUUGGGGCUAUGCUUUAUAGACUGCCACAUUCACUUUAAAUAGGGCUCCGUCGAAAUCCGUUGAGACAACACCGUAUGAAUUAUGGUUUGGGAAGAAACCUAAGCUGCCAUUUCUAAAAGUUUGGGGAUGCUAUACUUAUGUCAAGAGACUUCAACCUGAAAAGCUCGAACCCAAGUCAGAAAAAUGCGUCUUCAUAGGAUACCCUAAAGAAACUAUUGGGUAUACCGUCUACCUCAGAUCCGAAGGCAAGAUCUUUGUUGCCAAGAAUGGAUCCUUUCUAGAGAAAGAGUUUCUCUCGAAAGAAAUAAGUGGGAGGAAAGUAGAACUUGAUGAAGUAUUACCUCUUGAACCAGUAAGUGGCGCAGCUCAAGAAAAUGUUCCUGAGGUGCCUGCACCGACUAGAGAGGAAGUUAAUGAUGAUGAUCAUGAAACUUCAGAUCAAGUUGCUACUGAACUUCGUAGGUCCACAAGAACACGUUCCGCACCAGAGUGGUACGGCAACCCUGUCUUGGAAAUCAUAUUGUUAGACAACGGUGAACCUUCGAACUAUGAAGAAGCGAUGGCGGGCCCAGAUUCCGACAAAUGGCUGGAAGCCAUGAAAUCCGAGAUAGGAUCCAUGUAUGAAAACGAAGUAUGGACUUUGACUGACUUGCCCGAUGAUCGGCAAGCCAUAGAAAAUAAAUGGAUCUUUAAGAAGAAGACAGACACGGAUGGUAACGUAACCAUCUAUAAAGCUCGGCUUGUCGCAAGGGUUAUCGACAAGUUCAAGGGGUUGACUACGAUGAGACUUUCUCACCCGUAGCGAAGCUGAAGUCCGUCCGAAUCAUGUUAGAAAUUAUCGCAUUCUAUGAUUAUGAGAUAUGGAAAAUGGACGUCAAAACGGCAUUCCUUAAUGGUCUCCUUGAGGAAGAAUUGUAUAUGAUGUAGCCGGAAGGUUUUGUCGAUCCUAAGAAUGCUGAUAAGGUGUGCAAGCUCCAACGCUCGAUUUAUGGGCUGGUGCAAGCAUCUCGGAGUUGGAACAUUCGUUUUGAUGAGAUGAUCAAAGCGUUUGGGUUUACGCAGACUUAUGGAGAAGCCUGCAUUUACAAGAAAGUGAGUGGGAGCUCUGUAUCAUUUCUCAUAUUGUAUGUGGAUGACAUACUGUUGAUGGGAAAUGAUAUAGAAUUCUGGGAAAGCAUAAAUGCCUACUUGAACAAGUGUUUUUCAAUGAAGGAUCUUGGCGAAGCUGCUUAUAUUUUAGGCAUCAAGAUCUAUAGAGAUAGAUCGAGAUGCCUCAUUGGUCUUUCACGGAGUACGUACCUUGACAAGAUAUUGAAGAAGUUCAAAAUGGAUCAGUCAAAGAAGGGGUUCUUGCCUGUAUUGCAAGGUACGAGAUUGAGCACGGCUCAAUACCCGACCACGGCAGAAGAUAGAGAAAAGAUGAGUGUCGUCCCCUAUGCCUCGGCCAUAGGGUCUAUCAUGUAUGCUUUGCUGUGUACCAGACCUGAUGUAAACCUUGCCGUAAGUUUGGUAGGAAGGUACCAAAGUAAUCCCGGCAUGGAACACUGGACAACGGUCAAGAAUAUCCUGAAGUACCUGAAAAGGACUAAGGAUAUGUUUCUUGUUUAUGGAGGUGACGAAGAGCUCGUCAUAAAGGGUUACGUCGAUGCUAGCUUCGACACAGAUCUGGAUGACUCUAAGUCACAAACCGGAUACGUGUAUAUUUUGAAUGGCGGGGCAGUAAGCUGGUGCAGUUGCAAGCAAAGCGUUGUGGCGGGAUUUACAUGUGAAGCGGAGUACAUGGCAGCCUCGGAGGCAUCACAAGAGGCAAUCUGGGUGAAGGAGUUCAUUACCGACCUAGGAGUCAUACCCAAUGCGUCGGGCCCGAUGACUCUCUUCUGUGACAACACUGGAGCUAUUGCCCUUGCCAAGGAGCCCAGGUUUCAUAGGAAGACCAGGCAUAUCAAGCGUCGCUUCAACUCCUUUCGUGAAAGUGUUCAAAAUGGAGACAUAGAUAUUUGUAAAGUACAUACGGACCUGAAUGUGGCAGAUCCGUUGACUAAACCUCUCCCUAGAGCAAAACAUGAUCAACACCAGAACUGCAUGGGUGUUCGGUUCAUCACAAUGUAACUAGACUAUUAACUCUAGUGCAAGUGGGAGACUGUUGGAAAUAUGCCCUAGAGGCAAUAAUAAAAUGGUUAUUAUUAUAUUUCUUUGUUCAUGAUAAUUGUCUAUUGUUCAUGCUAUAAUUGUGUUAUCCGGAAAUCGUAAUACAUGUGUCAAUACAUAGACCACAACACGUCCCUAGUGAGCCUCUAGUUGACUAGCUCGUUGAUCAAAAGAUAGUCAUGGUUUCCUGACUAUGGACAUUGGAUGUCAUUGAUAACGGGAUCACAUCAUUAGGAGAAUGAUGUGAUGGACAAGACCCAAUCCUAAGCAUAGCUCAAAGAUCGUGUAGUUCGUUUGCUGUAGCUUUUCCGAAUGUCAAGUAUCAUUUCCUUAGACCAUGAGAUUGUGCAACUCCCGGAUACCGUAGGAGUGCUUUGGGUGUGCCAAACGUCACAACGUAACUGGGUGACUAUAAAGGUACACUACAUGUAUCUCCGAAAGUGUCUGUUGGGUUGGCACGAAUCGAGACUGGGAUUUGUCACUCCGUAUGACGGAGAGGUAUCUCUGGGCCCACUCGGUAAUGCAUCAUCAUAAUGAGCUCAAUGUGACCAAGUGGUAUGCUCCGUUGUGGAGCACUCUGGUGAUAAUGAAGGGGCCUUCCCAAGUAGGAGCGAGCUUGUGUGGUUUCUGCUGAUCCCCCUGAAGAACCAAGUCUCCUUGAAAUGCUCGACCCCUCAUGUUUCUAGCGGGGAAUCGAUGCAGGUCUUGCUGAUAAAUGGUCGACCGGAUCAGGGCCAUCUCUCUUUCCGCUUCGAGGAGAUCCAUUGCGUCUUGCCGAGCCUGUUCUGCUACAUCUUCUGAGAAAAGCUCGACUCUGGGUGCGUUGUGAAGCAAGUCACUCAGAAGAACAGCUUCAGCUCCAUAAACCAGGAAGAAUGGAGUUCGGCCAGUCGACUGAUUAGGAGUUCUCCUCAAGCCCCAAAGCACUGAUGGAAGUUCAUCGACCAAGGCGCCUGCCGUGUGCUUGAGAUCAUGCAUCAGUCGGGGUUUCAGUCCUUUGAGAAUCAAUCCGUUUGCUCUUUCAACUUGUCCAUUAGACUGGGGAUGGGCGACUGAAGCAUAGUCGACCCGAGUGCCUUGGGAAGCGCAAAAGGCUCUAAACUCAUCAGAAUCGAAGUUCGACCCAUUGUCGGUGAUGAUGCUGUGCGGAACACCAUAUCUGAAUGUUAACUCUCUGAUGAAACUGGCCGCAUUACUGGCUUCAAGACUUGAUGGGUUUGGCUUCAAUCCAUUUGGUGAACUUGUCGACUGCCACGAGUACAUGAGUGAAGCCACUCCUACCCGUUCUCAUAGGUCCCACCAUGUCCAAACCCCAAACAAUGAAGGGCCAGACGAGUGUAAUGGUCUUCAGGGCUGACGCAGGCUUGUGAGACAUGUCGGAGUAAAACUGGCAACCUUCACAUUUGUCGACUAUUUCUUGUUCCAUCUCAUUUUCCCGUGGCCAAUAAAAUCCUGCUCGUAUGCUUUGGCCACAAUGGUCCGAGAGGAUGCAUAGUGACCACAGGUCCCCGAGUGGAUGUCGUUGAGGAUCACUUGACCUUCCUCUGGUGUUUUGCAUUUCUGGCUGACUCCAGAUACACUUUCUCUGAACAGCUGCCCUCUUAUCACAGUAAAAGCUUUGGAUCGGCGGACGAUUUGUCGGGCCUCUUCUUCAUCCUCUGGGAGUUCCUUCCUAAGGAUGUAUGCGAUGUACGGCACUGCCCAGCCGGGAGUGAUGACCAAAACCUCCAUGAUCAAGUCGACCACAGCCGGGACUUCGACUUCAGUCGGAUCAGUGGCGCUCUUUGGUUGCGAGGGCUCUUCCAUGAAAGGAUCUUCCUGGACUGAAGGUGUAUGAAUAUGUUCCAAAAAUACAUUACUGGGAAUGGCUUCCCUCUUGGAACCUAUCUUCGCCAAAUCAUCCGCUGCUUGAUUUUUCAGUCGGGGUAUGUGAUGGAGUUCUAAACCCUCAAACUUCUUCUCUAACUUUCUCACUACAUUGCAGUAGCCACUCAUAGCCGGGCUUUUGAUGUCCCACUCCUUCAUCACUUGAUUCACCACCAAAUCUGAGUCGUCGUAGACCAUGAGGCGACGGACGCCGAGUGAAAUGGCAAUACACAACCCAUACAAAAGUGCCUCAUAUUCAGCUUCGUUGUUGGAGGAAUCAAAAUGAAUUUGGAGAACAUAGCGGAGCAUGUGGAACAUCCUUCACAUCCCACGUCGUCAAAAUCGCAAACGCCUGAGCUAUACACUUCCGAUAUUGGACUAGAAAACAAAUUGGAUUCCGAUAUUGGACUAGAAAACAAAUUGAAUUCCAAACAUAUGAAGGACCAGUCAGGAGAUAGACAUACAUUUGUGUCGCAUUAACAAAAGGUUUUACAAAUACAUCUAAUGUCCAGCGGGUAUUCUUCACCUCACGUCGUUAAGGGCGAGGUGAUGAUGUGUGUUGGAAGUAGUUCCAAGAUUGAUAUGAUCAUCAUCGCACACUCCCUAUACUUUCGUGAUUAGUGUUGAACCUAAAUAAAUGUUAUUUGGUGUUUGCGUCACCUCGGGGGGAUACCAAUACUGCCCUAGCACCAGAACCAUUCAGCAUCUUAGAUCCAUCAAAGAACAUGGUCCAAUGGUCUGAGUGAAUCUGAGUCGGCAGUUACUGUUCGAUCCACUUGGCGAGGAAAUUUGCUAUUGCCAGGGACUUUAUAGGUUUCUUUGCCUCAAACUUGAUAUCCAAGGGAAGGAGUUCAAUCGCCCAUUUUGCCACUCGACCAGUUGCAUCUCUGUUGUUCAGAAUUUCUGACAAUGGUGCGUCGCUGAUGACUGUAAUGGAGUGAUCAGAGAAAUAAUGUGCAACCUUCUUCAUGGUCAUGUAAAUCCCAUAAACAAGCUUCUGAUAAUGUGGAUAUCUUUGCUUGGAUGGAGUUAAAACUUCAGAAACAUAGUAUACUGGGUGCUGAACUUUAUAGGCUUUUCCUUCUUCCCGCUCGACCGCGAGUACUGUACUGACAACUUGUCCAGUGGCUACAAUGCAAAGCAGUAAAGGCCCUUUGCUGAUAGGGGCAGCAAGCACCGGCUGGGUGGAAAGCAGGGCUUUGAGAUCUGCAAACGCUGCAUCAGCUUCAGGAGUCCACUCGAACUUGUCAGAUUUCUUCAUCAGUCGAUAAAGAGGCAAUGCCUUUUCACCGAGGUGAGAAACGAAUCGACUCAAGGCGGCCAAACAACCAGUAAACUUCUGGACAUCAUGCACGCGCACAGGGCGCUUCAUCCGGAGUAUGGCACCAACUUUCUCUGGGUUCGCUUCGAUCCCUCGUUCAGAAACAAGGAAACCGAGUAACUUUCCGCCAGGAACUUCGAAUGUGCACUUUGAUGGGUUAAGCUUGAUAUCAUAUCUUCUCAGGUUGGCAAAGUUUCAGCAAGGUCAGUCAGCAGGUCGGAACCUUUACGCGACUUGACCACAAUGUCAUCCAUGUAUGCUUCCACAUUCCGAUUGAUUUGAGUGAGCAGACACUUCUGAAUCAUCCUCAUGAAUGUGGCCCUAGCGUUCUUGAGACCGAAUGGCAUGGUGACACAACAAAAGCACCCGAAUGGAGUGAUAAAAGCUUUUUUUAUCCCGUCGGGUCCGUACAGUCGGAUCUGAUGGUACCCGGAAUAGGCGUCUAGGAAAGACAAACGCUCACACCCCACAGUUGAAUCGACAAUUUGGUCAAUGCGGGGGAGAGGAAAAUGAUCUUUCGGGCAGGCCCAAUUGAUAUGCUUGAAGUCAAUGCACAUGCGAAGUGAGUCAUCCUUCUUGGGGACCAUAACAACUUUGGUGAGCCACUCGGAGUGGUAAAUCUCUCGGAUGAACUCAGCUGCCAGGAGCUAAGCCACUUCCUCACCAAUUGCCUUUCUCUAUUGUACGGCGGACCGUCGGAGAUGUUCCUUGACUGGUUUUACUUUCGGGUUGAUACGUCCAUUUUGCAUCAUGCUUUUAUAUCGAUAUUUAUUGCAUUAUGGACUGUUAUUUCACUUUAUGUCACAAUACUUAUGGCUAUUCUCUCUUAUUUUACAAAGUUUACAUAAGGAGGGAGAAUGCCGACAGCUGGAAUUCUGGGCUGGAAAACGAGCAAAUAUUAGAGACCUAUUCUGCGCAACUCCAAAAGUCCUAAAACUCCACGGAACAUCUUAAAAUAAAUAAAGAAAAAUCCUCGCCAAAGAUGAAGGCCAGGGGGCCCACACCCUGCUCACGAGGGUGGGGGGGCGCGCCCCCCCUCCUAGGGCGUGCCCCCCUACCUCGUGGGGCCCCUGGUGGAUCUCCGACGUCCAUCUUCUCCUAUAUGAAGUCUUUCGAUGAGAAAAAAAAUAACAAGGAACCUUUCGGGACGAGACUCCGCCGCCACGAGGUGGAAUCUUGGCAGAACCAAUCUAGAGCUCCGGCAGAGCUGUUCUGCCGGGGAUACUUCCCUCCGGGAGGGGGAAAUCAUCACCAUCGUCAUCACCAACGCUCCUCUCAUCGGGAGAGGGAAAUCUCCAUCAACAUGUUCACCAGCACCAUCUCAUCUCCAAACCCUAGUUCAUCUCUUGUAUCCAAUUCUUGUCUCAAAGUCCGGGAUUGGUGCUAGUAGGUUGCUAGUAGUGUUGAUUACUCCUUGUAGUUGAUGCUAGUUGGUUUAUUUGGUGGAAGAUCAUAUGUUCAGAUCUAAUAUGCAUAUUAUUACCCCUCUGAUUAUGAACAUGAAUAUGCUUUGUGAGUAAUUAUGUUUGUUCCUGAGGACAAGGGAGAAGUCUUGCUAUUAGUAGUCAUGUGAAUUUGGUAUUCGUUUGAUAUUUUGAUAAGAUGUAUGUUGUCUAGCCUCUAGUGGUGUUAUGUGACGUCGGCUACAUAACACUUCACCAUUAUUUGGGCCUAGAGGAAGGCAUUGGGAAGUAAUAAGUAGAUGAUGGGUUGCUAGAGUGACAGAAGCUUAAACCCUAGUUUAUGCGUUGCUUCGUAAGGGGCUGAUUUGGAUCCAUAUGUUUCAUGCUAUGGUUAGGUUUACCUUACUACUUUUGUUGUAGUUACGGAUGCUUGCAAUAGAGGUUAAUCAUAAGUGGGAUAUUUUUUCAAGUAAGAACAACACUCAAGCACCGGUCCACCCACAUAUCAAUUUAUCAAAGUAUCGAACGCGAAUCAUAUGAACGUGGUGAAAACUAGCUUGACGAUAUUCCCAUGUGUCCUCGGGAGCGCUUUUCCUAUUAUAAGAGUUUGUUCCGGUUUGUCCUUAGCUACAAAAAGGAUUGGGCCACCUUGCUGAACUUUAUUUACUUAUGUUACUUGUUGCUCGUUACAAUUUAUCUUAUCAGAAAACUAUCUGUUACCACUUAUUUCAGUACUUGCAGAGAAUACCUUGCUAAAAACCGCUUAUCAUUUCCUUCCGCUCCUCGUUGGGUUUGACACUAUUACUUAUCGAAAGGACUACGAUAGAUCCCCUAUACUUGUGGGUCAUCAAGACUCUUUUCUGGCGCCGUUGCCGGGGAGUAUAGCGCCUUUGGUAGGUGGAAUUUGGUAAGGAAAAAUUUAUAUAGUGUGCUGAAAUUUACUGUCACUUGCUACUAUGGAAAGUAAUUCUCUGAGGGGCUUGUUCGGGGUAUCUUCACCCCGUCCAAUAGAGCAAAGAGUUUCUCCUCAACCUACUGAACCUAUUGAAAAUGAAACUCCUUUUGAAUUUCCUUCGGGUAUGAUGGAAAAACUGCUAGCUAACCCUUUUAUAGGAGAUGGAACAAAGCAUCCUGAUGAGCACUUAAUAUAUGUGGAUGAAGUUUGUGGAUUAUUUAAGCUUGCAGGUAUACCCGAUGAUGUUGCUAAGAAGAAGGUCUUCCCUUUAUCUUUGAAGGGAAACACAUUGAUAUGGUAUAGGCUAUGUGAUGAUAUGAGAUCAUGGAACUAUAAAAGAUUGAAGUUGGAAUUUCAUCAAAAGUAUUACCCUAUGCAUCUUGUUCAUCGUGAUUGCAAUUAUAUAUAUAAUUUCUGGCCUCGCGAAGGAGAAAGCAUCGCUCAAGCUUGGGGGAGGCUUAAAUCUAUGUUAUAUUCAUGCCCCAAUCAUGAGCUCUCAAGAGAAAUAAUUAUGCAAAGUUUUUAUGCUCGGCUUUGUGAAAACAAUCGCACCAUGCUUGAUACUUCUUGUGCUGGCUCUUUUAUGAUGAAGACUAUUGAAUUCAGAUGGAAUUUAUUGGAUAGAAUUAAACGCAACUCUGAAGAUUGGGACCUCGACGAAGGUAAGGAGUCAGGUAUGACACCUAAGUUUGAUUGUGUUAAAUCUUUUAUGGAUACCGAUAUUUUCCGUAAGUUUAGCACUAAAUAUGGACUUGACUCUGAGAUCGUAGCUUCUUUCUGUGAAUCUUUUGCUACUUAUGUUGAUCUCCCUAAGGAGAAGUGGUUUAAAUAUCAUCCUCCCAAAGAAGUAAAAGUAGCUGCACCUAUUAAAGUUGAAGAAAAGACUGUCACUUAUAAUGAUCCUAUUGUUCCUACUUCUUAUGUUGAGAAACCACCUUUCCCUGUUAGAAUAAAGGAUCAUGCUAAAGCUUCAACUGUUUUUUGUAAAAGCAAUAUUAGAACUUAUACACCUCCUGAGCAAGUUAAAGUAGAACCUAAUAUUGCUAUUGUUAAAGAUCUCUUGUCUGAUAAUAUUGAUGGGCAUGUUAUUCAGUUCGAAGGUGAAACUGCUAGAAUUGCUAAACCUUGUGCUAAAGAUAAACAUAGACCUGUGGUAGGGUGUGCCUGUUAUUUCUAUUAAAAUAGGAGAUCAUUGUUAUCAUGGCUUAUGUGAUAUGGGUGCGAGUGCUAGUGUUAUACCGCAUACUUUAUACGAAGAAAUUAAGAAUGAAAUUGCACCUACUGAGUUAGAAGGUAUUGAUGUCACAAUUAAACUUGCCAAUAGAGAUACUAUUUCACCAAUUGGAAUUGUUAGAGAUGUUGAAGUCUUGUGUGGGAAAACUAAAUAUCCUGCUGAUUUUCUUGUUCUUACUUCUCCGCAAGAUAGCUUUUGUCCCAUUAUAUUUGGUAGACUCUUCUUGAACACUGUUAAUGCUCAGAUAGAUUGCGAAAAGAAUGUUGUUACUAUUGGCUUGGAUGAUAUGGUUCAUGAGUUUAAUUUCUCUAAAUUUAGUAAACAACAUCGUGAGGAAGAAUUACCUAGUAAGGAUGAAAUUAUUGGUCUUGCUUCUAUUGCCGUACCUCCUAGUGAUCCUUUAGAACACUAUUUGCUAGACCAUGAGAAUGAUAUGUUCAUGAAUGAAAGAAGGGAAAUAUAUGAAGUAUUCUUUAAACAGGAACCUAUUCUGCAACACAACUUGCAUGUUGAAAUUUUAGGGGAUCCUCCUCCACCCAAGGGUGAUCCCGUGUUUGAGCUUAAUCCGUUGCCUGAUAAUCUUAAAUAUGCUUAUCUUGAUGAAAAGAAGAUAUAUCCUGUUAUUAUUAGUGCUAACCUUUCAGAGCAUGAAGAAGAAAGAUUAUUGAAAACUCUGAAGAAGCAUCGUGCUGCUAUUGGAUAUACUCUUGAUGAUCUUAAGGGCAUUAGUCCCACUCUAUGUCAACAUAAAAUAAAUUUGGAAGCAGAUGCCAAACCAGUUCGUGAUCCUCAACGACGUCUGAAUCCUAAAAUCAAAGAAGUGGUAAGAAAAGAAAUACUCAAGCUUCUGGAGGCAUGUAUAAUCUAUCCCGUUGCUGAUAGUCAGUGGGUAAGUCCUGUCCAUUGUGUCCCUAAGAAGGGAGGUAUUACUGUUGUUCCUAAUGAUAAAGAUGAAUUGAUUCCACAAAGAAUUAUCACAGGUUAUAGGAUGGUAAUUGAUUUCUGCAAAUUAAAUAAAGCUACUAAGAAAGAUCAUUACCCCUUACCUUUUAUUCAUCAAAUGCUAGAAACAUUAUGCGAACAUACACACUAUUGCUUUCUAGAUGGUUAUUCUGGUUUCUCUCAAAUACCUGUGUCGGCUAGAGAUCAAUCAAAGACUACUUUUACAUGCCCUUUUGGUACUUUUUCUUAUAGACGUAUGCCUUUUGAUUUAUGUAAUGCGCCUGCUACCUUUCAAAGAUGCAUGAUGGCUAUAUUCUCUGACUUUUGUGAAAAGAUUUUGUGAGGUUUUCAUGGACAAUUUUUCCGUCUAUGGUUCCUCUUUUGAUGAUUGCUUGAGCAAUCUUGAUCAAGUUUUGCAGAGAUGUGAAGAAACUAAUCUUGUCUUGAAUUGGCAAAAGUGCCACAUUAUGGUUAAUGAAGGUAUUGUCUUGGGGCAUAAAGUUUCCGAAAGAGGUAUUAAAGUUGAUAAAGCCAAGGUCGAUGCUAUUGAAAAGAUGCCAUGCCCCAAGGACAUCAAAGGUAUAAGAAGUUUCCUUGGUCACGCCGGAUUUUACAGGAGGUUCAUUAAGGACUUCUCAAAAAUUUCUCGGCCUCUGACUAAUUUAUUGCAAAAAUAUAUACCAUUUGUCUUUGAUGAUGAUUUUGUAGAAGCAUUUGAAAUACUUAAGAAAGCAUUAGUCUCUGCACCUGUUGUUCAGCCACCUGAUUGGAAUUUACCCUUUGAAAUUAUGUGUGAUGCUAGUGAUUAUGCUGUAGGUGCUGUUCUAGGGCAAAGAGUUGAUAAGAAAUUAAAUGUUAUUUAUUAUGCUAGUAAGACUCUAGACAAUGCUCAAAUAAAUUAUGCUACUACUUAAAAAGAGCUUUUAGCAGUUGUAUUUGCUUGUGAUAAGUUCAGACCUUAUAUCGUUGAUUCUAAAGUAACUAUUCACACUGAUCAUGCUGCUAUUAAAUACCUUAUGGAAAAGAAAGAUGCUAAACCUAGACUUAUUAGAUGGGUUCUCUUGCUACAAGAAUUUGAUUUGCAUAUCGUUGAUAGAAAGGGAGCUGAGAACCCCGUAGCAGACAACUUGUCUAGGUUAGAGAAUGUUCUUAAUGACCCACUACCUAUUAAUGAUAGCUUUCCUGAUGAACAAUUAAAUGUUAUAAGUACUUCUCAUAGUACUCCAUGAUAUGUUGAUUAUGCUAAUUAUAUUGUUGCUAAGUUUAUACCACCUAGCUUCACAUACCAGCAAAAGAAAAAGUUUUUCUAUGACUUGAGACAUUACUUUUGGGAUGACCCACAUCUUUAUAAAGAAGGAGUAGAUGGUGUUAUUAGACGUUGUGUACCUGAGCAUGAACAGGAACAGAUCCUACGCAAGUGUCAUUCCAAGGCUUAUGGAGGACACCACGCUGGAGAUAGAACUGCACAUAAGGUAUUGCAAUCUGGUUUUUAUUGGCCUACUCUCUUCAAGGAUGCCCGUAAGUUUGUCUUGUCUUGUGAUGAAUGUCAAAGAAUUGGUAAUAUUAGUAGACGUCAAGAAAUGCUUAUGAAUUAUUCUCUUGUUAUUGAACGGUUUGAUGUUUGGGGCUUUGAUUAUAUGGGACCUUUUCCUGCCUCUAAUGGAUACACACAUAUUUUAGUUGUUGUUGAUUAUGUUACUAAGUGGGUAGAAGCUAUUCCAACUAGUAGUGUUGAUCAUAACACUUCUAUUAAAAUGCUUAAAGAAGUUAUUUUCCUGAGGUUUGGAGUCCCUAGAUAUUUAAUGACUGAUGGUGGUUCACACUUUAUUCAUGGUGCUUUCCGUAAAAUGCUUGCUAAAUAUGAUGUUAAUCAUAGAAUUGCAUCUCCUUAUCACCCUCAGUCUAGUGGUCAAGUAGAGUUGAGCAAUAGAGAGCUCAGAUUAAUUUUGCAAAAGACUAUUAAUAGGUCUAGAAAGAAUUGGUCUAAGAAACUUGAUGAUGCAUUAUGGGCUUAUAGAACUGCAUAUAAAAAUCCUAUGGGUAUGUCUCCGUAUAAAAUGGUUUAAGGAAAAGCAUGCCACUUACCUAUGGAACUAGAACAUAAGGCAUAUUGGGCUAUUAAAGAGCUCAACUAUGAUUUUAAACUUGCCGGUGAGAAGAGGUUAUUUGAUAUUAGCUCACUUGAUGAAUGGAGAACCCAAGCUUAUGAAAAUGCCAAGUUGUUUAAAGAAAAAGUUAAAAGAUGGCAUGACAAAAGGAUACAAAAGCGUGAGUUUAAUGUAGGUGAUUAUGUAUUGCUACACAACUCUCAUUUAAGAUUUUUUUGCAGGAAAACUUCUCUCUAAAUGGGAAGGCCCCUAUGUUAUCGAGGAGGUCUACCGUUCUGGUGCCAUAAAAGUCAACAACUUUGAAGGCACAAAUCCGAAGGUGGUAAACAGUCAAAGAAUUAAACAUUGUAUCUCAGGUAAUCCCAUAAAUGUUGAAACCAAUAUUAUUGAAACCGUAACCCCAGAGGAAUACAUAAGGGAGACUUUCCGGAACGUUUCAGACUCCGAAAAGGAAUAGGUAUGUGGUACGGUAAGUAAACCGAAUCCAAAACAAUUUUUAAGGCAAUAUUUCUCCGUUUUGGAAUAUUUAGAAAAAUAGAAAAAUAAGUAGCAGUCCGGGAAGGACACGAGGGCCUCACGAGGGUGGUGGGCGUGCCCUACCCCCUGGGUGCGCCCCCUACCUCGUGAGCACCUCGUGUGCCUUUCAGACUCCGUUUUCUUACACAAUACGUAUUUUGGUCGGUAAAAAUUAUUAUAUAUUCUCCUGAAGGUUUUGACUCCCGUAUCACGCAAAUCUCCUCUGUUUUUGUUUUCGAGCUGUUGCUGCUGCAGAUUAGAGCAAGAUAUCUUCUCAAGAGUCAAUCGGGGAGAGCCGGGUAUCUAAUCCGGCACCAGAACCAAGGGCAAACAGCGACGCUGACCAUUUUGGGCCAGCAACAGAGGAAGAGAUGGAGGCUGACUUGAUGAGAGUAGAUGCCAUGGAGGAUCAAGAAGUCACCUCUCGUCUCCGAGCUGGGUUCACGAUGGGGGAACUACAGAGCUCAGCUAUUCCAAACUCGGUUAUCCCUUCUACUGUUAGAUUUCUUUCUUAUGAAAAUAUGAAGAGGAGUGUCACUUGUUCUCCCGCAGCUAUGCAACACCCUUGGGUGCAAGGAGCUUUAGCUGUCACAAGGAUGCUUCGUAAGGAAAUAAUGGACCUCAAACAGCAAGUCAAUAAGCUCGAGGAGGAGAACCGCAUCCUGAGGGGAAUCAUCGCCAAGAAUAUUACACCGACAACAAAGAAAGAGAUAUAAUCACAUGGGUAUGGGCACUCCCCUUGGCAACUGCCAAGCUCGGGGGAGGUGCCCCGGUAUCGUAUCACAAUCACAACUCCUAUCUUUACCAUUUUUCUUAGUUUGAUCCUAUUAGUAGUAUCUUGAUCUAGUAGAAUAAAGUUUAUGGCAUGAUCUAGUUUUGAGUUUUGCUUUACAAUCUCUCUUUGUAAUCGAGUCCGUGAGCUAUAUAUAAUAAAGAUUAGUGUUGAGUCAAGGGCUUGAUUAUUUUGCCAUGAUCUUGGGUGAAUAAAAUAAAAGAGAAAAAGAAUAAAAAGAAACAAAAAGUUCAUAUUGAUCUUAUUGAGAGUAAUGACUUCACAUAGAAAGAGUAUGAUGAUUAAAAGUUGUUGGGAGUUGGCAGACAUAACUUUGGUCAUUGUUUCAAUUAAUAGGAAGUAAUAAGGAAAGAGAGGUUUUCACAUAUAGAUAUAUUAUCAUUGACAUAUUUUAUGAUUGGGAGCACUCAUUAAAAUAUGACAUGCUAAAGAGUUGAUGUUGGACAAGGAAGACAACGUAAUGAGUUAUGUCUUUCUUAUAUCUGAGAUAAAGUAUGUUGUCAUGGAUCCUCUAACUCGUUGAGCUUGCCUUUCCCCCUCAUGCUAGCCAAAUUCUCAGCACCAAGUAGAAAUACUACUUGUGCUUCCGAAUACCCUUAAACCAGUUUUGACAUGAGAGUCCACCAUAUCUACCUAUGGAUUGAGUAAGAUCCUUCAAGUAAGUUGCCAUCGGUGCAAAGCAAUAAAAAUUGCUCUAAAUAUGUAUGAUUGAUUGGUGUUGGAGAAAUAAGCUUUAUACGAUCUUGUGAUGUGGAAGUAAUAAAAGCGACGGACUGCAUAAUAAAGGUUCAUAUCACAAGGGGCAAUGUAAAGUGAUGUUCUUUCGCACUGAGAUUUUAUGCAUCCAACCAUAAAAGCGCAUGGCAACCUCUGCUUCCCUCUGCGAAGGGCCUAUCCUUUAUCAUUAUCUUCUACUUAUGCAAGAGUCACGGUGAUCUUCACCUUUCCUUUUUCAUUUUAUCCUUUGGCAAGCUCAGCAUGUUGGAAAGAACAUGAUAUAUAUAUAUAUAUAUAUAUAUAUAUAUAUAGUUGAAUGUAGGGGAGCAUGAACCAUUAUUGUUGACAUUACCCUUGAGGUAAAAGGUUGUGGGGCAAAACUAUAAGCCCCUAUCUUUCUCUGUGUCCGAUUAAAACUCCAUAACCACAAGUAUUGCGUGAGUGUUAGCAAUUAUGGAGGACUAAAUGAUAGUUGAGUAUGUGUACUUGCUUUUUAGCUCUGACAUAGACUCUUUCCGAUAUUAUGAUAAAUUGCAAUUGCUUCAAUGACUGAGAUUAUAGUUUGUCGGAGCCCAAUAAGGUUUAUGAUUUAUACUUUUGCAUUGUGAAUAGAUCAUCACUUGAACAUAAGUAAUCAUAUGACAAAAUCUAUAUAUGUUGCUGUUAUGAGAAUAAUCAUGAUGCCUUCAUGUCCGUAUUUUAUUUUUAUCGACGCCUCUACCUCUAAACACGAGGACAUAUUUAUUGUUAUCGGCUUUUUGCUUGAGGACAAGCGAGGUCUAAGCUUGGGGGAGUUGAUACGUCCAUUUUGCAUCAUGCUUUUAUAUCGAUAUUUAUUGCAUUAUAGACUGUUAUUUCACUUUAUGUCACAAUGGCUAUUCUCUCUUAUUUUACAAGGUUUACAUAAGGAGGGAGAAUGCCGGAAGCUGGAAUUCUGGGCUGGAAAAGGAGUAAAUAUUAGAGACCUAUUCUGCGCCAAAGAUGAAGGCCAGGGGGCCCACACCCUGCUCACGAGGGUGCCCCCCCCCUCCUAGGGCGCGCCCCCUACCUCGUGGACCCCCUGGUGGGUCUCCGACAUCCAUCUUCUCCUAUAUGAAGUAUUUCGAUGAGAAAAAAAUAACAAGAAACCUUUCGGGAUGAGACUCCUCCGCCACGAGGCGAAAUCUUGGCGGAACCAAUCUAGAGCUCUGGCAGAGCUUUUCUGCCGGGGAUACUUCCCUCCGGGAGGGGGAAAUCAUCACCAUCGUCGUCACCAACGCUCCUCUCAUCGGGAGAGGGCAAUCUCCAUCAACAUCUUCACCAGCACCAUCUCAUCUCCAAACCCUAGUUCAUCUCUUGUAUCCAAUUCUUGUAUCAAAGUCCGGGAUUGGUGCUAGUAGGUUACUAGUAGUGUUGAUUACUCCUUGUAGUUGAUGCUAGUUGGUUUAUUUGGUGGAAGAUCAUAUGUUCAGAUCCUAUAUGCAUAUUAUUACCCCUCUGAUUAUGAACAUGAAUAUGCUUUAUGAGUAAUUACGUUUGUUCUGAGGACAAGGGAGAAGUCUUGCUAUUAGUAGUCAUGUGAAUUUGGUAUUCAUUUGAUAUUUUGGUAAGAUGUAUGUUGUCUAGCCUCUAGUGGUGUUAUGUGAACGUCGACUACAUAACAUCACCAUUAUUUGGGCCUAUAGGAAGGCAUUGGGAAGUAAUAAGUAGAUGAUGGGUUGCUAGAGUGACAGAAGCUUAAUCCCUAGUUUAUGCGUUGCUUCGUAAGGGGCUGAUUUGGAUCCAUAUGUUUCAUGCUAUGGUUAGGUUUACCUUAAUACUUUUGUUGUAGUUGCGGAUGCUUGCAAUAGAGGUUAAUCAUAAGUGGGAUGCUUGUUCAAGUAAGAACAGCACCCAAGCACCGGUCCACCCACAUAUCAAUUUAUCAAAGUAUCGAACGCGAAUCAUAUGAACGUGGUGAAAACUAGCUUGACGAUAUUCCCAUGUGUCCUCGGGAGCACUUUUCCUGUUAUAAGAGUUUGCUCCGGCUUGUCCUUUGCUACAAAAAGGAUUGGGCCACCUUGCUGCACGUUAUUUACUUUUGUUACUUAUUGCUCGUUACAAUUUAUCUUAUCACAAAACUAUCUGUUACCACUUAUUUCAGUACUUGCAGAGAAUACCUUGCUGAAAACCGCUUAUCAUUUCUUCUGCUCCUCGUUGGGUUCGACACUCUUACUUAUCGAAAGGACUAUGAUAGAUCCCCUAUACUUGUGGGUCAUCACGGGUCGACUCACAAACGAUGCUCAGCCAGUCCCCUGGGUACACCCGGCAUGUCAGAAGGUUUCCAUGCAAAGAUGUCCCAGUUCUCACGGAGGAAGUGGAUGAGCAUUUCUUCCUAUUUGCUGUCGAGUGAAGUUGAGGUAUGAGUAGGAGCAGCAUUAGGAUCGUUCGGGUGAAUAUGAAUCUGCUUGGUUUCACCGGACGACUGAAAUGCAGAACCAGUGGCAGGCUUCUUGGAGCGUGGCAAAUCACUCGGAUCUGCAUUUUUCUGGUAUUCUUGCAUUUCAACUGCUGCCAUUUGUGCAUCGGCGAUUUUUGAGCCCUUAUGGAAGCACUCUUCUGCUUUCUGCCGAUUGCUAGUGAUAGUGAUCACUCCUCUGGGACCAUGCAUUUUCAAUUUGAAGUACACGUAACACGGUCAAGCCAUGAAACGUGCAUAGGCAGGCCUACCCAGAAUGGCAUGAUAAGCACUCUUGAAAUCCACUACUUCAAAUGUCAACUUUUAUUUGCGGUAAUUUUUGGAAUCACCAAAAACCACAUCAAGGGCAUUCUGGCCGAGUGAUUCAGCCUUCUUGCCAGGUAUAACGCCAUGGAAACUCAUAUUACUUUCGCUGAGCUUGGACAUCGGAAUCCCCAUUCCCUUCAAGGUUUCAGCAUAAAGGAUAUUCAGGCCGCUACCACCAUCCAUCAGCACUUUAGUCAGUCGAGUGCCUUCAACAACUGGGUCGAGUACCAACGCUUGCCUCCCAGGGGUGGCUAUACGUGUUGGAUUGUUAGACUGGUCGAAUGUGAUGGCAAUCUGAGACCACUUCAAAUAACUUGGUGUUGCCGGAGCAACCAUGUUCACUUCUCUGUUGAUAACUUUCAAUCGACUUUUGCUCUCAACAUUAGCAAAAAUCAUCAGAGUGGAGUUGAUGUUGGGAAAACCAUCAUCAUCCUAUUCCUUAUCCUCAUCCUUGCCCGACUCCUUUUCCUUCUCCUUGGUUUGUUUCUCUCGGAGCUGCUGGAUCAGGAGUCGACACUGUCGAGUGGUGUGCUUGGGAUAAAUCAGAUUACCCUCUUCAUCUUUCUUGGUGUGAAUGUGACAUGGCAAAUCCAACACAUCAUUUCCGUCUUGAUAUUUCACUUUCUUGGGAUUACAGGGCCCUUUGGGCUUCCCCUUGAACUUUCCUUGAGCCACAACUAAAGCCUCACCAGGAGCAAAUGGCUCGGACUUACGCUUCUGUUUCCGAUUGGAAGUACCUCCACCGGUGUCCUGGGUGACUGUUUUGCGUUUGCCACUCCGGAGUCGGUCUUCCUAUUCGCCGGUAGCGUAUUUGGUGGCAAUCUCCAUCAUCCGAGUCAGGGACAUAUCUCCUAUCUGACCGAAUUUCAGAUUCAACUCACGAUACUUGACGCCUUCCUUGAAGGCCCAAACUGCUUGAUGAUCUGAUACAUUCUCCACUUUAUGGUGUAACGUGAUCCAUCUCUGGAUAUAAUCUCUCAGGGUUUCAUUCGAUUUUUGUACACAACUCUGCAAUUCAGUCAACCCCGCUGGUCGCUUACAAGUACCUUCAAAAGUCCUAACAAACACUCGGGCGAGUUCCUCCCAACUGAAUAUACUGCCGGGUGCCAACUGGUUCAGCCAUGCCCUGGCCGAACCUUCCAACAUCAGAGGAAAGUGCUUCAUGGCGACUUCAUCAUUGCCACCACCAAUCUGUACAGCUACUCGGUAGUCUUCAAGCCAAGUGUCAGGCUUAGACUCACCUGUAAAUUUGCUGACUCCAGUCGCCAACCUGAAAUUGGGAGGAAUCGCUGCAGCCCUGAUGGCUCUACUGAAACACUCGGGACCUGAAACGUGCACUCUACUGCCAGUCGAAUAAUCUCUAUCAUGGCCUUCUCUGUGUGCUCUGUUCCUGUCAACGAGACCUUGAACGAGAAUAGAUCUCGCAUCAAAGCCUGGCUCCCUUGGGUCGACUGGUAUUCUUCGCUCGCCGCAGUGAGGGCGUCUGUCGUCAUGCCGCCGAGGCACAUAUGACCCACUCCUCGGAGGAGGCGUGGGCACUCGCCGUCGGUCUUCGUGGCCGAGGCGGUGAUCAUAUUGCUCAUGGUUCCUGUACUGAUCUUUGCUGUGCCCAUGUCCUUCUCGCCGCGGGGGCGAUCUUGGGCUGUGGGCCGACUGUACUGUAUCUGCUACCACACACAUGUUAUGAAUCCUAUUCCGCGAAUGAGACACUGCUGUGUUCUGUUCUCCAGCUGCUCGGAGCAAGGCCCGGAUCUGCAUCAAACCCCUGCCUGCCUCCGACAGGGAAGGUUGGAUUGACUCUGCUAUUCGGGCUGCGGCUGUGAGAUUUUGAAUCGGAGUGUGGUAUACCUGAGUUUGAGGCUGAAAAAGCUGUCGUCGACUGGAUUCAGGGAUCUGCUGCCGAGCACGCUCGUUGAGUGCAUGCUGCAGGUUCUGCAGUUGAGUGCACUCAGCCAAGUUGGCCAUGCGCACUUCCUCCAAGGCCCGGGCUUCGGGGGUUUCUCCAAUGAUAGGAGUGUGAAGUGCAUCCAUGUUGCGGCGGCGAAGCUCUUCCCUCUGCUACGAAGAAAGGGGCUCGGGGCGGUACUCCUGGUGAACGCGCGACGGAUCGCCGCCGCCAUCACCAUCGUCGUUGCGGGGGAAGCCAGGAGGACUGGGUGGUCCGUCGACCAUCAAGACUUCUGCCGCGGGAUCGCUGCUGUCGCACUCGGAUGCGGUCUCGACGGAGCCAGUCGACAGGUCGAACAUGCCGUAGAGAGUUUCGUCGGGCUCGAUUAUCGCGACUUGUGAGGUGGCCGACUGGCGGGCUACCGUGUGUCUCACCCACAGCUGGAGCCGCGACUGACCGGAACGCUUGUGCCGGCGAGCGGCGGGGGAUGAGGACACCAUAGGAACCGACCGAUACUGGGUCGACGGUUGCCGGAGAAGGACGCCGCGGACGCACGCGCGAAAGUGCGUCGCCCUGCGGACGGGGAGCGCAUCGACGUCGAGUGGAGCUUCCUGGAGCCAAGCGGAGUCGUCGGCGAUGAACACGAGCGCUCCGAGAUGGAUCUCGCGGCCCUCAACCAGUCCGCCGGCGGAAACCAUGAUGAUGAGAAUCGGAAAAAUCGCAACUCCAUCGAAAAGUCGCUAAGACACCUGCCCCAAGGUGGGCGCCAACUGUCGUGGAUCUAAGAAUGACAGUAGAAUGUGGGGUAGGUAUGAGGAGGCAAGAUCCUAGCUAUGGCAAAGUUGUACACACGAGUUUUACGAGUUCAGGCCCUUCGCGGAGGAAAUAACAGCCCCACGUCUCGGUGUCCGGAGGCGGUCGACUGGAUUAUGUAUGUGUGUGUUUACAGGGGGUGCGAACCCUUGUGCCAGUGAAGGGGGGUGGCUUAUAUAGAGUGCGCCAGGACCCCAGCCAACCCACGUUACAAGGGGUUUAAGGUACAUCAAGAGGGGGCCGUUACUGAUAACGUUAGCAAUUAAGUGAUAUAAAUGCCUAUUAAGUCUAUGGAGUAAACGUCCGACCGUUGUCGUGCAGAGUGACUUUAGGUCUUCUGUCUGUCGAGUGCUAAUUGUUGUGGUCGAGUGAUACUGAAUAUUCCGAAUGGAAUGCUUUGUAGUCGAGUGGAUGAUACUAUCCUUUAAUGCUUCUGGUUUUAAAAUGAUGUCCUAGAAGAGGGUGUCUAUGUCAGACCUAUGACCCUAUCUUAAAUACACAGCUUCAUCAGCAGGAGCGGCAGCCGACCGGCAGCGCGCCAAGGAUGUCGUCAUGAUUGUCGUCCUGUCGCGUUGAACCAUCACACGUGUCAGGCAACACAGAUAUCACGGCCACGAUGCAGACGGAAGUCGAAAACAAAUCAUGGUUACUCAGCAAUGAAAGACGAAACACCUAGAGUGUGUCGUAAUGUGCACGCCUGCUAUAAUGGCUAUCUCACAUUUGCUAAUGCGUCCCUGAGGAAGAGGUCGCUAGUUCGACUCGACGUAAGAAUAUGUAUACGUAGGGCCCGUGCGAGUUACUUUUACAAAUAUGACUAUCGUACCUUUACUAACGAAGAGGUAUUGAAUAAUUUGAACCGUUCAUGUGUUUAAGGAGGUCUACCGAAAUAGAAAUGUUUUUCACAAUAUCUGGCCCUUUGCGAGCCAUGCCAACCGGGCCUGUCGUCGUCGGUCGUCGUCGCUUCUGUCCGCCCCCGUGGAAAAUUUCAAGAACCCAACGACCAGGGCCGCGUGCUGACGAUCGGAUUAUGGAUCCAUGCAUGCAUGUUCGGGGCAAGAUCGUCCUCCGUCGCCGUUGUUGAACGGAUGGAUUGUUUUGCACUGUUUGCAUUUGCAAACUGACAAAAGAUAUUUUGAAAUAGUUUUGCCAACUGACUAUUGGAAAAUGCAGUCGGCCGGCCAGCUGCGGCGACGGGUUGUUUGAAACUCGUUAAACUAGCGACCCUCAUUAACAAGCGUUACCCUAUUUUGGUUCAGCUCCCAAGUGUUGCAUCAUGUGAGACGAGAGUAAGGGUAUCUUCAAGGUGGACUCUUAAAUUGUCCACGUACAUUCAACCAUGCAGUCUAAACAUGGUUUGUCAUCCAACGCGAGUCUGUAUCGGCCGCCGAACGGUCCAGACGUAUUUUUUGGCACGUUACCUCCAGCACCACCACCCCGGCCGCCACGCCACACCCUUGCCUUCACCGCCGCUCCACCACCCCGGCCGCCACGCCACACCCUUGCCGGAACUCUAUAUCUCCAUUACCUCCAGCGUUCUAGCUAGGCUCCACCCCGCUUCUCCUCCGCCGAUGUUCAACCCCUCUCUUCCGACCACCGCGCCAGGUACCAUUUGCUAGUGCUAUAAUCACCAUGCCCGGCAACUGUUUGAUGUAUUGCUGGAGCUGAAUUUUUUCCCUUCUUCUUUCUACCAAUGAAUUCCGAUUUGAAGUACAUAUACGAGCACUAUGUUGAGUUGUCUGAUGGCUCAUCUGGCGAGAAGGACUACACGGAUGAGACGACGAUGAUGCAGGCGGUCCUUGAAGACGCGGAGCGUGCGGAGAAAUGUAAAAUUUGCACUUUUUAAAAUUUGAACUAGUGAUGCAUGCGGCUAUUUGAACAUCCAAACUCUAUGUGUGCGGCUAUUUAAACGUGCGGACUAUAUAAAAAGAAGAAGGCCGGAUGUAUGCAGGAAGCGUUGGAUGAUGGCCUCCUGCACCCAUGUUUGCGGACUGGUCCCUUGUCCAUGAAGGAUGUGUGUCAGUUGCUACAUCCUAUGGGCUGAAUUUGGUCAAUUAAAUUGAAUGGAUGGGUUUAGCUAUAAUGAUAUACCAGCACUUACGAUAAAAAUCUUUGUUGCAUAGAAUAUUAACGAGCUUAACAAGUUACUCUUGAAACUUGUUAGCUCCGUUCGUUUAGGCCGUUAAGUUUAGUGAGCUGAAGGAAACUUUGUUCAUUAAUAAUCGAACUACGAGCUUAACCGGUCGAGCUACCGAGGGAUCAUUUUGAACUCACGAGCUAACAGUGUUUUGGUCCAGCCCUAAAUGCAGAGGCUGAUGUAAUUGAUAUUCUCUUGAUAUUUAUAUAUUUUCUAUUAAAAAAUGAAAAUUCAUCUCUACCGUGGAAUGGAUCAGUUAUAAACUUGUGAUCCCAAGUUUCUAGCAGUCAACAAAAGAUCGAAUGAUAUACACAGUCAACAAAAGUAGGAUGAACACAUGCACGAUACGUCCCUUUAGAUUAGUACCGAUAUACAGUAUAUUACUUUUGCCUCCACCUGCAUAUCUCGAUCACUCAAAUCGGUUCUUGACCCUUCUCGAAGAAAUCCGAACUCCCAGACAAAUAUUUCGCAUGGCUGUCUGGCUGGCAUGCCUGCUAACAACCACAUGUGUUGAGUGGAAGAACUGGAAUUUUCGUUCGCUUAUGAUUCAGGAUAUGUUCCAAGUCCAGGUCUCUUACUGCAGCUAAUUGGCCAUCCCUAAGUUACAAACAUCUUAAAUGCUGGGACUGUUCACUAACCCUCGUAUGAAUACCAUUAGCAGUUGGUAGUCGACGUGUGACAGCAACACUGCAUGCACACGGGACAAAAUUCAGGUUUGUUAUGUAGCAAAGUGUCUAGCUGUCUAAACGCAUCAGUAAUAUUCAAUUGUCUUCGUGCCGAUCGACUUGACCUAUUCAGACUAAAUUUUGGCGAGAUUGUUUUGUUGCCGAAGAUUAAAGAGACCGAACGGAUACAACAGUUUAGACCUACAUGCCUCCUUAAUGUCAGCUUCAAGAUUUUCAACAAAGUAGCUAUGAAUAGGCUAAACUUGAUAGCUGACCGUGUUGUCCGGCCAUCUCAAAGAGCCUUCAUGCAAGGAAGGAAUAUACUAGAUGGUGUAGUAAUCCUGCAUGAGGCCGUCCACGAGAUGCACCGUAAAAACAUGAGUGGAGUGGUAUUUAAAAUUGACUUUGAAAAAGCUUAUGACAAGGUCAAGUGGUCUUUCCUCCAACAUGCCUUAAGGAUGAAAGGUUUCUCCGACAAAUGGCGUCAGUGGAUCCAAAAUUUUGUCAUUGGAGGUAGUGUGGUCAUCAAAGUCAAUGAUAAUGUAGUCCAUUACUUUCAGACAAAAAAAUGACUACGACAGGGUGACUCCAUGUCCCCAAUGUUAUUUAACAUUGUUGCUGACAUGUUGGCUAUUCUGAUUAAGCGCGCUAAGCAGGACGGCCAGAUUGCAGGAGUAGUGCCUCACCUUGUGGAUGGUGGCCUCUUUAUUUUGCAAUAUGCCGAUAACACAAUUCUUUCUAUGGAACAUGACAUGGACAAGGCUCGAAAUCUGAAACUGUUGCUUUCAACGUUUGAGCAAAUGUCGGGUCUCAAAAUCAAUUUCCAUAAAGGCGAAUUGUUCUGCUUUGGAGAAGCCGUUGAGGUGGCGGCCGACUAUGCUGACCUAUUUGGUUGCGCACAUGGCCAAUUCCCAAUUAAAUAUCUGAGAAUACUGGUUCAUUAUCGACGGCUCACUAUUGCGGAGUGGAAGCAUGUGGAGGAGCGUCUAGAGAAACGGUUGAGCAGUUGGAAAGGAAAGCUGAUCUCAGUUGGAGGACAACUUGUUUUGAUUAACUACGUCCUCACUAAUAUGGUUCUCUAUAUGCUUUCUUGUUGGGGAACGUAGCAAAAAUUCAAAAUUUUCCUACGUGUCACCAAGAUCUAUCUAUGGAGAAACCAGCAACGAGGGGAAGGAGAGUGCAUCUACAUACCCUUGUAGAUCGUUAAGCGGAAGCGUUCAAGAGAACGGGGUUGAAGGAGUCGUACUCGUCAUGAUUCAAAUCACCGGAGAUCCUAGUGCCGAACGGACGGCACCUCCGCGUUCAACACACGUAUAGCCCGGUGACGUCUCCCACGCCUUGAUCCAGCAAGGAGAAAGGGAGAGGUUGAGGAAGACUCCAUCCAGCAGCAGCACAACGGAGUGGUGGUGGUGGAGGAGCGUGGCAAUCCAGCAGGGCUUCGCCAAGCACCACGGGAGAGGAGGAGGAGGAGAGGCAGGGCUGCACCAAGAGGGAGAAGUUCUCAUGUCUUUGGGCUGCUCCAAUGCCUCCAAUAUAUAUAGGGGAAGGGGGCGCUGCGCCCCCACCUAGGUUUCCACCCCUAGGGGGCGGCAGCCAGCCCUAGAUGGGACUUGGAGGGGCGGCCAAGAGGGGGGAGAGAGGGGGCGCGCCCUAGGGUGGGCCUAUAGGCCCAUCUGCGCCUAGGGUUUCCCCUCUCCCCUCCUAGUUGCGCCUUGGGCAAGGGUGGGAGGCGCACCAGCCCACUCUGGGGCUGGUCCCUUUCCACUCUAGGCCCAUGCAAGCCUCCGGGGUUGGUGGCCCCACUUGGUGGACCCCCGGAACCCUCCCGGUGGUCCCGGUACAAUACCGAUAUCGCCCGAAACUUUUCCGGUGACCAAAACAGGACUUCCCAUAUAUAAAUCUUUACCUCCGGACCAUUCUGGAACUCCUCGUGACGUCCGGGAUCUCAUCCGGGACUCCGAACAACAUUCGGUAACCACAUACAAACUUCCUUUAUAACCCUAGCGUCAUCGAACCUUAAGUGUGUAGACCCUACGGGUUCGGGAGACAUGUAGACAUGACCGAGACGUUCUCCAGUCAAUAACCAACAACGGGAUCUGGAUACCCAUGUUGGCUCCCACAUGUUCCACGAUGAUCUCAUCGGAUGAACCACGAUGUCAAGGACUCAAUUGAUCCCGUACACAAUUCCCUUUGUCUAGCGGUAUUAUACUUGCCCGAGAUUCGAUCGUCGGUAUGCCGAUACCUUGUUCAAUCUCGUUACCGGCAAGUCUCUUUACUCGUUUCGUAACACAUCAUCCCGUGAUCAACCCCUUGGUCACAUUGUGCACAUUCUGAUGAUGUCCUACCGAGUGGGCCCAGAGAUACCUCUCCGUUUACACGGAGUGACAAAUCCCAGUCUCGAUUCGUGCCAACCCAACAGACACUUUCGGAGAUACCUGUAAUGCACCUUUAUAGCCACCCAGUUACGUUGUGACGUUUGGUACACCCAAAGCAUUCCUACGGUAUCCGGGAGUUGCACAAUCUCAUGGUCUAAGGAAAAGAUACUUGACAUUAGAAAAGCUAUAGCAUACGAACUACACGAUCUGUGCUAGGCUUAGGAUUGGGUCUUGUCGAUCACAUCAUUCUCCUAAUGAUGUGAUCCCGUUAUCAAUGACAUCCAAUGUCCAUAGCCAGGAAACCAUGACUAUCUGUUGAUCACAACGAGCUAGUCAACUAGAGGCUCACUAGGGACAUGUUGUGGUCUAUGUAUUCACACGUGUAUUACGAUUUCCGGAUAAUACAGUUAUAGCAUGAAUAAAAGACUAUUAUCAUGAACAAAGAAAUAUAAUAAUAACACUUUUAUUAUUGCCUCUAGGGCAUAUUUCCAACAGUCUCCCACUUGCACUAGAGUCAAUAAUCUAGUUCACAUCGCCAUGUGAUUAACACUCACAGGUCACAUCGCCAUGUAACCAACAUCCAAAGAGUUUACUAGAGUCAAUAAUCUAGUUCACAUCACUAUGUGAUUAACACUCAAUGAGUUCUGGAUUUGAUCAUGUUGCUUGUGAGAGAGGUUUUAGUCAACGAGUCUGAACCUUUCAGAUCCGUGUGUGCUUUACAAAUCUUUAUGUCAUCUCCUAGAUGCAGCUACCACGCUCUAUUUGGAGCUAUUCCAAAUAACUGUUCUACUUGGAGCUAUUCUAAAUUGUUGCUCCAUUAUACGUAUCCGGUAUCUCUACUCAAAGCUAUCCGGAUAGGUGUUAAGCUUGCAUCGUCGUAACUCUUUACGUCGAACUCUUUAUCACCUCCAUAACCGAGAAAAUUCCUUAGUCCACUAGUUACUAAGGAUAACUUUGACCGCUGUACUGUGAUCCAUUCUUGGAUCACUCUUGUACCCCUUGACUGACUCAUGGCAAGGCACACUUCAGGUGCGGUACACAGCAUAUCAUACUGUAGAGCCUACGUCUAAAGCAUAGGGGACGACCUUCGUCCUUUCUCUCUUUUCUGCCGAGGUCGAGCUUUAAGUCUUAACUUCGUACCUUACAACUCAGGCAAGAACUUCUUCUUUAACGGAUCCAUCUUGAACACCUUCAAGAUCAUGUCAAGGUAUGUGCUCAUUUGAAAGUAUUAUUAAGCAUUUUGAUCUAUCCUUAUAGAUCUUGAUGCUCAAUGUUCAAGUAGCUUAAUCCAGGUUUUCUAUUGAAAAACACCUUUCAAAUAACCCUAUAUGCUUUCUAGAAAAUCAUUUCUGAUCAUCAACAUGUCAACAACAUAUACUCAUCAGAAAUUCUAUAGUGCUCCCACUCACUUCUUUGGAAAUACAAGUUUCUCAUAAACUUUGUAUACACCAAAAUCUUUGAUCAUCUCAUCAAAGCGCACAUUCCAACUCCGAGAUGCUUACUCCAGUCCUUAGAAGGAUUGCUGGAGCUAGCAUACCUUUUAGCAUCCUUAGGAUCGACAAAACCUUUCUAAUUGUAUCACAUACAACCUUUCCUUACGAAAGUUGGUAAGGAAACUCGUUUUGACAUCCAUCUGCCAGAUUUCAUAAAUGCAGCUUAUGCUAACAUGAUUCCGACGGACUUAAGCAUCGCUACGGAUGAGAAGAUCUCAUCGUAGUCAACUCCUUGAACUUGUGAAAAACUCUUCGCCACAAAGUCGAGCUUCAUAGAUGGUGACAUUACCAUCCACGUCCGUCUUCUUCUUAAAAGAUCCAUUUAUCUCAAUGGCUUGCCGAUCAUUGGGCAAGUCUGCCAAAGUCCAUGCUUUGUUCUGAUACAUGGAUCCUAUCUCGGAUUUCAUGGUUUCUUAACCAUUUGUCGGAAUUUGGGCCCACCAUCGCUUCCCCAUAGCUCGUAGGUUCAUUGUUGUCUAGCAACAUGACCUUCAAGACAGGAUUACUGUACCACUCUGAAGUAGUACGUAUCCUUGUCACCCUACGAGGUACGGCAGUGACUUGAUCCGAAACUUCAUGAUCACUAUCAUAAGCUUCUACUUCAAUUGGUGUAGGUGCCACAUGAACAACUUCCUGUGCCCUGAUACACACUGGUUGAAGUGAUGGUUCAAUAACCAUAUCAAGUCUCCACCAUCCUCCCACUCAACUCUUUCGAGAGAAACCUUUCCUCGAGAAAGGACCCGAUUCAAGAAACAAUCCAUAUUGCUUUCGGAUCUGAAUUAGGAGGUAUACCCAACUGUUUUGGGUGUUCUAUGAAGAUGCAUUUUAUCCGCUUUGGGUUCGAGCUUAUCAAUCCUGAAACUUUUUCACAUAAGCAUCGCAGCCCCAAACCUUUAAGAAACGACAACUUAGGUUUCUCUAAACCAUAAUUCAUACGGUGUCAUCUCAACGGAAUUACGUGGUGCCCUAUUUAAAGUGAAUGUGGUUGUCUCUAAUGCCUAACCCAUGAACAAUAGUGGUAAUUCGAUAAGAGACAUCAUGGUACGCACCAUAUCCAAUAGGGUGCAACUAUGAUGUUCGGACACACCAUCACACUAUGGUGUUCCAGGCGGUAUUAAUUGCGAAACAAUUUCCACAAUGUCUUAAUUGUGUGCCAAAACUCGUAACUCAGAUAUUCAUCUCUAUGAUCAUAUCCUAGACAUUUUAUCCUCUUGUCACAAUGAUCUUCUACUUCACUCUGAAAUUACUUGAACCAUUCAAUAAUUCAGACUUGUGUUUCAUCAAGUAAAUAUUCUCAACAUCUACUCGAAUCAUCUGUGAAGUAAGAACAUAACGAUAUUCACUGCAUGCCUCAGCACUCAUUGGACUGGACACAUCAAAAUGUGUUACUUCCAACAAGUUGCUUUCUAGUUCCAUUUUACUGAAACCGAGGCUUUCAGUCAUCUUGCCAAUGUGGUAUGAUUUGCAUGUCUCAAGUGAUUCAAAAUCAGGUGAGUCCAAAUGAUCCAUCUGCAUGGAGUUUCUUCAUGCGUAUAUACCAAUAGACAUGGUUCGCAUGUCUCAAACUUUUCAAAAACGAGUGAGUCCAAAGAUCCAUCAAUAUGGAGCUUCUUCAUGCGUUUUAUACCAUUAUGACUUACAUGGUAGUGCCACAAGUAAGUGGUACUAUCAUUACUAUCUUAUAUCUUUUGGCAUGAAAAUGUGUAUCACUACGAUCGAGAUUCAAUAAACCAUUCCUUUAGGUGCAAGACCAUUGAAGGUAUUAUUCAAAUAAAUAGAGUAACCAUUAUUCUCUUUAAAUGAAUAACCAUAUUGCGAUAGACAUAAUCCAAUUAUAUCUAUGCUCAACGCAAACACCAAUCUCGAUGGUAGAGGGAGCGUGCGAUGGUUGAUCAUAUUAACAUUAGAAACACUUCCAACACAUAUCGUCAGCUCACCUUUAGCUAGUCUCCGUUUAUUCCGUAGCUUUUAUUUCGAGUUACUAACACUUAGCAACCGAACCGGUAUCUAAUACCCUGGUGCUACUAGGAGUACUAGCAAAGUACACAUCAACACAAUGUAUAUCCAAUAUACUUCUAUCGACCUUGCCAGCCUUCUCAUCUACCAAGUAUCUAGGGUAAUUCCGCUCUAGUGACUGUUCCCCUUAUUACAGAAGCACUUAGUCUCGGGUUUGGGUUCAACCUUGGGUUUCUUCACUAGAGCAGCAACUGAUUUGCCGUUUCAUGAAGUAUCCCUUCUUGCCCUUGCCCUUCUUGAAACUAGUGGUUUCACCAACCAUCAGAAAUUGAUGCUCCUUCUUGAUUUCUACUUUCGCGGUGUCAAACAUCGCGAAUACCUCAAAGGAUCAUCAUAUCUAUCCCUGAUAUGUUAUAGUUCAUCACGAAGCUCUAGUAGCUUGGUGGCAAUGUCUUUGGAGAAACAUCACUAUCUCAUCUGGAAGAUCAACUCCCACUCGAUUCAAGUGAUUGUUGUACUCAGACAAUCUGAGCACAAGCUCAAUGAUUGAGCUUUUCUCCCUUAGUUUGUAGGCUAAGAAAAUCGUCGGAGGUCUUAUACCUCUUGAUGUGGGCACGAGCCUGAAAUCCUAAUUUCAGCCCUCGAAACAUCUCAUAUGUUCCGCGACGUUUCGAAAAACGUCUUUGGUGCCUCUACUUAAACCAUUUAACUGAACUAUCACGUAGUUAUCAAAACGUGUAUGUCCGAUGUUCGCAACAUCGACAAACGACGUUUGGGGUUCAGCACACUGAGCGGUGCAUUAAGAACAUAAGCUUUCUACUGUCCGCAUAAUUGCUACUAUCAACUUUCAACUAUAUUUUCUCUAGGAACAUAUCUAAAACAGUAGAACUAAAGUGUGAGCUACGACAUAAUUUGCAAAGAUCUUUUUGACUAUGUUCAGGAUAAUUAAGUUCAUCUUAUGAACUCCCACUCAGAUAGACAUCCCUCUGGUCAUCUAAGUGAUUACAUGAUCCGAGUCAACUAGGCCGUGUCCGAUCAUCACGUGAGACGGACUAGUCAUCAUCGGUGAACAUCUUCAUGUUGAUCGUAUCUACUAUACGACUCAUGCUCGACCUUUCGGUCUCCGUGUUCCGAGGCCAUGUCUGUACAUGCUAGGCUCGUCAAGUUAACACUAAGUGUUUUCGCGUGUGUAAAUCUGUCUUACACCCGUUGUAUGUGAACGUAAGAAUCCAUCACACCCGAUCAUCACGUGGUGCUUAGAAGCAACGAACUGUAGCAACGGUGCACAGUUAGGGGAGAACACUUCUUGAAAUUGUUGGAAGGGAUCAUCUUAUUUACUACCGUCGUUCUAAGCAAACAAGAUGCAUAAACAUAAUAAACAUCACUUGCAAUUAUAUAGUAGUGACAUGAUAUGGCCAAUAUCAUAUAGCUCCAUUGAUCUCCAUCUUUGGGGCUCCAUGAUCAUCAUCGUCACCGGCAUGACACCAUGAUCUCCAUCAUCAUGAUCUCCAUCAUCGUGUCUUCAUGAAGUUGUCACGCCAACAACUACUUCUACUUCUAUUAGUAACGUGUUUUGCAAUAAAGUAAAGUAGUUUACAUGGCGUUCUUCAAUGACACGCAGGUCAUACAAUAAAUAAAGACAACUCCUAUGGCUCCUGCCGGUUGUCAUACUCAUCGACAUGCAAGUCGUGAAUCCUAUUACAAGAACAUGAUCAAUCUCAUACAUCACAUAUAUUCAUUCAUCACAUCCUUUGGCCAUAUCACAUCACAUAGCAUACCCUGCAAAAACAAGUUAGACGUCCUCUAAUUGUUGUUGCAUGUUUUACGUGGCUGCUAUCGGUUUCUAGCAAGAACGUUUCUUACCUACGCAAAACCACAACGUGAUAUGCCAAUUGCUAUUUACCCUUCAUAAGGACCCUUUUCACCGAAUCCGUUCCGACUAAAGUGGGAGAGACUGGCACCCGCUAGCCACCUUAUGCACCAAGUGCAUGUCAGUCGGUGGAACCUGUCUCACGUAAGAGUACGUGUAAGGUCGGUCCGGGCCGCUUCAUCCCACAAUACCAUCGAAACAAGAUUGGACUAGUAACGGUAAGCAUAUUGAGCAACAUCAACGCCCACAACUACUUUGUGUUCCACUCGUGCAAAGAAUCUACGCAAUAGACCUAGCUCAUGAUGCCACUGUUGGGGAACGUAGCAGAAAUUCAAAAUUUUCCUACGUGUCACCAAGAUCUAUCUAUGGAGAAACCAGCAACGAGGGGAAGGAGAGUGCAUCUACAUACCCUUGUAGAUCGUUAAGCGGAAGCGUUCAAGAGAACGGGGUUGAAGGAGUCGUACUCGUCGUGAUUCAAAUCACCGGAGAUCCUAGUGCCGAACGGACGGCACCUCCGCGUUCAACACACGUACAGCCCGGUGACGUCUCCCACGCCUUGAUCCAGCAAGGAGAGAGGGAGAGGUUGAGGAAGACUCCAUCCAGCAGCAGCACAAUGGCGUGGUGGUGGUGGAGGAGCGUGGCAAUCCAGUAGGGCUUCGCCAAGCACCACGGGAGAGGAGGAGGAGGAGAGGCAGGGCUGCACCAAGAGGGAGAAGUUCUCAUGUCUUUGGGCUGCUCCAAUGCCUCCAAUAUAUAUAGGGGAAGGGGGGGCUGCGCCCCCACCUAGGUUUCCACCCCUAGGGGGCGGCGGCCAGCCCUAGAUGGGACUUGGAGGGGCGGCCAAGAGGGAGGAGAGAGGGGGCGCGCCCUAGGGUGGGCCUAUAGGCCCAUCUGCGCCUAGGGUUUCCCCUCUCCCCUCCUAGUUGCGCCUUGGGCAAGGGUGGGAGGCGCACCAGCCCACUCUGGGGCUGGUCCCUUUCCACUCUAGGCCCAUGCAAGCCUCCGGGGUUGGUGGCCCCACUUGGUGGACCCCCGGGACCCUCCCGGUGGUCCCGGUACAAUACCGAUAUCGCCCAAAACUUUUCGGUGACCAAAACAGGACUUCCCAUAUAUAAAUCUUUACCUCCGGACCAUUCCGGAACUCCUCGUGACGUCCGGGAUCUCAUCCGGGACUCCGAACAACAUUUGGUAACCACAUACAAACUUCAUUUAUAACCCUAGCGUCAUCGAACCUUAAGUGUGUAGACCCUACGGGUUCGGGAGACAUGUAGACAUGACCGAGACGUUCUCCAGUCAAUAACCAACAGCGGGAUCUGGAUACCCAUGUUGGCUCCCACAUGUUCCAUGAUGAUCUCAUCAGAUGAACCACGAUGUCAAGGACUCAAUCGAUCCCGUAUACAAUUCCCUUUGUCUAGCGGUAUUAUACUUGCCCGAGAUUCGAUCGUCGGUAUGCCGAUACCUUGUUCAAUCUCGUUACCGGCAAGUCUCUUUACUCGUUCCGUAACACAUCAUCCCGUGAUCAACCCCUUGGUCACAUUGUGCACAUUCUGAUGAUGUCCUACCGAGUGGGCCCAGAGAUACCUCUCUGUUUACACGGAGUGACAAAUCCCAGUCUCGAUUCGUGCCAACCCAACAGACACUUUCGGAGAUACCUGUAAUGCACCUUUAUAGCCACCCAGUUACGUUGUGACGUUUGGUACACCCAAAGCAUUCCUACGGUAUCCGGGAGUUGCACAAUCUCAUGGUCUAAGGAAAAGAUACUUGACAUUAGAAAAGCUAUAGCAUACGAACUACACGAUCUGUGCUAGGCUUAGGAUUGGGUCUUGUCCAUCACAUCAUUCUCCUAAUGAUGUGAUCCCGUUAUCAACGACAUCCAAUGUCCAUAGCCAGGAAACCAUGACUAUCUGUUGAUCACAAUGAGCUAGUCAACUAGAGGCUCACUAGGGACAUGUUGUGGUCUAUGUAUUCACACGUGUAUUACGAUUUCUGGAUAAUACAGUUAUAGCAUGAAUAAAAGACUAUUAUCAUGAACAAAGAAAUAUAAUAAUAACACUUUUAUUAUUGCCUCUAGGGCAUAUUUCCAACAUUUCUUUCUUCCAACUCCCAAAAGGGGUCUUGCAAAGACUGGACCAUUUUAGAUCCAGAUUUUUUGGCAAGGAGAUGGUGAAAAGAAAAAAUACAGGUUGACCAAAUGAAGCGUGGUUUUGUUGGGGAACAUAGUAAUUUAAAAAAAAUCCUACGCACACGCAAGAUCAUGGUGAUGCACAGCAACGAGAGAGGAGAGUAUCGUCUACGUACCCUUGUAGACCAUAAGCGAAAGCGUUAUGAGAACGCAGUUGAUGUAGUCGUACGUCUUCACAAGCCGACCGAUCCAAGUACCGAACGUACGGCACCUCCGAGUUCAGCACACGUUCAGCUCGAUGACGUCCCACGAACUCCGAUCCAACAGAGCUUCACGGGAGAGUUUCAUCAGCACGACAGCGUUAUGACGGUGAUGAUGUUGCUACCGACGCAGGGCUUCGCCUAAGCACCUCUACGAUAUGAUCGAGGUUGAUUAUGGUGGAGGGGGUACUGCACACGGCUUGAAACAAUCAACGUGUGUGUCCUAGGGUACCCCAUGCCCCCGUAUAUAAAGGAGCAAGGGGAGAGGCCAGCCGGCCCUUGCAGGGCACGCCAGGAGGAGGAGUCCUCCUCCUAGUUAGAGUAGGACUCCCCUUUCCUACUCCUACUAGGAGGGGGAAAGGAAGGAGGAGAGGGAGAAGGGAAGGAGAGGAAGGAAAGGAGGAAAAGGGGGGGCCUAGUCCAAUUCGGUUUGGGCUAGGGGGGGGCGCCCUGCCUUGUCCUGCCUCCUCUCUUCCACCACUUGGCCCAUGAGGGCCAAUACUUCUUCCCCCGUAUUCCUGUAACUCCCCGGUACUCCGAAAAAUACCUAAAUCACUCGGAACCUUUCCGAUGUCCGAAUAUAGUCGUCCAAUAUAUCGAUCUUUACGUCUCGACAAUUUUGAGACUCCUCGUCAUGUCCCCGAUAUCAUCCGGGACUCCGAGCUACCUUAGGUACAUCAAAACACAUAAACUCAUAAUACCGAUCGUCACUGAACGUUAAGCGUGCGGACCCUACGGGUUCGAGAACUAUGUAGACAUGAUCGAGACAUGUCUCCGGUCAAUAACCAAUAGCGGAACCUGGAUGCUCAUAUUGGCUCCUACAUAUUCUAUGAAGAUCUUUAUCGGUCACACCGCAUAACAACAUACGUUGUUCCCUUUGUCAUCGGUAUGUUACUUGCCCGAGAUUCAAUCGUCGGUAUCUCAGUACCUAGUUCAAUCUCGUUACCGACAAGUCUCUUUACUCGUUCCGUAAUGCAUCAUCCUCCAACUAACUCAUUAGUCACAUUGCUUGCAAGGCUUAUACUGAUGUGCAUUACCGAGAGGGCCCAGAGAUACCACUCCGACAACCGGAGUGACAAAUCCUAAUCUCGAACUAUGCCAACUCAACAAGUACCAUUGGAGACACCUGUUGAUCAUCUUUAUAAUCACCCAUUUACGUUGUGACGUUUGGUAGCACAAAAAGUGUUCCUCCGGUAUUCGGGAGUUGCAUAAUCUCAUAGUCAUAGGAACAUGUAUAAGUCAUGAAGAAAGCAAUAGCAAUAUACCAAACGAUUAAAUGCUAAGAUAACGGAAUGGGUCAAGUCAAUCACAUCAUUCUCUAAUGAUGUGAUCCCGUUAAUCAAAUGACAACUCAUGUCUAUGGCUAGGAAACUUAACCAUCUUUGAUUCAACGAGCUAGUCAAGUAGAGGCAUACUAGUGACACUCUGUUUGUCUAUGUAUUCACACAUGUACUAAGUUUCCUGUUAAUACAAUUCUAGCAUGAAUAAUAAAUAUUUAUCAUGAUAUAAGGAAAUAAAUAAUAACUUUAUUAUUGCCUCUAGGGCAUAUUUCCUUCUGUCUCCCACUUGCACUAGAGUCAAUAAUCUAGUUCACAUCUUUAUGUGAUUAGUUCACAUCUCCAUGUGACUAAUACCCAAAAGGUUUGCUAGAGUCAAUAAUCUAGUUCACAUCGCUAUGUGAUUCACACCCAAAGAGUGAUCAUGUUUUGCUUGUGAGAGAAGUUUAGUCUACGGGUCUGCAACAUUCAGAUCCGUAUGUAUUUUGCAAAUUUCUAUGUCUACAAUACUCUACACGGAGCUACUCUAGAUAAUUGCUCCCACUUUCAAUAUGUAUCUAGAUCGAGACUUAGAGUCAUCCAGAUCAGUGUCAAAGCUUGCAUCGACGUAACUGUUUACGACGAACUCUUUGUCACCUCCAUAACCGAGAAACAUUUCCUUAUUCCACUAAGGAUAUUUUUGAGCGUUGUCCAGUGAUCAACUCCUGGAUCACCAGUAUACCAUCUUGCCAAACUUAUGGUGACGCACAAUAGGUCUGGUACACAGCAUGACAUACUUUAUAGAACCUAUGACUGAGGCAUAGGGAAUGGCUUUUCAUUCUCUUUCUAUUUUCUAUCGUGGUCGGGUUUUGAGUCUUUACUCAACUUCACACCUUGCAACACAGGCAAGAACUCCUUCUUUGACUGUUCCAUUUUGAACUACUUAAAAAUCUUUUCAAGGUAUGUACUCAUUGAAAAUAUAUCAAGCAUCUUGAUCUAUCUCUAUAGAUCUUGAUGCUCAAUAUGUAAGCAGCUUCAUCGAGGUCUUUCUUUGAAAAACUCUUUUCAAACACUCCUUUAUGCUUUCCAGAAAAUUCUACAUUAUUUCCGAUCAACAAUAUGCCAUUCACAUAUACUUAUUAGAAACGUUGUAGUGCUCCCACUCACUUUCUUGUAAAUACAGGCUUCACCGCAAGUCUGUAUAAAACCAUAUGCUUUGAUCAACUCAUCAAAGCAUAUAUUCCAACUCUGAGAUGCUUGCACCAGUCCAUAGAUGGAUCGCUGGAGCUUGCACAUUUUGUUAGCACCUUUAGGAUCGACAAAACCUUCUGGUUGCAUCAUAUACAACUCUUCUUUAAGAAAUCCAUUAAGGAAUGUAGUUUUAACAUCCAUUUGCCAAAUUUCAUAAAAUGUGGCAAUUUGGUAACAUGAUUUGGACAGACUUAAGCAUCGCUACAAGUGAAAAAAUCUCAUCGUAGUCAACAUCUUGAACUUUGUCAAAAACCAUUUUCGACAAGUCUAGCUUUGUAGAUAGUAACAUUACUAUCAGCGUCCAUCUUCCUCUUGAAGAUCCAUUUAUUCUUGAUGACUCGCCGAUCAUCGGACAAGUCAAUCAAAGUCCAUACUUUGUUCUCAUACAUGGAUCCCAUAUCAGAUUUCAUGGCCUUAAGCCAUUCCGCGGAAUCUGGGCUCAUCAUCGCUUCCUCAUAGUUCGUAGGUUCGUCAUGGUCUAGUAACAUGACUUCCAGAAAAGAUUACUGUACCACUCUGGUGCGGACCAUACUCUGGUUGUCCUACGAAGUUCGGUAGUAACUUGAUCUGAAGUUUUAUGAUCAUCAUCAUUAGCUUCCUCACUAAUUGGUGUAUAGAUCAGUAGAACUGAUUUCAAGUUCUACAUUCCUCCCUACUCACUUCUUUCGAGAGAAACUUCUUCUCUAGAAAGGAUCCACUCUUAGCAACAAAGAUAUUGCCUUUCAGAUCUGUGAUAGAAGGUGUACCCAACUGUCUCCUUUGGGUAUCCUAUGAAGACACAUUUCUUCAAUUUGAGUUUGAGCUUAUUAGGAUGAAACUUUUCCACAUAAGCAUCGCAACCCCAAGCUUUAAGAAACGACAACUUUGGUUUCUUGCCAAACCACAGUUCAUAUGGCAUCGUCUCAAUGGAUUUAGAUGGUGCCCUAUUUAACGUGAAUGCAGCUGUCUCUAAUGCAUAACCCCAACACGAUAGUGGUAAAUCGGUAAGAGACAUCAUAGAUUGCACCGUAUCUAAUAAAGUACGGUUACGAUGUUCGGACACACCAUUAUGCUGUGCUGUUCCAGGUGGCGUGAGUUGUGAAACUAUUCCGCAUUGUUUCAAAUGAAGACCAAACUCGUAACUCAAAUAUUCUCCUCCACGAUCAGAUCGUAGAAACUUUAUUUCUUGUUACGAUGAUUUUCCACUUCACUUUGAAAUUAUUUGAACAUUUCAAAUGUUUCAGAUUUAUUUUCCAUCAAGAAGAUAUACCCAUAUCUUACUCAAAUCAUCUAUGAAGGUCAGAAAAUAACGAUACAUGUUGCGAGCCUCAACACUCAUCGGACUGCAUACAUCAGUAUGUAUUAUUUCCAACAAAUCUGUUGCUCACUCCAUUGUUCCUGAGAACAAAGUCUUAGUCAUCUUGCCAUGAGGCAUGGUUCGCAAGCAUCAACUGAUUCAUAAUCAAGUCAUUCAAAAAGCCCAUCAGCAUGGAUUUUCUUCGUGCGCUUUACACCAAUAUGACUUAAACGGAAGUGCCACAAAUAAGUUGCACUAUCAUUAUUAACUUUGCAUCUUUUGGCUUCAAUAUUAUGAAUAUGUGUAUCACUAUGAUCGAGAUUCAAUAAACCAUUCACCUUGGGUGUAUGACCAUUGAAGGUUUUAUUCAUGUAAAUAGAACAACAAUUACUCUCUGACUUUAAAUGAAUAAUCGUAUUGCAAUAAAUAUGAUCAAAUCAUAUUCAUGCUUAACGCAAACACCAAAUAACAUUUAUUUAGGUUCAACACUAAUCCUGAAAGUAUAGGGAGUGUGCGAUGAUGAUCAUAUCAAUCUUGGAACUACUUCCAACACACAUCAUCACUUCACCCUUAACUAGUCUCUAUUCAUUCUGCAACUCCUGUUUCGAGUUACUGAUCUCAGCAACUAAAUUAGUAUCAAAUACUGAGGGGUUGCUAUGAACGCUAGUAAAAUACACAUCAAUAACAUGUAUAUUAAAUAUAGAUUUGUUCACUUUGCCAUCCUUCUUAUCCGCCAAAUACUUAGGGCAGUUCUGCUUCCAGUGACUAGUCCCUUUACAAUAGAAGCACUUAGUCUCAGGUUUAAGUCUAGACUUGGGCUUCUUCACUUGAGUAGCAACUUGCUUGCCGUUCUUCUUGAAGUUCCCCUUCUUCCCUUUGCCCUUUUCUUGAAACUAGUGGUCUUGUCAACCAUCAACACUUGAUGCUUUUCUUGAUUUCUACCUUCGUCGAUUUCAGCAUCACGAAGAGCUUGGGAAUCGUUUCUGUUAUCCCUUGCAUAUUAUAGUUCAUCACGAAGUUCCAGUAACUUGGUGAUAGUGACUAGAGAACUUUGUCAAUCACUAUCUUAUCUGGAAGAUUAACUCUCACUUGAUUCAAGUGAUUUUAGUACUCAGACAUUCUGAGCACAUGCUCACUAGCUGAGCUAUUCUCCUACAUCUUGUAGGAAAAUUACUUGUCUAAGGUCUCAUACCUUUCGACAUGGGCAUGAGUCUGAAAUACUAAUUUCAACUCUUGGAACAUCUUAUAUGCUCCGCGGUGUUCAAAACAUUUUUGAAGUCCCGGUUCUAAGCCGUAAAGCAUGGUGCACUAAACUAUCAAGUAAUCAUCAUACAGAGCUUUGCCAAAUGUUCAUAACGUCUGCAUUUGCUCCUGCAAUCAGUCUGUCAUCUAGCGGUGCAUCGAGGACAUAAUUCUUUUGUGCAGCAAUGAGGAUAAUGCUCAGAUCACGGAUCCAAUUCGCUUCAUUGCUACUAACAUCUUUCAACUUAGUUUUCUCUAGGAACAUAUCAAAAAUAAACGAGGAGCAACAUCACGAGCUAUUGGUCUACAACAUAGUUAUGCAAAUACUAUCAGGACUAAGUUCAUGAUAAAUUAAAGUUCAAUUAAUCAUAUUUAAGAACUUCCACUUAGAUAGACAUCCCUCUAAUCAUCUAAGUGAUCACGUGAUACAAAUAAACUAAAUCAUGACCGAUCAUCACGUGAAAUGGAGUAGUUUUCAAUAGUGAACAUCACUAUGUUGAUCAUAUCUACUAUAUGAUUCACGCUCGACCUUUCGGUCUCAGUGUUCUGAGGCCAUAUCUGCAUAUGCUAGGCUCGUCAAGUUUAACUCGAGUAUUUCUGCGAGUGCAAAACUGGCUUGCACCCAUUGAAGGAAAUAUGCCCUAGAGGCAAUAAUAAAGUUAUUAUUUAUUUCCUUAUUUCAUGAUAAAUGUUUAUUAUUCAUGCUAGAAUUGUAUUAAGCGGAAACAUAAUACAUGUGUGAAUACAUAGACAAACAGUAUGUCACUAGUAUGCCUCUACUUGACUAGCUCGUUGAUCAAAGAUGGUUAAGUUUCCUAGCCAUUGACAUGGGUUGUCAUUUUAUUGAUGGGAUCACAUCAUUAGGAGAAUGAUGUGAUUGACUUGACCCAUUCCGUUAGCUUAGCAUCCGAUCGUUUAGUAUUUUGCUAUUGCUUUCUUCAUGACUUAUACAUGUUCCUAUGACUAUGAGAUUAUGCAACUCCCGUUUGCCGGAGGAACACUUUGUGUGCUACCAAAUGUCACAACGUAACUGGGUGAUUAUAAAGGUGCUCUACAGGUGUCUCCGAAGGUACUUGUAGGGUUGGCGUAUUUCGAGGUUAGGAUUUGUCACUCCGAUUGCCGGAGAGGUAUCUCUGGGCCCUCUUGGUAAUGCACAUCACUUAAGCCUUGCAAGCAUUGCAACUAAUGAGUUAGUUGCGGAAUGAUGUAUUACGGAACGAGUAAAGAGACUUGUCAGUAACGAGAUUAAACUAGGUAUUGAGAUACCGACGAUCGAAUCUCGGGUAAGUAACAUACCGAUGACAAAGGGAACAAUGUAUGUAGUUAUGCGGUCUGACCGAUAAAGAUCUUCGUAGAAUAUGUAGGAGCCAAUAUGAGCAUCCAGGUUACGCUAUUGGUUAUUGACCGGAGACGUGUCUCGGUCAUGUAUACAUAGUUCUCGAACCUGUAGGGUCCGCACGCUUAAAGUUUGAUGACUGUUAUAUUAUGAGUUUAUGUGUUCUGAUGUACCAAAGGUAGUUCGGAGUGCCGGAUGAGAUCGGGGACAUGAUGAGGAGUCUUGAAAUGGUCGAGAUGUAAAGAUCAAUAUAUUGGACGACUAUAUUCGACACCGGAAAGGUUCCGAGUGAUUCGGGUAUUUAUCGGAGUACCGGGGAGUUACGGGAAUUCGCCGAGGAGUGUAUGGGCCUUAUUGGGCUUUAGGGGAAAGAGAGAGAGGUAGGCCGCACCCCCCCCCCAAAGGCCUAGUCGGAAUUGGUCUAGGGGGAAGGGCUGCGCCCCCUCCUUCCUUCUCUUCUCUUUUCCCUUUCCUUCUCUCCUACUCCUACUACUUGGAAGGGCUCCUAGUUCUACUAGGAAAGGGCGAAUCCUACUCCCGAUGGGAGUAGGACUCCCCUAGGGCACGCCAUAGAGAGGGCCGGCCCCUCCCCUCCUCCACUCCUUUAUAUACGUGGCCAGGGGCACCCCAUAGACACAACAAUUGAUCUCUUGAUCUCUUAGCCGUGUGCGGUGCCCCCCUCCACCAUAAUCCACCUCGAUUAUAUCGUAGCGUUGCUUAGGCGAAGCCCUGCAUCGGUAGACCAUCAUCAUCGUCACCACGCCGUCGUGCUGACAAAACUCUCCCUCAACACUCGGCUGGAUCGAUGUUCGAGGGACGUCAUCGAGUUGAACGUGUGCAGAACUCGGAGGUGCCGUGCGUUCGGUACUUGAUCGGUCGGAUCGUGAAGACGUACGACUACAUCAACCGCGUUGUGCUAACGCUUCCGCUUUUGGUCAAUGAGGGUACGUGGACACACUCUCCCCCCUCGUUGCUAUGCAUCACCAUGAUCUUGCGUGUGCGUAGGAAAUUUUUGAAAUUACUACGUUCCCCAACACCCGUUGUAUGUGAACAUAGAGCUUAUCACACCCGAUCAUCACGUGGUGUCUCGGCACGACGAACUUUGGCAACAGUGCAUACUCAGGGAGAACACUUAUACCUUGAAAUUUAGUGAGAGAUCAUAUUAUAAUACUACCGUCAAUCAAGCAAAAUAAGAUGCAUAAAGGAUAAACAUCACAUGCAAUCAAUAUAAGUGAUAUGAUAUGGCCAUCAUCAUCUUGUGCCUUUGAUCUCCAUCUCCAAAGCACUGUCAUGAUCACCAUCGUCACCGGCGCGACACCUUGAUCUCCAUCGUAGAAUCGUUGUCACCUCGCCAAAUAUUGCUUCUACAACUAUCGCUACCGUAUAAUGAUAAAGUAAAGCAAUUACAAGGCGAUUGUAUUGCAUACAAUAAAGCGACAACCAUAUGGCUCCUGCCAGUUGCCGAUAACUCUGUUACAAAACAUGAUCAUCUCAUACAAUAAAAUUUCGCAUCAUGUCUUGACCAUAUCACAUCACAACAUGCCCUGCAAAACAAGUUAGACGUCCUCUACUUUGUUGUUGCAAGUUUUACGUGGCUGCUCCGGGCUGAGCAAGAACCGUUCUUACCUACACAUCAAAACCACAACGAUAUUUCGUCAAGUUAGUGAUGUUUUAACCUUCAACAAGGACCGGGCGUAGUCACACUCGGUUCAACUAAAGUUGGAGAAACUGACACCCGCCGGCCACCUAUGUGCAAAGCACGUAGGUAGAACCAGUCUCGCGUAAGCAUACGUGUAAUGUCGGUCCGGGCCGCUUCAUCCAAUAAUACCGCCGAACCAAAGUAUGACAUGCUGGUAAGCAGUAUGACUUGUAUCGCCCACAACUCACUUGUGUUCUACUCGUGCAUAUAACAUCUACGCAUAAACCUAGCUCGGAUGCCACUGUUGGAGAACGUAGUAAUUUCAAAAAAAAUACUACGGACACGCAAGAUCAUGGUGAUGCACAACAACGAGAGGGGAGAGUGUCGUCUACGUACCCUCGUACACCGUAAGCGGAAGCGUUAUGAGAACGCGAUUGAUGUAGUUGUACGUCUUCACAACCCGACCGAUCCAAGUACCGAACGUACGGCACCUCCGAGUUCAGCACACGUUCGGCUCGAUGACGUCCCACAAACUCCGAUCCAGCAGAGCUUCACAGGAGAGUUUCGUCAGCACGACGGCGUGAUGACGGUGAUGAUGUUUCUACUCACGCAGGGCUUCGUCUAAGCACCGCUAUGAUAUGAUCGAGGUGGAUUAUGGUGGAGGGGGGCACCGCACACGGUUUGGAACAAUCAACUUGUGUGUCCUAGGGUGCCCCCUGCCCCCGUAUAUAAAGGAGCAAGGGGGGAGGCCGGCCGGCCCUUACAGGGUGCGCCAGGAGGAGGAGUCCUCCUCCUAGUAGGAGUAGAACUCCCCUUUCCUACUCCUACUAGGAGGGGGAAAGGAAGGAGGAGAGGGAGAAGGAAGGAGAGGGAGGAAAGGAGGAAACAGGGUGGGCGGUCCCCUAGUCCAAUUCGGUUUGGGCUAGGGGGGCCGCGCGCCCUGCCUUGUCCUGCCUCCUCUCUUCCACCACUUGGCCCAUGAGGCCCAAUACUUCUUCCCCCGUAUUCCCGUAACUCCCCGGUACUCCGAAAAAUACCUGAAUCACUUAGAACCUUUCCGAUGUCUGAAUAUAGUCAUCCAAUAUAUCGAUCUUUAUGUCUCGACCAUUUCGAGACUCCUCGUCAUGUCCCCGAUCUCAUCCGGGACUCCGAACUACCUUUGGUACAUCAAAACACAUAAACUCGUAAUACCGAUCGUCACCGAACGUUAAGCGUGCGGACCCUACAGGUUCGAGAACUAUGUAGACAUGGCCGAUACAUGUCUCCGGUCAAUAACCAAUAGCGGAACCUGGAUGCUCAUAUUGGCUCCUAUAUAUUCUGCGAAGAUCUUUAUUGGUCAAACCGCAUAACAACAUACGUUGUUUCCUUUGUCAUUGGUAUGUUACUUGCCCGAGAUUUGAUCGUCGGUAUCUCAGUACCUAGUUCAAUCUCGUUAUCGGCAAGUCUCUUUACUCGUUCCGUAAUGCAUCAUCCUAUACCUAACUCAUUAGUCACAUUGCUUGCAAGGCUUAUACUGAUGUGCAUUACCGAGAGGGCCCAGAGCUACCACUCCGACAACCGGAGUGACAAAUCCUAAUCUCGAUCUAUCCCAACUCAACAAGUACCAUUGGAGACACCUGUUGAUCAUCUUUAUAAUCACCCAUUUACGUUGUGACGUUUGGUAGCACACAAAGUGUUCCUCCGGUAUUCAGGAGUUGCAUAAUCUCAUAGUCAUAGGAACAUGUAUAAGUCAUGAAGAAAGCAAUAGCAAUAUACCAAACGAUCAAAUGCUAAGCUAACUGAAUGGGUCAAGUCAAUCACAUCAUUCUCUAAUGAUGUGAUCCCGUUAAUUAAAUGACAACUCAUGUCUAUGGCUAGGAAACUUAACCAUCUUUGAUUCAACGAGCUAGUCAAGUAGAGGUAUACUAGUGACACUCUGUUUGUCUAUGUAUUCACACAUGCACUAAGUUUCUCGUUAAUACAAUUCUAGCAUGAAUAAUAAACACUUAUCAUGAUAUAAGGAAAUAAAUAAUAACUUUAUUAUUGCCUCUAGGGCAUAUUUCCUUCAGGUUUGUAGGCCGAAAGACCAAGGUGGCCUCGGAGUUCAUGGCCUGCAGGUCAAGAAUGAGGCCCUGCUCAGUAAAGGGUUGUUCAAACUUCUUACUGAGAAUGGUGUUUGGCAAACCAUGCUGCGCAAUAAGUAUCUAGGCCAAAAGGCGGUGUCUCAUUCAUAUUGGAAACCUGGUGACUCGCACUUUUGGGCUGGCCUAAUGGCGGCAAAGAAGCAUAUCUUUCUCUUUGGAUCUUUCGCGAUAAAGGACGGGUCGGAGAGUCGUUUCUGGAAAGAGAUCUGGCUAGGCAAUGCCAGUCUCAGAGAACAGUAUCCAACCUUAUAUAACAUUUCCCGCGAUAAGAAUAAUACUAUUGCGCACGUGCUCAGUUCAUCCCCGCCGAAUAUUUCGAUCUGGCGGGAUUUGAUUGGCCCUCAACUUGUGUCAUGGCAUAAUCUUUUAUUCCGGCUGGAUUUGAUUAACCUGACACAAGGGGGAUGAGUUUCGCUGGAACCUUAGUACAUCAGGGUCUUUCACAGUAGACUCUAUGUACCAUGAGUUCACGCAUUCUGAGGUACCAAUCAGUAAUAAUAAGAAAAUUUGGAAGUCCAAGAAUCCACUAAAAGUGAAAAUCUUCAUGUGGUAUCUUCGUAGGGGAGUUGUGUUAACCAAAGACAAUCUCGCACGACGCAACUGGCCAGGGAGUAAGGAGUGUUGUUUUGUAUUCAUAACGAGACAAUCAAACACCUUUUUUGCCAAUGCAAGUUUGCACAUUCUACGUGGUCAGUCAUCCAAGUAGCGUCAAAUUUGUACCCGCCCACAAUUGUUGCCAAUAUUUUUGGUCAUUGGUUAGACAGUAUUCCAAAUAAGUUCAAAACACUAAUAAGGGUGGGAGCGUAUGUCUUAAUUUGGUCGCUUUGGCUAUGUAGAAAUUAUUUGGUUUUUAAUGACAAAAAUGCUUCUCCGCAAUAAGUUAUCUUCUGGUGUACGCACUCGCUACGUAUGUGGUCUAUACUACAACGACCGGAGUACCAGCUAUUGUUCAAGAUGGUGUGUACGCGAUUGGAGCAGGUGGCUAUGGAGAUUUUUUCCCAACAUGGAUGGCAGCAUGACCUACGGAUUGAUCGACCAUCUCCUUCGAUAUAGGCAUAGUGUGUCGGUCUAUAGGACUCUACUAUUGUCGAUUAUCUAUUUUAUUUCAUGAUUUUUAUCAGACAUUUGAAUUUGGCUGUGUGCAUCCUAGUUAUGCAGAGACCGGAUGUUACUCAUAAUGUUCCGUAUCCUCUUGAUGCUACAUUUUAAGAUAAUAAAUUCGCCCUUAUCGGAAAAAAAUAGGUCUGAACUUAGUCUGUGUUUCAGGUGGUGCAUUAACAACCACCAUAAUUUUGCAUGGCUGGCUGGCAUCCUACCUGUUAACAACCACGUGUAUUGGGUGGAAGAACCUUGAACUUCUUUUGCUCCGACACAAUAAUGCUAGCUCAUGAUUAAGACAAAUGCUCGGAACAUCAGACGCAAAGUAUUUCAGCUCGAGCUCAAAUGCGUUUGGGUGAACAGUAAAAUCCAAAAAAUAAUUGAAAACAUGUUAGAAAAUUCUGAGAUAUUUUUGCGGAAAACAGUGACAAAAUGUUUUCAGUGCAUGCAAAAUUUCACCAUGGAGUAACAUUCGUGGUAGUUGUGGCAAAAAAACAAAAUUGAUGCUCCAAAAAAUCUAUUUUCGGAAGCAUUUUGGAUUGCUGGUUUUAUUUUAUUUUUUGCCACCAGUUCCACGAAAUACCAUUCCAGGAAGGAACUUUGCGAGCUCUGAAAAUAUUUGUCAAUGUUUGACAAAAAAAAUCAAAUUUUCCCGGAUUUUACUGUUCAUAACAAGCUCAUUUGAGCUUGCCACCAGGCACCAGAUAAGGACUUUCUCAAAUGCUGCCCAUUUCCCUACUAGUCAUACUUCGUAUUUUAAACAUGCAACAGAGGUGCAGAGUAUCCUGUGCGAUUGUGUUUGUGCAGAACAUGUAUUGGGUGGUGCAAUAUUGGUGCCUCUAACAGCUACUUGGCAGGUCUGCAAGAGGCAUAUGUAUUGAUGAACACUGCCAGGGCCAACCAACUAAUAUUCCGAACCAUUUGGUGAGCUACAAUAAUUGUGAGCUUGUGGUGCGGCUACCACAACCCUAGCCUGCUUGCUAGCCAAUAGAUUUCUCAUUGUUCAUUGUUGCGUUGCACCAGGAACACCAUACCAACCUUACUAGUAUAUCCAUCUCCAACCAAAAUAAACAGUACCGGUUGUCAUGUUCACCAAAUGGACUGUCACGAGCUGCACAAAAAGCUGCCCAGCUCGGCGCCAUGCUAAUUUUUUUUAGGUUGGGCUUGCUAAAACCUAUUGGACAAAUAUUGCAGUGCUUCGGGUCAGAGGAUCAAUAAUGCUAAAUCAUCUAUUUUCUUCAGUAAAGGGUGCCCUCAAGGGGUCAAAGAUAGCAUUAAUCAAUGCCUUAAUGUGCACAAUGAAUCUUUGAGGCUGGUCGUAAUGGGAGUAUCAUAGAUAGUAUCAUGCAUGCCAACUAAGUAAUUUUGAUGAGGUGGCAUAGAAUUAAAUGAAGAAAGAGAGGUUUGAGUAUCAUAUCAUGAUACGGUAUCAUAUUAAAUGAUGUGCUACUUUGUGUCAUGCAUGAAAAUAAAUGUAGUCCUAUAUGAUACCAACACAUGAAAUCAUGCAUUAGGGAUGUAGUAUUAUACAUUAGUAUCAUAUGCAUGAUACUAGUAUAUAAUAAUUUCCAUUACAACCAGCCUGAGUGAUAGAUAUUUGGGCAUACCCAUAGAUGUUGGACAGUCAAAGAUGGGUACUUUCAAGUACUUGAGUGAUAGGGUUUGGGAGAAAGUAAGAGGAUGGAUGGAGAAGCUCCUCUCAGCAGCAGGCAAAGAGGUUCUCAUCAAGUCAGUUGAAGGGACAUUUUGAAGCAAGGCAUUAUCGGGAGGAUUGGGAAUGGCCGCAACACUAAUAUCUGGGAGACCAACUGGCUUCCUAGAAUAGGCCCUUUGCGACCGAUCACUUCGCUAUCGGCAAAUCCACCAACGCUAGGAGCCGAACUAAUCGAUUACAUAUCAGCGUCUUGGCGAGAGGAGCUGAUUCGUGCUACGUUUUUACCCAUCGACGCGGAUGCUAUUAUGGCCCUCCCACUCUGUACGAGGUCGGUGGAGGACUUCUGGGCUUGGUCUGGCGAGCGGCAUGGUAUUUUCUCUGUCAGAUCUGCUUAUAGAAUGAUAUUGAACAAGAAGGAGCACCAAGAAAAUUGGCUAUAUGAGCAUGCAGGGGCGUCAGAUUUGAGGGUAAGCUCUAAUGCUUGGACAGCGUUGUGGCACACUAUAGGGUUCCAUCUAAUAUGAAAUUUUUUAUAUGGCGGCUAGCAAGACAUUCGAUGCCGACAGCGGAUCUUUUCCAACAUCGCAAUAUGUCCACAUCCCACUUAUGCGCCUUAUGUGGGUGUGAGGAUUCAUGGAGGCAUGCCCUGCUAGAUUGUACUAUGUCAAGAUGCAUAUCGUCCUUAGUUGAAAAUUCUCUGACGGAAGUCAUGAGCCAGAACAGGGAUCCUAAUGUGAAGAAGUGGCUUUUUUCAAUGAAUGAUGUACUAUCCCAGAAGGAUUGUGUUCCUCUGGUAGUAACAUUAUGGGCUGUUUGGAAAGCAAGACGGAAGGCCAUAUACGAAGGAGUUUUCCAGAGUCCACAAGGGACGUACCAGUUCAUCCAUUCUUACUUAUUAGUACACUUGCAAACUAUUGAGGAACCAGCAAUAGAUCGAGUAAGAUCUUCUUUGUCCCGUAGAGCUCAAUGGAUUCCUCCGCCUGAGACAUAUCAAAAAAUAAACGUUGGUGCUGCGGUUGCAACCAACCGGUGACGAGAAGUUGCAGCUGCUAUAUGCCGGGAUGACGAUGGUACGUUUCAGGGGGCAUCGGCUAUAGUUAUCAAGGGAAUAUGUGAUCCACAAACUUUACAAGCCCUAGCUGUGCGGGAGGCUCUAGCCCUUGCUGAUGUUCUCAAUCUUCCACGGAUACAUGUUGCUUCAGAUUGUAAGGUGGUUUUGGAUGAUCUCAAGCAGGGGAACAAGGCGAGAUAUGGAGCUGUUCUACAUGAAAUCAUGGAUCAUAACUUUUCUUUUACAGCUUGUAACUUUUGCCAUGAGUUUAGAAGCUCGAAUUUUGAGGCUCAUAAUCUAGUGAAGCAUGUCUUAAGGUUAGGGGUGGGUGGCCAUGUUUGGUUAGGGCACCCCGGUGAUCUUUCUUUUGUACCUAUAAACUUUGCGUCCGGUUAAAUAAGCUUCGGGAGAUUAUCUAAAGAAAAACCUACUUGCAUGAUUACCAAGGAGAACCCUUUCAUACAGGUACACAUUGGCAGAUUUCGACAAAGGUAUUACGGCAGUUGUCUUUUUGCUUGUCCCAAGCUCGAUAUGAUGGCAAGUUUAAUUUCUUGGACUACAUAGUAGUGUUCUCAAUGGCGCCAACUCUUGAUGGUCCUUAAGCUUUUGGUUUUGCAACUAAACCUAAUAUAAUAAAUAGAAAUGUGAGUAAUUUCAAUUUUCUUCGUUUCAGCUUUUACUCCAUUUAGGAAAGGUUUUCUACUACCUGCUCACUAAUAAUGAGCUAAAACGACUUACAAAAAUUUACAGAGGGAGUAGUUUUUACACCAUUUCGUGAUCUAUGAGGUGGGUCCUGAAACGUGGCGUGGUGUGAAAGACAAAUUGUAAUACUGUCUUUUUUCAAAUUUUUCUUAGUUGAGUCGAACAACUCAACUAAAAAAAUCUUCCUAGUUGCAUACAACUUUUUCACACGAUCGUCGGGUCUAUGUACGCACACCUUUGUUUUGACGAGUCCACUUUCUUCACAUCACGCAGCUACUUGUUCGUUUCUUUCACCUCAUUUUUCUUCACAAUAUUUGCUUUCGGUUGUCGCAUCAUAUUAGACAUAAUUCAUCGACGCUUUACCUGACAAAAGAACCACUCGAGGAGUUAUGGCCCCAUGACCCCCAAGUAUAGCUACGGAGGACAGAAGAGGCCUAUUGAUCAUAGGGUGGCUCAAACCUGCGAUUCUGUGUAGCGUAGCACCACUUUUGGGGGGCAAGAGGUAGACUCCUCUUCGUACUCCCUCGGGUUCUGUUUACCUUGUGUAUAACUUUUUCAGUUUUCCCGCAUAUUUCAAAAUCUAUUUUGGCCUUAGUUACCCUGCUCAACUUUCAUAAACGCCCAUGACCUCUCGUAGUGCUUCUCCAUGGGACAAGGAAGGGCUGCAAGUGGGAGGAGAGAGGGCAUUGAGGAGGGUGAGGAGACGUGAUGAUGUACACUACCAGAAUUAAUGUAGUUGCCGACGGCCACAUCUAUGCCGACGGCCCCCGUAGGCAUAGAUGGACAUAUCCCGACGGCCUAGGGCAGGCCGUAGGCAUAGAAAAGUCGUCGGCAUAUGUUGAUCUACGCCGACGGGGGCCGUCGGCAUACUACCGCCGUCGGGACCUCUGGCGGUACGCCUACGGGGGCCGUAGGCAUAGAUGAGGCCGUCGACUUAGAUGAGGCCCGCCUACCCGGUCAGCGGAGACCGUUUGACGGCGUACGAACUAUGCCGACGGGGCUAACGGCGGCGGUCGGCAUUGAAAUCAAACAGGAAAAAGGGGGGAUGAGACAAAAACUAUGCCUACGGCUUUGCCGUAGGCAUAGGGCUACCACGAGCUACCAGAGGGCGCCACGUGGAGCCUAUGCCUACAGCUAGGCCGUCGGCAUACAUCUGAAACUAUGCCUAUGACUAAGCCAUCGGCAUAGCUGGCAUAGAUAUAUUGACAUCCCCGAUCCUGGACGCCUCCACGUCAUCGAUCCGAGGGGCGGGGGUCUAUGGUGUGGCAAAGAUAUGCCGACAGCAUAGCCGUCGGCGUAGACCUGGCCCAUGCCCUCUGCCACGUCAUCAAUCCGCGUGCAUCGCCACGUCAUCGAUCCAUGGCCGUGUGCGCAGCUAUGCCUACGGCCUUACCGUAGGCAUACCUCAGAUCGGUGUGCGCAGCUAUGCCUACGGCCUUACCGUAGGCAUACCUCAGAUCGGUGUGCGCAGCUAUGCCUACGGCCUUACCGUAGGCAUACCUGUAUUUUUUUAGUAUUAUUUAUUAUUUUUCGUUUUUUUACAAUACAAAUGUGCCUUGUCUAAACAAAUAUCAUACCCCAAUGGUAUAUCGAUUGCCCCCCUCAUGAACGUCGCUGCCGCCGUGUCACGGAGGGGGGAACUGGUUGACAACGGAGGGAAUCUGGUUAGAGGGUGGCCUUCGGGGCAUAGCUAUGCCAGCGAAACAUCGCACGGCUCCUGAUGCAUGUGUGAAAGUGUUGUGGCAUGCGUAGACACCCGUCUUGGGGCUCUAUGCUAUGGCCCCCCUUCCACGGAUGGCAGUGCCGUCGUCACUUGGAGUGGGAAUCGUGCGGGUGCGGUAGAACCGGAGGGAAUCUAGUGGUGGGUUGUGUCCAGACCGUGUUCGGGGAUGUUGCUAUGGGCAUACCUGUCACAACAAGGUGGAAGAGACCACUGGUCAAAGCCCGUUCGGCAAAAGUCAAAGGGCCAGAUCUCCUGGUCAACUGGGAUUCGGGGUGGCCUUCGGGGCGUAGAUAUGCCAUCCAAACNNNNNNNNNNNNNNNNNNNNNNNNNNNNNNNNNNNNNNNNNNNNNNNNNNNNNNNNNNNNNNNNNNNNNNNNNNNNNNNNNNNNNNNNNNNNNNNNNNNNNNNNNNNNNNNNNNNNNNNNNNNNNNNNNNNNNNNNNNNNNNNNNNNNNNNNNNNNNNNNNNNNNNNNNNNNNNNNNNNNNNNNNNNNNNNNNNNNNNNNNNNNNNNNNNNNNNNNNNNNNNNNNNNNNNNNNNNNNNNNNNNNNNNNNNNNNNNNNNNNNNNNNNNNNNNNNNNNNNNNNNNNNNNNNNNNNNNNNNNNNNNNNNNNNNNNNNNNNNNNNNNNNNNNNNNNNNNNNNNNNNNNNNNNNNNNNNNNNNNNNNNNNNNNNNNNNNNNNNNNNNNNNNNNNNNNNNNNNNNNNNNNNNNNNNNNNNNNNNNNNNNNNNNNNNNNNNNNNNNNNNNNNNNNNNNNNNNNNNNNNNNNNNNNNNNNNNNNNNNNNNNNNNNNNNNNNNNNNNNNNNNNNNNNNNNNNNNNNNNNNNNNNNNNNNNNNNNNNNNNNNNNNNNNNNNNNNNNNNNNNNNNNNNNNNNNNNNNNNNNNNNNNNNNNNNNNNNNNNNNNNNNNNNNNNNNNNNNNNNNNNNNNNNNNNNNNNNNNNNNNNNNNNNNNNNNNNNNNNNNNNNNNNNNNNNNNNNNNNNNNNNNNNNNNNNNNNNNNNNNNNNNNNNNNNNNNNNNNNNNNNNNNNNNNNNNNNNNNNNNNNNNNNNNNNNNNNNNNNNNNNNNNNNNNNNNNNNNNNNNNNNNNNNNNNNNNNNNNNNNNNNNNNNNNNNNNNNNNNNNNNNNNNNNNNNNNNNNNNNNNNNNNNNNNNNNNNNNNNNNNNNNNNNNNNNNNNNNNNNNNNNNNNNNNNNNNNNNNNNNNNNNNNNNNNNNNNNNNNNNNNNNNNNNNNNNNNNNNNNNNNNNNNNNNNNNNNNNNNNNNNNNNNNNNNNNNNNNNNNNNNNNNNNNNNNNNNNNNNNNNNNNNNNNNNNNNNNNNNNNNNNNNNNNNNNNNNNNNNNNNNNNNNNNNNNNNNNNNNNNNNNNNNNNNNNNNNNNNNNNNNNNNNNNNNNNNNNNNNNNCGUUGCCGUGCCACCGAAACAUCGCACGGCUCCUGAUGCAUGUGUGAAAGUGUUGUGGCAUGCGUAGACGCCCGUCUUGGGGCUCCGUGGUGUGGCCCCCCUUCCACGGACGGCAGUGUCGUUGUCACUUGGAGGGGGAAUCAUGUGGGUGCGGUAGAACUGGAGGGAAUCUAGUGGUGGGUUGUGUCCAGACCGUGUUCGGAGAUGUUGCUAUGGGCAGACCUGUCGCAACCAGGUGGAAGAGACCACUGGUCAAAGCCCGUCCGGCAAAAGUCAAAGGGCUAGAUCUCCUGGUCAACUGGGAUUCGGGGUGGCCUUCGGGGCAUAGCUAUGCCACCGAAACAUUGCAUGGCUCCUGAUAUAUUCCUACUAUAUUAUGAGUUUGUCCCAAAUCAUCUGUCCAUUGUUUUAUGCCAUACUUUUGUAUAUACAUAGAUGAAUGAAUGUUUGUAUUAUGUAUGCACAAAAACAGAAUGUAUUAUUUUCCAUCCCAAUGAUGCAUGUUCAUUUGUUGUUCUUUUGGAUCGUUCCCAACUUGUGAUAUCUAAUUUUUUACAUCAAAAGAACUAAGCAUAGAUGGUUAUGGUACACAUUUAAAAAAAUUAAGAAAAUAACAUCAGAUUGUCAAACGAUUGUCGCAAAAAAAUUUAACUUUUCUUUUCUCCAGAUUUUCUCUUAUUUUAAUCCUUUCCGCACUCGCAGCUCUGUAUAAUUUUUCUACUUAUGAAAUUAAUGUAUAUUAUGUCCAUAGUUUACUGUUAUAUCUACAUUUUAUUUUUCAUGUGUUCCAAGACUUGGCUACAUGAAUUUGAGCAUUUGCGUACAGAUGAGCAAAGCCUCUUUUGAAGUUACUAUAAGUCAACCAUGUACACUAGAGUUAUUUCAGGACUCUUACAGGCCAACCUAACUACUGAGGAUUGGAAUGCAUGUUCAAAUAUACAAUAUUGUUUGAAAUUUCAUGCAAAGCUGGCAUUAUUACCACAAUUUUCACAAAAAAAAAGUCCUCGCAAAAAAGAAAAAGUCACUCACGUGUCUUAUCCACCUCGCCCCGAGCCCCCGACCACUCUGCCUCCACGCCGCUCGAUCCACCCCCGCCGCCGCCUUGAUCUUCGCCGGCGCCGCCCCCUUCUGCGCCGGCGCCGCCCUGGCCCGGGCCGCAUCACGGCGUCCCCGCCCUGGCCGCAUCGCGGUGCCCCCGUCCCCGCCCUUCACCGCGCACGUGCCCCCGUCCCCGCCCUGCGCGCCGUCGUCCGUCCCCGCCCCGCACCGCCNNNNNNNNNNNNNNNNNNNNNNNNNNNNNNNNNNNNNNNNNNNNNNNNNNNNNNNNNNNNNNNNNNNNNNNNNNNNNNNNNNNNNNNNNNNNNNNNNNNNNNNNNNNNNNNNNNNNNNNNNNNNNNNNNNNNNNNNNNNNNNNNNNNNNNNNNNNNNNNNNNNNNNNNNNNNNNNNNNNNNNNNNNNNNNNNNNNNNNNNNNNNNNNNNNNNNNNNNNNNNNNNNNNNNNNNNNNNNNNNNNNNNNNNNNNNNNNNNNNNNNNNNNNNNNNNNNNNNNNNNNNNNNNNNNNNNNNNNNNNNNNNNNNNNNNNNNNNNNNNNNNNNNNNNNNNNNNNNNNNNNNNNNNNNNNNNNNNNNNNNNNNNNNNNNNNNNNNNNNNNNNNNNNNNNNNNNNNNNNNNNNNNNNNNNNNNNNNNNNNNACCGCCGCCGGCCGUCCCCGCCCCGCCCUGCAUCGCCGCCGGCCGUCCCCGCCCGCCCCGCAUCGCCGCCAGCCGUCCCUGCCCCCUUCCCGGCCCCGUCGUCCCCACCCCCUUCCCGCCCCGCAGCUGCUGGUGAGGUGGCCGUGGCCGCGGCUCCGGCGGUCUGGCGCCCCCUUGCCGGCCCUCUGCUACUGGUGAGCACCGGCUCCGGCGGUCCGGCGUCCUCUGCGGCUGAUUUUUUCCUUUUUUUAGCUUUUUACCUACUGUUAGUGCUUGGAUAAUGACUCAAUUUGAUAUAUACCUACUUAUAGUGCUUGGAUAUGUACGUAUUGUUAGUUCUUUUUAGUUUUUUACCUACUGUUAGUGCUUGGAUAUAUAAAAAAGUCAAUUUGGUGCUUCGAUAUAUAUACUGUUAGUGCUUGGAUAUUUUACGUUGUUCUUCCUGAAUGUCGAAUGCAAGGAAUAGCACUACAGCAGCUUUAGUUUUUCAUCACGAAAAAGUAAUGAAAUAUGGUGUGGUGCGUGCACAGGAGAAGGGACUAGAGAGCAUUAGCAAGACCCAAAUUUUACAUCGAUUUGGACCUCCUAUUAGUCACAGUAGUUUACUUGCUUGGAGUUUUCAUUAUGGCUGUCUCCCAAUAUACAAAUGUACCGAGUUUGAUUACCAUGUUAAGAUUACUUAUAUAAUAUAUAAUGAUAUGUAUACUUCCACGGCGAUGAGAUGAUAUAUAUACUUUUGGCACGGUGGAUUAGCAUUUUUUGUUGUGUCACGUCUUCGUGAUGAGUGGUUUUUUGUUCAUGAUGAUCUUGCUACAAAAUAAUGAUGAAAUAUUUUUUGACACUUCAUGGUCUUGCUAAAAAAUCUAUGAAGGCAUCUAGUAAAUAAAUCUAUGAAGGCAUUGGUCCGUGAUCUAAGCUUUUGACACUUGAUGAUCUAAGUUUUUUUGUCGGUAAAAUUUACAGGCUUUCUGGUGUUGCAUAUCUUUGGAGUCAUCGUCGUCGAAGGCAUUGGUCUGUGAUUUCGUCGCUGUUUGACUACUUCGUCUACAGUCGAGGGUGAGCUACAAAUCCAUCUUAAUAAUCAUGUCACUAGAUUUUCUUUUCUCGUCAAGUCGCGUAACCUAGGCGUCUCUCGUCCGAAAUGGUUGCAUCGAUAAAUAUGCAUUCAAUUGCAUAUUUAUCACCGCAGCUCUUUCGGAUUGUCCAGCGUUUUCCACGGACAGCCCGAGGAUGUGUAGAUUGGGUACGUUGUCCAUGCUCUACCCUGUUCCGAGACAGGAUUUCGGCGGCGCCUCCCCGUUGUUCUCCGGAGCACAUCCUCUCGGCUAUUAGCCGCGACGUGUAUCUGGAGAACAGCGGGGAGGUGUUGCCGAAAUUUUGUCUUGGAACGGGGUAGAGCAUGGAGAACGUAUUCAAUCUACACAUCGUCGGGUGGGAUUAGGACCCAUCUUUUUAUUAAUGUGUUUAUUAUUCCUUAUUAUUAUGCCUUUCCUUCAUUUUUAAUGUACUAAUUGUUUAUUCUCUUUUCAAUGCAGGUUUGUGGAACAUGGGCGUGGGUUUCCUAUGCAAGGUCGUCAACAUGCCUAGUCGGAGUGGUCGAGCACGUAAUCCUCCCCCCCCCCCCGACUACUUGAUGAUGACUCCUCACAGGGAGGUCGAGGUGCCCCCAGAGGAGGAGGGAGCGGGGGGAGAGCCCCUAGAGGGCGAGGGGAUGGGGGGAGAGCCACUACAGGGGGUCGCGGCCAGAAACAGCGCGCCCUCACCGACUUAGGGGUGUUUCCUUCAAGUCACUCCUCUAGUGAGGUACCCUCUAACGAGGAGGAAGAGGACGAGGAGGUUCGGGAGGAGGAGGAGGAGGAGGAAGUUGGGGAGGGGGCACUAGUAGAAAACAGGGCUUUGGUCUAGGCCGGGUCAGCCCAUUAGUCCCAGUUCAGUCCAAAACCGGGACCAAUGUGGGCAUUGGUCCCGGUUCGUGAGCCCAGGGGCCGGCCGGGCCACGUGGGCCAUUGGUCCCGGUUCAUCUGGACCUUUUGGUCCCGGUUGGUGGGAUGAACCGGGACCAAUGGGCCUCGCUCCUGGCCCACCACCAUUGGUCCCGGUUGGUGGCUUGAACCGGGACCAAAGGCUCCUCUUUAGUCCCGGCUCAUGUCACCAACCAGGACCAAUGAGGUGCCUAUAUAUACCCCUCGCUCGCGAGCAGAGCACCCCAGUGCUCUGUUUUUCUCUGGCCGAGGGGGAGAGGGCUUGGUGGUGCUCUAGCUCACCUCCUAUGCACACAAGGUGUUCGAUGGAAUGCCCGAGCCACACUACUUAAGCUUUCUCCUCUCCAAGCUCGACAUCCAAGCUCCAUUUUCUAUAAUAUUUGUCUAGGUUUAGUGGUCCGUCACGCCCCGUCCCCGUCUUCACCGCCGUUGAUCACCCGCGCCGAGCUCAUCGCCGGCACCGUCGUGGUGAGCCUCUUGUUUUAUCUUUUUUCUGAAACGAAAAAUAUUCUUACUUGUAUGUUUACAUAGAUACUUGUAUUAUUUUCUUACUUUUAUUAUUGCAUCUUAUAUAGUGCGAUGGUUUUGGUGUCGGCCCUCGUCCUGUCUAUGAUUCGGAUGUGGUAUAUAUAUUAUCUUUAUAGCUAUUGGUUCAUUUAUUGUUUAUGAAAAUUAUGCCGACCAACGUGACAUAGAUUUUAUUUAUGUAGGAUGUAUGUGGAUCGGAAAUGCUAACCGACCCUAUUGUCGAGAGGUUAAAUUUAGUUGAAUAAGAAAACAAUUUGUUGAAAGAAAAAAUAAAAAAAUUGAGGAGGAGACGAUGAUAUUGGAGUUGCAUGUUGCGGAUGUCGUCGAUGAUCACAAGAUCAAGAUGGAUGCAAUGCGCUUGAAGAUUAGAAAGAUUAGAAAAUAUGCCAUUCAUACCGAGGCUUGGUAUCAUUAUGCCGUUGGAUCAAUUGUUACCUUGGUUGCGAUUAUGAUCGCAUUUGUUUUCGCAUUGAAAUGUUUUACAUAGUUUCAAUGUAUGGUUUAAUUAAUUAGAUGCUCUAGAGAGCUAUAUGUUGUUAGAUGAGAACUAUGUAUGCACUUUGGUUUUAAUGUGAUGAUGAACUUCUAUUAAUUUGGACACUUAAUUAUAUAUAAUGCACGCAGAUGAACCAGCAAUGGAUAUACGAUGACAGACACACCCGCGAGUACAUUAAGGGCGUGCAUGAGUUUCUCGAUGCGGCUGAGGCAAACAAGCAGAAUGGUUUUAUGUGUUGUCCAUGCACUGAAUGUGGGAAUACGAGGUCUUACUCUAACCGGAAAAUCCUUCACUCCCACCUGCUUUACAAGGGUUUCAUGCCACACUAUAAUGUUUGGACGAGGCACGGAGAAAUAGGGGUUAUGAUGGAAGACGGCGAAGAAGAAGAGUAUGAUGACAACUAUGUGCCCCCUGAAUACGGUGAUGCUGCAACGGGGGGAGCUAGUGAAGAUCAAGAGGAACCAGACGAUGUGCCCAAUGAUGUUGCAACGGGUGAAGCUGCUGAAGAUCAAGAGGAACCAGACGAUGUGCCCGAUGAUGAUGAUCUCCGCUGGGUCAUUGUCGAUGCAAGGACGCAAUGCAAAAGUCAAAAGGAGAAGCUGAAGUUCGAUCGCAUGUUAGAGGAUCACAAAAAAGGGUUAUACCCCAAUUGCGAAGAUGGCAACACAAAUCUCGGUACCGUACUGGAAUUGCUGCAGUGGAAGGCAGAGAAUGUUGUGGCUGACAAAGGAUUUGAGAAGCUACUGAAAAUAUUGAAGAAGAAGCUUCCAAAGGAUAACGAAUUGCCCGACAGUACAUACGCAACAAAGAAGGUCGUAUGCCCUCUAGGAUUGGAGGUGGAGAAGAUACAUGCAUGCCCUAAUGACUGCAUCCUCUACCGCGGUGCAUACAAGGAUCUGAACGCAUGCCCGGUAUGCGGUGCAUUGCGGUAUAAGAUCAGACGAGAUGACCCUGGUGAUGUUGACGGCGAGCCCCCCAGGAAGAGGGUUCCUGCGAAGGUGAUGUGGUAUGCUCCUAUAAUACCACGGUUGAAACGUCUGUUCAGAAACGAAGAGCAUGCCAAGUUGAUGCGAUGGCAUAGUGAGAACCGAAAGAAAGAUGGGAAGUUGAGAGCACCCGCUAACGGGUCGCAGUGGAGAAAAAUCGAGAGAAAGUACUGGGAUGAGUUUGCAAAGGACCCAAGGAAUGUAUGGUUUGCUUUAAGCGCGGAUGGCAUUAAUCCUUUCGGGGAGCAGAGCAAUCACAGCACCUGGCCCAUAACUCUAUGUAUGUAUAACCUUCCUCCUUGGAUGUGCAUGAAGCGGAAGUUCAUUAUGAUGCCAGUUCUCAUCCAAGGCCCUAAGCAACCCGGCAACGAAAUUGAUGUGUACCUAAGGCCAUUAGUUGAAGAACUUUUACAGCUGUGGAAUGGAAACGGUGUACGUACGUGGGAUAAGCACAGACAGGAGGAAUUUAACCUUAAGGCGUUGCUAUUCGUGACCAUCAACGAUUGGCCCGCUCUCAGUAACCUUUCAGGACAGACAAACAAAGGAUACCAUGCAUGCACGCACUGUUUAGAUGACACUGAAAGUAUAUACCUGGACAAAUGCAGGAAGAAUGUGUACCUGGGCCAUCGUUGAUUUCUUCCGACCAACCAUCAAUGUCGAAAGAAAGGCAAGCAUUUCAAAGGCGAGGCAGAUCACCGGAAGAAGCCCGCCAUGCGCACCGGUGAUCACGUGCUUGCUAUGGUCAAUGAUUUACACUACGUAAUCUUUGGAAAGGGUCCCGGUGGACUAGCUGUUCCGAAUGAUGCUGAGGGACACGCACCCAUGUGGAAGAAGAAAUCUAUAUUUUGGGACCUACCCUACUGGAAAGACCUAGAGGUCCGCUCCUCCAUCGACGUGAUGCACGUGACGAAGAACCUUUGCGUGAACCUGCUAGGCUUCUUGGGCGUAUAUGGGAAGACAAAAGAUACACCUGAGGCACGGGAGGACCUGCAAUGUUUGCACGAAAAAGACGGCAUGCCUCUGAAGCAGUAUAAAGGUCCUGCCAGCUACGCUCUUACGAAAGAAGAGAAAGAAAUCUUCUUUGAAUGCCUGCUCAGUAUGAAGGUCAUGACUGGCUUCUCGUCGAAUAUAAAGGGAAUAAUAAAUAUGCUAGAGAAAAAGUUUCAGAAUCUAAAGUCUCAUGACUGCCACAUGAUUAUGACGCAACUGCUUCCGGUUGCAUUGAGGGGCUUCUACCGGAAAACGUCCGAUUAGCCAUUGUGAAGCUAUGUGCAUUCCUCAAUGCAAUCUCUCAGAAGGUGAUCAAUCCAGAAAUCGUACCAAGGCUAAGGAGUGAUGUGGCGCAAUGUCUUGUCAGUUUCGAGCUGGUGUUCCCACCAUCCUUCUUCAAUAUCAUGACACACGUCCUAGUUCAUCUAGUCGACGAGAUUGUCAUCCUGGGGCCCGUAUUUCUACACAAUAUGUUCCCCUUUGAGAGGUUCAUGGGAGUCCUAAAGAAAUAUGUCCGUAACCACGCUAGGCCAGAAGGAAGCAUCUCCAUGGGCCAUCAAACAGAGGAUGUUAUCGGGUUUUAUGUUGACUUCAUUCCUGGCCUUAAGAAGAUAGGUCUCCCUAAAUCGCGGUAUGAGGGGAGACUGACUGGAAAAGGCACUCUUGGAAGAGACUCAAUAAUAUGCAGGGACGGAUAUUCUUGGUCUCAAGCAAACUACACAGUUCUACAGAACUCUACCUUGGUGACCCCGUAUGUCGAUGAACACAAGAACAGUCUGCGCUCCAAACACCCGGAGCAGUGCGACGACUGGAUUACAUGUGAACACAUCAGGACUUUCAGCAGUUGGUUGGAAACACGUCUCAGAGGUGACAACACUGUUUGUGAUGAGUUGUACUUGUUAUCCAGGGGACCAUCUUUGACUGUAUUGACUUACAAAGGAUACGAGAUAAAUGGGAAUACAUUUUACACGAUCGCCCAAGAUCAAAAGAGCACCAACCAAAACAGCAGUCUCCGCUUUGAUGCAGCAACCGAGAGCGGAAAGGACACAUAUUAUGGUUACAUAGUGGACAUAUGGGAACUUGACUACGGACCUGAUUUUAAGGUCCCUUUGUUUAAGUGCAAAUGGGUCAAUCUGUUAGGCGGCGGGGUACAGGUAGACCCAUGGUACAGAAUGACAACAGUGGAUCUGAAAAAUCUUGGGUACACUAACGAAUCGUUCGUCCUAGCCAAUGAUGUGGCACAGGUUAUCUAUGUGAAGGACAUGUCUACCAAACCGAGAAAAAGAAAAGAUAAGGAAGCGAAUACAUCAUACGAUGAGCGAAAGCGCCACAUAGUUCUUUCAGGAAAAAGGGACAUCCUGGGAGUGGACGGCAAGACACACAUGUCUGAAGAUUAUGAAAAGUUUCAUGAAAUUCCUCCCUUCAAUGUCAAGGUUGAUCCAAGCAUCCUGAUAAACAAUGAAGAUUAUCCAUGGUUACGGCGCAAUAAGCAAAUGACACAAGCGAAGAAAAAGUGAAGACUUUCUCCCGCAACUAUUAUGAUGAUACCAUGCCAACUUUGUAACACACGAACAUGCUACCAUUGUCCGUUUUGUACAUGCACAUGCUAUGUGGAUGAAAUUAUGAUACCAUGCCAACUUUCAACUUUUUUAGAGUUCAUUUAAAAUACUUUCAUGUCUUAUGGUUCAGCCCUCGUAAUACCAUGACCAUUAGUCCCUGGCCCAUGCCAACUUUCAACUUUCAACUUUCUAAAACUAAUGGCACUAACAGAAAGUUUAUAAUUUUGCUCCUCGCCCCUGGCCCAUGACCAUUAGUCCCGGUUUGUGCCACAAACCGGGACUAAAGGGUUGGUCCUCGUUGCGGGCAGAGUUUAGUCCCACCUCACCAACCGAAGGGGGCUCACACCGCUUUAUAAGCUCUUCCCUCUCUGCCUUGUUGAGCUCCUCUCAAAGUGAAAAUAGAAUGCCCUAGUAGAGAAAAGUUUAACCUAAAUUCAUAGUGAAUUUCUCUGAAAUUCAUAGAAAUUUACUAGGAAUUUAGGUUGAAUUUUCUCUAUAAGCGCAUCUAUUCUCAUUUUUUAGUAAGUUAAUCGCAAACUUGUGAUUCAAACAUUUUUCAAAGAAUUCAAAUUUUAACUAUUCAAAUUUGAAAACUAAUGGCACUAACAGAAAGUUUAUAAUUUUUCUAAAACUAAUGGCACUAACAGAAAGUUUAUAAUUUUGCUAACCUAAAAGCAAGCAGAAUUAANNNNNNNNNNNNNNNNNNNNNNNNNNNNNNNNNNNNNNNNNNNNNNNNNNNNNNNNNNNNNNNNNNNNNNNNNNNNNNNNNNNNNNNNNNNNNNNNNNNNNNNNNNNNNNNNNNNNNNNNNNNNNNNNNNNNNNNNNNNNNNNNNNNNNNNNNNNNNNNNNNNNNNNNNNNNNNNNNNNNNNNNNNNNNNNNNNNNNNNNNNNNNNNNNNNNNNNNNNNNNNNNNNNNNNNNNNNNNNNNNNNNNNNNNNNNNNNNNNNNNNNNNNNNNNNNNNNNNNNNNNNNNNNNNNNNNNNNNNNNNNNNNNNNNNNNNNNNNNNNNNNNNNNNNNNNNNNNNNNNNNNNNNNNNNNNNNNNNNNNNNNNNNNNNNNNNNNNNNNNNNNNNNNNNNNNNNNNNNNNNNNNNNNNNNGGAAAAAAUAGCAACAAUAAGUAUUUUGUUGUAAGUAGAAAUAAAAUAAAAUAAAUAAAGCAACAAAGAAAACAAAAAAACAAAAAAAAGUGUUUUCCUAUUUGAAAACUAAUGGCAUUAACAAAAAGUUUAUAAUUUUUCUAAAACUAAAAGUAUAAAGAAUUAAAAAAUAAAGCAAAAAACAAAAGAAAAUAAAUAAAGCAACAAAAAAACAAAAAAAUGCCACCUACUGGGCCCCCACGGCGUGAAUACGACUAGAAACCCAUCCAAGGGCCAGGAUUCAGGCCCGCAGGAGGCCGAGUAGGCCCACAGGCAUAUCAGUGACAAUUAGGCCUGUAAGCCUACAAUGGAGAGGAGCUCGAGAGGGGUGCGGCAGUGGGGGCUUAUAAACCACUGCGCACCCCUCUCAACUAGCGAGGUGGGACUAAACUUUUGAUGCAGCAACCGCACAAGGCCUUUGGUCCCGGUUGGUGGCACCAACCGAGACUAAAGGGGGGCAUUGGUCACGGUUCGUGGCACAAANNNNNNNNNNNNNNNNNNNNNNNNNNNNNNNNNNNNNNNNNNNNNNNNNNNNNNNNNNNNNNNNNNNNNNNNNNNNNNNNNNNNNNNNNNNNNNNNNNNNNNNNNNNNNNNNNNNNNNNNNNNNNNNNNNNNNNNNNNNNNNNNNNNNNNNNNNAGAGGCCUUUGGUCUCGGUUGGUGGCACCAACCGGGACUAAUGCCCACCUUUAGUCCCGGUUGCUGCCACGAACCGGGACUAAAGGCUCUGCUAUAUAAGUCCACACUUUGGAAAUUUUCGCCAACUGAUCCAUUCCCCAUCGCCGAUGCUGCCAGGCUGCUCGUCCUCCUCGUCACCGUCGCCGCGCCCUGCCCCAUCCCCGCGUGCUUGCCGUCGCUACGCCCUGCCCCAUCGCCGUCGCCGCGCCCUGUCGCUGUUGUCGUCGUCGCGCCCUCCUGCCCGUCUCCGGCCGCCCUGCCCCGAGCUCGCUGUCGUCCGCCCUGCCUUGAGCCCCACCUCCUCGCCCCCGUCGCUGUGUGCCGCCCCGAGCCCGCGGCCGUCCCCGUCGCCGUGUGCCACUCCGAGCCUGUCGUCCCCAUCACCGCGUGCCGCCCCGCGCACGCCGUCCCUGUCGUCGGCAUCCCCGAGCCCGUUGUCCUCCUUCCCGUCGAUGGCCUCCUCUCCCCGUCGCCGCCCGCCCCCAGUGAGCUCCCCCCCUUUCCCAUCCCCGUCGCCGACGACGCCACCCAUUGCCGCCGCUGCUCUCUGUUUAUAGAUAUGGCUAUAUAUGCAUGUAUUUUCUCUAUGUAUAUAUGUUCAUAUAUGCAAAAGUUACAUUUUUAGAAAAUCAUUUAUAUAUGUUCAGAAAAGUUCUAUAUAAAUGUGGCUAUAUGUAUGUUCAUGGAAAAUAAUUUUGCUCGAUGAUCUUUUUGUUCACGAUGUACAUAUAAUUUUUUUCAUGUAUGUAUAAAUGUCGAUAUGAAUUGUACCUAUGAUGUUUUUUUAUUCAUAGAUGAAUAUGUAUGUGGCUAUGUAUGUGUAUGUGGCUAUGUGAAUAUGCAAAGAAGAGGAGAUGAAGAAGAUGAUAUAUUUUCUUAUUCGUGGGUGUGUCGAGAGGGUNNNNNNNNNNGCCUAGGGGUCGAUGGUCGAGAGGGGGUCUAGGGUCGCCGAGAGGGGAGAGGAAGAAGAGGAGAAAUAAAUAAGAAGAAGAAAAAAGAAGGAAAAGAAGAGGAGAAGAAGAAAGGAAUAGUGGAGAAGAAGAGAAAACUCCACUAUUCCUUUCUUCUUCUCCUCUUUUUUUUCUUCUUUUUUUCUUCGAUCUUCUCCUCUAGCUAUUCCUUUCUUCGAGGGUUCUAUAGGGUCGAGGGGUCGAGGGUCGAGGGUUCCAGGGUUGUCUAGGGGUCGAUGGUUCCAGCGUCGUCGAGGGUUCGAGGAUCGCCGAGGGGUCGAGAGAUGUUUCAUAGUGUCAAAGUAUUGAAGAAAUCCAUGGCUUCAUCAUUAGCCGGAAGUAACCAGGGCAUGACGAAGUCCUCCAAAGUUAUUUUGGAAUGGUGUCCCGGAUAGGAUAAUUUGCCUUUUUGUAUGAAUUUCAGCAAAGGCCUUCCAAAUAACGAUAUUUGGAAGGUUCUUGCUGAACUUUGUACCAAAAAGCAAAUUAUCUUAUCUGGGACUCCGUUCCAAAAUAACUUUGGAGAGCUUCGUACCAUCAUGCACAUGGUACAUUCGCCUAAUGAUGAAGACAUGGUUUUGUUGAAUCCUUUGACACUAGGCAACCUCCCGACCCCUCGGCGAUCCUCUCGAACAUGAGAGGAAGAAGAGGAUAAAAAAAGAAGAGGAAGAAGAAAAAAAAAGAGGAGAAGAAAGAAUCGGCGAUCCUCCCGACCCCUUGGCGAUCCUCUUUUUUUUAUCGGGAACGAGGGUCGUCGAGGGUCGCUGAGCGGUAGAGGAGAAACCCUAAAUAGAAAGUAUCGUCGGUGUGAGAUACAUGUACCGUCGGUGUCGGACACUACAUCCACGUCCCACAAGUGGCGCGGGCUUCGACGCCCACNNNNNNNNNNNNNNNNNNNNNNNNNNNNNNNNNNNNNNNNNNNNNNNNNNNNNNNNNNNNNNNNNNNNNNNNNNNNNNNNNNNNNNNNNNNNNNNNNNNNNNNNNNNNNNNNNNNNNNNNNNNNNNNNNNNNNNNNNNNNNNNNNNNNNNNNNNNNNNNNNNNNNNNNNNNNNNNNNNNNNNNNNNNNNNNNNNNNNNNNNNNNNNNNNNNNNNNNNNNNNNNNNNNNNNNNNNNNNNNNNNNNNNNNNNNNNNNNNNNNNNNNNNNNNNNNNNNNNNNNNNNNNNNNNNNNNNNNNNNNNNNNNNNNNNNNNNNNNNNNNNNNNNNNNNNNNNNNNNNNNNNNNNNNNNNNNNNNNNNNNNNNNNNNNNNNNNNNNNNNNNNNNNNNNNNNNNNNNNNNNNNNNNNNNNNNNNNNNNNNNNNNNNNNNNNNNNNNNNNNNNNNNNNNNNNNNNNNNNNNNNNNNNNNNNNNNNNNNNNNNNNNNNNNNNNNNNNNNNNNNNNNNNNNNNNNNNNNNNNNNNNNNNNNNNNNNNNNNNNNNNNNNNNNNNNNNNNNNNNNNNNNNNNNNNNNNNNNNNNNNNNNNNNNNNNNNNNNNNNNNNNNNNNNACGAUACUUGCUAUUUAGGGUUUCCUCUAUCGCUCGGUGACCCUCGACGACCCUCGUUCCCGAUAAAAAAAAGAGGAAGAAGAAGGAAAAAAGAGGAGAAGAAAGAAUAGAGGAGUAAGAACUCCUCUAUUCUUUCUUCUCCUCUUUUUUCCUUCUUCUUCCUCUUCUUUUUUUAUCCUUGAAGCGUUGUCGAGGCCACCCCAAACCCUAGAGAAGCUGCAUCGAGGCCACCCCAAACCCUAGAGAAGUAGCGUCGAGGCCACUAAUUAAUAUUAGUUCUACGUUUUUGCCACUAAUAUAUCCAUCUGUCAUGUUUGAAUAAUAAUUGCCAUGUUGUCAAUAUUUGCAGAAACUAUGGACACCGCCUGAGACGAAGUACAAGAAGAGUUGUUGGGGGACAUAAUCGCACGAGGAAGUGAUGCCAUCUGCUCGUUGUUUCUCAACAAGAUCAAUGGUCUGGAAGCAGCUGAUUAUGAUGGCUCCGGUGACCUAAUGCCGGUGCAAGAAGGAGAUCGUGAGGACGGCUCCGGUGACCCAAUGCCGGUGCAAGAAGGAGACCGUGAUGACGUCUUCGGUGACCGAACCGAGUCCGGCCAGGUAUAUAUAUUAGUUAAGCUUCUGCUGACUAGCUAAUUGAUGCAUUCAUUGUUUUGGUAUGUACACAUAUUAAUUAAGUCUUUGUUCUUUUUUCUAGCCCUCCAGAUCAAGCACAACUUCGGUAAAGAGACGAGGCCUGAAGAAAAAGUUGAGCUCGGAUGAAAAGUUUGAGAUCAUAGCAAUCGCGCCCGGCGGCCAACCGAUUGAACCCCUCCGGACAAAGAGCGCAUUUGUUGCUCAGUGCGGGGGUUUGGUUAGGGACAAGAUCCCGAUCAGCAUCCAACAAUGGUUUAAGCCGGCUACAGAAGACCUUCAGGAGUCUUAUGUCAAUGAUAUGCAGAAAAAUGAUCUUUGGACCGAGCUGAAGUCAAAUUUCACCCUACCGCCAGAGGAUAAUCCAGAGAAGCCAGUUAAAGAGCAAUUAAUCAAGUCUUUUGCUCUUAAGAGGAUGGCAGAACUAUUUAGGAGGUGGAAGAAAGAGCUAAAUAAGUUUGUCGAAAAUAAUGAGACACCAGAAUUCAAGGGCGGAUAUGAGAAGAUCAGAGAUCACUGGCCCGCAUUUGUGGCCCACAGGACAUCGGAAAAGAGUAAGAAGAUGUCGUCGACAAACAAGCAAAAUGCUGCGAAGAAGAAGCAUCACCAUCGCACGGGGUCAGGUGGCUACCUCGUAGCCCGGCCUAAGUGGGCCAAGACUGAGAAUGAUCUGGUUGAUAAAGGGAUCGCACCAGAGACAAUUAACUGGCCAGACCAUUGCCGGACUUGGUUCUUCGGGGCUGGCGGAACCUUGGACCCUGUAAUAGGGAAGUGCAUUUGGACGAACGAUCAAAUGGACAUACCAGUCAGGAAGCUUCAGCACUAUAUCGAAGCAGCGCAGCAAGGGACGUUCUUUCCAGACAGAGAGAACGACGAGCUCACAAUGGCCCUCGGGAAUCCUGAGCACCCUGGACGGAUACGAGGCACGCCAGGCUCCAUUCCGUGGAAGGUUGGGUUUCCGGACGCAGGCGGUUACAAAUCCCAUGAGAGGAGGAAAAAGACCCAAAUGCAGGCGCUGCAAGCAAGGGUACAAGCGAUAGAGGAACGAGAAGCAAAUCGCAGCAAACGUACUGCCGAAGCUUCCCCCGAAGCUACCCCGCCAUCUCAGCGGAGAAGCAGCAUGGCUUCCACCGAGCUGCUUCAGCCGGAGCAUGCCUUGACGGCUCCUGCCAGCUAUCUCGUGGAUGCUAUCACGGAGUCUCAAAAUUGCCACCUUAUGAGGCAAUGGAUGAAUUUGAAGGUUAAGGCGGCUGUUGGCUCUAUUUAUCCUACUGAACCCGACGCAACUUUUCACUGCCGGCCGAUUCCAGAAGGAUAUGCUAGGGCGAUGGCGGAUGAAAUAACGGAGGGAUUUGAGGACCUCCAGCUUGACCACCCUACCGGUGAAGGGGAGACUAGGCUGGGGUCUGCUCUGAAGACUCCAUGCCUAUGGCGGAAGGAGCUCAUCAACCUUUCGAACUGGACGCCUCCGCCUCCUCCUCCUCCUCCGGCAAGUCAGGGCACUCCGCCUCCUCCACCGUCUCCUCCUCCGGCGAGUCAGGGCACUCCGCCUCCUCCACCGCCUCCUCCUCCGGCGAGUGACGAUCAGGGCACUCGACUGGCUCCUUCUCCAGUGCGUGCCGGCACUCCGCCUCCUUCUCCGCCUGCGCCGACGCGCCCGAGCAGCCAGCCUCCUCCUUCUCCGCCUCGUCAGCAAGGGCGGAAGAGACCUGCCGCCGCUCCGGCUACUCCGGCGCGUCGUAGUCCUUCUCCUCUGCCUCGUAAGCAAGUAAAGAAUACAACGGCUCCGUCUGCUCGGCCGGCGUCUAGCAGUACAGCCAGAGGUGGGAGGACAUACAGAUUCGGUCCUUCUCUGAAGACUCCAGAGAAGUUACCAUACGAGAGGACCCCAGAGGAGAACGCCAAGAUCGCACGAACCGAAGUGGAUGACUGGUUUCACUACAAGAAAUAUGUCAACUUGUGACCUUCUGUUAGUGACCCUGGAAGAAUUGGUCAUAGAUCUAUGACCAUUUCAGACCAAUUGGUCAAAAGUUAUUCGGGGGGCUCCAAAACCUAAACUAUAACGACCAUUUUGGUCAGAAAGGUCGUAAUUUCCUUACACGAAAUGGUCAUAAAGCAGAUAGCACUGGUUUGCUGCCUUAUUUCUAGUUGAUCAUGACCAAUAUAGAUGGUCAUAACCUUGUAAAUUGUGGUGGGUUGCUGUGACUAGGCGCCACCUCAUCAGUUUUGCCUAUGUGUCAUGUCCAUGUGGCAGUUUUUGCCCUAGGUUGUGAAGCAACCUAUAUUUUUGUCAUUCCCAAAAUUCCCAAAAAAAUCUCAUAAAUUUUUGGGUCAUAUAUUCAUCAAAUAUGUAAAAAUCCUUCCUUGCCUAGUUCAAAACUAAUUCAACAAUAUUUAUUUUCCUAUUCUGUUCACAACAGCACUUUAUGAAGGAAGUGCUAUUUAUAUAUUCUUGAUUGCCCUCAGAAUUGUUGGGCACUCUUUCCUAUCCAAAUCAUUACCGCAUGACAAAAUUCACCUCCAUUUGCCUAGCAAAUAUUCCUCGACAAAUUUCCAAAGUUUUUGUCCACAUAGAAGCAUUGUGAAGGAAGUACCUUUUUUAUAUAUCGAAAUGACAUGAAAUUUAUACAGUUCCUUCAUAUGCCCAAAUUAUCACCCUCCUCCAAAUCGCAGCUCAGUCAGAUCAUCUAUGUGAGCCCAGGUUCAAUUUAUAUUUUAUGGCCAAAUUGGCACGUUGCAAAGCAAGUGUUAUAUAGACCCCUCCUAUUACCCUCAAACUUUUCGGGCACUCUUCCAUACCCAAAUCAUUGCCACAUGAUAAUAUUCAGCUCAAUUUUCCUAGUAAAUCUUUCUCAAGAAAUUUCCAAAGUUUCUACCUCGAGAGAAGCUUUGUGAAGUAAGUACUAGCUAGGAUUACCCAAAUGAUCUGAAAAUUACCAGUGCAUGACCAUACCUAUGUAACUUACCUACACCAAUUUUUAGCUCAUUUAAUUCAUCCAAUCUCUCUCACUAGUUUUCCCAAGUUUUUGUCCAUAGAAGAGCAUUGUGAAGGAAGUACUACUUUGGCAUGUCCAAAUGGUAUCAAUUUUCUACAAUGCUUUCGUAUGCCCAAAUAACCAUCCUCCACCAAAUUUCAGCUCAAUCCAUUCAUUAUUUUGAGCCCAGCUUCAACAUUCAUAUUUUUGUCCAGCGUGGUACUUUGCAAAGCAAGUACCACCUAGGAUCCUCCUUUUGAGCUAAAAAUUUGUGAAGACAUUAUCCUUAGUAGAUGAUCAUCCUCAGCCAAAACUCACGCCCAUUGGCCAUGUGCAUUUCCCGUACCGCUAAUCAAACACUUGGCUGCUAAUUCAUCUUUGAGCAUAGGUCAGUCUCCUCGUGAGAUUCUUCUGUUGUAAUUUUCUUCCUAGCACCUACCUGGGGAGUGCCCAACCCACUAGACAUGCCUAGACCUCCCAGAAAGCAUGUCAAUGCCAAGGUCACGCGGUGACCACGCGGCGGGCAUGCGAGUUUACGCGCUUUGGAGUUGGGGCCCUGGGCCACAUCAAAACCUCGACGUAUCGCCACCAAACCAUGUAUUUAUGAUUAAAUAGAUACUUAUGUAACUAGAAAUGAUUUUUGGAAAAAAUAAAGAGCAAACAAUAACGUAGAUGCAGUUCAAAAUUGACCCACUUCCUACUGAAUCGGCAAAAAUUUGUCUUUUUCACAAGUGGUGGAUCAAAACUUUUGACACCAAACCAUUUUGUCAAUUAUGCAUUAAAUAUGGACUAAUAUUUUAUAAAAAUGAUUUGGUCCAAUUUUGCAACAAAUAUAUGGUAGCUCCUUCACAAAAAAAAAACUCAUUUUGGGCAUUCAAAAAAUGGAAAAUGAAUUUUUCGUGCAAAGAAAAUGAAAACUCCCUUAGGCAACAUUAUUUGGAAUUCCAAGAUGCACCCUUUUGCACAAUAUGAGAUCAUUUGAACAAACUAUGCCAUGAAUGUGGCCAUAAGAUUGAUCAUUUGGCUUGAAACCAUGAAUCUUCACGCAUGAUAGCUCAUUUCUGAGAACACUUUUUUAAAAUAAUUGUCGUAUUACAAGUUUGUUAUUUUCCCUGGAAACUUGGUCACAUAUAAUGACAGAAUGCGAAGGUUUCCCAAUUUUUUGAUUUUUUUUUUGAAUUUUUAUGCCCGUUUCGAAAUGCGAUGAAAAUGGCGGGUUUGACCGUUCCUAGCUAGUGGUUGAAUCUUGGAAAACUUUUGAUGUUUCUCUGAUUAAACAGAUACUUAUGUAUCUAGAAAUGAUUUUUUGAAAAAAUAAAGAGCAAACUAUGAGGCAGCUGCAGUUCAAAUUUGACCCGCUUCCUACUGAAUCGGCGGGAAUUUGUCUUUUUCACCAGAGGUGGAUAAAGGCUUUUGACACCCAACCAUUUGGUUAAUUGUGAAUCAAAUAUGGCCUGGUAUUUUAGAAAAAUGAUUUGGUCCAAUUUUGCAACAAAUAUAUGGUAGGUCCUUCACAAAAAGAACUCAAUUCGGGCACUCGGAAAAUGGAAAAUAGAUUUUCCGUGCAAAGAAAAUAAAAAGUUCCUGAGGAAACAUUGUUUGGAAUUCCAAUAUGCACCCUUGUGCACAAUAUGAGAUCAUUUGAACAAACUAUGCCAUGAAUGUGGCCAUAAGAUUGAUCAUUUGGCUUGAAAGUCAUGAAUCUUCACGUGUGAUAGCUCGUUUCUGAGAACACUUUUUUAAAAUAAUUGUCGUAUUACAAGUUUAUUAUUUUUCCUGGAAACUUGGUCACAUAUAAUGACAGAAUACGAAGGUUUCCCAAUUUUUUUUUGAUUUUUUUGAAUUUUUUAUGCCCGUUUCAAAAUGCGAUGAAAACGGCGGGUUUGACCGUUCAUAGCUAGUGGUUGAAUCUUGGAAAACUUUUGAUGUUUCUCUGAUUAAAUAGAUACUUAUGUAUCUAGAAAUGAUUUUCUGAAAAAAUAAAGAGCAAACUAUGAGGCAGCUGCAGUUUAAAUUUGACCCGCUUCCUACUGAAUCGGCGGGCAUUUGUCUUUUUCACCAGAGGUGGAUCAACGCUUUUGACACCCAACCAUUUGGUCAAUUGUGAAUCAAAUAUGUCCUAGUAUUUUAUAAAAAUGAUUUGGUGCAAUUUUGCAACAAAUAUAUGGUAGGCCUUCACAAAAAGAACUCAAUUCGGGUACUCGAAAAAUGGAAAAUGAAUUUUUCGUGCAAAGGAAAUAAAAAGUCCCUUAGCCAACAUUGUUUGGAAUUCCAAUAUGCACCCUUGUGCACAAUAUGAGAUCAUUUGAACAAACUAUGCCAUGAAUGUGGCCAUAAGAUUGAUCAUUUUGCUUGAAAGCCAUGAAUCUUCACGCGUGAUAGCUCGUUUCUGAGAACACUUUUUAAAAAUAAUUGACGUAUUACAAGUUUAUUAUUUUUCCUGUGAACUUGGCCACAUAUAAUGACACAAUGCGAAGGGUUCCCAAUUUUUUGAUUUUUUUUUGAAUUUUUUAUACCCGUUUCAAAAUGCGGUCAAAACGGCAGGAAUGACCGUUCCUACCUAGUGGUUGAAUCUUGGAAUUUUUUUGGUGUUUCUCUGAUUAAAUAGAUACUUAUGUACCUAGAAAUGAUUUUUGGAAAAAAUAAAGAGCAAACUACAAGGCAGCUACAAUUCAAAUUUGACCCGCUUCCUGCUGAAUCGGCGGAAAUUUGUAUUUUUCACAAGAGGUGGAUCAAAACUUUUUACACCCAACCAUUUGGUCAAUUGUGCAUUAAAUAUGGCCUAGUAUUUUAGAAAAUUGAUUUGGUACAAUUUUGCAAUAAAUAAAUGGUAGGUCCUUCACAAAAAACCCUCUUUUGGGGCACUCGAAAAAUGGAAAAUAAAUUUUUUGUGCAAAGAAAAUGAAAAUUCCCUUUAGCAACAUUGUUUGUCAUUCCAAUAUGCACACUUAUGCAAAAUAUGAGAUCAUUUGGACAAACUUUGCCAUGAAUUUUGACAUAACAUUAGACAUUUGCCCUAUAAGAGAAAAAAAGGAAAAAAAACCCCUACAAAAACUUAAUUCUGAUUGGUGGAAUUACUUGUGGCUUGGAUCGGUGACAUGGCAUCCAUCUGACCGUCCAUCCGUCCAUCCAUCCAACCCACGGCAGCAAACCCCCCCCCUCUCUCGAACCCCACCCAACCCCACCCCUCGUGACCUCCUCUCUCUCGCGCGAACCCUAGCGCUGCAUUCCUCCCUUGCCGCCGCCACCUCAAGCGGGAAUCCUGCCGUCCUCCUCUCACCCCCACCGCCGUUGAUCCUUCCCCGGCCAGCACUCUGUACCGCACCUCUCCCUCUCUCCCAUGGCACUAGAUCGAGCCGACGAGGCCAGUCCACGGCCAGAUCCGCCACCGCCACAGCAACCUCUCUCUCUUCCUCUCCCCGAUCCAGAUCGAAGAUGGCAGCUCCCACCGCAUCGCUCUCCCAUCGUCUCCCACCGUCCUUCCACACCGGCCGUUUCACUCUCUCUCGCACCCAAUCCAGAUCCCAACCUCCGGCUCUCCGUCCUACAUCCAGAUCCCGAUCCGUGGUGGCGCCCUCCGAUCCAACCCCUCCCUUCUUCUUCAACCGCAUGCGCCCGCGUCCAGCACCCGGAGUCCCAAGCCUCGACCUCCUCCUCACGACCAGCUCCGUUCCCGAGCGCCUUAGCCUCCCUGUCCCGCUGGAGGACAGCGACGACAUCUCCUCGGUCUCCUCUGUCUCAUCCACCACCACCACGCGUCCGCGGCCGCCACCGCCGCUGCGGGGGGCAAGACGGAGAGGCCGUUCCUGUCUCCAGGAGAAGAAGGGCGGAGCGCCGAGGAAGGAGGAGGUUGUCACGAGGGAGUACAUCGUCAACCUCCACAAGCGCCUCCAUGGCUGGUAUGCGUCCUCCCAACCCUGCUACUUCUGCUCACCGCUCUGGUCCCGCUACAAGAUCUGACUCGAUUGUUCACGCCGUCCUGCUGUAUUUGAUUUGCGGUGCCAAGAUCGUGCUCGAUGUUCUCGCUCGUCUUGGUUCGAAUAGAAUGUGCCCUUUCAUACUGUUCUGGCUGAACAAUUUCCUGAUGCUGCUGUGACUGUUAUCAACUUAUUAUAGAAUGUGCCCUUUCAUACUUCUCUAGUCUCAUUUAGACAUGAGCUGAGAGGUAUAUACUUCUCUAAUCUUGUUCAGACGCACUGGAAGCGGGUCAAUCACGCUCCAAGACGAGUACAGCUCUAUCACGCUCCAACUUGACCCAAUUCUCAUGCAGUCCUUCAGGUUCAGACACACUGGUUUCGGUAGUUAGUGACUGGAUGUUAACUAGCCGGGUUCUUGCACGGGCACGAAAGUUGGUGGUAAUAUACAGUAGUGGCGUGAGUGGUACUACUACUGCCCAUAUCAUAGUUCUCGAUUCAUGAGAUAUAUGAACUAGCCCGGUUCUUGACUUGCAUGAGAAUUGGUGUUAUAAUUACCGUACUAUAUGCAGAGUGAUGUGAGUGGGACUACUCCUGCUCGUGUCAUAGUUUUCAGUUCCAAGUAAAGUAAAGGGGUGAUUUUAUCCUUGUUCCAAAAAAUGUCAAUUGCUAAACUGAUAGAUCCGUAGUGAUGUGGUGUGAAUGUCAAAUUGUGAGCCUGUGUAUUGGAGCCUAAUAACUUAUGUUACGCUGACGGCUUUGAUUCGCCGAUUGCCGUGUAGGAGGGGCUGGUUCUGCUGCUGGAUGUCGGCCUGUCGAUGCACCGGGCGCUGCAGGAGGUUGAGAAUGUCUGCACCACCCUCGUGCGCAAGAAGGCAAGCAACACGCUCUUUCCAUCCGAAAAUCUGUGAUUGACCUAACCCAAUACAAAUGCAAGCGUCUGUUAAUCUGCCUUUGCAUUUUUUGUACUCUACAGCUUGAGUCCUGAUAACAUCCAAGAACAGUAUCUAGGACUGGCUUGCAUUUAUGCUUCUUAAAAUUGAAAACUGUGCUACUUAACUUUUUACCUGAUGUGACUAGCUUCCUACUUAUCAGUUUUUGCCCUGUUAAUAACUAGAAAACCUUUUCUUGUUAUUUUUCACUACAUCAUGUAGGUUUUAAUGCAACGGUGAACUGAAUGUAACUUCUAUUUCCAAGGGCCUGUAUAUGUUUGGUCCUCAUUAAUGUCACUUCAGGGAAGCCUUACAGUACAUAUAUAUGCACUGAACAAGUGUACAUAUAUAAUUUCCUAGUAUAUGUGAACUACACGUCAGCUUACAUGCUUGUGUUUUCAGUUAUACAUGAUUAAGUAGACCAGCUUGACACAAGUACUACUUUAUUGUCUGUAUUGUGUUGAGGCAUGUUGCAUAGUAGGUUUCUCGUGUCGAUUUAUUCAUGUCUGUGUUUAAGAGCUGAAUUUAGAUGUUGGGUUUGGCAGGAGAGCGAGGGGGUGGUCAUCAAGAAGGAAGGCAUUGACUUUAUGUCUAUCUGGAAUGCAUCAUGAAGACCAAAGUGAAUGUGGAGUAGUGCUUUGAGGAGGUUGUACUGAAGGUAUAUGUAUAUGUUACCACUUUCAGCUCCGUAUUUAUAUAUUUGGCUUCUUAGCAACAUCAAUAUUGGGCUGUGAAACUGUCCCUGCUUAAACAGUUACUUGUCCACACUUGAUUGAAGUGGAAGUACUUGUUCGGUUUUUAUGCUAGUAUAUAGUAGGAUUAUUAAUUAGCUCUUAUUAGUUGGUAUUGUUGUUGUACAAGCGGGGCCCUCUCUCCUAGAGAUAUAAUUCUGGGUGCAGGUUCAUCAUAGUUUUAGUGCAAAUAUUUGCAUCAGAUGGAUGGAUGGAGUGUUCCUUUCUUCCUUAUAAAGCUAGCCUACUAUGUUCAAACUGACACACUUGUGCAUGCAUGAUGAUGCAGAUUGUAGGCACGCUAAGCCUGCCGGCGGAUGCUUCUUCAGGGGCAAAGAAGAAAUCUUCAAGAAGAAGGUGCCUGAAGCUGAUGCCGCGUCGAGUGACUGAUCUUCCCUCGGGGUCGCCUGCUGUAGUCAUAUUGUCGCUGGAUCUCCCCCCUUCUCUCUCUGUGUGUUUUUCUGUCAAUAGCUAGUAGCAUAAGUUGGAGUUGGCUGUACCAGGAACUUAAUCUGCAUUUAUUCAACUAGAUCAAGUACAAGUACAUUAGUUCGUAAUCUUCUAUUAAUACAUCUCCUAGUCAUAAAUUUCCUGAAGUAGUGCAUGUAUAUAUUUAGGUGUUGUUUAAUUACAAAAUGGAUGUGAUUUCUAACUUGAUUGUUGUAGGCUACAAGAUAUAUCUUUGUUGGUUCAUCUUGCUGUAGAAUAUGCCCCUGUUCAUUCAUUUAUGUGUAUUGCUAUUUACCUCUGGUUACAUGUGAGAAGCACUCAUCUAUAUGUUUAUAUUUUGAGCAGCUGGGUACAACUACAGUUGCAGAAUCAUCUAGCCAAAUUUUGGGAGGAUGGCAUAAAAGAUUAGAUAACCCCUGCUUUUGAAAUCAUGGUAAGCUUCACAAGCUUGUAAGGUGUUUUCUGUUUUCAAGCGACUUUACAUCAAGUUACUGUUUCUAAACCGAAAUUCUAGACUAUAUAGCUCUUUAUUGUUCUCUCCACUUAUUUGUACAGCCAAGGAUGCUUACUUAACUGUAUAGCUCUUUAUUGUUCUUUUCCAGGAAUUCUAUUUAAGCUCCAUCACGAAAUCUAUUGUGCACUGCUAAGUCCAUGAGGUGAAGCGCUCACUGCUUGACCAUUUCUUUACUGAACUGGGAGCAACAGAGGCAAGAUAUUCGAAACAAGUUGAAGUCCUUUCGAUUCUUGAUUUCUAGCAUACACAUGCAACCUGAUUGGUGAUGUUACUGUAGAUAUGAUGUAGGUUCAGUGCUUACUAUUUUUUGAUGUGAUGCAUGUUACCUUCGUUUCUGUCUAUGCCUUCUUUAGUAUUUUGAUAGCUAACUAGUCUAUUGGUCGUUUUGAAAUAUGAAGAUGCAUGCACUGUUGCAGGCAAUCUGGCACAUCAUAUUAGUCCUAUCCCUUGUUUUGUCACUAGCAUACACUACAGUUUUAUUAAAAGGGGGGCAUAUCAUUUGCUCUAUAUAAUAGUGCUGAUUUUGCGCUGAUAUGAACUUACAACAGUAUUACAUUGUAGUGUUUUCUGCAUGUUGUAUCACUAGUUUCAUGAUGCCUUCUCAUUUGAACCUAUUCUUCAACAGUAUUACUUUGUUUGUAUGAUUGAGGGCAAUUUACUUGGUUCUUUGAUGGAGCACUAAAAUUGCCUUCCUGUGAUGUUGCAGGUGGCCAGUUUGUGCCGAAGGAGCUCCACGUUGAAGAAGAUUGAAGACACAUAGAGCUUGUAAAUUCUGUAGCUGUUACACAUAGAGCUCCAUACUGAUUCUGUUGUUGUUACAGAUAGAGCUUGUAAAACAGUGAUUGAAGAUGUAUUAUGUGUUAUUUAUAGAGUAGUAGCUCCACACUGAUUUUGGCUGCUGUUAUUUUAAGUACUACUUGUAUUUUUUUGUCUGCCAAUUUAAAUACUGGCUAUUUUUUACUAUGAAAUUGAAAUCUGAAGAAUAUGACCUUGACAAUUGGGACCCACUUACUAGAACCUGACAACUGGGACCAAUUACCAGAACUUACAAUUGGGACCCAUCUCAAUUGACCCAUCUUAAAACAAGAAAAGAAAAAUGUAAUUAUAAAAAAAAUCUGGAAUUGUUGAGCCAAAAAGGCCAUGGCCCAGAAAAUAAAAAGGCUAUAAUGUUGGGCUAGGCCCAUGAAAUCGAAGAAAAAUUGACAGGAAAAAAUAUUAAAAAGACUGAAUUAAUGGGCUCGGCCCAUCUAAAGCACUGAAAUGGACCGGGCUGAAUCUUGUGCCACAUCAGCUUGCCACGCUGGAUGCCUACAUGGCCUGGGGAGGCUGCUAGUGACCAAAACAGAACAGUAGGCAUAUUUUGGUCGUAAACGUCUUCGACCAUUCUAGAAGAAAGGUCGCUAUAGUCAGUUUAUGACGGCCAGCUUUUGACCUUAUGUUUUGGUCACGAAAAGGUCACAAAUGGAAAUUUGUGACCAUUCAGUGACCAAUAGUGGUGGUCACAAGUUGACAUAUUUCUUGUAGUGUUUCAAGGGUUGAAAGCAAAGAGACAUCCACUUCCGGAGGAGAAGGUAGAUCCGGUGAAAGCGAAGCGCACUCUGACUGCCCUGACAAAACCACCCAAGUCUCCGCCCGAAGGAAACUAUGAGCGCAUUAUUGGAAAGGAAUUUGCCGAAGUGGAGCGGUCGGGAAGUACUGUCAGUGAUCAAAGGCUGAAAGAAUGACGAGCUGGGAAACAAAUUGCCCAGCUCGGCGAACAAGCGAAGCAAUCGUGCCCCCCGCUAAAGGUGCCUAGCCACAACGUCGCUAAUGAUCCGAGGAUGGUGCCCGGUUAUAGCAAUCUUGCAGAUUACCUGCCCGACGAUGUACAUUAUGAACCCAUGGAGGUGCAGAUACAAAGAUACGAGUACGGGAAGCCUCUCGUCAAAGAUGAAAGAUCUCUAUCAACGAUGAUGCGAAGAUUGCAUGAUUGGUACUUGAAAAUCUGCAGAGACUCUGGGGGGGAGGAGUACUUUGUAUGUGAAAGUUAAAAAGGAGCAUGACCUCGUUGGAAUUGAACUGUUGCCUGUUCCAUUUGAGGAGUUCUAUCAGUUUUUCAAUCAAUUGGCCCUCGAUAAAACAACGGUCGCCUGCUACUGUUUGUAAGUAGUACUACUUAUGUCACUAAGUCUCUCUAUAUAGCUCAGCUCUUUCAUUGCAUGUAUUUAUAAUCAUCCUCACUAUAUUAUGCAGAUUGAAGAUCGCCGAAUUGAAGAAAAGACAAGUCGGUGAUAUUGGGUUCAUUAACACAUAUCUCAUAGAUGCAACUCAGGUUAAAUUUCAUGCCGCAGCUACCGAGGCCAACUUGCUACGAUCGUUGGUAAUAUAUGAAAACAAAGAUAUAAUACUCUUUCCUUACAACUUCAAGUGAGUGUUACUGUCGUGUGCGUAUUCGGUUUCCCUUAUAUAUUAGUCAAGGUUAUAGUAAUGUAAUUGAUGAGUUAUGCAUGCGUGUGCAGUUUCCACUAUAUUAUCCUAGAGAUUAAGCUUGAGCAGGGACUAGUAACCGUCUUAGACUCAAGACGAAAAGAUCCCCAGGACUAUGCAGACAUGACUCAAAUACUCGAGAAGUAAGUUAAAUCGAUCAUUAUCCACCAUAUCAGCAACUUUGUUCAUUUCCUGAUAUAUCAAGUAAUUGUUUUCUUUGUCCGGCAGGGUUUGGAGAAAAUUCACCAGAAAAGCUCCGGGACUGCCGAAGGAGCUGCAAUUUAGACACCCGAAAGUAAGUACUAUAGUAACAUGUUCCGCGCAUCUACUAGUCAUUCAAGCGCUAGUUUCAUCAAUACCAUUUGGCAUUCUUGCUUAUCAAUUUGAUUGACCUAUAUUUCUUGUAAAGUGGUUGUGGCAGGAACAAGGGAAUGAUUUAUGUGGAUACUACGUUUGCGAGUCCAUCCGCCACACGACCUAUGAGCGGGGCUACACUGACGAACAAUAUGAAGUACGUAAAUAACAACAUUCACAAUUUUAUUUUAUUACCAUCAUUUGUGUUGAGUUUCAUUCAUUCAUAUAUAUAUGUAUUGACCCCCUUCUUUAAAUUAGAUGUUUCGGAAGCAGGAUGAACUCCUAGCACCAGCUCGCAUGCGAGCAAUUCAAGAGGAAUUGGCGGCAUUCUUUCUUGACCAUGUGAUCCCUGAAGACGGAGAAUACUAUGUGGACCCUGAGUCCGUAUGAUUAUAUUUGUAAGAGAUAAUUAUUGUAUAUAUGUAGCCAGUAGUGUCGGAUAGAUAUACGAGAACUUGUUGUUCGACCAAUCUCUCGGAGAAGGAGAGGUGGUCGAUAUCACUUCUCUCUGUAUGCAUAUAUGUUCAUGACAAUCUUCUGUUUCCUUCGUUUGCUUACUAGCUAGCUAGCGUGUCUAGUCCUCUCUAUACGUAUGUAUAGUACGUAGCGUCGACCAAGCACGGACAUAAGAGAGGACACUUCUCUCUAUUAAUUAUAGCUAGCUAACACAAUAUAUGAAACACCUAAAUUAACCCCCCAAAACCCCCAACCCCCCCCNNNNNNNNNNNNNNNNNNNNNNNNNNNNNNNNNNNNNNNNNNNNNNNNNNNNNNNNNNNNNNNNNNNNNNNNNNNNNNNNNNNNNNNNNNNNNNNNNNNNNNNNNNNNNNNNNNNNNNNNNNNNNNNNNNNNNNNNNNNNNNNNNNNNNNNNNNNNNNNNNNNNNNNNNNNNNNNNUCUCCUGCCUGGGCUCCGCGCACAGGCCACGUGGAGGCCCAUCUGUUCCGGUUCAGGAUUGAACCGGGACUAAAGGGACAGGGCAUUAGUACCGACCCUUUAGUCCCGAUUACAGAACCGGGACAAAAGGCCCUUACGAACCGGGACAACAGGCCCUUUUUCUACCAGUGGGGAUGAGGAGGAGGAGGUUGGGGAGGGGAACGAGGAGGAAGAGGAGGCAUGCGAGGAGGAGAGUGGUGGCGACGGGGGUGAUGGUGGUGGCGGGGAGGGGGUUGGCAACAAGGGGUGGCUGCGUGGUAACGCAAAGGUACCAAAGCAGAUUCCUACUACCGAGGAGCAGAAGUGGCUCAUCGAGCCCACGGGGAAAGAGUAAGUGCCACUUUAUAAUAAUUUCAUUAUUUUGCUUGUCACAUGCUUAUAUUUCUCUUUUUUUGCUUGUCACAUGCUAAUAUUUCAUUCUUUUGCAGCAACUGGAUAUAUCCUAAAGGGGCCCGUAUUCCCAACGGCCUCAUCACCGUCUUGCUGAAGGUAUACUGGCCGGGGCUGUAUUGUCCGGAUCCAGUCAGGCACCCGGACCGCCUGGUUUUGGCCACGAGCUGGGACCACUAGGUAGCGGCCCCCACGCGGAUUAUGAGACCCAUGCUAAGGCCUUGAUCACUUAUUUUUGGGUGAGUUCUCUUCAGAAGCACAAGUCCAUUCUGGUUUCAUGAAUGAUUUAACUCAUGGCUUCUUCCAUUCUGGUUUCAUGAAUGAUUGUAGAAAUACUAUCGAGUUCUUCCGAAGCACAAGGCCAUUGCCGACAAGAUCGUGCUUUGCCAAGCCAAGAGUAAGGCCCGCUAGAUGCAGUACGAGGUGCGUUGGGUGGCCAUCUCGACAUACUAUCACAACGCUCUUGGUGUGAAGAUGACCAAGGAAGAAGCGCGGAGGACGGACAUUACCUUGGAGAGGCACCAGUACUUGGCGGUAAGUAUAAAAGAUUUUUAUUUCCAAUGUUUGUGGUACAUUUCAUCAUUUCGUGUUGACAUGUCAGUAUGCUUUCAUUAUGUAGGUAUGUCCAAAUUGGUGUUAUGGAAAAGACGAGUCCUGGGCAGCAUUGGUGGAUCUGUGGUGUGAUAAUGAUGGAGCUUGGGCGGCUACGAGCAUCAGAAACAAGGCUAACAGAGGCAGGGAGGGAGUACAAGCUCAGGGAAACCGAAACCACUUUCUUCACAAGACACUUGAGGUAUAUCUAUGUACAUUAAACAUUUUUCUUCUUUUUACCAUCACUUUCUUAUGUAUGACUAACCUCUGUUUGGUUGUUUGGUGGUGUAGGAGGAGAAACUGAAGCGGCCGCUCUCACACAUGGAGGUGUGGGAGAUCGCCCAUACACGAAGGAAUCCCAAGCCUGGCGAGGCCAAGUACUACGGCAAGACCGCGGAGUAUAAGAAGGCCUACUCCGAGGGGUAUCUGAGUUUACAUCCUGGCACACCUGACCCCAUUGCGGCGGAUCUGGACGAGAGGGUGGUGGUGAGCAUGGGGAAGAAGCACGGUCGGUCAUCGUUUCUGGAUGCUGUGAUCACUCCUUCUAUCUCCUACACAUAGCUCCGAGCAACCAACCCGAGCCUGUGGCAGCGCACGAGCACGUCCAUGACCAGUGCGCGGUCACAGUCCCUCUUUGCUGAGCGAAACUCUGUAAGUAUUUUCCCUCUUAUCUUCAUUGCUCACUUUAUUUUCUGCAUUGAGAUGUUUUGUGAGUACCAUCAUGUCAUACCGUAGGCCUACACGGAGUACACACGCCAGGAGACCAUGGCGUGGCACGAGAGCCUUCAUGCAUACCAUCAGCAGAGGGAUCUCAUGAUGCAACACUUCCUUGAGGAAAUGGCGGCCGGUAGGGUUCCUCAAUUGCAACCAGCACCAUCUCCUCCACCACAACCAGUGCUUCUUACUUUUGAGGAGUUUCUGACACAGAACCCUGGCCCCUCGCCGGUUAGUACAUCUCAAACUAUUCACCCAAAGUAUACUGUUUAUUCAACACAAUCAUAUAUCCCCUUAACAUGUCUUUUCAACAUCCAGGGAACCGGUGGAUCUACCGUUGGUGGUGGUGCUGGUCUUGGCAUCACUCCCGAGUCACGGAGCCCGGUCACUCCUAUCCACGGAGGCGGUGGCGGUCUUGGCGGUAGCGCUGCCGCUAGCAGUGAUGACCUAGGCUUCGGCGGACUUGGCGGUGACGACCUUGGCGGUGGUGGUGGAUGUCCUGGUGCUUAAGCCUUUGGGUGACGGUGGUCGUGAUCAUAAACUUGUGUUCUUUAGAUGACUUGUGGUCUUUUAUGGUCUUUUAGAUAACUUGUGUGAUUCUUUAGAUGCUUAUGUUUGUGAUGAUGGUUAUGUUUGUCAUGAUACUUAUAUUGUUGUGAUGGUGUUUGUUGUGAGGAUGAUACAUAUAUAUGUUGUGUAUGUCUAUUUCAUCAUAUAUAUAUGCUGUGAAUUUGAAUUGAAAUCAAACAAAAAAAAACAGACGAAAACUAUGCCUACGGCUUAGCCGUAGGCAUAGGGCUACCAUGAGCUACCAGAGGACGACACGUGGAGCCUAUGCCUACAGUUAGGCCGUCGGCAUACAUCUAAAACUAUGCCUACAGUUAGGCCGUCGGCAUAGCCUGGACCUAUGCCUACGGCACGGCCGUAGGCAUAGUUUUAGAUAUAUGCCGACGGCCAAGCCGUAGGCAUAGCCCUGCAUACGGAGCUUGUAGACGCCGCCACGUGGCAGGGCUAUGCCUACAUCAUAGUCAUCGGCAUAGAUUUGAAACUAUGCCUACGGCUAGGCCGUAGGCAUAGCCCUGCCACGUGGCGUCUCCUCUAUGGGCAGCACUUGACGGUGGCCACCGUUAGCGUGGAACUUUGCCGACGGCCCUGGCCGUCGGCAUAGAUGUACGGACACCGUCGGCAAAUUAUCUAUGCCGACGGCUUUUCUAUGCUGACGGCAUCCCGAGAUACACCGACGAAUAUUAUGUCGACGGCCCUAUGCCUACGGGGGCCGUCGGCAUAGGCCUAUCCCGACGGGAAUCAAGGCUAUGCCUACGGCCUGGGCCGUAGGCAUAGGGGUUUUUUCUGGUAAAAAUAACAACGUAAAUUGGGGUGCCAUAAUGCUAGCAAGCGUCACAGUCGGCAUUUGUAACAAUGGGCGUAUAUGGCAGCGAUUUAACGGGUUGACGUAUACUUGCGAGAUCACACAACGUUAUUGGUUUGACCUUGUUCGGCCACUACUCCAUACUGUGGCCUUGUCCCUUUGAGGGAUGUAGCCUCGAUUACAAUUUGUCUACACGAUACAACUUCAAUGGUGACCCUUGUUGCUCGACUGGGGUGAUCGGUGAAAACUUACCCAAACCCACUAUCCAAAUAGAAGCGUAGAACUCAACAUUCAUCCGAGUCUGUUUUCAACUAGAAACCUAAACCUCAUAGAUAACCUCACGAGAGCGUGGAGUAGAAUUGGAUGAUUUCUUUGCGUAAUUCUGUUUUGUACGAAAAACUAGCUUUUAUUAAUUUUAAAAUUUCAUGUACUUCGAAGCUAACAUUCAUGACUACAUAAAUUCAAUAUAUCUCAAAACGAUGAUUAUGUGUUUUAGACUAAAAUAUGCAUAUAUUUGAAAACAAAUAUUUGUUACUUCUAAAAAAUGGUUUACAUGCAAAAUCAUAUGCGAUGAUAAAAAAGACAAAGCUAUAUCAAAUAUUUAAAAAAUAAAACCAAUAAGUGGAGUAAAUAGUGAAAAAAGCGAAAAGGAGGAGUAAAGAAAAUGAAAAUGAAAAAUGACCUGAUAGUGGACCGACCCAACUAUGCAGGACACAGGAUUCUUGUGUAGUGCGGCUUGCAAGAAAAAAUAUUUGAGAGAGAAGGUUUGCAAAAUUUGGGGAAACGUUGAACCCGUGUGAGAUUAGACUGACCACUCUGGCCCAGUAAUUCAUAUAUAUUUUACAAAAGUAAUCACUGGUUUUCUAUUAAUGGAAACAAUUAUUUUUAUUAAUGGAGGAAAUUUAAAUAUAUAAUGAAUAUUCAUGCAACUGUAAAUAAACGUUUAUGAAAUUUUAAAACAUGUGCAUCUCAUAUUUUAAAAUUGUUCGCUACAUAGAGAAAAAUUCAUAUAGUCCGUCCUCGCCAAAUUGUGGUGCAUAUAUUUGUUUUCCAAAGUCCAACUCAAUGAGUUAUAGUAAAAUAAGAACAUUUACAAUACUGAAUACAUAGCAUACAAAAAUAUAUUUCAUGACAAAUCCUUUGGUACUGUAAUUGUCGAUAGUUUUUAUAUGAAUUUGGUCAAUGUUUGCAAAGUUUGGCUUUUCAUAAAACUUAUCUGCAUUAUUAUUUGGCAAGAAAAUUCCCCACAAAAAAAACUUGGCUAGAAAGAAAGUAUAUUAAUCGUUUCAAAGACCGAAAAUCCAUCUUUGCACCCGAGCUCAUCUGCACCUGCGCUAACAAAAAAAAUCGAAAAAAGCUAGAAAAAUUAAAAAAAAACUUUUUCCUGUGGUAAACAAUUUGAUGCAUGAGGUACGCUCCAAUUUUUAAAUUAUUUGAACAUCUAAGAAGCUCUCAGAAAAAAUGGGGGUUUGUAAAAAUGUUUACUGUUCAUGUAAUGUUUUGACCCAAUUUGUCUUUUUUGCUGAGAGCUGCUUAGCUGUCCAAAUGACUUGAAAUGUGGAGCGGGCCUCACGCAUCAAAUUUUCUACCGCACAGAAAAAUUGUGGAAUUUUUUGAUUAUUGUUUGAAUUUGUUACGAUUUUUUUCUAACCAGGUGCAGGGCACCGAAACGCCCUACUCAAGCUUUGAAGACAGGUUUUCGCGUAAUUUGGAAAAAUUUACAUAUUUUAUCCUAAAAAACAAAAAGGGAAAGGGAAAUGGGAGAAUAUUGAGAACCACAGAGAAGAAAGAACACGGGACAAAUGGAAAAAGAAAAAACAAAAACAUUUUGCACCUAUGAGGCGCUUCUUUCUUCCGCAAUGGGUGAUAUAUAGGAAUCGGAAGCGCAGCGCAUACGAUAGUUCACAUGCUCGAGUUUUCUCCUAACAUUGAAAAAAAAUGUUUUCUCCUAAAAUAAUCGAGCACGGCUACCUCCUGCCAAAUGUCGAAAGAGAAGUGUAUAUAUCUUCACUAUGUAUACAAGUGUUACGAUUGAUAGUAGUUCUCCUUGCCCACGUCAUGCCAAAUGUAAAAGCAGAAGUUUAUAUCUCAUUAUUAUGUAUACAACUAUAAGUAGGAUUGAUAGUAAUUCUCCAUGCCUUUGCAUGAGAAAGUGGGAAUUCGAUUGUUACAUAAUAUGUGGAUGCAUGCAUGAUUUGCUGCUGCUCGUACAUAAAAUACACAUUUCAAGUUCUGGUAUUUAUAUUGGCCAUUGGUUCUGUGGCCUUAUUCAUUCAUCAGGUGUCUGUGCUGGCGAGCGCUGCCGACCAGGUAUUAGGUAGUAGCUCGUCAUUCAAUCACGAGUUCACCCUGGAGCAGCUGAGCCUGAUCUGCCCUUGCGUCCCCGUCUUCGGCGCGAUGUUGCCCAUCUUGAUCAUGGCCGUCGUGAACGCGCUGCUGAACGCUGCCGGGUUGGACGCGAAGUUCCGGACGGUGUUGUCGGUGGUGUCGUUGUUGAACAGCACCUGGUCCGAGUGCAGGAGCCCCUUCUGUGACACGAGGUUGGUGUAGUAGGCGUUGUCGAACGUGUUGGCCGUCGUCGUGUCGAGGUUCGCCAGGCUGCCGUCGCCGCCGGACCGGGGGCAGUUGGCCCGGAGAGAUGUGGCGAAGGUCGUGUCGAUGUUAGUCUCGUUGUAGAUCCUGUCCUUGAAGGUCCCGCACUGCGCCUGGCCGAUGGUGUGCGCGCCGGAGAGGGCCACCAUGUCGACCGUAAGGAGGCCCUUGUUGCUGAAUGCCAGCUCAAGAUCUGACCGGCUAGACGUAGGGCCUGGGAGGUCGCUGUUUGCCGCCGCCUCGUUUGCAUCUAUGGAAUCCCUUCUUCCCAGAGGGACUGUCCAUGAUGGCCCUCCGAGCUGCACGCGAAGGAUACGAAGAAAACGGUUAACGAUGGCAUCCAAUCGAUGAUGUACACGAUCGUAAGAUGAUAUUCUUACGGCGACAACGGAGUCACGGGCAGCGACGGUGAGGAUGUCGGCGCAGGAGACGGUCUGGGCGCAGAUGGCCUCGAUCUGUGUCUUGAUGCUGUCGAUGACGCCGAAGCCCCGCAGUGACCCGUUGUUCGGGAGAGCGUUUUGUUCCAUGCCAGAAAGCAGAACAGACGCGUCACAGCCCUGCACAUCACAUGCUUAUAGUGUUUAGCAAGCAAAACCUAUACAAAACAGGGUACGUGACGGCUAUCGGGAUAUGCAUGCAUGCAUGUGGCCAACUUACUUGGACGAAGCAGUCGUGGAAGUGCAGCCGGAGCAGCGACGCGCCCAUCCGAGGAUCGCUGCUCACGGCGGCCAUGACGCCGCUCUUGAUGGUGGCCAGGGCCCUUGUGCAGGAUGUGUCGUAGAACGUCGGCGACAGCUGCCCCGACACCACGGCGGCCAGAGCCACGAGCACCACCAGAGAAAGGUAAGAGGCAGAGGCGGCCAUGGUUAGCUAGCUAGCUACAAGAGCAAAGCUACGCCGGCUUACUAGCUACCUGGUGGUGGUGGAGUGGUGGUGCUUAGUGGAUUGUGCAAGAGAGUGGUGCAUCGCAUGCAUAUUUAUAGACAAAGAUUUAGCUCACGUGCACCUGCAGAUCGAUCCCGGUCAGCUCAUCCAAAAUUUAGGUCCCAUUAGUCCAACGUUAGUCUCCGACACCUGUUCGAUCGGGUAUACCGCGAGCUUCCUGCUUGAGCGAUCUCUCUUGGCGUAUUCAAGGCAGCUUCCAGCUUGAGCCGCUACCGCCAACACCAACACCUGAAUUUUCCUUGCAACAGGGCCAACUUGAGCGAUCUCUCUUGGCGUUUAUCACGCAAAAAUCGGCAAAACAUGGAACGAUCUCUCUUUUUUCAUCAUUUCCAUGCUAGCGGGCGCCUGGAGCCAUGUGUGCGUGGACACCAACCAUUUGACCUUACGUACGAAUAGUGGUGGGGAGUCGGCGUUGUUCCAAGGCGAUUCACGCUCGUUUUGACCGGUGCGCAGUCAUCUUGCGCUCCCGUCGCCUUCGGCCAACACGAGAUAAUUCGGCAGCUGAGACAGUACUGAGAGGAAAGAUCUAAAAAAACAAUCAUUUCAUAGCCUUUUCCGAGCUUCUGAGAGGAAAGUGAGGCCAAGCCCGGUUCGACUGCCGGGUUGCCCACGCCCAGGGGCGGAGCCAGGAUUUAGGCAUAAGGGGGGCGAGAACGAUAAUAAUCGUUUCUGAUACACACAACACACACAAAAAAAAUAGUCUCAAAAGUAGAAUUGAUAUGAAUGAAAAUAUAUGUUUGAUAAUAACAUGGGUUCAAAUUAUCGUGCAGAAUAGCUUGCUCCUCAAGUGGAUUUGUGUUCUAAGUAAUAUUUCGAAACAAUGAGCUUUUACAAUGAAUCUAUAUUUGUAAACAAGAAGUGAAACUAUAUUUGUAAAUUACAAUCUUACCUAAUUAGUAAAUAAAAUCAUUGAUUUGAAACAAAUUGUAAUGACUCAGGAUUACUCCCUCCGUUCUUAGAUAAAAGUCUUUAUAGAGAUUCCAUUAUAGACCACAUACGGAAUAAAAUGAGUGAAUCUAUCCUUCAAAUGCAUCUAUAUACAUCCGUACGUGGUUUAUAUUGGAAUCUUUACAAAGACUUAUAUUUAGGAACGGAAGGAAUACUAUAUACCAGAAUUCUUUCGAAGUCAAUCUGUUGAUGUGUGACGCGCUGUAGCAGACGAGUAGUUGUGAUCUCCCUCAAUUGCCCGGGAGAAUGUAGUGCCCUCUGCCAUGUGCGGCUGUGCAACAACCAGAACGGCGGAAGCAGCGGCAGGCUAUGCCGCGACUGGUGACGGCGACGGCGACGGCGGCGCAAAGACGUACGUAUGGAGGGAGAGCACAGACCUAGAAGGCAGGAACGUAAUUACGGGAAGGAUUAGGGAAUUAACUACACGAUCUCACGGCUGGAUCUGGAUGUAAUCUUUUUUUCUCACGCGUAUGUACACCUAGGGAUGCUUUGGGCCUUUGGGUUGAGAAGUUGCCAUGCUAGGCCAUUAGCGCCGCUACACACACGUAUAACUAAAACAACAGGUCAGCCAUAAUAUACGUAUAAACUACAACUACUAANNNNNNNNNNNNNNNNNNNNNNNNNNNNNNNNNNNNNNNNNNNNNNNNNNNNNNNNNNNNNNNNNNNNNNNNNNNNNNNNNNNNNNNNNNNNNNNNNNNNNNNNNNNNNNNNNNNNNNNNNNNNNNNNNNNNNNNNNNNNNNNNNNNNNNNNNNNNNNNNNNNNNNNNNNNNNNNNNNNNNNNNNNNNNNNNNNNNNNNNNNNNNNNNNNNNNNNNNNNNNNNNNNNNNNNNNNNNCCCCUGUUCGCACCCCCCUGUCUCCGCCCCUGGUCAACCCAGAACCAUGUCGCCAGACGAUCGGUCAACUUGAUACGAAUUCCAUGGUGGUCCUUGUCUGAAUCAACCGAUGGAAGAAAAUUAACUGAACCCUACUCUCCGAAUGGAAGCCCGAAGCUCAGCCUUCACCGAGUAUGUUUUUAAUUGGAAGCCUUAAUCUUGAAGAGAUCCUUUGUUUUCCUAGUACAAAUCUCUUCAUGAGUUUUUGUAUUCGCGUCCUAAAGAGGGAGAACCUCCCACUGCAAAAAUAACCAAUUCUUCAUGAUUCCUUUACGGGUGGAAGAAACCCAAACAGAUUUGAUGAAAUAAUAAUUAUUUUUAAAUCUGGGUAGCAAUCGCCAUAAACAAUUUUUUAGCUCGUGUACUGUUCCUCAAUCUACAAUGUUUCUUCAAAUCUUUACGGCCACAACAAAAUCAUCAUCCCAUCUAGUUAAGAUAUAUAAUGAUGAUGCAUUAACCCAUUUUUUGCAAAAAAUGAUGCAUUAACCUUGACCCAUAUGAAAAAAUAUUUCAACAUCGAAUAAACUCAGUUCUUAUGUAGGUGCGUUAUGACGUACACAUUUUGUCACAUGUCACUGACGGAGAAACUAGAUUUUGUCACUGAAAUUUUUUCAUUUCAUGUAUACUAAAUAAAUGUCCAUGCUACUAGUAAGUUUUUUUUGGGGUAGAAUUGGACAAUUUCAUUUGUAAAUUUUCAUAUGCAAAACUAUCUUUUAACUAAUUUUGAAAUGUUCAUGUACUUCAAAACAACGUUCAGGACUAUAAAAAAGUCCACCUCUCUCAAGAAACUGAUUAUGUAUUUUAUAAUAAAAUAUUCAUGUGUUUGAAAACAAAUAUUUACAACUUCUAAGAUAUGUUUUCACAUUCGCAUGAAUAUUUUUAUAAAACUAUCUGAAUUGUAAAUGGAAUUAGUUAAAUAACAAUGUUAAAUAUAAUACAAUUAAAAUAAAAAUGAAAUAGAAAGCAAUAUGUAAUAUUUUUAUGAAGAACCAAAUAAUAAGUGAAGUUAUAGUGAAAAAACAAAUAAUGAUGUAUAAUGUUAGUUAAAUAAUUUAUUUGCUUAGUCAAUUUUUAGAAAGUUUGAAUAAUGAAAAAACUUACAUACACUAUAAUUUGGAUAGGUGGAAGUAUGUCAAAAAAAAGUUGACGAGAUUGUUUAAAAAAACUUACAAAUAUACACUAGAAUUUAUUUUUCUAAAUAAUUUACUAAGCUUCUUUUCGAAGAGGUCUUCGAUAUUUUUUGUAUUCCUUGUUGGUGAGCUUGCGAUGAUGAAUUGGAAUCCUGAGGUACUUGAACGGUAGGAAUCUCACUUCACAACCAAAGGGUUGCUUGCAUUGACUCACCUCCUCUUUUGCCAAAUGAUCAUUUGUUUCAUAUUAUCAUUGUUUUCAUGAAGUUGUAUGAUCAAACAUGUGUUUACAAAAACAUGGUUAUGUAUUUUAGAAUAAAAAUAUAUUCACGUAAUCCCUCCAUGCUAAAUUCAGUGCAUAAUUUGUUUUCAAAAGUCAACCUUUGGAAACUUUGACAUAGUUUAUAGAAAACAUAUGAAUAUUUACAAUGCUGAAUGUCUAUCAUAUUAAGAAUUAUUUCAUGACAAAUCUCGGGUAAUGUUAUCCAGCGAACGUUCGCUGGGAUUGUACGGCAAAACCAAACGGCAAUUUAUGUGUUGGGAGCAUGGCAAUCCAUUCAAACAAACACGGCAAUUUCGCAGCAAAAUCCUCUAUUUGCCACAAGUUGCCAUGUGUUUGUGAAGAAAUUGUCAUUUUCUUCCGAAUAAUUUCCUAAAUCCUCGGGGUGGUGCCCGGUCAGGUGGCUCCCUUGAACCUCGGCCCCGUAGGCGACGGCCUCGGAAGGGUUGAUCCCGUCGAUGUUGACGGGCUCCUUACCGUCCAAGUAGUUCUUGACAAGUUGUUGCACCAUGGGGAUCCUGCUGCCACCGCCCACAAGGAUGACAUCGUGGAUGUCUCCCUUCUCCAGCUCGGCGUCCACCAGGGCCUUCUUGAACGGAGCCAUCGUCUUCUAGAAGCGGUUUUGUUGAGCUCCUCAAAUAGGUUGACACUGUCCAACAGGGCCUUGACCUCCACGCCCACCUGGUGCUGGUCGUGGUCGCUCAGCGCCCUUUUGGCACGCUCACAUUCCCGUAGCAGCCUCUGCAUCGCAUGGCCAUCGCCGGUGACAUCCCGACUGUGCUUCCGCUAGGUCAGCUCGGCAAAGUAACCCACGAGUCGCCGGUCGAAGUCGUCACCAUCGAGGUGCACAUCGCUGCGGGUCAUUAGGACAUCCAACACGCCCUCCUCGAGAGUGCUGACAUUAUCAUUUGUUUCAUGUUAUCUUUGUUUUCAUGAAGUUGUAUGAUCAAAUAUGUGUUUACAAAAAAAUGAUUAUGUAUUUUAGAAUAAAAAUAUAAUCACAUAGUCCCUUCAUGCUAAAUUCAAUGCAUAUAAUUCGUUUAUGAAAGUCAAUCUUUGGAAACUUUGACAUAGUUUAUAGAAAACGUAUGAAUAUUUACAAUACUGAAUGUAUACCAUAUUAAGAAUAUAUUUCAUGAUAAAUCUCGGGUAAUGUUAUGCAGCGAAUGUUCACUGGAAAUGUAUGGCAAAACCAAGUGUCAAUUUAUGUGUUGGGAGCAUGGCAAUCCAUUCAAACAAACACGACAAUUUCGCAGCAAAAUCCUCUAUUUGCCACAAUUUGCCAUGUGUUUCUGAAGAAAUUGACAUUUUCUUACGAAUAAUUUCCUAUGGAAAACAUUCACAAUUGCCAUGCCCCACAGCAAAACGUUCACUGGCUAUUGGGGUCCUAAAUCUAAUGGUCUUGAUCUGGUAUUAUUGUUGUCGCUAAAAUAAUUUAUGUGCUUAGUAAUUUUUAGAAAGUUUGACUACUAAAAAAAUUAUAUACAAUAUAAUUUGGAUAAGUGGAAGUAUGUCAAAAUAAAUAAAUUCAUGCAUGCAUUUGAGGAAAUUUGUCAUGUGUGCUAUAUUAUAUGAUCUUGUUAUCUCUUAGAGAAUUCAUACAUAUUUCCUCCUAAAAAGGUGAAAAAUGGGAAAAGUGAUUUCUUUUAUGAGAAUUAAGAGAAACAAAAGAUGGGAAAGAGUAGAAACGAAACAAUGAGAAAAAACAGGGGAAAAUAAUAANNNNNNNNNNNNNNNNNNNNNNNNNNNNNNNNNNNNNNNNNNNNNNNNNNNNNNNNNNNNNNNNNNNNNNNNNNNNNNNNNNNNNNNNNNNNNNNNNNNNNNNNNNNNNNNNNNNNNNNNNNNNNNNNNNNNNNNNNNNNNNNNNNNNNNNNNNNNNNNNNNNNNNNNNNNNNNNNNNNNNNNNNNNNNNNNNNNNNNNNNNNNNNNNNNNNNNNNNNNNNNNNNNNNNNNNNNNNNNNNNNNNNNNNNNNNNNNNNNNNNNNNNNNNNNNNNNNNNNNNNNNNNNNNGCUAUGUUAUACGCAGUGGGUGGUAUAUAGGAUUCGGGGAGCGCAGCACAUACGCGCCAUUUCGUGUAAUUUUCUCCUAACGUGGAAAAAAAGUGUUCUCGUACAAUAAUCGAGCACGGCCACUUCACGCCCAAUUUCACAAGAGGAGUUUACAUCUUCAUUCUGUGUACGAGUGUAAUAAGGUAGGAUUGAUAGUAAUUCUCCUUGCCUUUUGCAUGAGAAAUUGAGGAUUCAACCGUCGUUACAUACGUUGAUGCAUGCAUGAUUUGCUGCUGCACAUGCUUUGAAAAUACACGAUUCAAGUGCUGGUAUGAUAAGUGGUACUGGCCACUGUUUUGGGGGCCUUAUUCAUUCACGUGUCGUGCUGCCGACGCAUACGUCCAUCACGAGUUCACCUUGGAGCAGCUGAGCCUGAUCUGGCCCUGCGUCCCGGUGAGCGGCGCGAUGUUUCCCAUCUUGAUCAUGGCCGUCGUGAAGGCGCUGCUGAAGGCCGCCGCGUUGGACGCAAAGUUGCGGACAGUGUUGUCGGUGGUGUCGUUGUUGAAGAGCACCUGGUCCGAGUGCAGGAGCCCUUUCUGUGACAGGAGGUUGGUGUAGUAGGCGUUGUCGAACGCGUUGGGCGUCGUCGUGUCCAGGUUCGCCAGGUUGGUGUUGCCGCCGGACUGGGGGCAGUUGGCCUUGAGAGACGUCGCGAAGGCAGUGUUGAUGUUGGUGUCACCGCCGUAGAUCCGAGUCCGGAAGUUGGAGCACUGGGCCUUCCCGAUGGUGUGCGCGCCUGAGAGCGCGACCAUGUCGACCGUGUUAAGGUUCUUCUUGAGGAACGCGGCCUCGAGCUGUGACCGGCUAGAGCUCGGGCCAGGGAGGUCACUGUUCGCCAGCGAGGCACUUGCGGUGGUGGAGUCCCGUCUCCCCAGCGGGACAGUCCACGAUGGCCCUCCAAGCUGUAUGUGAAAGAUAGCAGACCAAGUAGGAAAUUAAGUAUGUACUAAAUCAGCGACAAUUUAUAUGAAUCGGAGGGGAUAUAUGUUCUAUCCUUCAGGUAGCAUCGAUCAUGUAAAUGAGUGUAGUACUAAGAUGUUCUUACAGCGACAACGGAGUCGCGGGCGGCGACGGUGAGGAUGUCGGCGCAGGAGACGGUCUGCUUGCAUAUACUCUCCAGCUGGGUCUUGAUGUUGUCGAUGACGCCGAAGCCCCUCAGCGACCCCACGUUCGGACCCGCGUUUUGUUCCAUGCCAGACAGAAGAACAGAUGCGUCACAGCCCUGUAGCCAACAUAAACGUAUUAGGUCGGAAUAUAAAUUUUGUUAAAUCCGGGAGUUCAAGAAAGUUGGUUAAGGGAAAAAGAGCUGAUAUAUUAUGUGAAACUUGCUUGGACAAAGCAGUCGUGGAAGUGCAGCCUGAGCAGGGAGGCGCCCAUGCGGGGGUCGCUGCUCACGGCGGCCGCCACGCCGCUCUUGAUGGUGGCCAGAGCCCUGGGGCACGACGUGUCGUAGAACGUCGACGACAGCUGCCCGGACGCCGCCGUGGCCAGAGCCACGAGCACCACCAGAGAAAUGCGAGAGGCAGAACCCAUGGCCAUGGUUAGCUACCUAGCUACAAGCCCAGAGCUAUGCGUGCUACCUGCACUUGUUAUCUGGUUGUGGCUGUGGCUGUGGCUGUGGCUUGCAAGAUAACGCAGUAUUUCAUGCAUAUUUAUAGGGAAAAUUUGAGCUCACGUGCAGCUGCACAUCAGUCCCCGUCUCCCAGUUGGGAGAAAGCAUCCAAAUUUUAUGUCUGAUUAGUCUAGCAAGCAUCCAAAACAGAUGGUCGAUUGGUCUAUGAUGGCUGACGAUCGACGUCGACCCGGCAUCCACGAUCUGCCCAGCGCCGUCGUCUGGCCAGCUAGAUGUUGGAUAGGGAAUACGGGUACUGACAAACCCGCCGAUUUUUUAGAAGGGUCAGACGCUUGCAUCCAAGUGUGGCAACCUCCAGCUUAAGCGCUUAAAUCGCUACGGCCAACACCGGCCCUACAUAUUUUCCCCCGGCAAUAGGGCAUAUCAUGUACUCGAAUAAUUUCCCGUGAUCUGCCUUGGCCUUAUCAUGUAUCCGUUAGGUGCCCGUGGGGGAGAGAAACGUAUAUCUGUGAAUCAAUAAUGGCAUACAGCAUCUCAUAAUAAUGUUCAUUGUUUUUGAUAUAGCUUACCACUGUUGCCAAAUGGUUCAUCUCAUAAUAAUGGAGUAAUAUAUUCUUCAUCAUUUUUUUAGGUAUAGCUAUGGUCGUGAACCUGCUUUGAGGGAAUAUAAGAUUGUUAGGCUUUUCAAUUGUAAAUAAACUUAACAUGCUUUUUUUGUCAAGUGACUCCGGGCCGGCAAAACAAGUGUUAUUGCGUCAUAGGCUCAUAGCCCCGCUACAUGAGCAUUUCGUCCUACGAUCAGGCCCAGCUGAAGAGCAACAGAUGUUUUAUAAGAGGUUUUGAAUCAUCGAUCACGUCAAAAGAAUAACCUUACACGAUACCAUCGCCUUUAAAUUCAUGAUGUGUCUCCACUCCCGCAACUAACCUGCGGGUAAUUAAACCCCAACACAAAUUUCACUUUGCACGGUAAAAGAGCUAACAUGCACUCUACUAUCGGAGUAAACAGGAGCAUACGUCCACAUGCACCAUACAUAGGUUCAUCUCCAACUACAUGGAACGAGCUCCAUGGAUGCUAUUGCAGAUGGUGAUACAGCCCGAGCCUGAAGCUACGCAUGGACGCACCAUUUGACCUAGCUAAUACUCAUUUCGUUCCAAAAUGAGUGUCUCAACUUUAUAUUAUUAUAGUAUAAAGUUAUAUUAAGUUUGAGGCACUUAUUUUGAGACGGAGUGAGUAGUAAGGAGUCCGCUUCUGUCCAAGUUAAUUCAGCCUCGCUUUGACCGCAGCGCAUCAUCUUGCGCACAGGUUGUGUUCGAUGAAAGUGACACGAUGCGAUUCAGCAGUGGCAGUUUCUUUCAUGCUCUGUACUACAGUUGAGAGGGACUUGGCUCAUACGCAGGCCUGCGAGGAAACAGUUUGGGUCAAAUCAUCCUCUAGCCGCACGCCAUUUGGGCUUCUUCUGUUCCCUUGGUGUUGUUGUUGGGUGCGUCUAAAUGUCGCCUACUACAUGCGACUCACCUCCAGCAUUCUAUAUGGGCCCGCCCAGCAGCAUGAGGCCUUGAGGCGUGCCUAGUUCGAGCGCACAAGUCUCACAAUCACUUUCGCUCAAAAACAAACGAGCAGCACGUUAAGUCACAAUAAAAAAUGUUACAAUUUUUAUCUAAAAUAACUUAAGGCACAAUUUUAUUUCUAUUUUUCUGUCUUUUUUUCAAACACAAUACAACACAGAUGUUCCGGUAAGUGUGUCUGAGUAAAUGAAAAACUGACCAAAAGUGGUUGGCGGGUCCCAGCCACUUUCCUCACAUAUUACAAAUACGGGCAGUUUUGCAGGCACAAUACAUCUGAUAUACAAGGACGUGGGCCAGCACUAACACGAAUCGCGGAGUAAACGGCCGGUCUAGGAUCUACCAGUACAUGACGGAACCGCGCAAUAUGACUUUGCAGGCAUAUCAUGUACUCGAAUAAUUUUCCAUGGUCUGCCUUGGCCUUAUCAUGUAUCCGUUAAGUGCCUCAGGGAGAGAGAAACAUAUAUCUGCGAAUCAAUAAUGGCAUACAACAUCUCAUAAUAAUGUUCAUUGUUUUAUUUUGAUAUAGCUUACCACUCUUGCCAAGUGGUUCACCACGUAAUAAUGGAGUAAUAUAUUCUUCAUAAUUGUUUUUUAGGUACAGGUGUGGUGGUAAACCUGCUGUGAGGGAAUAUAAGAUUGUCAGGCUUUUCAAUUGUAAACAAACUUAACAUGCUUUUUUGUCAAGCGACUCCGGACCGGCAAACCUGUGUUAUGCGUCGUAGCUAGGCUCAUAGCCCCGCUACACCAGCAUUUCGUCCUCCUAUCAUGCCUAACUAAAGAGCAACAGAUGUUUUAUAAGAGGUUUUGAAUCAUCACGUCAAAAGAAUACCCUUACGGGAGAGGAUACCUUCGCCUUUAAAUUCAUGAUGUGUCUCCUCUCCCGCAACUACCAUGGGUAAUUAAACCCAACACAAAUUUUCACUUUGCACCAUAAAAGAGCUAACGUGUACUCUACUACGGGAGUACACAGGAACAUACGUCCACACGCACGAUCCAUACAUUGGUUCAUCUCCAAUUGGAUGGAACGAGCUCCAUGCAUGCUAUUGCAGAUGGGGAUACAGCCCGGAGCUAUGCAUGGAUGCACCGUUUCGCCUAACUAACGUAGGGAGUCCGCUUCUGUUCAAGGCAAUUCAGCAUCAAUUUGACCACAGCGCCGUCAUCUUGCGCACAGUCGUGUUUCAAUGAAAGUGACACGAUUCCAUUCAGCAGUGUGACAGUUUCUUUCAUGCUCUGUAUUGCAGUAGAGGGGGUUGACCUUCUUUUCGAAAAAAAGAAAAGUAGAAGGGCACUCGGUUCGACGCAUGCCUGCGACGAAACAGUUUGGGCCAAAUCAUUCUCUAGCUGCACUUGGGCUUCUUCCGUCUGCUGGGUGUUGUUGUUGGGUGCGUCCAAAUGUCGCCUAACAUGCGACUCGCCUCCAGCGUUCUACACGGGGCGGCCCCAGCAUGAGGCCUUGAGGCGUGUGUAGUUCCAGCGCACAAGCCUCACGUUCGCUUUCGCUAAAAAACAAACGAACAGCACAUUAAGUCACAAUAAAAAAAGUCCCAUCAAAACAAAAAAAGUCACAAUAAAAAAGUUACAAUUUUUAUCUAAAAGAACUUAAGGCACAAUGUUAUUUCUAUUUUUCUGUCUUUUCUCAAACAAAAUGCAACAGAUGCUCACAUGUUAUUUCUGUACUUUCAGAAAUGCCAUUCUGACCAGCCGCUAAUGGAGUGUAGUGCCAAGUGCGAGAGCAUAAUGUUUUUAUUGCAUAGUAAUUUUAAUCUCCUAGGCCUACUAGUCCAUUCUGACGAACGAACAAGUGAUUACAAAUUGACUUUUGAUCAAUGAAAUGCAUGCAUGUCUGCCCUUUUAUCGCAUUGACCCUUUUAUCUGGAGGUUGGGUAUAACAUUUUCCAGUUGUAUCGCGUUGACCCUUUUAUUGAAAAAAGAGAGUAUGAGACAUGGCAAUCAAUUGCAAUCACGAUUAAACUGUAAUAAAAUAAAGACAAUAACUUUAGAAGCACCACGUUUAAUGCCUCUAUCAUGUAAAACUGACAUUGUGAUUGUUAUGUGGCUAUGUGUGGCUAUUUAGCUAGUACUACCUCUAAGCGAUGAAUUGAUUAAUUAAUAAUCACUAGCAAAAGAGCCUGUACGUUGCAAUUGGAGAAAAAUUGCACACGCUCUUAACCCCGUAACCAUCAUUCAAGACCACAAUAGGUCCACGUCGUUUUUUUAGGGGGGGGGGGGGCAUCACAUUUGUUCUGCCGCUUAUCCUCCUUCUCAACCUCGCUGGCGGUGCGCUCAAGGUUCACACAAACCAAAAUGUGUUUGAAUGUGGUUUAGUCCUAAGAUCUCUCGUGCACGCGCGGUGAGAAAUCUUUUGUUUUUUUCCUCUACAUCAACACCAUAGCCUCUCCGAUGAAGUGUGAGUACCUCAGACCUUCGGGUCCAUAGUUAUUAGCUAGAUGGCUUCUUCUCUCUUUUUGGAUCUCAAUACAAUGUUCUCCCCCUCUCUUAUGGAGAUCUAUUCGAUGUAAUCUUCUCUUUGCGGCGUGUUUGUUGAGACCGAUGAAUUGUGGGUUUAUGAUCAAGAUUACCUAUGACCAAUAUUUGAAUCUUCUCUGAAUUCUUUUAUGUAUGAUUGGUUAUCUUUGCAAGUCUCUUCGAAUUAUCAGUUUGGUUUGGCCUACUAGAUUGAUCUUUCUUGCAAUGGGAGAAGUGCUUAGCUUUGGGUUCAAUCUUGCGGUGUACUUUCCCAAUGACAGUAGGGGCAGCAAGGCACGUAUUGUAUUGUUGCCAUCGAGGAUAACAAGAUGGGGUUUUCAUCAUAUUGCAUGAGUUUAUCCCUCUACAUCAUGUCACCUUGCUUAAGGCGUUACUCUGUUUUCAUGAACUUAAUACUCUAGAUGCAUGCUGGAUAGCGGUCGAUGAGUGGAGUAAUAGUAGUAGAUGCAGGCAGGAGUCGGUCUACUUGUCUUGGACGUGAUGCCUAUAUACAUGAUCAUACCUAGUAUUCUCAUAACUAUGCUCAAUUCUGUCAAUUGCUCAAUAGUAAUUCGUUCACCCACCGUAAAAUACUUAUUCUCUUGAGAGAAGCCACUAGUGAAACCUAUGGCCCCCGGGUCUAUCUUCAUCAUAUUAAUCUUCCAAUACUUAGUUAUUUCCUUUGCUUUUUUACUUUGCUUUUAUUUUACUUUGCAUCUUUAUCACAAAAAUACCAAAAAUAGUAUCUUAUCAUAUCUAUCAGAUCUCACUCUCGUAAGUGACCGUGAAGGGACUGACAACCCCUUAUCGCGUUGGUUGCGAGGAGUUAUUUGCUUUGUGCAGGUACGAGGGACUCGCGCGUAGCCUCCUACUGGAUUGAUACCUUGGUUCCCAAAAACUUAGGGAAAUACUUACGCCACUUUGCUGCAUCAUCCUUUCCUCUUCAAGGAAAUCCAACGCAGUGCUCAAGAGGUAGCAAGAAGAAUUUCUGGCGCCGUUGCCGGGGAGUCUACGCAAAAGUCAACAUACCAAGUACCCAUCACAACCCUUAUCUCCCGCAUUACAUUAUUUGUCAUUUGCCUCUCGUUUUCCUCUCCCCCACUUCACCCUUGUCGUUUUAUUCGCCCUCUCUCUCUCUAUCCUCCCUCUCUUUCUCUAUUUACCUCUUUUUGCCCGCUUGCUUUUUGUUUGCUUGUGUGUUGAAUUGCUUGCUUGUCACGAUGGCUCAAGAUAACACUAAAUUGUGUGACUUUACCAAUACCAACAACAAUGAUUUUAUUAGCACUCCGAUUGCUCCUCUUACCGAUGCUGAAUCUUGUGAAAUUAAUGCCGCUUUGCUGAAUCUUGUUAUGAAAGAUCCGUUUUCCGGCCUUCCUAGUGAAGAUGUCGCUAGCCAUCUAAAUAUCUUCGUUGAUUUGUGUGAUAUGCAAAAGAAGAAAGAUGUGGAUAAUGAUAUUGUUAAAUUGAAGCUAUUUCCUUUUUCGCUUAGAGAUCGUGCUAAAGCUUAGUUUUCGUCUUUGCCUAAAAAUAGUAUUGAUUCUUGGAACAAGUGCAAAGAUGCUUUUAUCUCUAAGUAUUUUCCUCCCGCUAAGAUCAUCUCGCUUAGAAACGAUAUUAUGAAUUUUAAGCAACUUGAUCAUGAACAUGUUGCACAAGCUUGGGAGAGGAUGAAAUUAAUGAUACGUAAUUGCCCUACUCAUGGUUUGAAUUUGUGGAUGAUUAUACAAUUUUUUUAUGCCAGAUUGAAUUUUGCUUCUAGAAAUCUUUUAGAUUCGGCCGCGGGAGGCACUUUUAUGGAAAUCAAUUUAGGAUAAGCUACUAAACUCCUAGAUAAUAUUAUGGUUAAUUAUUCCCAAUGGCAUACUGAAAGAUCUACUAAUAAAAAGGUGCAUGCGAUAGAAGAAAUUAAUGUUUUGAGUGGAAAGAUGGAUGAACUUAUGAAAUUAUUUGCUAGUAAAAGUGUUUCUUCUGAUCCUAAUGAUAUGCCCUUGUCUACUUUGAUUGAGAAUAAUAAUGAAUCUAUGGAUGUGAAUUUUGUUGGUAGGAACAAUUUUGGUAACAACGCGUAUAGAGGAAAUUUUAAUCCCAGGCCUUAUCCUAGUAAUUCCUAUAGCAAUUCUUAUAUAAAUUAUAAUAAGAUGCCCUCUGAUUUUGAAUCUAAUAUUAAAGAAAUUAUUACUUUGCAAAAGAAUUUCAAUGCUUUGAUUGAAGAAAAAUUGCUUAAGAUUGAUGAGUUGGCUAGGAACGUUGAUAGAAUUUCUCUUGAUGUUGAUUCUUUGAAACUUAGAUCUAUUCCUCCUAAGCAUCAUAUCAAUGAGUCUCUCAAAGCUAUGAGAAUUUCCAUUGAUGAGUGCAAAGAAAGAACCGCUAGGAUGCGUGCUAAGAAAGAUGCCUUUAUAAGAGCGUGUUCUUCUAGUUCCUAUGAAAAUAAAGAUGAAGAUCUAAAAGUUAUUGAUGUGUCCCCUAUUAAAUCUUUGUUUUGCAAUAUGAAUCUUGAUAAUGAUGGGACUGAAUAUGAUCCACCUUUACCUAGAAGGCAUUCCAAAAAUUCGGAGUUUUUAGAUCUUAAUGCUAAAUUUGAUAAAAGUGGGAUUGAAGAAAUUAAAACCCUAGAUGUUGCUAAACCCAUUAUUUUGGAUUUAAAGGAAUUUAAUUAUGAAAAUUGCUCUUUGAUUGAUUGUAUUUCCUUGUUGCAAUCUGUGCUAAAUUCUCCUCAUGCUUAUAGUCAAAACAAAGCGUUUACUAAACAUAUUGUUGAUGCCUUGAUGCAAUCUUAUGAAGAAAAACUUGAGUUGAAAGUUUCUAUCCCUAGAAAACUUUAUGAUGAGUGGGAACAAACUAUUAAAAUUAAGAUUAAAGAUCAUGAGUUCUAUGCUUUAUGUGAUUUGGGUGCUAGUGUUUGCACGAUUCCAAAGACUUUGUGUGAUUUGUUAGAUUUCCGUGAUUUUGAUGAUUGCUCUUUAAACUUGCACCUUGCGGAUUCCACUAUUAAGAAACCUAUGGGAAGAAUUGAUGAUGUUCUAAUUGUCGCAAAUAGGAAUUAUGUGCCCGUAGAUUUUAUUGUUCUUGUCAUAGAUUGCAAUCCUUCAUGUCCUAUUAUUCCGUGUAGACCUUUCCUUAGAACGAUUGGUGCGAUUAUUGAUAUGAAGGAAGGAAAUAUUAGAUUCCAAUUUCCGUUAAAGAAAGGCAUGGAACACUUUCCUAGAAAGAAAAUUAAAUUACCUUAUGAAUCUAUUAUGAGAGCCACUUAUGGAUUGCCUACCAAAGAUGGCAAUACCUAGAUCUAUUCUUGCUUUUUAUGCUUAGCUAGGGGCGUUAAACGAUAGCGCUUGUUGGGAGGCAACCCAAUUUUAUUUUUAUUCCUUGCCUUUUGCUCCUGUUUAGUAAUAAAUAAUUUAACUAGCCUCUAUUUUGGUUGUGUUUUUUGUGUUUAAUUAGUGUUUGUGCCAAGUAGAACCGUUGGGAAGACUUGGGGAAAGUCUUGCUAAUCUUGCUGUAAAAAGCAGAAACUUUAGCGCUCACGAGAACUGAUGCCAUUUUUAUUUGGAAAGUUAUAUUUAGUUAAUUAUUUUUUAAUAUGAUUAAUAGAUAAAUUCCUCACGUCCAGCAAUUUAUUUUAAAAUUUUUGGGGUUACAGAUCUUGCACUAGCUACAGAUUACUACAGACUGUUCUGUUUUUGACAGAUUCUGUUUUUCGUGUGUUGUUUGCUUAUUUUGAUGAAUCUAUGGCUAGUAAAAUAGUUUAUAAACCAUAGAGAAGUUGGAAUACAGUAGGUCUAACACCAAUAUAAAUAAAGAAUGAGUUCAUUAUAGUACCUUGAAGUGGUCUUUUGUUUUCUUUCGCUAAUGGAGCUCACAAGAUUUUCUACCUUAAGUUUUGUGUUGUGAAGUUUUCAAGUUUUGGGUAAAGAUUUGAUGGACUAUGGAACAAGGAGUGGAAAGAGCCUAAGAUUGGGGAUGACCAUGGGACCCCCAAGAUAAUCUAAGGACACCUAAAAUCCAAAGCUUGGGGAUGCCCCGGAAGGCAUCCCCUCUUUCGUCUACUUCUAUAGAUAACUUUACUUGGAGCUAUAUUUUUAUUCACCACAUGAUAUGUGUUUUAACAGGAGCGUCUUGUAUUAUUUGAGUCUUUAUUUGUUAGUUUACCACAAUCAUCCUUGAUGUACACGCCUUUAGAGAGAGCCAUACAUGAUUUAGAAUUUGUUAGAAUACUCUAUGUGUUUCGCUUAUAUCUUUUGAGUUAUAUAGUUUUGCUCUAGUACUUCACUUAUAUCUUUUAGAGCACGGUGAUGGAUUUUUUUAUAGAAACUAUUGAUCUCUCACGCUUCACUUAGAUUAUUUUGAGAGUCUUAAUUAGCAUGGCAAUUUUCUUAAAUAAUCCAAUAUGCUUGGUAUUCAAGAAUAGUAAAAACUUUCUUAUGAGGGUGUUGAAAGCUAUGAGAAGUUUGAUGCUUGAUAAUUGUUUUGAGAUAUGAAGAUGGUGAUAUUAAAGUUGUGCUAGUUGAGUAGUUGUGAAUUUGAGAAAUACAUGUGUUAAAGCUUGUGAUUCCCGUAGCAUGCACGUAUGAUGAACUGUUAUGUGAUGAAGUCGGAGCAUGAUUUAUUUUUUGAUUGUCUUCCUUAUGAGUGGUGGUCGGGGACGAGCGAUGGUCUUUUCCUACCAAUAUAUCCCCCUAGGAGCAUGCGCGUAAUAUUUUGCUUUGAUAACUUGUAGAUUUUUGCAAUAAGUAUAUGAGUUCUUUAUGACUAAUGUUGAGUCCAUGGAUUAUACGCACUCUUUGUCCCUCCACCAUUGCUAGCCUCUCUAAUACCGCGCAUCUUUCGCCGGUAUCAUACACCCACCAUAUACCUUCCUCAAAACAGCCACCAUAUCUACCUAUUAUGGCAUUUCCAUAGCCAUUCCGAGAUAUAUUGACAUGCAACUUUCCACCGUUCCGUUCAUCAUGACACACUCCAUCAUUGUCAUAUUGCUUAGCAUGAUCAUGUAGUUGACAUCAUAUUUGUGGCAAAGCCAAUUCUUUCAUACAUGUCACUCUUGAUUCAUUGCAUAUACCGGUACACCGCCGGAGGCAUUCAUAUAGAGUCAUAUUUUGUUCUAAGUAUCGAGGUGUAAUUGUUGAGUUGUAAGAAAAUAAAAGUGUGAUGAUCAUCAUUAUUAGAGCAUUGUCCCAGUGAGGAAAGGAUGAUGGAGACUAUGAUUCCCCCACGGGUCGGGAUGAGACUCCGGACGAAAAAAAAGAAAAGAGGCCAUAAAAAAAGAGAAAAGGCCCAAAUCAAAAAAUGAGAGAAAAAGAGAGAAGGGACAAUGUUACUAUCCUUUUACCACACUUGUGCUUCAAAGUAGCACCAUGAUAUUCAUAUUAGAGAGUCUCUCAUUUCGUCACUUUCAUAUACUAGUGGGAAUUUUUCAUUAUAGAACUUGGCUUGAAUAUUCUAAUGAUGGGCUUCCUCAAAAUGCCCUAGGUCUUCAUGAGCAAGCAAGUUGGAUGCACACCCCCUUAGUUUCUUUUGUUGUGCUUUCAUAUACUUAUAGCUCUAGUGCAUCCAUUGCAUGGCAAUCCCUACUCACUCACAUUGAUAUCUAUUGAUGGGCAUCUCCAUAGCCCAUUGAUACGCCUAGUUGAUGUGAGACUAUCUUCUCCCUUUUUGUCUUCUCCACAACCACCAUUCUAUUCCACUUAUAGCGCUAUAUCCAUGGCUCACGCUCAUGUAUUGCGUGAAGAUUGAAAAAGUUUGAGAAUGUCAAAAGUAUGAAACAAUUUAUUGGCUUGUCGUCGGGGUUGUGCAUGAUUUAAAUACUUUGUGUGAUGAAGAUAGAACAUAGCCAGACUAUAUGAUUUUGUAGGGAUAGCUUUCUUUGGCCAUGUUAUUUUGAGAAGACAUGAUUGCUUUGUUACUAUGCUUGAAGUAUUAUUAUUUUUAUGUAAAUAUUAAACUUUUAUCUUGAAUCUUUCGAAUCUGAAUAUUCAUACCACAAUUAAGAAGAAUUACAUUAAAAUUAUGCCAAGUAGCACUCCGCAUCAAAAAUUCUGUUUUUAUCAUUUACCUACUCGAGGACGAGCAGGAAUUAAGCUUGGGGAUGCUUGAUACGUCUCCAACGUAUCUAUAAUUUUUUAUUGCUCCAUGCUAUAUUAUCUACUGUUUUGGACAUUAUUGGGCUUUAUUAUCCACUUUUAUAUUAUUCUUGGGACUAACCUAUUAACCAGAGGCCCAGCCCAGAAUUGUUGUUUUUGCCUAUUUUAGGGUUUCGAAGAAAAGGAAUAUCAAACGGAGUCCAAACGGAAUGAAACCUUCAGGAACGUGAUUUUCUCGCCGAACAUGAUCCAGGAGACUUGGACCCUACGUCAAGAAACAAAGGAGGAGGCCACGAGGUAGGGGGCNNNNNNNNNNNNNNNNNNNNNNNNNNNNNNNNNNNNNNNNNNNNNNNNNNNNNNNNNNNNNNNNNNNNNNNNNNNNNNNNNNNNNNNNNNNNNNNNNNNNNNNNNNNNNNNNNNNNNNNNNNNNNNNNNNNNNNNNNNNNNNNNNNNNNNNNNNNNNNNNNNNNNNNNNNNNNNNNNNNNNNNNNNNNNNNNNNNNNNNNNNNNNNNNNNNNCUGUUGCUCCACCGACGUACUCCUUCCUCCUAUAUAUAUCUGCGUACCCCCAAACGAUCAGAGACGGAGCCAAAACCCUAAUUCCACCGCCGUAACUUCCUGUAUCCACGAGAUCCCAUCUUGGGUCCUGUUCCGGAGCUCCGUCGGAGGGGGCAUCUAUCACGGAGGGCUUCUACAUCAACACUAGCCUCUCCGAUGAAGUGUGAGUAGUUUACCUCAGACAUUCGGGUCCAUAGUUAUUAACUAGAUGGCUUCUUCUCUCUUUUUGGAUCUCAAUAUAUACAAUGUUCUCCCCAUCUCUUGUGGAGAUCUAUUCGAUGUAAUCUUCUUUUUGCGGUGUGUUUGUUGAGACCGAUGAAUUGUGGGUUUAUGAUCAAGAUUAUCUAUGAACAAUAUUUGAAUCUUCUCUGAAUUAUUUAAUGUAUGAUUGGUUAUCUUUGAAAGUCUCUUCGAAUUAUCAGUUUGGUUUGGCCUACUAGAUUGAUCUUUCUUGCAAUGGGAGAAGUGCUUAGCUUUGGGUUCAAUCUUGUGGUGUCCUUUGCCAGUUACAGUAGGGGCAGCAAGGGACGUAUUGUAUUGUUUCCAUUGAGGAUAACAAGAUGGGGGUUUCAUCAUAUUGCAUGAGUUUAUCCCUCUACAUCAUGUCAUCUUGCUUAAGGCGUUACUCUGUUUUCAUGAACUUAAUACUCUAGAUGCAUGCUGGAUAGCGGUCGAUGAGCGAAGUAAUAGUAGUAGAUGCAGGCAAGAGUCGGUCUACUUGUCUUGGACGUGAUGCCUAUAUACAUGAUCAUACCUAGAUAUUCUCAUAACUAUGCUCAAUUCUGUCAAUUGCUCAACAGUAAUUCGUUCACCCACCGUAAAAUACUUAUGCUCUUGAGAGAAGCCACUAGUGAAACCUAUGGCCCCCUGGUCUAUCUUCAUCAUAUUAAUCUUCCAAUACUUAGUUAUUUCCUUUGCUUUUACUUUACUUUGCAUCUUUAUCACAAAAAUACCAAAAAUAUUAUCUUAUCAUAUCUAUCAGAUCUCACUCUCGUAAGUUACUGUGAAGGGAUUGACAACCCCUUAUCGCGUUGGUUGCGAGGAGUUAUUUGCUUUGUGCAGGUACGAGGGACUCGCGCGUAGCCUCCUACUGGAUUGAUACCUUGGUUCUCAAAAAUUGAGGGAAAUACUUACGCUACUUUGCUACAUCAUCCUUUCCUCUUCAAGGAAAUCCAACACAGUGCUCAAGAGGUAGCACCCCUCCAUAGUUCAACACCUCAGUCAUAUCGUCGUAGUGCUUAGGUGAAGCCCCACGCCGGUAACUUCAUCAUCACCGUCGCCACACAAUUAUGCUGAAGGAACUGUCUCUCACCCUCAACUGGAUCAAAAGCUCGAGGGACAUCAUCAUGCUGAAUGUGUGCUAAACACGGGGGUGCCAUACGUUCGGUACUUGGAUCGGUUGGAUCGUGAAGACGUUCGACUACAUCAACCGCGUUACUAAACGCUUCCGCUUUCGGUCUACGAGGGUACGUGGACACACUCUCCCCUCUCGUUGCUAUGCAUCUCCUAGAUAGAUCUUGUGUGAUCGUAGGAAUUUUUUGAAAUACUUUGUUCCCUUCAGUUACCAGCGUGCCCAAGCCAUUGCACCUCUCACCUCCAUGAUUGCCUCUUUUCCUCUACCACCAAAUUGAAUUUUCUUCUUAAGAUAUAGUUUUAAAUCUUAAUCAUGCAAUCGGCUCAAAACUACACUAAUUGAUUGGGAAAGGAAAAUAAAAUGUAAAACAUCAACCCUGCAUUAGUGCAUCUUUCCUGACUCAAGAGCAUGACACCAAGUAGACGAACACCUUUCAGGCCAGGGAAGAGCGAGGAUCCUCCCAGGCUCCUUCGAUGAAAGAUGAUUGGAAUACAAAAGAAGUUAAUCAUCAGUAAUGGAGAGGCCAUCUACAUGUGCACUGUCAGUUACAUAUGUUACAACCAAGUGAUAGGGGUUCUUUUUAGAGAGAAAAGAAAAUCGGUGGGGGUGUUCAUUAAUUCGGUGGAGGGCUAAUGAAACGAAACGACCUACAUACUCCCCUUUAAUAGUAGAUAUUUUAUAACGUGCUUAUCUUAGCAACGAUGAUUCAGUAGAUAUUGCAUGUGGAAACCUGUGGGGAAUUGGAUUGAGGUACAUCAACAUUAACACUUUUUGAGGAACACUUAAUUUUAGCUACCAAAUGGUAGUACAUGUCUGUUUGAAUGUUACUGGAAGUCUGCUACAUCAAGAGCGAGACAACAAUAGCCAACUACAACUAAUUGAGACAAUAUAUAUCAACAUCGACGGAUACAUAUAUUGCCAAAUCCCAGCAAAAUGAGAGAGAAAAAAAGGUGGCAUUCAAGAAAAUCUAGUGAACAUCUCUUAAAUGCUUGUAAGAAAUCUGAAUAGACUCUCAAAAAUAUCCUUCUCAAGAUAAAAAACAAACUGGUCAAGAUUACCUUUCAUACACAAAUACAGGAGUAGAAGUAGACCAGAUGUGCUACAACCAAACAACAACCCCGAGAAGCCUAUUUCGAGGGGAAAUGAACCGAAAUGAAAACAGAGAUUCAUGGCAGUUAUAUACCUCUCUUUUGGCGGUCAUGGUGGUGUGCCGCUCCACCUUUGGGCUUCGCAUAGUGGGAAACUUGGUCACCAGCAGAAUCCAGGAUGGCCCCAUCUUGUUUGCUCCGAGGGGAGACCAUUGGGUAAGGUGCUCCACUGAGCCAUUCCUUCAUGGCAAUAACAAGUACAGUGAGUCAGAAACCUCAAAAAAGGAAAAAAAAUCAUAAGGCAGUGGAAGCUCAGGGUGAAGUGAAGUUCCUUGCUUCACGGCUAUACUGCUUGAAUAUAACCUGAGAAAAUGCAUCUUGUUCAAGCAGCAUGGCUAGAGGAGGCAUGAGGUUUUAGUGCCUCCCUUCAUCCCAAAUGCAGGGGGAAACCAAAGAUGAAUCCACUCCGAAGUUAUGAUGAGAAAGCUAUAUUGAUCAUGUUACUACAUUUUUAAACUCUUUAACAAGCUUGAUUUGUCUUCAGUUUUAUCCAGUGUAUGUCUUCUCUUCAUAUUUAUCCAGUUUACAAACUAUGAAAAACUCAGGUAUGUGAAACAGAUAGCACACAUAGAUCAAUGUCAAAAUCCGAAGCAACACACAACUCAAAACAGAUAGCACAUGUGGAUCAAUCUAUCAUCUAUGCCCAAACAAAUAGCACAUGUAUGUGGAUCAAUCUUGUUAGGAAUCAAAUUUAGCAGUGGUCUUUUAUUAAUUAGCACAUACUAAUUAGUGAACCAACAUUAGCAAUUAGCAACCAUCAAUAACACUUGGAUUUUGUCCAACACCUAACCAACAAACCUUGUAAGUGACCUACACCUUAUAUAAAUACUCAGAUUCAUCAUCAAUGAAAAGCUGUUGAUUCAUUCAUUUAUCUAUCUCUCUAUUUUUUUACUUCUAAACACGUUAUCAUGCACUUUGCUCUCCAAUUGAGCAAUUUGACCGGGAAAUAAAAGAGAAGAACAAGGAUGAAUAGGGGACUUCAAUCCACAUUGGUUUAAAGAUCAUCCUCGAAUAGAACGGAUAGAUCAAAACAAAAGAAGAAACCAACUGAUUAUACUCCAUACAGGAACUUGAAAUUGGUCAGAUUUUUCAAUCAAGUAACCACAACGGAUUGAUCCUUGUUUUUCAUCAUUAUCAGUGGCCAGGAAUUAGGCAAUGUUCGCAUCUUUUCAUGGGCGAAGACAUCAUAAAAGAAACGGACGAACGGAAAAGGAGAACAGAGCUUGUCUAUCUGGCUUCAAUCAAGAAAAUACUAAUAACAGAGAUUACCUGUUUAAUCUAGUAUUCUUGUUAUCAACUAAUAAUCUAACAAUGGAUUGCGUUUCCCAUGUAUGUACGUACUCACGCAAAUCACAAGAAGAAACGAUCGAUCAUGUAUUACGAAGAAGAGGCAGUGCUCUCAUGCGCACGUCGCCAUCCGGCCGGCGCAACUUCCCACGAAUCCUUGCUCAACUGGAACAUGGCAUGGCGCGUCUCAGUAGUGGCAGCCGAUGGGUCGCUCCACCCUCCGGCAGAGCACAACCACGAUGUGGGGGCGAAGCCCUCAGGCACGCGGCGACGUCGCCUCGGCUCCGAUCACACAUGCACAAGCACUACUAGGGAAAAGCCUAGUAGUAAUGUGGAUUUAAUUCCUACACACUACUAGUAAGGUGCUACAUCUAUUCCUUAGCAGUAGCGCGUGUAACACACACUAAUGCUAAGACAUAUAGCCGUUUCCAGCGCUACUGCUAAUCUAACUAGUAGUAGCAUGCUUCUUGUCCAGUGCUACUACAUUUUUAGUGUAUUUAUAUGCCGUUAUACAAAUUUUGAUACAGUACCAAUUAAGAGGUUGUUAUAUCAUUAUGUCCAUGAUGAAUUAAUAUAUCAUUGUAAGGAAGAAACAUGGAUUAGAUUCAUUUGGAUGAAUCAAAAGUUGAAAUAGGAUGACGAUCCUACUAAUUCAACUUUUGGUCACUUUUGAUCCAUCCACAUGAAUCUAAUCCGCGUUCCUUCCACCAAUGAUAUAAUAACUAAUCAUGAUCAUAAUAACAAAUAAUCAUGAUCAACAUCAUCAUCAUAUUAAUAUAAAAACUCUUGCAUCAUGUCAUCACCAACAACACUAGCUAAUAAUCAUCAUAGUCAUUACCACCAACACUAUUUAAUCAUCAUAGUCAUAGUGUAGCUAUCUAAUCACCCCCAACACUAGCUAAUAAUAAUAAUAAUCAUAGUCAUUACCACCAACACUAGCUAUUUAAUCAUCAUAGUCAUAGUGGAGCACAUCAUCAUCUUCAAACUCAUUCUAGCUAGCUAAUCACUCCUGCUGCUCUCUCUCAGGUAAAAUAGCAUAAAACAUGUGUAGCACUCCUGCUUCAUCAUAUUGGAGAAUGCAGAUGAACCAGACUCCUAAUUGUGGAUUGCGCUUCUGAUUGCUGCCCCCUAGUACUUCUCUUUUGUGGCCCUUCACAAUUUUGCUCCAGUCUUUCACUAUUAAGACUUACUCGCUUUGAUAAAUCAUGAAUGCACUCAUGUGUAAUGCAGGAUAUUUUGGUCGUAAGCUAACCAUUGUCAUGCGACCUUUAGGCUCGAUCCAACGAGGCACAACAUUCAUCGGGAGUUCCUGUUGAAAAACAUCGUACUAACAUACUUAGCAAUGAAGUUUAGCUUAAAAAUAAUGUAUGCAAAAGUUGCACUAAGGAUAAAUAGUAAAAAUCUUACCAUCUUUCCUAAAUAGAUGUGAUUGUAGUUCAAUAGGCACACUAGUGGUCGCACGUAUUGAGUACUAAUAUUUCGAAGUUUAGGAAAAUAACCUGUCUUGACAGUAUUAAGAUCCUCAAGCCAUGAAACAUAAUGACUUAUCUCCUCACAGUUUAGUUCAUUUCCGGGACAGUAGUAGGUGAUGUCUACCAAGCGUCGGACAUGUUUGCUUGAAUGGAAAUAAGCUGUCAACAGAAAUUAGUUGUCAACUAUUUUUAAAUAAACAAUAUAAAUUACUUAAUAAAUAUGGUUGAGAAACUCACAUAAUGGUAGAACUAGGGGCGUCUGCACAUCGACCCAGAUGUCGAUAUUACCUUCAAUUUAAUCUUCCAGAUGAAUAUCAAAGGUGAUAAGCAUAUUAGGCUCAAAUGCAUAAGCCUUGCACAGUGCUCUCUAAUUUUUGCAUUCAAAAUAGGACUAGGUGUCUGCAUUGUAUAAUUUUUCGGCAAAAGUAUAACCAUACUCGGUCCUCAACUGAACUCUCUUUGCCUCCAUACUGUCCAUAGUAUUGAAACCAAUAUUAUCCAAGACAUAAAUUCUUCCAUGGCAGGGGAUACGCUAGUAGAAUGCUAAAAAAAUUAAAAUUAUAAGUUGAAGCAAAAGAAGCAGAAGUCAUACUUAAUUACGAAAAAAAGACUUGUCAUUGUGACUUACUAUAUCCACUUCGAAGGUCUCAUCCAACAUGAUGUUGAAGCGCCUACCACCAACUAGGUGAGGCCUAUCGCAUAGGCCGCGCUCGCCUUCGCAGUAUUCGCACAUAACGAAUUCCUUUUCGUUGUUAGACAUUUCCUAUGUUCAUAGUUGAAACAUUGAAAAUCGAUCGAAGACAACUACCAGGAAACUCAACACAUAGAUCACUAUUACUCAAUAUGAAACGGGUUAACUUUAGGUCUGUCGAGUCUUCCUUCCUAAACUCUUAUCUCACAUAUUUAGUCGGGAUUCUUUCACUCUCACAUUUUGACCGUCGGUGAUAGUCACUACUCCUCCUUUUCCUAGUGCAUUACAAAUAUCUAGCACAAGGAAAGAAGGAGAAGCGACCCGCACGACAACAGUCGGGAUUCUUCCUCUCUCAAUGGUGGACCCUCUCCCUCAUUGAAAGACACACAAGGAGCCGAAAUAGACAUGAAGUCAACUUGUUCCAUAUAUCGAGCAAUGAUAUUGAAAAAAUGCCCUAUGUUUUGCCGAAAUAUCGUUGAAUUCCUGUUCUAGCAAAUCACAUGCACUCGAUAUGUCCUACAUUGUAGCAUAAGUCAUGCUAAAAUUCAUGAAAAAAUUCGGCAUCGCCUUUGCUAAAGACAUGACAUAUCGAGCACCUGAAAUUGCCAGAAUGGAAACGAAUCAACAUUCUAGCAAAACAUAUAUAGGCCACUCGGAGGUACAUUGCAAACAAGAACACCAAGACAUCCUCUAUAUUCAGAAUGCAUCAUCAUCGACAUCAAUGACAUGGCGACUAGCACUAGCAUUUUCAUCAUCGACAUUUACAACACAUUAUCAUUUGGCUAUUCUCACCUAGAGGUCUUAAGGGGUCGACGAUGGGGACGACUGUGGGGAUGACGCGGGGGCAAAUACUUGAUUUCGGUAUAAACAAAAUAUAUUAACCACUUACUAUAAAUAAACUAGUUCUAUUAAGCACUUACUAUAAAUAAACUAUUUCUAUUGAGAACUUACUAUAAAUAAACUAGUUAUAUUAACCACUUACUAAAUAACUAUUUCUAUUAAACACUUGCUAAAAUUUAAACAUUGUUAACUGAUAAAUCUCCAACGUAUCUAUAAUUUUUGAUUGCUCCAUGCUAUAUUAUCUACUGUUUUGGACAUUAUUGGGCUUUAUUAUCCACUUUUAUAUUCUUUUUGGGACUAACCUAUGAACCGGAGGCCCAGCCCAGAAUUGCUGUUUUUUUGCCUGUUUUAGGGUUUCAAAGAAAAGGAAUAUCAAACGGAGUCCAAAGGGAAUGAAACCUUCGAGAACGUGAUUUUCUCAACGAGCAAGACCCGAGAGACUUGGACCCUACGUCAAGAAAGAAAAGAGGAGGCCACGAGGUAGGGGCGCGCCUACCCCCCCCCCCCCAGGCGCGCCCUCCACCCUCGUGGGCCCCCUGUUGCUCCACUGACGUACUCCUUCCUCCUAUAUAUACCUACGUACCCCCAAACGAUCAGAUACGGAGCCAAAACCCUAAGUCCACCGCCGUAACUUUCUGUAUCCACGAGAUCCCAUCUUGGGUCCUGUUCCGGAGCUCCGCCAGAGGGGGAAUCGAUCACGGAGGGCUUCUACAUCAACACCAUAGCCCCUCCGAUGAAGUGUGAGUAGUUCACCUCAGACCUAUGGGUCCACAGUUAGUAUCUAGAUGGCUUCUUGUCUCUUUUUGGAUCUCAAUACAAUGUUCUCCCCUCUCUUGUGGAGAACUAUUCGAUGUAAUCUUCUUUUUGCGGUGUGUUUGUUGAGACCGAUGAAUUGUGGGUUUAUGACCAAGUCUAUCUAUGAAUAAUAUUUGAAUCUUCUCUGAAUUCUUUCAUGUAUGAUUGGUUAUCUUUGCAAGUCUCUUCGAAUUAUCAGUUUGGUUUGGCCUACUAGAUUGAUCUUUCUUGCAAUGGGAAAAGUGCUUAGCUUUGGGUUCAAUCUUGCGAUGUCCUUUCCCAGUGACAGUAAGGGCAGCAAGGCACGUAUUGUAUUGUUGCCAUCGAGGAUAACAAGAUGGGGUUUUCUUCAUAUUGCAUGAGUCUAUCCCUCUACAUCAUGUCAUCUUGCUUAAGGCGUUACUCUGUUUUUAACUUAAUACUCUAGAUGCAUGCUGGAUAGCGGUCGAUGAGUGGAGUAAUAGUAGUAGAUGCAGGCAGGAGUCGGUCUACUUGUCUCGGACGUGAUGCCUAUAUACAUGAUCAUACCUAGAUAUUCUCAUAACUAUGCUCAGUUCUGUCAAUUGCUCAACAGUAAUUUGUUCACCCACCGUAGAAUACUUAUGCUCUCGAGAGAAGCCACUAGUGAAACCUAUGGCCCCCGGGUCUAUCUUUAUCAUAUUGAUCUCCUACUACUUAGUUAUUUCAUUUGCUAUUUACUUUGCCUUUAUUUUACUUUGCAUCUUUAUCACAAAAAUACCAAAAAUAUUAUCUUAUCAUAUCUAUCAGAUCUCACUCUCGUAAGUGGCCUUAUAGGGAUUAACAACCCCUAUUUGCGUUGGUUGCGAGGAUUUACUUGUUUUGUGCAGGUACGACGGACUCAUGCGUAGCCUCCUACUGGAUUGAUACCUUGGUUCUCAAAAACUGAGGGAAAUACUUACGCUACUUUGCUGCAUCAUCCCUUCCUCUUCGGGGAAAACCAACGCAGUGCUCAAGAGGUAGGAUUAACCUAGCCAACCAGACUGCUAUGCUCUAAACCCUGCUGCCCUAGUUAAACCUACUGCCCUAACUACAUUUUUGCUCUAAACUAAAUUUUUGCUCUAACCUAGCUAGUUAACCUAAUGAACCUAGCUAGUUAACCUAGUUGGUUAACCUAGCUAGUUAACCUAGUUGGUUAACCUAGCUAGUUAACCUAGUUAAUUAACCUAAUUAAACUAGUUAACCUAGCUAGCCAACCUAGUUAACCUAGCUAGUUUGAAUUUUUACUAAUUUACUAAAAAAUCUACUCUAUGCAAGAACAGAGUGAGGAGAGAUGAGGGAGGGAGAAUGGGAGCAGGGGGUGGGGGAGGGAGGAGGAUCGGAGGAGGGAGGAGGGAGGGGUNNNNNNNNNNNNNNNNNNNNNNNNNNNNNNNNNNNNNNNNNNNNNNNNNNNNNNNNNNNNNNNNNNNNNNNNNNNNNNNNNNNNNNNNNNNNNNNNNNNNNNNNNNNNNNNNNNNNNNNNNNNNNNNNNNNNNNNNNNNNNNNNNNNNNNNNNNNNNNNNNNNNNNNNNNNNNNNNNNNNNNNNNNNNNNNNNNNNNNNNNNNNNNNNNNNNNNNNNNNNNNNNNNNNNNNUGGGAGGAGGGCUUGGCCGGAGGAGGAGGCGGAGGGCUUGGUGGAGAAGGAGGAGUGCCCUUGGCCGGAGGAGAGGAGGGAGGAGGGCUUAGCCGGAGGACGAGGGAGGAGGGCGGUGGGAGGAGGAGGGAGAGGAGGGAGGAGGGCAUACCGAGGAAGGAGGAGGGAGGACGACGGCGGCAAUGCGUUGGCGACAGCAAUGCAGCGGUGGCAGAGGAAAAGUGAGGCAACGGGAAGUGAGGGAAGGAAGAAGAAGGUCGGGUGCGUGUCGGCGUUUUGGGAACGGGGGUCCCCAGACUUGCCUGCCUGCGGCCUGCGGUGUGGCUCAAGCGGGGGCCCAGCGCGGCCCAUCUUCAUCAGCUCAAGCUCAAGACCCUCGCGAGGGGCCAAGCCUCGCGGGGCGGACGACAGGAAGCUUCCUCAGAGGCAGCCUCAUCAGGCAGGCUUGCAAGGAGGCGGAGAGAUCAAGGCAGGGGUACCUCGCGAGGAACCCGUGAUGCAAGCCAUGACGAUCGAGACCAGGCGGGCGCCAGGCGGGCGCCGGCCUGCGCAGUGUCCUUGUUUCCCCUUUGGUGCAAAGGGGGCAAGCACAGGCCAAGGAAUCAGGCAAAGGUUACCAUUCCGGUGCAACGAGACCAAGACCAGCCGGACGGUUGGACGGAGGUCACCGUGGAGUCCAAGAUGGCAUCAUCACCAGUGCUUUUGGCAGCCGAAGACCACCUUUGGUCAGGAUAACUUGUACUAGAUGUUCCCCUUCGAAAUGGCCAAUUGUUGGCGCCCUUCCCGCUCAUUAUUUGGGGAGAGGCCCAGGGCCUCUAUAAAUAGAGCUAGCCACCACAGAGUAGGGAGGAGACACCCGAGAGAGAUCGAGACACCCCGGAGAGAUCGAGACCCCCGAGAGAGAACGAGACACCCCGGAGAGACCAAGGCACCGAGGAAGGGAGAAAUCUGGAGACGGCUAGAAAUCUGGUAGAACCAUAGCAGAGAGAGAGGAAGAGGCGACUGAACUCACCCUAGCAGUUCAUCGCACCAGCUCAAAAACACCUCUCACGAGGCUAUUCUUCCCUUGUACUGUCCAUCAUCAGUCCCAGAGGCAAUCCACCACACCACACACUGGAGUAGGGUAUUACACCACAACGGUGGCCCGAACCAGUAUAAACUUCGUGUCUCUUGUGUUGUUCAUCAUUUUCAUCUUAGUACGCACGAGAGGAUCGGACGUAGAUCGGUAGGGGAGAGAUCUCCGCGCGCACCCUAGUGUUCGAACCUCAAGGGUUUGCCGGAACCCGAAACCCGACAUUUGGCGCGCCAGGUAGGGGUGCGCCGGAAUCUUCCUUCCGCUGUUCGCGUGUGAUCUUCCGUCGUGUCCAUGGCUGACGCUCGUCGGGCUCAGGCCGAGCGCCGGGCUACUCACGCCGCUCGCGUCGCCCAGACGGCGCCCGUCGGCGGCCCCCCUCGUUGUUCCCCGUCGCCCGCCGCCAACGCCGCCAACGUACCGGCGGGGAACGAGCAGCAGGCCUUGUCCCAGCACCCCUCGGUGCGGCGGGAUGGCCGCAUCGCCACCACGUCGCUGACUCCAGCUGGCUCGUCGUCCCACGCCCGUCGCGCACCCAUGGAUGCGCACGCCUCACUGCUCUUGGCGUGGGAGCUCCUGCACUAUCGCCCCAUCAACGACCUCUACGAGGACUGGCUCGCCCCAUCACCGAGCUCGUCAGUGCCGCAGGGGGCUCCCCCUUGCGGUCCCUCUCGCUGCCUCGCCCUCCAUCCCGUGCAGGGGGCGAUGAUCAGGAGGCGCCUCUGCCGCCUCCUCCCCAAGAAAGUGCCUUGGCUCCAAGGCGCGCAACCCCAGGGCGAGACCCUCCAUGUCCGGCGCCUGCGCAGCAAGAAGGGAGCUGCCAAGAGAUCCCACGUCCCCGGGAAGGUGCUCGCGCGCUCCCAGCACCGGCGCGCCAAGAUCGCGCCCCAGCGCCUCCACGACAAAACCCCACGCUGCUCCCAGUGGCGGCGCGUGGUGACCCGCAAGAACGAGUCCAACACCAGCAAAGCACGCCGGUGGCCACGGCGGGCUGCCUCGCCUUCACCCCCGAGCUGCGAUGCAUCACAUGGCCAGGCAAGUUCAAGCCUGACCUCCCUCCCUGCUACAAUGGCACAGCGGACCCCGCAGAGUUCCUGCAGCUCUAUGAGCUGGGCAUCGUAGCCGCCAACGGAGACGAGAAGGUCAUGGCAAAUUGGUUCCCCAUGGCUCCUGAACCUGGCUCCCGGCAUGAUCUCCUCCUGGAGCGAGAUGCACACCCGCUUCAUCGCCAAUUUCCAGGGCACUCGCGACCGGCCCCCGGCCGUGAGCGACCUGCGCCGCAUCAAGCAACAGCCAGCAGAAACCUUGCAGAAGUACAUCCAGCGCUUCAACUACGCUCGCCUCAAGAUCCCCAAGGUGACUGAAGAAGCCAUCAUCUCAGCCUUCUCCGACGGCGUGCGCGAGGUCAAGAUGAAGGAAGAGCUAGCAAUCCAUGAAGACCUGUGCACAUCCCUGGAGCUGUUCAACUUGGCGACCAAGUGCGCCAGGGCUGAGGAAGGGCGUCUCUCCCUCCUCGAGCUCCCGGCAGCCGACCCGGAAGAAAAGAAGCUCAAGGCCAAGGACGUGAAGCGCAAGGGGGCUGCCGUUCUAGCAGCGGAACCGGACACCAAGCGAGGCAUGGAUCAGCCUUAGUCAUCCUAGGGCGGACGGCACUGCAUGUACGACGACCUCCACACCCACAACACCAACGAAUGUCAAGAGCUCAGAGCCGUGCGAGAUGGGCGUAUCAGCCGAUGCCCAGAGCGCAACGACAGGGGCUAUGGCCGAGGAGGAGGAAGAGGUGGUGGACGAUGGGAAGAUCGUGGCCUUCGCCAGGGAUGCGUGACCGCCCUCGCGAGGACCGCUGGCAGGACCAGCCUCGUGAGGGAGGUUGGAAGGACCAUCCUCGUGAGGACCGUCCCCACGGCAACGUAGGCCUCCCUCCUCUGCCACCUUCACCAAGGAGGAACGAAGACCAACACCAAGACGAUGGGGCUGGGGGCUUCCAAGAUCUGCGUGCAAUUGCUUGCAUCUUGGGCGGCGCCCAGGCCCCAGCCUCACAAAGCAUCUUCGAGCAGUUUGCUCGCGAGGUGAAUGCAAUCCUUCCCAAGCUUGAGGCCACGCGCCCUCUCAGGUGGUCUUCAUGCGCGAUCACAUUCAGUUCCGCAGACUAGCUCAAGUGUGCGGCAACGGCCAGAGUCCUCCCGAUGCUUUGCUCCCCAGUUAUCAGCAACGUGCAGGUCACCAGGACCCUCAUCGAUGGCGGGGCAGGACUCAAUGUCCUGUCCGUCGAGACAUUCGACAAUCUCCAAGUGCCAUACGACCAGCUUUAGCCGACCAAGCCUUUCUCAGGAGUCACCGAUGGUUCCACUGUUCCAAUUGGGCAGGUUCGCCUUCCGGUCACCUUCGGGCAACGCAACAACUACCGCACCGAGCUCAUCGACUUUGACGUCGCCCACAUCCGCCUGCAGUACAACGCCAUCCUCGGGUACCCAGCCCUAGCCGAGUUUAUGGCAGUGACUCACCAUGAUUACAAUGUCCUCAAGAUGCCAGGAAGCGGUGGAGUCAUCACCGUACCCUGUGAAGAAAGGGACGCAGUGUGCUCGCUCGAGCGUGCAUUCCAAGCCGCAGCAAUCGAAGACCCAGAUCGCAGGAGCGGGAAGCCUCUCGAGGCGACCCUCAAGAAGAAGAAGACCUCACCUGGCCAGAGCCACAAGGAAGCAGGCACCUCCAGAGGUAUUGUGUCAAGAUUCGCGCCCGAUCAGGGAGCGCCGCCCUCUUGCACAUAGGAAGGAGCGCCCGGCGCCCUCCUCAUGCAGGGCUCGGGGGCUCUCUCUUGGAGAGCCACCGACCUUGCCAAGGUUGCAGGGGGGGCGCUCGGGCACCACUUGGAGGGGUGCUUUCAGGCACGCUUCCCUCAGAAAGGUACAAGUCAAAGGAGACAAAACCCUCAGGAGUUCAUCGCAAGGAACACCCAAGAGCUACAAGAGUCCAUAGUCAUGCGCGGAAGCCGCCUCUUACCUGUCGUGGCCGCACAUCCAGGCGAGGAUGGAGGACUGUGCGUCUGUGUCGACGUACCAGGGCUCAACCGAGCUGCGUCCCAGGAACGCCUAUGGCCUUCGGCCGUAGGGCGCUGUGUGGGAGCACCCCACAGCUACGUUCGCAUGCCCUUCGGCCUGCCGAGCGCAGUCGCCGCACAUCAGUGCCUGUUGAGGAGCAUUCUGGAGGCUCAGGAGGUCAGGCAUGGCGCGGUCCUGGCGGAGGUGGCGAUGGUCCCCGAAGACCUGCACGUGCCAUCAGAGCCUCCUGAGGCCUGGGGGCUCAUGAGGGCCGACGUCUUCACCGCGCAUCGCUCACUUCCUCAGCAUCACUUUGUCUUCAACAACACCAGGUGACAUCUUUCAGAGUUCUACUUUUAGCUGGGAGCGCCCACAGGGCUGCACCAUUCCCAGGCCGCGUGGGUCCGUCCCUGCGGCAUGUAUCUAUUUUGGUUAUGCUCUUUACUUACCCUGUUGGGGGCGCCCCUCGGGCUGCAUCAUCCCCACACCGCUCAGGCCCGACCCAGCGGCAGUUGCUUUUCCAGCAUUUACCCUAGGAUGAAGUUGUUCUUUCAUGCUUAAUCUAAUUCCCAUAGUUAUCACCUACUUCUUGUCGUCGUGCAAAGCGCUUGCACGUUAAAAGGGGGCGCCUAAGCAUCGCGACUCAUGGGCUCUUACUGGCUCUCCAUCCCUCACCCCCUGGCCUUGACCCAUAGCAUCGUGACCUGUCAUACUAGUGACGGCUGAGCUCGCUUGGGGGCCGGGACCUGAGGACGUAGAGCAUUUGCAUUCUAAUAACCCUGCAGGAACACACCAAUUGAUAAAGGCCCAGACCCAGCCGCAACCCGCCUCGAGGUAGGGCCUCGUGAGUCCCGCGCUGGCUCACGGGUGCCCAAAUACACCUCUCCUAGCCCUACCGUGCCGACCACGUGUCAGGGCGGGGCUAUACAUGCCCCGGGGGCUCCUCCCAGAGGGGAGCCCCCUCCCACGCACCAGUGCAAGCACCAUGCUCCGCGCUGGCUGACGACACUGCCGGGGAGCGGCUAUGCCCGUACACAUACAGAAGCGCUAUGCUCCGCGCUGGUGAUAAACAACUAAGGGCGGCCCAUGGCCGUACCAACCUCAGGGAGCCCAGAGCUCAGUGUCCGGCACCAUCGCAACACCUCCCCUCGGGAGUGCCGCGCGAGGGGGCUGGACACGGGGGCUACGCCCGGGCCUCGCCUGAGCGCACGCCACCCAGCCAGGUCCCUUGGACCUGGUCGCCGCGCGCCACUCCCCGAGCGGAGCCAAGGUACGAAACCCGUUUGAGCGUCUAGGGGGACUCCUGAGCAUCGCGACUCAGGAGCCUAACUUUCCAUGUAGCCCCUCACUCCUUAGUCCCGUCCUUGGUUUCCGAUCGGGGCUAACACUGGGUGAGGUAUGCGCGGGGCCGGGCCCUGCCGACGUAUAACGAUCAAUCCACUCCUCGCUCCCCCCUUCCCUACUUGUUGCUCACGCGUCAAGGGGGACUCCUGAGCAUCGCGACUCAGGAGCCUAACUUGCCACGUAGCCGCUCACUCCUUAGUCCCGUCCUUGGUUUCCGGUCGGGGUUAACGCUGGGUGAGGUACGCGCGGGGCCGGGCCCUGCCGAUGUAGAGCGUAAACAAGUAGGUGAGGAAAAUGCAAAUUCCUGGAAAUUCAAAGCAAAUAUUACAAACCAUAAGAUUGUUCCACAAUGCCAAACACAAGUUUUAACGCCUCCGCGAGGCAUGGUGCAUGUGCAGGAAUAAAACAGGAUGGAAGUCGCGAAGGAAUCACUCCCCAGUAACGCCGUCACCGGUGGCAGAGUCAAGCUGGACGGCUUCGCCUCUCGAGGUCGCAAGGCCGACGGCACCGCGCCCGGGCAGGACGCUGGGGGAACGGAACUUCCCCAGCAAAACCUCGGCUCGGCCCCUCACAGCCUCGGCGGCGGCGGCGGCAGCACGAUCGCCGCUCACGGGCUCCAGCAGGCUGUCGAAGUCGACGUUGGGGUCGCGCAGGUAGACAUGGCUGAGGACACGCGUCAGCACCGCAGAAGACAGGGCACAUGCCUCGGCCUCGACCGUGGGGCCAAGGCCGUCUGCGACGUCCUCAAGCGCAUCAACCAGGAAGGGGAGCAGCUUGGCGGGGCCGUCCUCCGCACCAGCCAACGGCUCCUCCAGGACGCUCUCAUACAUCGUAUUCAGUAUGCCUCGAGCCUUCUUCUCCAGCUCCGCGAAGGCCGUCCGGUCCUCCAUCAGGACCUUUGCCUUGGCGUCCAUCUUGGUCCUCUUCGCCUUCAGCGACCGCUCCAGCGUCUCCAGCCGGCUGUGGUGGUCAUCAAGCUUGGCGUCCCGGUCCGUGGCGGCGGCCUCCCUAGCCUUCAUCUCCUUCUCCUGGCGGCUGCGCACCUCCUUGGCGAGCUCGUCACGCAAGCCCUGCAGCUCGGCCUCAAGCGUCUUGCAGCGGCCCUGGGCAUUUGCGACGUCGCCUAGGGUAGCAUCGCGAGCGGCCAUGGCUUGGUUGGCGGCCCGCCUCUCCUCGUCGGAGGCAUAGCUUGGCUCAACACCACUCGGAAGGAGGCAGCAGAACUAGCCCAGCCAGAGGCCAACUCUAGGCGCCCGGCCACCAGACGAGGGUCCGCACUCAGGAGAUCCUCCCGCAAUUGGCUCAGCUCAUUGGCAACCUGGUCCAGGACAGCGGCGGAGGGAGCAGAAGAGACAAGAACCUAUGGAGCAGGCGGAGAGGAUGGCAGCGUGGCCACGGCUUGGCAGGAAGGGACCUCCUGAGCCUUGGCCGCCAUGGCCGCAGCAUCGGGCACAGUCGACUCCAGGUCUAGUGGGGCCACGGGGGUUGACUCCUCGCCGGGGUGCCCCAGUUGGCCUCGCGAGGGCGGUUGGGUCGAAGAGGUGCGGGCCUCGCCGUCCUCUCCCCCAACAGCCGAAGGUGUCGCCCCGGCGGACGGAUUCGCCCCAAGCAUGGCCGCAGAAGCCUCCUUCAACCUCUUGGCCGCAGGUGUCGGCCUGGUAAAAGAGCGCAAACAUCAAGCCUCAGUGGCAGAAACCAAGCAGAGCAUGAAUCGAGCACUUACUGGAUGUUGUCCGUGGGCUCAAGCAACCUCCGGCCAAACUUGAAGCCCGAGAGCCUGCAGCGGGGGUCAGCCUUUGGCGGCCCGAAAGCAGAAGGCGCGUCAGGAGGGAUGGAGCUGGCCUUGGACAUCCCAGGGACUAGAGCAGACCCUGGGGGAACCAGGCUCGACCUGCCCUUCCUCGUGACCGAGGAAGAGCCCUCCUUUCCUCGCCUGGUGUCGGCCUCGUCGUCGUCCAGCAUGGAGCGAAGCGCCUGGGACCUGCGCCGAGGGAAGGACUCCCCUCAAUCCUCGCCAGUCUCCUCCGAGUCAGACGCUUCCUCCUCCGCCUCUUCUUCCUCCUCUUCCCCGCUGGAGCUGUCGGAGGACAAGUUCACCAUCGCCAAGACCGCCAGAUCUUCGGGAGCUGCCGCGGGCACCAGCCCCUCACCGUUGAAGGUGGGCAUGGCGUUCACCACCAGCUCCCAGUCGUCACGAAGGAACAGGGGGACGGGGGCACCCACCGGGCUCGCCACGUCUCCCCCAACCAAGGAAUGGAGGGCCGCAGCCAGAUCCUCGUCAGUCAGGGCCUCGGAGCUCAGGCGCAGGGUGGCGUCUGCUCCUCCAAGCCUCCACAGUGGGAGCGGGUGCUCCUGGAGCGGAGCCACCCGGUGCUCCAAGAACUCCCUCAGGAGCGUGGCCCCGGUCAGCUUCGCCGCCUCCGAGUUGCUUGGUCUCAGGUCCGCGUCCACCCUCCUCAACACCGCCUUCGCGCGAAGGUCGACGAGCUCCGCGCGGGACCAUGCGUCAACGGACUUAGGUUGCCCCGUGGGCAAUACCAGACGAGGGUGGAGGCGCCCAACAUCCAUCAUGACCCACUUGCUCCGGUAGCCUUCAAUCCUCUUCCCAGGCUUCGAGAUGGCGUUGGAGCUGGAAUAUGCAAUGAAGCUCGCGCAUGCGGAGACCUGAGCACCAGAAACCCGGAGGGAGAAAAAAGUGGCGUAGCAAGACCACCGAGGGCUUCACACCAACAUGAGCCUCGCAAUAGUAGGUGAAAAUCGCCAGGAGAAGGACAGAGUUGGGGUGGAGAUGCAGAGCCUGCAGGUUGUAUUGGCGGAGAACGGCAUGGAAGAACUCAGAGAAAGGAGGCACCAGACCAGCGACAUUGGCGCUCACGAAAAACGGGUAGAAGGUGCUCCCCUUGCCCUCAAGCUGAUCGGAGCCGACCUUGAGCACAGUCGCUCCCUCGCUGCCCUGCGCCAUCGUCAUCAGGCGCACGAGGGCGAGGUUCUUCUCCGACAAAUUCAGGGAAUCCAAGGCCGGCGAGUACCAAGCAUCAGCCGGGGACUUGCGAGGCGCCAUGGCGUGCCAGAUGCGAAGGAUUGAGACGGAUCUGGAGGAUUUCGGGAGCAAGAGGAAGGAGAACGAGAAAGGGGAUCUAGGGCAAGACGGACAAGAGCGGGACAAGUAAGCCUGGCCAGGGCACCCCCUUUUGUCAGUCGUGCAGUUGCCAAGGCGUCGUGGGAAGUGCAGACCCCCACGCCCAAUCAACCGCCACGCGGCGCCCAAGGCCGUAGGCUGUUAGGGCCCGCGGUGCUUCGCACUUGCCCCUUCGCUUCUCUGCUAAGCCAAGCCCGCGCACGCCUUGGGCCCGGGGACUACUGUUGGCGUUCUGGGAACGGGGGUCCCCAGACUUGCCUGCCUGCGGUGUGGCUCAAGCGGGGGCCCAGCGCGGCCCAUCUUCAUCAGCUCAAGCUCAAGACCCUCGUGAGAGGCCAAGCCUCGCGGGGCGGACGACAAGAAGCUUCCUCAGAGGCAGCCUCAUCAGGCAAGCUCGCGAGGAACCCGUGACGCAAGCCAUGACGAUCGAGACCAGGCGAGCGCCAGGCGGGCGCCAGCCUGUGCAGUGUCCUUGUUUCCCCUUUGGUGCAAAGGGGGCAAGCACAGGCUAAGGCAUCAGGCAAAGGUUACCAUUCCGGUGCAACGAGACCAAGACCAGCCGGACGGCAGGACGGAGGUCACUGUGGAGCCCAAGACGGCGUCAUCACCAGUGCUUUUGGCAGCCGAAGACCACCUUUGGUCAGGAUAACUUGUACUAGAUGUUCCCCUUCGAAAUGGCCAAUUGUUGGCGCCCUUCCCGCUCAUUAUUUGGGGAGAGGACCAGGGACUCUCUAUAAAUAGAGCUAGCCACCACAGAGUAGGGAGGAGACACCCGAGAGAGAUCGAGACACACGAGAGAGAUCGAGACACCCCGGAGAGAUCGAGACACCCGAGAGAGAUCGAGACACCCCGGAGAGACCAAGGCACCGAGGAAGGGAGAAAUCUGGAGACGGCUGGAAAUCUGGUAGAACCAUAGCAGAGAGAGAGGAAGAGGCGACUGAACUCACCCUAGCAGUUCAUCGCAUCAGCUCAAGAACACCUCUCGCGAGGCUGUUCUUCCCUUGUAUUGUCCAUCAUCAGCCCCAGAGGCAAUCUACCACACCACACACUGAAGUAGGGUAUUACACCACGACGGUGGCCCGAACCAGUAUAAACUUCGUGUCUCUUGUGUUGUUCAUCAUUUUCAUCUCAGUUCGCACGAGAGGAUCGGACGUAGAUCGGUAGGGGAGAGAUCUCUGCGCGCACCCCAUUAUUCGAACCUCAAGGGUCUGCCGGAACCCAAAACCCGACAGCACGGGGGAUAGAACUUGGGAUAAGGCACCCAUAGCAGUAGCACUGGCCCAGGAAGCGCGCUACUGCUAAGUGGAUAGCAACAGCCCGUUUUCACAAAACGUGCUACUACUAUACCUAGUCUGGCGACAACCUCUUCCCAACUGUAGUAGUAGCUCUGUUUAGUAGAGACGUGCUACUGCUACGUGGAUAUCAGUAGCGCGGUUUUCCUCACACGCUACUGCUAAGUAGCAGUAGCGCCUUAUUUUAAACCGCGCUGCUGGUAAGGUUCUGUGUAUAAGAUUUUUCCUAGUAGUUACGGGAGCCGACGCAAGGAACCCUCAGCCCUCCUCACCUCAGCCCCGAUCUCCAUCCCGGCGUGGCAUCUCCGUGGGCUGGGGAAGCAGCAGGACGAAGCGGGGGAGGGGCGGUGGCGGACAUAGAGAUAGAUCGAUUGGAUUUAGGUUAGGUGUGCGUAAAGUACUCCGGUUUUCUUUGCGGAGGAAGGAAAAAAACCAGACGAAGAGGAAGGGGAUGAAAAAAAAACAGACGAAAAAAUCAGAAAAAAAACCAUAUCGUGGACGCAAUCCCACCAACUGCUCCACAUGUGGUAAGCAAUCCAAACAACUCAAAAAAAGGAGUAGAGAUAUGUGUACGUGCUGCCCGCAUGUAUAGUAAUCAGAAAUCAGUAUAUCAACCCAGUAAAAAAAUUAGAUAGGAAAAAAGAGAGAAAACGAGAUGGGCUAGGCCCAAUUGUUGGUGAAGGGUCGCACCGCCGUAGCCUGCACACCUCGAUCGCGAUCGCUUCGUCGCUCUGGCUGCCGGCAACCGUUGCUUGUGAUUCUUCUCCGUUGCAUGCGGCACUGUUGCCGGCUUGCCGCCUUGCCGGUGUUGCGCACCUACCUUUGGCGGCCUGCUUGACCGGUGGCCACUUAAACACUCGCGUCCGGUCGUCCGCGUCGUCUAGUCUCUUUGUCUCUGUAUUCGCCCAUCCCCAAUGUGUACAUUAGAAUUUCGAUGCACAAAUUUCUAAUUCUAUGGAUUCUCUUUUGGACAUAAUUUUAGGACAUUAGCCUGCCAUACAAUGUUUCCUAAAAAGCAUUUGUUUGGUGGUUAAAAAAAGGAGAAAAAAAACAAAGCGAUCUGAAAGUUCAAUCACGAAAGGGUCCAAAAUGUUCUGAUUUCUGAAAAUUCAAUGUUGCGCAAGAAGCAUUAUUAUAGUUGAUGGUGUCACUUAAAUUUGGUCCUAAUUUGAGGUUGAGGUAAUCAUGUUAGUUUCGUUUUGCUAUCAAUUUAGUCUUGCUGCCGUGAUAUGGCAUUGUCCAACUAGAUGUAUAUACGGAAGUUUAUUCUUAAUACUAUGCAAAUAAAAUAAUAUAAUUUAUGUAGCGCACGUGCGCACACACACACACACAUGUACUCUUAGGACUUAGGGGCCCGUGUCGUUGAGUUAGCCCUAGGGCCUUCCUGAACAUAGGGUCGGCCCUGUAAGCUGCCCAGCUCGGCGCCAUGCUAAGGUCUUUUUGGGUUGGGCUUGCUAAAAUCUAUUGGACAAAUAUUGCAGUGCUUCGGGUCAGAGGAUCAAUAAUGCUAAAUCGUCUAUUUUCUUCAGUAAAGGGUGCCCUCAAGGGGUCAAAGAUAGCAUUGAACAAUGCCUUAAUGUGCACAAUGAAUCUUUGAGUGAUAGAUAUGUGGGCAUGCCCACAUAUGUUGGACAGUUUAAGAUGGGUACUUUCAAGUACUUGAGUGACAGGGUCUGGGAGAAAGUAAGAGGAUGGAUGAGAAGCUCCUCUCGGCAGCAGGCAAAGAGGUUCUCAUCAAGUCAGUUGUUCGGGCUAUACCAGUAUAUUCAAUGGCAUGUUUCAGAUUACCUCAGAGGCUGUGUGAGAACAUUACUUCUAUAAUUAGGCAGUUCUAGUGGGGCAGCAAACAAGGAAGAAGAAAACCAGCUUGGGUCUCUUGGGAUGUCAUGAAAAAGCCAAAGUACCUUGGUGGGAUGGGCUUCAGAGACAUUGAGAUUUUUAACCUAGCAUUGCUUGCUCGUCAGGCAUGCAUGGAGGCUUCUCAUGUCCCCACAAUCUCUCAGUGCAAGGAUGCUGAAAGCAGCUUAUUUUCCAAAUGUUGAAUUUUUGGAGGCAGAAUUGGGUAACCAACCUUCGUAGACACUAGUGCAUAACCGGGCUUUAGCACCGAUUCGUAAGGCCCUUUAGUGCCGGUUCUACAACCGGCACUAAAGUGUGGGGACUAAAGCCCCCCCUAGUACCGGUUCAACACGAACCGUCACUAAAGGGCCAUCACGUGGCACGAGGCGCGCCGUGGUCUGGGGGACCUUUUUUUGAAUUUUUUUGAAACAAAGCAAAAAUAGCUCACCUACUGGGCCAGCACGGCCUGCAUACGACUAGAAACCCAACCUCUAGUUGGGCCAGGGUGCAGGCCCGUACGGCCCAGUAGGCCCCAUAGGGCAGAAGACUUGCAAUAGGCCCACAAAGGCCUGUUUAGAGAGGAGCUCGACACGGCAGCCGCGGCGGGGCUUAUAAACCGGUGCGAGCUCCUCUCAACUAGCGAGGUGGGACUAAACAUUGUGCACUGCGGGUGGCAGCACACCCCUUUAGUACCGGUUGGUGGCACGAACACGUACUAAAGCGGGGGUCUUUAGUACCGGUUGGAGCCGCCAACCCAUACUAAAGGCCACCACCUCUUUAGUACCGGUUCGUGGCACGAACUGGUACUAAAGGUUCGCCACGAACCAGUACUAAUGAAUGCCGCCCACCUAGCCAUUAGAACCGGCAUUAAUGGUCAUAUUAGUGUCGGUUCAAUUACAAACCGGGACUAAUGAGUUUUACAUUAGGCCCUUUUUCUACUAGUGAGAUAUGGCGAGUGAGGGAGUCCUGGAUUAGGGCGUCUCCGGACAGCCGGACUAUCUCUAUUGGUCGGACUGUUGGACUAUGAAGAUACAAGAUUGAAGACUUCAUCUCGUGUCCGGAUGGGACUCUACUUGGCGUGGAAGGCAAGCUAGGCAAUACGGAUAUGGAUAUCUCCUCCUUUGUAACCGACCUUGUGUAACCCUAACCCUCUUCGGUGUCUAUAUAAACCGAAGGAUUUUAGUCCGUAGGAUAACAACCACAACAUACAAUCAUACCAUAGGUUAGCUUCUAGGGUUUAGCCUCUCUGAUCUCGUGGUAGAUCUACUCUUGUACUACCCAUAUCAUCAAUAUCAAUCAAGCAGGACGUAGGGUUUUACCUCUAUCAAGAGGGCCCGAACAUGGGUAAAACAUCGUGUCCCCGGCCUCCUGUUACCAUUCGGCCUAGACGCACAGUUCGGGACCCCCUACCCGAGAUCCGCCGGUUUUGACACCGACAUUGGUGCUUUCAUUGAGAGUUCCUCUGUGUCGUCGCCGUUAGGCUUGAUGGCUCCUACUAUCAUCGAUACCGAUGUGGUCCAGGGUGAGACUUUUCUCCCCGGACAGAUCUUCGUAUUCGGCGGCUUUGCACUGCGGGCUAAUUCGCUUGGCCAUCUGGAGCAGAUUGAAAACUACGCCCCUGGCCAUCAGGUCAGAUUUAGAAGCUUAAACUACACGGCCAAUAUCCGUGGAGAUUUGAUCUUCGACGGAUUCAAGCCUCUGCCUUGUGCGCCACGCGGUCACGAUGAGCAUGACUUAGCUCUCCCAUUGGACAGUGUUAAGGAGAUCGCAUCGGCAGCCGCUCCGACCCUCAAUUCAGAGCCAGUCGCGCCUUCCGCGGACGGGUGGAUGGACCCCUCCACGGAGGCCUUACCCUCAGCGGCGAUCGAGCGGAACAUCGACCUUGCCUUGCACGAGAGUCGUGUUGUUAAACUACCGGAUCCUUCUCCGGCCACGGACUCCGAACCGCCUGCGCCCGUUCCUAUCGAAUCCGAUUGGGCGCCGAUCAUGGAGUUUACCUCCGCAGAUAUUUUUCAGCACUCUCCCUUUGGAAAUAUACAGAACUCAUUAAGGUCUCUCUCCUUGUCAGGAGAAUCUUGGCCGAACUAUGUCCGGCAAGAUCGGGAUGCGGACGACGAAGAAAUUCGAUGCCCACCCACCACCCACUUAAUAGCCACUAUCGAUGACUCAACCGACAUGCUCGAAUUCGACUCCGAAGACAUCGAUGGUAUGGACAACGAUGCAGGAGACGAAGAGGAACCAUCGCCCACAGGGCGCUGGACGUCCACCUCAUCAUAUGACGUAUAUAUGGUGGACACACCAAAAGAAGACGACGACGAGGAACAGAAGGACGCAACGAAGGCUUGUUCCCUCGAGAAGCAGUCAAAGCGGCGGCGUAAGCGCCGCCCCAAAUCCCGCCUCGGCAGAAAUAACGAUCAUACAGACCUAGCGUUGGAGCAGGGUGAACCACCGCCGGACCACGACAAUACGGAGAAUCAAACCGAACAAACCAAUUCUGUCAAAGAUAAUAGUCCGGACGACAUAACGCCGGACAGGCACCCGGAGCAGCAGAAUGCCCGUCAAAGGCUUGUUGCCACUGCGAGGAGUCUAAAAAAGAAGAAGCAAAGGCUCAAGGCUGCGCAGAACACACUCCAAAUCAGAUGGAGUAAAGUACUCAACACAGCAGCGAAGUACGGCGGCAAUCGCCCCACCAAGAGCUACCCAAAGCGGAAGUUCCUACCUGAAUUCGAUGAGGAGGCCUUAGACCCCCCACAACCAAAAAUUAAAACAACCAUCUAGCCGGAUAGACGACCUCACGGCCAACACAAAGCGGCAAGCAAUGCCGCACAUGAGCCAAUACGCGGUCUACGCGAGGGCUCGCAUUAAAAGGACGGCGAAACCAGAUCCAUCUAUGGACCACGCAAGCGUGCUCCAGCAUAUGAUGCAACACAACAAACAUCCGAACAACGCGGUACACCCAGAUAUAGGGGUGCCGCACACCCCCUAUGUUUUACCGAUGAGGUGUUGGACCAUGAAUUUCCAGAGGGAUUCAAACCCGUAAACAUAGAGGCAUACGAUGGAACAACAGACCCUGGGGUCUGGAUUGAAGACUAUAUCCUCCAUAUCCACAUGGCUCGGGGAGAUGAUCUCCACGCCAUUCAGUAUUUACCCCUCAAACUCAAAGGGCCAGCUCGGCACUGGCUUAAGAGCCUCCCCAAAAGCUCCAUUGGAAGUUGGGAAGAGCUCGAAGACGCCUUUCGGGCAAAUUUUCAAGGGACUUAUGUCCGACCUCCGGACGCGAAUAAUUUGAGUCAUAUAACUCAACAGCCCAGAGAGUCAUCCCGAAAGCUUUGGAAAAGGUUUCUUACUAAAAAGAACCAAAUUGUCGACUGUCCGGACGCCAAAGCCUUGGCAGCUUUUAAGCAUAGCGUCUGUGACGAAUGGCUUGCCAGACACCUCGGCCAAGAAAAGCCGAGAACAAUGGCAGCAUUAACAAGCCUCAUGCCCCGCUUUAGCGCGGGUGAGGAUAGCUGGCUAGCCAGAUGCAGCACCAGCGACCCCAGUACAUCGGGAGUUAGAGAUGGAAACGGGAAAUCACGGCGCAACAAUAAUAACAAACGCCGGAAUAAAGAAGACAGCACGAAGAGCACGGCAGUAAACGCCGGAUUCAAAAGUUCUCGUCCAGGUCAGCAAAAGCCGCCCUCUAAAGGCGCCAGAGAUGAACCGUCCAGCCUAAACAAAAUUCUGGACCAAAUAUGUCAGAUCCAUAGCACCCCUGGUAAACCCGCUAAUCAUACCCACAAAGAAUGUUGGGUCUUCAAGCAGCCCGGCAAGCUCAACGCCGUACACAAGGGGGAGGAUACACCAAGCGAAGAUGAGGAUGAGCCUUUCAAGCAAGACACUGGGGAACAAAAGAAAUUUCCACCAGAAGUCAAAAUAGUAAACGUGUUACACGUGAUCAAGGGGAGAAACAAAACGGCACUCCCAGAAAAAUAUGCCCAAGGGCCUAUCACCGCGGAGUCUUGCCACUGGUCGUCUCAACCGAUCACUUUCGACCAUCGUGAUUACUCAGUAAGUAUCUGGCGUGCACGAUGGGCUGCCCUGGUAUUAGACCCAAUAAUUGACGGAUACCACUUCACACGAGUCCUGAUGGACGGUCGCAGCAGUCUAAACCUGAUAUACCAGGAUACAAUCCGCGAAAUAAGGAUAGACCCAACGAAAAUUUGCCAUAGCAAUACUACCUUUAAAGGAGUGACGCCAGGCCCAGGGGCUCAUUGCAGGGGCUCCCUGCUACUAAAGGUUAUAUUCGGAUUCCCCGAUAACUUCCAUAGCGAACAUUUAACCUUCCGCAUCGCUCCGUUCCAAGGUGGCUAUCAAGCACUACUUGGACGCGAAGCUUUCGCUCGCUUUAAUGCAAUACCACACUAUGCUUCCCUCACACUCAAGAUGCCCGGCCACGUGGCAUCAUUACAGUGAACGGAAGUAUUAAGCGAUCUUUGCGCGCCGAAGAGAAUGCGACUGCCUUGGCAGCCGCACACUAAAAACGGCCUCACCAACUAAAGCAUUUGAUAGGUCGUCAAGACCACGGGCGCGGUUAGACAAGUCCGACGCUGCUAUAUGUAAAUUGUAACGGAUUAAUGGCCACACCCCUAUUACAAAUACAAGGGGCCCAACACACGCAGACAAGUGGCAAUUUAUACUCAUUUCUAGUUAUACAUGGUUUCUUUAAAAACUAUCUCUCUGCACGACAACUUUUUCACCUAAAUUCCUCUCUUUUACAGAUGACCAUUGUGCUACACCCGUCCUGGAUACGGCACAACGGAGACACAGGCGCAGACGUGCAGCAGGGACCCGUUCCAAGGAUUCUUUUUAGAUUAAGACCCUGCGUAAACCUUUUUUACUGUCUCUUGUUGAUACACAUCCACCGAAUUCUCAGCACAAUUGAUAAUGAUGCUGACGUCUUGGCAUGUGGCCACGUCAGAAUAAUGCACGUACCUGGACACAAGGGGCUUCUUACAAAGGGCACUAUUUAGGCCCGGUUUAUACCAUAAAGACCGAACACCUUAGGGAGUGUUCGGCGUCGUGAGUUUGGCCUUAUAUGCAUCAGCUCCGAAUCAUUGUCUUUGGUCAAAUGUUGGGUUUUCCCGGCUCCUGUGUUUUGGUGCCUUACAUUCCGCUUUAUCGGCUAAGGCAGCACCAGGAGAACUACUGCGAUUGUGCCCUGGUUCAUCCGGACGAGCACCUCAGUAGAGAAAGCCGAAAACUGACUGUCAUGAUAUAGCGUGAGACUGGUCAACCACUCGAUGACCUAUCGAAAUGCUAGAAUUCCUCCGCCUUAACGAAGGGCCAUUUUCCGGCCAUGCAUGUACGCACCCCGAGAUCAGGAGAGUGCGGAGCCACCAGGGGCUAUCAAGUAGCCCCACUGUCAAACUCCUAUGGCUAAGUAAAAGUGUUAAAUCAUUAUAGUCCGGUUGCCUCGUUCGUUGCGCUAUCACCUUCUUAAUAGGACCAAGACGUUGGGUUAAGUGUGAACAAGCGUUUUUUGCGAGCACCUCCGCAUUAUAUGCAUGGGGGCUGAAGCCGACGACUGCAAUCUUUCAGGUUAUACACAUGUAUACAUAAACGGCUGCACAGGAGGCAUCAUAUUGCUUUCAGGCAAAAGUAUAAACACAGCCUUAAAAAAUUUCAUAAAAACAUUGUGUUUACAAUGGGAAUACAUGUCACUCAAACAUAAUAUUCUUCAAGCACUGGGACUCUAUCAAACGAGCACCCUCAAGAACCUCCUCGAAAUAGUGCUCGGUAGCCACUCGGCCUAUGGCCGAACCCUACGCCGCAACAACGGUAGCAUCCAUCUCCUCCCAGUAUGCUUUAACACGGGCAAGGGCCAUCCGCGAUCCUUCUAUGCACGCCGACCUCUUCAUCGCAUUAAUGCGCGGCACCGCACCAAGGACCUGCUGCACUAAGCUGAAAUAACUGUUCGGCUUAGGCUUUUCCGGCCAUAGCUGAUCCACAACAGACUUCAUGGCAAGUCCGGACAACCUAUUCAGUUCAGCCCAUUCGGCUAGUUGGUCAGUCAAUGAAAGAGGACGCUCUGGAACGUUGAAUUACGACCAGAAUAGCUUGUCCACUUCACGAUCUGUUUGACCUUGGAAGUACUUGGCCGCAUCGGCAGCGCUCGCCGCCAAGUCCAUAUACGCAUCUGCUGAACUCCACAGCUGAUCCAGAGGGGCAUACUGUGGAUCUCCGAACUUCCUCCAUAGCAUGAAGGGCUUCCCAGCCGCAAUAUCCCCGGCUUCCCACAGCUCCUCCUUCUUCGCUCUCAUAGCAGAGGGGGUGUCUUUUGUCUGCCAUCGUGGCCUUCUCAAGGUCCGUUGCCUUCGCUCGGUUUUCUUUUUCAAGGAGCCGGCAACGGUCGUCGGUGUCUUUUAAUUCUACGGCCAUCUUGGCCAUCUUCUCUUGGCUCUCGCAAUGUGCAGCCUUCUCGGCUUUCAACUCUUCGGCCACCUUCAAAGCAGCUGCAUUACUAAUCCUCGCUUGUUCCUUGGCUCGGGCAAGUUCUGCCCGCAUGGUUUCCACGGUGGCAGCUCCAUCUGCAGUCACAACAUAUUAAAGAUACUGGCAUCAUGCUGCUCUUACUACGUGGUAUUCACCAGAAAAUAACACUUACCAUGUGCCUCGUCAAGCCUCUUGUUAACAAGCUCAAUGUCGGCGUCCGCCGCAUCCAGUUGCCGUUUUAAUUCGGCAAACCCACUAGUCCGGCUAGCCACCGGAGCUUCCACCGCCUGCACAUAAAGGCAGUCUGGUUAUUGCCUGGGACUAUGAUCCUCUGUUCGCCGCCGUUCUCGUCGACAACCAGAGUCUCAGGGGCUACUAUCUACACAGGGCACACCUAACAUGUGCGGUACUAUCACGUACCUCAAAGCCUGUUAGUAGACUCAUAAAGGUUUCAUGUAAUCCGCUUUCGGCAGACGAAAUUCUUUCCAUCACCGUACCCAUCAGCGUACGGUGUUCUUCUGAGAUGGUCGCUCGCCCUAACAGCUCCCUCAGAACGUCCGACCGCAUACCAGACGAUGCCGGACUCUUUUGUUCGCUCUCCUCGAGAGCCGGACACUGGGGACUUCAGGGGUCUAUGGGAUUAUCUUCUGGCCUCACCGGAUCCGGAGAGGCCCUCCGUGACGACACUUCGGGGUCGCCCGCUUCUUGAGCGGAGGAGUCCAGGGGAGGCGUUUCGCUCUCCAUCAUCUCCGAAAGAAGAUCCCCUAAAGACGAGCUCAGCUGAGAAGGGCUAAGACCCGAACUGCAAGAUAUAUGCGGCGGUUAUUUUCUCAGAAGAAAGAUAGUAUACCUUCACUAUUAAAGUAUUUUUUGGAUCACUUACGACUCGUUGGAGGUCUGAUCCCCCCGCGGACUUUAUGCGGCAAAAGCNNNNNNNNNNNNNNNNNNNNNNNNNNNNNNNNNNNNNNNNNNNNNNNNNNNNNNNNNNNNNNNNNNNNNNNNNNNNNNNNNNNNNNNNNNNNNNNNNNNNNNNNNNNNNNNNNNNNNNNNNNNNNNNNNNNNNNNNNNNNNNNNNNNNNNNNNNNNNNNNNNNNNNNNNNNNNNNNNNNNNNNNNNNNNNNNNNNNNNNNNNNNNNNNNNNNNNNNNNNNNNNNNNNNNNNNNNNNNNNNNNNNNNNNNNNNNNNNNNNNNNNNNNNNNNNNNNNNNNNNNNNNNNNNNNNNNNNNNNNNNNNNNNNNNNNNNNNNNNNNNNNNNNNNNNNNNNNNNNNNNNNNNNNNNNNNNNNNNNNNNNNNNNNNNNNNNNNNNNNNNNNNNNNNNNNNNNNNNNNNNNNNNNNNNNNNNNNNNNNNNNNNNNNNNNNNNNNNNNNNNNNNNNNNNNNNNNNNNNNNNNNNNNNNNNNNNNNNNNNNNNNNNNNNNNNNNNNNNNNNNNNNNNNNNNNNNNNNNNNNAAUACCGGAUUUUCCAAACCCUCAGGGAGGGGGGCCAAACACCGAAUCAUCUUCGCCUUUGUUAGCCAGUCCUGGUCAAAGAGCGAACUCUCAGGAAUAACUUCAUGAUGAAUAAAAGACUGUGUGUUCGGCUAGAGGAUUUCUUACUUGUUCGGCGGCGCGGUUACUGCUCAGGCCCACGUCCUCGGUAGUAUCUGGACACUCUAUUUGAGGUUCGAAGAAUGACUUGUACAUCUCCUCGUGCGUCAGGCCGAGGAAACUUGGAAUGGCACACGGUCCUUCUGGGUUGAACUCCCACAAGCGAAGGGGCCGGCGUUUGCAAGGCUGGACUUGACGAACCAGCAUAACUUGUAUUACCACGACCAAAUUAAAAUCUCCCUCGAAGAGAUCUCGAAUGCGGCUUUGCAGUAUAGGCACGUCCUUGGCUGGACCCCAGUUCAGACCUCUGCUAAUCCAUGACAUUAGUUGUGGUGGGGGGCCCGAGCGGAAAGCGGGGGCAGCCGCCCACUUGGCACUUCUGGGAGCCGUGACGUAAAACCACUCCCGUUGCCAUAAUUCGGACACCUCUGGAAAGGAACCUUUCGGCCAUGAAGCUCCUGCCAUCUUGCCUAUUGAUGCACCUCCGCACGCUGCAUGUUGCCCCUCGAUCAUCUUCGGCUUCACUUCAAAGGUCUUGGGCCACAGGCCGAAGUGAGGGGUAAUGCAGCGGAAGGCCUCACACAUGAUAAUAAAUGUCGAGAUGUGGAGAAAGGAGUCCGGAGCUAGAUCGUGGAAAUCUAGCUCGUAAUAGAACAUCAAACCCCUGACGAAGGGAUCCACAGUGAGGCCUAGGCCUUGGAGGAAGUGGGAGAUGAACACGAAGUUCUCGUUGGGUUCGGGAGUAGGGACGACCUGCCCUCGAGCAGGUAGCCGAUGCGAAACCUCGGCGGUCAGGUAUCUGGCUUCCUUCAACUUCUUGAUGUCCUCUUCCGUCACGGAGGAGGGCAUCCAUCGGCCUUGAAGGCUGAAUCUGGACAUGAUUGAAGAUCCGGAGCACCUAACCUGGGCUUUGGGUAUUGGAACUCGAGACGGGGGAAGGGUUCGAUUGAGCACGAGAGGGAAAAAGCGAAAACCUUGUCCCUUUAUAAAGAGGGUGAAUAUCAAGCGUCCUCUCCAUAGCCGUUUAGGGCUUGCCUAUAAUCUAGGAGUCCUAGACACGGUUGGUGUUGGAAGCCUACCGUUGCUGGCUCAACUAGAGGACCGAGUCCCACGUAGUUCAUGCACCGGACAUUCCCUCCUUUUCUGUUACACGAUGUGCAUGACCUCCUGUAGAGCUGGGUCGUUACCAGCCUCUGUACCUGUAUAUUAACCCCUUCGUGGGCAUCAAUGAUAAUCACCAGUGUAUUCAUUCUCCAUCUUGGUAAUCAGAGCUCUCUUUCCUAUCCCUGUCUCUCAUGGACACUGGCAACAGCUCCGGCGGCCUUUCGAGCGGCGACCUGACGGGCGCCAUCCCUCCCGCUCCCGCUCCGGUGCUCUCCUCUUCUGAACUCUCCACCCCCGUCCUCUCCGCUCCGCCAGCAACCGCCCCUAGCACCAUGAGCUUGGUGACCCUGCCGUCGCCUCCCACCCUCCCUGACAUAGCGUCGUCCUCUGCCACCACUACCCCCUCCAUCCACACCCUCAACAACAUCCACAACCUCAUCCCCUUCAAGCUGGAUGUCCAAACCGGCAGCUAUUCAAAGUGGCGUGAACUCUAGCACUGCAUCCUCAUCAUGUACGCCGUCGAGAGCCAUGUCGACCACUACUCCGACCCACUGCUCCAAACUCCGGCGUGGCGCCACACCGAUCUGACACUCCUGCUUCUGCUCUACUCCACCAUCACCGACGGCCUGUACGAGGUCAUCCGUGGCGCCGGCAACACCAUGCAUCGCGUCUGGAGCCAACUCCACAAGUUCUUCCUCGCCAACCAACUCGCCCAGGCCGUGCACCUUAGUGCGGAAUUCCGCGCCCUCACCCAGGGGGAUCUCCGCAUCGCCGAGUACUGCGGGCGCCUCAAAGCGCUCGCGGACGCUCUGGCCGACGUCGACGAGCCCGUCACCGAUCGCACCCUGACACUGCAGCUUCUCCGCGGCCUCUCUCGUAGGUACCAGGUGAUCGCCACGGUCAUCCCGAUGCAUACUCCCUUCCCAUCCUUCAACCAGGCCCGUUCCCGUCUUCUUCUGGAGGAAAUCACCCAGGACGCCCAUGAUCGCUCCGACGGAUCUACCGCUCUCGCCAUCGGCCACGGCGGCGGCGGCGGCCAUGGCGACGGUGGCGGCGAGGGCUCCGGCGGCUCCUCCGGCCCACCUCCCUCAUCUGGCGACCGCGGCAAGGCUCCCAUGGAGCGCGGCAACAGCAGCACCGGUGAUCGCGGCCACGGACACAACGGUGGACGCGGGCGUGGCCGCGGGCGCGGACGCGGGUACAAUGACGGCCGCGGUUCGCCUGCUCUUCCUCCCGGCGGCUCCACUCCAUGGAUGGGCUACUUCGCACCGUGGGGGACGCCCUUCCUGCCGCCGCGCGCUCCCUGAGUUCCACCCAACGCAGCCGGGGUCCUCGGGCCUCGCCCCGGUGCUGCCCAGCACGCCUACCCCGCGCUGUACACUGGACCCGGCGUGCCACCCCAACCCUCUUGGGAUUAGGCGGCGCUCUAUUCCGCUAUGAACCAGAUGUCUCUCCAGUAGCCCGGCAGUGGCAACGGCGACUGGAUCUUUGAUUCCGGUGCCCCCUCCCAUGUCACUGGUAAUGCAGGUAACCUCGCCACUUCUCAUCCUGUCUCAAAACAUCAUGCUCCCAUCAUCGUUGGCGACGGCAUUCGUCUGCCGGUAGUUGCCACCGGCACCGCCUCCAUCCCCACAUCCUCUCGCCCCUUGCUGCUUCAUAACGUUCUCGUAGCACCUGAUAUUGUUCAAAACCUACUCUCUGUCCGUCAACUAUCCACUGAUAAUAAUGUAUCCGUUGAGUUUGACCCCCUCGGCUCUUUUGUGAAGGAUCUAGCCACCCGGACCCCCCUCAUGAGGCGCACUAGUUUCGGGCCUCUCUACCGCAGCGGCGCAUCCAGCUCUUCGGCGUUCUACACCAACUCCGGCGACCUGUGGCAUCGCCGUUUGGGGCACCCCGGCAGUGCCUCUCUUUCCCGUUUAGCACACAUUUUCUUCCCGAUUGUAAUAAUCUCCCUGCCGCCUCUGGAUCAUGUGAGGCGUGCCAAUUAGGGAAGCAGCCACGUCUGCCUUUUUCUUCUUCUUCUACCUCUGUUACUUGUUUUCCUUUUCAGCUUGUACACUGUGAUCUUUGGACGUCUCCCGUCCCUAGUUGCUCUGCCUGCAAAUAUUACUUAAUAAUAAUGGAUGAUUUUUCCCACUUCGCAUGGACUUUUCCCCUCCGUGCCAAAUCCGAGGCCACUGAAGUUCUCAAACGUUUCUUUCGCUUCGUACUCACACAAUUCCAUGUCGAUAUCCAGAGCGUCCAGUGCGAUAACGGCGGCGAGUUUCUUAACAUCUCUCUCCACUCUUCUCUAGGUGAACAUGGCACUGCCCUACGCCUCUCCUGCCCGCACACAUCACCCCAAAAUGGGAAAGCUGAGCGCGCCAUCCGCUCCACAAACGACAUACUUCGCACACUUCUUGUCCAAGCCAGCAUGCCCCCAAAAUUCUGGGUGGAAGACCUUCAUACUACCACAUACCUCCUCAAUAUACGACCCUCCCGAGCCAUCAACCACAACACACCAUACUUCAUGCUUUACGGUACUCACCCCAACUACGACCACAUUCGCAUAUUUGGCUGUUUGUGCUACCCCAAUCUCUCCGCCACCACUCCCCACAAACUUUCCGCACGCUCCACACCCUGCGUUCUUCUCGGCCUACCCCUCGAGCACAAAGGAUACCGGUGCCUCGACAUCUCCACACGUAAAGUUAUCACCUCCCGGCACAUGAUUUUCAACGAGCAUAUUUUUCCCUUCGCCACAGAAAAUCCCACUGCCCCCAGCCCCGUAUCCACCUCGGGAUCCCUCCCACCUACCUGGUCCAAUCCGACAGGAUUGUCCUCGGGAUUCCCCGCCCCAGUCGCCCCACCCCACGCACCCGAUCGCGUCACUCCCAACCAAUCCGCCCGCUGCGCCCCCACCGCUGCGCUCACUCCCGCUGGCCCACCACUCACCACCACCACUCCGGUCCCAACUCCCAGACCCCCCCAGUCGGCAGCUAGCUCACCAUGCAGCCAAUCGCCUGCCCGCUCACCAUGCAGCCAAUCCGCGACAUCCUCGCCAUGCACGUCGCCCCGCGCUCUCGCCCCGCCUCUGGCUGCCUCCCCACCAACCUCCCCGCCUCNNNNNNNNNNNNNNNNNNNNNNNNNNNNNNNNNNNNNNNNNNNNNNNNNNNNNNNNNNNNNNNNNNNNNNNNNNNNNNNNNNNNNNNNNNNNNNNNNNNNNNNNNNNNNNNNNNNNNNNNNNNNNNNNNNNNNNNNNNNNNNNNNNNNNNNNNNNNNNNNNNNNNNNNNNNNNNNNNNNNNNNNNNNNNNNNNNNNNNNNNNNNNNNNNNNNNNNNNNNNNNNNNNNNNNNNNNNNNNNNNNNNNNNNNNNNNNNNNNNNNNNNNNNNNNNNNNNNNNNNNNNNNNNNNNNNNNNNNNNNNNNNNNNNNNNNNNNNNNNNNNNNNNNNNNNNNNNNNNNNNNNNNNNNNNNNNNNNNNNNNNNNNNNNNNNNNNNNNNNNNNNNNNNNNNNNNNNNNNNNNNNNNNNNNNNNNNNNNNNNNNNNNNNNNNNNCCCUCCAUGCGCGGUGCCCGUCCUACCACCCAAAAACAGCCACCCCAUGCGCACACGAGCCAAAGCCGAUUUCCUCCAACCAAAAUCCCUCUUCACUCUCGCAGCCACCACCGAUCGCAUCUCUCCUCUCCCUUCCUCCUACAAACACGCCCUCAAAGACCCAAACUGGUACAACGCGAUGCUUGAGGAGUAUACUGCUUUGUUACAAAACGAGACUUGGCCGUUGGUUUCUCCCCCUGCAGGUGUCAACGUGGUGACGGGGAAAUGGAUCUUUCGCCACAAGCUGAACCCCAACGGCUCCCUCGCUCGGUACAAGGCGCGUGGGUCCUGCGUGGCUUCACUCAACAACAUGGCGUCGACUUCGAGGAGACCUUCAGCCCCGUCGUCAAGCCGGCGACCAUCCGUGUCGUCCUCAGCCUCGCCGUCUCCGCCGGCUGCGCCAUCCAUCAGCUGGAUGUGAAGAACGCAUUUCUUCACGGCCACCUCGACACCGUCGUCUACAACCAGCAGCCAUCCGGGUUCGUCGACGCUGCGCACCUGUCUCACGUGUGUCGCCUGCAUUGCUCACUCUACGGGCUCAAACAGGCCCCCCGGGCAUGGUUUCAGCGCUUCACCACCUACCUCGCGCGUCUCGGCUUCGUUGUAUCCAAGAGUGACAACUCUCUCUUCAUUCUUCAUCGCGACGGCGCCACCGCUUAUCUCCUCUUAUACGUCGAUGACAUUAUCCUCACUGCCAGCUCCGCCUCCCUGCUCCACCAUGUCAUCUCCCAACUCCACCAUGAGUUUUCCAUGACUGACCUCGGCGAGCUCCAUCAUUUCCUAGGGAUCAAUGUCACACGCAGCUCCCGCGGCUUGUUCCUCUCGCAACACCAAUAUGCUCUCGAGAUACUUGAGCGCGCCCGCAUGAGCAAUUGCAAGCCCAUCGCCACCCCCAUCGACACUCGCGCAAAACUUUCCGCCACCGACGGUGCUCUUGUUUCUGACCCGUCCCUCUACCGCAGCUUGGCCGGCGCUCUACAAUAUCUCACUCUCACACGACCCGAUAUCACCUAUGCCGUUCAACAGGUCUGCCUCUUCAUGCAUGAUCCCCGGGAGCCGCACUUCAUCGUCCUCAAACGCAUCUUGCGCUACAUUCGCGGUACCCCGCAGCUCGGCCUUCACCUCCGGCGCUCCUCCAACCACCGCCUCGUCGCCUACUCUGACGCCGACUGGGCGGGUUGUCCUGACACCCGCAAGUCCACGUCGGGCUAAUGCAUCUUCAUCGGCGACAACCUCGUCUCUUGGUCCUCCAAGCGGCAACAGACCGUCUCCCGGUCCAGCGUGGAGGUGGAAUACAGGGCGGUGGCCAAUGCUGUGACCGAGGCGUGCUGGCUGCGUCAACUUCUGCACGAGCUACGGCGUCCUCCGGAUCGGGCAACAAUCGUCUACUGCGACAACGUGAGCGCCAUGUACCUCUCCACCAACCCUGUGCAGCAUCAGCGCACGAAACAUAUCGAGAUCGAUCUUCAUUUCGUGCGUGAGCGGGUUGCUUUUGGCGAUGUACGCGUCCUCCACGUCCCGUCUGCAUCGCAGCUCGCCGAUAUCUUCACGAAGGGGUUGCCAUCGACCGUCUUCCUCGACUUCCGGUCCAGCCUCAACGUGCUCGACGACCCCGUUGUGGCUGCGGGGGGCUGUUGGAAGCCUAUCGUUGCUGGCUCAACUAGAGGACCGAGUCCCACGUAGUUCAGGCACCGGACGUGCCCUCCUUUUCUGUUACACGAUGUGCAUGACCUCCUGUGUAGCUGGGUCGUUACCAGCCUCUGUACUUGUAUAUUAACCCCUUCGUGGGCAUCAAUGGUAAUCACCAGUGUAUUCAUUCUCCAUCUGUUGGGUUACCCACGACCGCAUUAACGAGAAUCCCGUAAUUGGGGGAACACGAUCUCUGCUUUGACAAGACGUGUCAAGAAACCGCCUCGCAUUAUGUGUGGAGCUGGUUGAAGAAAAAUGGUUCGAAUAAUCACCGGGCCAUGACAUAACGUCAUGCUGCCAAAACAAGUCAGCAAAUUAGAAUUGCAAAAAUAUUAUUCUCUCUACGGUGGUAUAUGGAACUUAUUUUGCAGAGUCGGACACUAUCCUCGUUUUCAAAUUCUUCUGUGAUGUAUUCAGAGAAGGAACCCGCCUUGCAAUGCCGAAGACAAUACCGCGCGCCGGACUCAUCGUCAUUGAAGCCUGGUUCAGGGGCUACUGAGGGAGUCCUGGAUUAGGGGGUCUCCGGACAGCCGGACUAUCUCUAUUGGCCGGACUGUUGGACUAUGAAGAUACAAGAUUGAAGACUUCGUCUCGUGUCCGGAUGGGACUCUACUUGGCGUGGAAGGCAAGCUAGGCAAUACGGAUAUGGAUAUCUCCUCCUUUGUAACCGACCUUGUGUAACCCUAACCCUCUCGGGUGUCUAUAUAAACCGAAGGGUUUUAGUCCAUAGGAAAACAACCACAACAUACAAUCAUACCAUGGGCUAGCUUCUAGGGUUUAGCCUCUUCGAUCUCGUGGUAGAUCUACUCUUGUACUACCCAUAUCAUCAAUAUCAAUCAAGCAGGACGUAGGGUUUUACCUCCAUCAAGAGGGCCCGAACCUGGGUAAAACAUCGUGUCCCCUGCCUCCUGUUACCAUCCGGCCUAGACGCAUAGUUCGGGACCCCCUACCCGAGAUCCGCCGGUUUUGACACCGACAGCGAGCUAUGCUUGAUGGAAGGGACAUUUUUAAGCAAGGCAUUAUCAAGAGGAUUGGGAAUGGCCACAACACUAAUAUCUGGGAGACCAACUGGCUUCCUAGAAUAGGCCCUUUGCGACCGAUCACUUCGCUAUCGGUAAAUUCACCAACGCUAGGAGCCGAACUAAUCGAUAACACAUCAGCGUCUUGGCGAGAGGAGCUGAUUCAUGCUACGUUUUUACCCGUCGACGCGGAUGCUAUUAUGGCCCUCCCACUCUGCACGAGGUCGGUGGAGGACUUCUGGGCUUGGUCUGGCGAGCGGCAUGGUAUUUUCUCUGGCAGAUCGGCUUAUAGAAUGAUAUUGAACAAGAAGUAGCACCGAGAAAAUUGGCUAUAUGAGCAUGCAGGGGCGUCAGAUUUGAGGGAAAGCUCUAAUGCUUGGACAGCGUUGUGGCACACUAGGGUUCCAUCUAAAAUGAAAGUUUUUAUAUGGCGGCUAGCAAGACAUUCGAUGUCGACAGCGGAUCUUCUCCAACAUCGAAAUAUGUCCACGUCCCACUUAUGCGCCUUAUGUGGGUGUGAGGAUUCAUGGAGGCAUGCCCUGCUAGAUUGUACUACGUCAAGAUGCAUAUCAUCCUUAGUUGAAAAUUCUCUGACGGAAGUCGUGAGCCAUAACAGGGAUCCUAAUGCGAAGAACCGGCUUCUUGCAAUGAAUGAUGUACUAUCCUAAAAGGAUCUUGUUCCUCUAGUAGUAACGUUAUGGGCUGUUUGGAAAGCAAGACGAUGCUGUGGUUGCAACCAAUCGGUGACGAGGAGUUGCGGCUGCUAUAUGCCGGGAUCACGAUGGUACGUUUCAGGGGGCAUCGGCUAUAGUUAUCAAGGGAAUAUGUGAUCCACAAACUUUAGAAGCCCUAGCUGUGCGGGAGGCUCUAGCCCUUGCUGAUGUUCUCAAUCUUCAAUGGAUACAUGUUGCUUCAGAUUGUAAGGUGGUUUUGGAUGAUCUCAAGCAGGGGAACAAGGCAAGAUAUGGAGCUGUUAUACAUGAAAUCAUGGAUCAUAACUUUUCUUUUACAACUUGUAACUUUUGCCAUGAGUUUAGAAGUUCGAAUUUCGAGACUCACAAUCUAGCGAAGCAUGUCUUAAGGUUAGGGGUGGGCGGCCAUGUUUGAUUAGGGCACCCCGGUGAUAUUUCUUUUGUACCUAUAAACUUUGGGUCCGGUUAAAUAAACUUCGCGCGAUUGUCUAAAAAAAACCUACUUGCAUGAUUACCAAGGAGAACCCUUUCAUACAGGUAUACGUCGGCAGAUUUCGACAAAGGUAUUACGGCAGUUGUCUUUUUGCUUGUCCCAAGCUGGAUAUGACGGCAAGUUUAAUUUCUUGGACUACAUAGUAGUGUUCUCGAUGGCGCCAAUUCUAGAUGGUCCUCAAGCUUUUGGUUUUGCAACUAAACCUAAUACUCCCUUCAUUUUUGUAUACAAUGUCAUUAUCAAAAUUACAAUUUGCAACUAUACAAGGCCACUAACAUUAAUCGAGGCAAAAUUGAUGGCGUUUGUCUCGUAGUAGCACCCAAGAACAUUAAUAUCCCUUGUGUGAAUGCGGGAGUGAGAAGGUUGGCUUGCAUUCCCAACAUUAAUCAACCAACGAGAAGUAAGAGGGUUGGCUUGUUGUGCGUGGGAGAGAAAAACUACAUUAAUUAACACGACAAACAAGGUGACAAGCUAGCUUGCAACAUUGACUUAAACAUUGUAUUGAUUUUUACCUUGGUAUCUGUAAUAUGGGUCUGUGGCCUUGUAUACAAAAAUGGAGGGAGUAUAAUAAAUAGAAAUGUGAGUAAUUUCAAUUUUCUUCGUUUCAGCUUUUACUCCAUUUAGGAAAGGUUUUCUACUACCUGCUCACUAAUAAUGAGCUAAAACGACUUAUAAAAAUUUACAGAGGGAGUACUUUUUACACCAUUUCGUGAUCUAUGAGGUGGGUCCUGAAUUUGGAGUGGUGUGAAAGACAAAUUGUAAUACUUUCUUUUUUCAAAAUCUUCUUAGUUGAGUCGAACAACUAAACUAAAAAAAUCUGUUUAGUUGGAUACAACUUUUUCUCACGAUCGUCGGGUCUAUGUAACGCACACCUUUGUCUUGAUACACCAUUUUCUUCACAUCACCAAGCUACUUGCUCUUUCUUUCACCUCAUUUUUCUUCACAAUAUUUGCUUUCGCUUGUCGCAUCAUAUUAGACAUAAAUCAUCGACGCUUUACCUGACAAAAGAACCACUCGAGGAGUUAUGGCCCCAUGACCCCCAAGUAUAACUACGGAGGACAGAAGAGGCCUAUUGAUCAUAGGGUGGCUCAAACCUGCGAUUCUGUGUAGCGUAGCACCACUUUUGGGGGGCAAGAGGUAGACUCCUCUUCGUACUCCCUCUGGUUCUGUUUCACAAAAUUUUCUGAAACUAAACCUAAUAUAAUAACUUUUUCAGUUUUCCCACCUAUUUUCAAAAUCUAUUUUGGCCUUAGUUACCCUGCUCAACUUUCAUAAACGCCCAUGACCUCUCGUAGUGCUUCUCCAUGGGACAAUGAAGGGCUGCAAGUGGGAGGAGAGAGGGCAUUGAGGAGGGUGAGGAGACGUGAUGAUGUAGGGUCGUCUUUCAUAACAGGUGCUCCAGGAUGCCUCAAUGUUGUUCUAGUACAAAUAACAACGUAAAUUGGGGUGCCAUAAUGCUAGCAAGCGUCACAGUCGGCAUUUGUAACAAUGGGCGUAUAUGGCAGCGAUUUAACGGGUUGACGUAUACUUGCGAGAUCACACAACGUUAUUGGUUUGACCUUGUUCGGCCACUACUCCAUACUGUGGCCUUGUCCCUUUGAGGGAUGUAGCCUCGAUUACAAUUUGUCUACACGAUACAACUUCAAUGGUGACCCUUGUUGCUCGACUGGGGUGAUCGGUGAAAACUUACCCAAACCCACUAUCCAAAUAGAAGCGUAGAACUCAACAUUCAUCCGAGUCUGUUUUCAACUAGAAACCUAAACCUCAUAGAUAACCUCACGAGAGCGUGGAGUAGAAUUGGAUGAUUUCUUUGCGUAAUUCUUUUUUGUACGAAAAACUAGCUUUUAUUAAUUUUAAAAUUUCAUGUACUUCGAAGCUAACAUUCAUGACUACAUAAAUUCAAUAUAUCUCAAAACGAUGAUUAUGUGUUUUAGACUAAAAUAUGCAUAUAUUUGAAAACAAAUAUUUGUUACUUCUAAAAAAUGGUUUACAUGCAAAAUCAUAUACGAUGAUAAAAAAGACAAAGCUAUAUCAAAUAUUUAAAAAAUAAAAUCAAUAAGUGGAGUAAAUAGUGAAAAAAGCGAAAAGGAGGAGUAAAGAAAAUGAAAAUGAAAAAUGACCUGAUAGUGGACCGACCCAACUAUGCAGGACACAGGAUUCUUGUGUAGUGCGGCUUGCAAGAAAAAAAAAAUUGAGAGAGAAGGUUUGCAAAAUUUGGGGAAACGUUGAUACCGUGUGAGAUUAGACUGACCACUCUGGCCCAGUAAUUCAUAUAUAUAUUACAAAAGUAAUCACUGGUUUUCUAUUAAUGGAAACAAUUAUUUUUAUUAAUGGAGGAAAUUUAAAUAUAUAAUGAAUAUUCAUGCAACUGUAAAUAAACGUUUAUGAAAUUUUAAAACAUGUGCAUCUCAUAUUUUAAAAUUGUUCGCUACAUAGAGAAAAAUUCAUAUAGUCCGUCCUCGCCAAAUUGUGGUGCAUAUAUUUGUUUUCCAAAGUCCAACUCAAUGAGUUAUAGUAAAAUAAGAACAUUUACAAUACUGAAUACAUAACAUACAAAAAUAUAUUUCAUGACAAAUCCUUUGGUACUGUAAUUGUCGAUAGUUUUUAUAUGAAUUUGGUCAAUGUUUGCAAAGUUUGGCUUUUCAUAAAACUUAUCUGCAUUAUUAUUUGGCAAGAAAAUUCCCCACAAAAAAACUUGGCUAGAAAGAAAGUAUAUAUUAAUCUUUUCAAAGACUGAAAAUCCAUCUCUGCACCCGAGCUCAUCUGCACCCGCGCUAACGAAAAAAAUCAAAAAAAUGCUAGAAAAAUUAAAAAAAUCCUUUUUUCUGUGGUAAACAAUUUGAUGCAUGAGGUAUACGCUCCAAUUUUCAAAUUAUUUGAACAUCUGAGAAGCUCUCAAAAAAAGGGGGGUCUGUAAAAAUGUUUACUGUUCAUGUACUGUUUUGACCCGAUUUGUCUUUUUUGCUGAGAGCUGCUUAGCUGUCCAAAUGACUUGAAAUGUGGAGCGGGCCUCACGCAUCAAAUUUUCUACCGCACAAAAAAAUUGCGGAAUUUUUUGAUUAUUGUUUGAAUUUGUUACGAUUUUUUUUCUAACCAGGUGCAGGGCACCGAAACGCCCUACUCAAGCUUUGAAGACAGGUUUUCACGUAAUUUUGGAAUUUUUUUUACAUAUUUUAUCUUAAAAAACAAAAAUGAAAAGGGAAAUGGGAGAAUAUUGAGAACCACGGAGAAGAAAGAACACGGGACAAAUGGAAAAAGAAAAAACAAAAACAUUUUGCACCGAUGAGGCGCUUCUUUCUUCCGCAAUGGGUGAUAUAUAGGAAUCGGGAGCGCAGCGCAUACGAUAGUGCACAUGCUGGAGUUUUCUCCUAACAUUGAAAAAUAAAAGUUUUCUCCUAAAAUAAUCGAGCACGGCUAGCUCCUGCCAAAUGUCGAAAGAGAAGUGUAUAUCUUCACUAUGUAUACAAGUGUUACGAUUGAUAGUAGUUCUCCGUGCCCACGUCAUGCCAAAUGUAAAAGGAGAAGUUUAUAUCUCAUUAUUAUGUAUACAACUAUAAGUAGGAUUGAUAGUAAUUCUCCAUGCCUUUGCAUUAGAAAGUGGGAAUUCGAUCGUUACACAAUAUGUGGAUGCAUGCAUGAUUUGCUGCUGCUCGUACAUAAAAUACACAUUUCAAGUGCUGGUAUUUAUAUUGGCUAUUGGUUCUGUGGCCUUAUUCAUUCAUCAGGUGUCGUGCUGGCGAGCGCUGCCGACUAUUAGGUAGUAGCUCGUCAUUCAAUCACGAGUUCACCCUGGAGCAGCUAAGCCUGAUCUGCCCUUGCGUCCCCAUCUUCGGCGCGAUGUUGCCCAUCUUGAUCAUGGCCGUCGUGAACGCGCUGCUGAACGCCGCCGGGUUGGACGCGAAGUUCCGGACGGUGUUGUCGGUGGUGUCGUUGUUGAACAGCACCUGGUCCGAGUGCAGGAGCCCCUUCUGUGACAUGAGGUUGGUGUAGUAGGCGUUGUGGAGCGUGUUGGCCGUGGUCGUGUCCAGGUUCGCCAGGCUGCCGUCACCGUUGGACCGGGGGCAGUUGGCCCGGAGAGAUGUGGCGAAGGUCGUGUCGAUGUUAGUCUCGUUGUAGAUCCUGUCCUUGAAGGUCCCGCACUGCGCCUGGCCGAUGGUGUGCGCGCCGGAGAGGGCCACCAUGUCGACCGUAAGGAGGCCCUUGUUGCUGAAUGCCAGCUCAAGAUCUGACCGGCUAGAUGUAGGGCCUGGGAGGUCGCUGUUUGCCGCCGCCUCGUUUGCAUCUAUGGAAUCCCUUCUUCCCAGAGGGACUUCCAUGAUGGCCCUCCGAGCUGCACGCGAAGGAUACGAAGCAAACGGUUAACGAUGGCAUCCAAUCGAUGAUGUACACGAUCGUAAGAUGAUAUUCUUACGGCGACGACGGAGUCACGGGCAGCGACAGUGAGGAUGUCGGCGCAGGAGACGGUCUGGGCGCAGAUGGCCUCGAUCUGUGUCUUGAUGCUGUCGAUGACGCCGAAACCCCGCAGUGACCCGUUGUUCGGGAUAGCGUUUUGUUCCAUGCCAGACAGCAGAACAGACGCGUCACAGCCCUGCACAUCACAUGCUUAUAGUGUUUAGUAAGCAAAACCUAUACAAAACAGGGUACGUGACGGCUAUCGGGCUAUGCAUGCAUGUGGCCAACUUACUUGGACGAAGCAGUCGUGGAAGUGCAGCCGGAGCAGCGACGCGCCCAUCCGAGGAUCGCUGCUCACGGCGGCCAUGACGCCGCUCUUGAUGGUGGCCAGGGCCCUUGUGCAGGAUGUGUCGUAGAACGUCGGCGACAGCUGCCCCGACACCACGGCGGCCAGAGCCACGAGCACCACCAGAGAAAGGUAAGAGGCAGAGGCGGCCAUGGUUAGCUAGCUAGCUACAAGAGCAAAGCUACGCCGGCUUACUAGCUACCUGGUGGUGGUGGAGUGGUGGUGCUUAGUGGAUUGUGCAAGAGAGUGGUGCAUCGCAUGCAUAUUUAUAGACAAAGAUUUAGCUCACGUGCACCUGCAGAUCGAUCCCGGUCAGCUCAUCCAAAAUUUAGGUCCCAUUAGUCCAACGUUAGUCUCUGACACCUGUUCGAUCGGGUAUACCGCGAGCUUCCUGCUUGAGCGAUCUCUCUUGGCGUAUUCAAGGCAGCUUCCAGCUUGAGCCGCUACCGCCAACACCAACACCUGAAUUUUCCUUGCAACAGGGCCAACUUGAGCGAUCUCUCUUGGCGUUUAUCACGCAAAAAUCGGCAAAACAUGGAACGAUCUCUCUUUUUUCAUCAUUUCCAUGCUAGCGGGCGCCUGGAGCCAUGUGUGCGUGGACACCAACCAUUUGGCCUUACGUACGAAUAGUGGUGGGGAGUCGGCGUUGUUCCAAGGCGAUUCACGCUCGUUUUGACCGGUGCGCAGUCAUCUUGCGCUCCCGUCGCCUUCGGCCAACACGAGAUAAUUCGGCAGCUGAGACAGUACUGAGAGAUAAGCCUGGCUUCUCAAACGCACGGUGGGAAUGUUGAGGCAGAACUGAGGCCGCACAGCCGCAGGCCAGCACCGACGGACGUUUAGGCCGGCCGUAACGUGGCCCGAUCUGUAGGCCAGAUGCAUUUUCUUAGGCUUCCUUGCCUCCGAAGAAUUGCUGGUUAGAUUUGAGUUUCUGAAGCAUGGGCAGGAUGAACAACGGAAGUUGAGGCGGCAUUACCGUGUGUAUUUUUUUCCCAGAAACUAUAACUACAAUUGGUCGAACAUUGCUUGUUAAGUCGGUUGUUUCCUCCCAAGCGGUGUACUCCAUCACACCUCUCAUCGUCCAACCGAGCACUCUCCAAAACCUCAACAAAAUUGAGCGGGAUUUUCUUUGGUCUGGCUCUGACAAGACGACAGGUGCCGAGUGUAAGGUCAACUGGAAGAUUGUAUGCUAUCCCAAUGAGUACAGUGGCCUUGUCGUCCUCAACAUUGCCAAAUUUACGAGAGCUCUGGGCCUUUGUUGGCCGUGGUAUGAAUGGAAAGAGCCUAACAAGUUGUGGGUGGGGCUUGGAAAUCCAUGCACCUAGUAGGACCUAGAUUUUUUAUAUGCUUCCACCACUAUCAUUGUGGGCAAUGGCGCGAAGACACCAUUUUGGGACUCCCCAUGGCUCCUUGGCCAUAGGCCUAAGGGCAUUGCGCCGCUCAUUCUUGAAGCCUUGAGAAAGAAGAAUUGUAAGGUGCGCGAAGCCCUUAAAGAUAACGCUUAGAUCCUCAAGAUCAAACGAAACAGUAUCAUCUUUGCUGCCCACAUUUGGCAGUUUUUUACUAUUUGGAUGCUUGUGCAUGAGUUCCCUCUUGAUGAACUUGUGGAGGAUGACAUUCGCUGGAAGCACUCGAAUGAUGGAAUAUAUUCGGCAUCCACUGCAUAUAAAAGCACAAUUUCUUGGGAUUACUCUUUACCCAAUGGAUCGCAUGAUAUGGAAGGUUUGGGCUCCACCAAAAGUCAAGUUCUUUUCUUGGCUCGCGAUCCAAGAUCGGAUUUGGACGGCCAAUUGCUUGGAGAAGAUGGGAUGGGCAAACUAUGGGCUUUGCCCACUGUGCAAGAGAGAGCAGGAAGCCAGACCGCAUCUUUUCUAUAAAUGUUGCUUCUCCUUCGACUCUGGCGUUUGGUCCUUGAGAAAUUUGGCCUUCCUCACGAUGACACUUUGACUUGGCACAACGAGGACUCGAUGUUGGCUUUGGUGAGACAAGAGGACAGAUGCUAGAACCGCGAAUAGACGUGCGAGGACGUCCCUAACCAUGCUUGUCUAAUGGACCCUCUGGAAUGAGAGGAAUGCUAGGGCCUUCUGACACAAGAGUGCGCCGCCCCCAUCGUUGUUGCGCUUAAUUGUUGAUGAGGCUAGAAUUUGUGUUACCACGGGUGCUAAACACCUAGGGCUUAUUGUGUUGAGUGAGUAAUUGUCAGGACAUGAUAUCGAGUUACUUGUAAACCUCUAACUUCUUCUUAUUUAAUAGAUGAGGCAAAUAUUAUGCCGCCGUUUCAAAAGUAAUAAUAAUGAGAACUAGGCUAUAGCCUAGUGGCAAGGGAGCGCAGUGGCGUCUCCAGCAACCAGGGUUCGAGCCACGUCGGGGAUGAAUUUCUGGUUUCUCACAAGGGAUGCUUCUCCUAUAUCAAUAAACCAUGGGUGCUAGUGCCCAUGAGUUUCAUCUUUUUAAAAGUAAUAAUAAUAGGGUUACAAUCGGCUACCACGAGAACCAUGUACUACAAUCGGGGAUAUGGUGCAACAAACAUGAGGCGUACCAUGGGAUCUACCAUAAUUAGUUAGGGGCAACCCUUGUCUGUUCAUGACUAAUCUCCUAAGGAUAAACACAUGACCUUUAAGGAGCUUUCUGAUAUCAAACAACAUGUAACCAUACAUGCAUCUUGUAAGACGAUGUGGUUUCUUUUAAAAGAAAUCGGAGAGGUGACUCUCUUUAUUAAAAAAACAUACAUGCGUCGAUCAAAGCUAGACUUAGCUGACAGAGUAACGGACCAGUCCGACUGAAUAUGAAGGUGUCAUUGGACCACUGUAAAGCUGAGAGCUAAGCUUUCCAUAAGCACACUAAUUUCAGCCUCUAAUGCGUCAUUUCAAUUGAGUAGAUAUCGACAAGAUGCAAAUAUAGUCCAGCCUGUUGGGUUCCGCAAUAACUGCCUGUAUAACAAAUAACUAAAUUCGUACUCAAGAUAUUCAUUAAAGCUAAUUCCACAGACCCAAGCAUGCGUGUACAGAGACAACUCCAAUAAUAGCCAAGCCCUGUUAGACUGUAGGGUUGCCCAUGCCUAAGUCUAUCUACUUGUAGUUGGGUUCUCUAUACGACCAUCAACACUGUUUUGGUCUAACUUAACCUUCUCAACUCGCAUAGAGGAAGGCCGAGGUAAAGACAGUGUUUUGCCUCGUGAAAGCACACGAUGUCGAGGAUCGGCUGCAAGUGGCAGGAGAUGGCGGUGGAGGGUGAGGAGAUGAGGCACGUAGGGUCGGGAAAGUAUCCGGUGCUCCCAGCCUUGGAGUACUCCCGGUACUCCAAUGUCAAUAAACAUUUUUUUAAUAUUUCAAAAAAUUCCGAAAAAAAUUAUGAAUGUUCAUAAUGAAUGUGACUACAAGCCCGAAAAGUUUCAGGUCCAAACUCGGAUCACACAUUGAGAAACAAAAAUGUGAAAUCUAGGAUGAAUAGUGUAAAGAAGAGACAAAAGCAACAUUGAUACUAUUCAGAUCUGUAUUUUUCUUUUUUUUUCUCAAUGUACAUUUUGAUGUUGGACCUAAAUAUUUUAUGGGAUGUAGUGACAUUCCUUGUGAACAUUCUCAUUUUUUUUCUGAAUUUUUUUGAAACAUUUAAAAAUGUUUUUGACAUUGGAGCACUGGGAGUACCCCAAGGCUGGGAGCACUGGAUACUUUCCCACAUAGGGUCUUCUUAAUACCAGGUGCUCUAGGAUGCCUCAGUUUUGUAAAAGGCAAUUGUAAGAAUGGGCAUAUACGACAAUUAUGCAAUACGUCGAUAUGCGAGAGUGGGAUAACGAUGUUUAUUAAGUAGUUACACGCGUGCAGAACUACUAAUUGGGUGUGUCGCCGACCCUUGAUGGGUGGUAUAUCAUAGUGGUAUAUCAUAGUGUAGCCUCCGGUAUAGAUUGAGAGUGUCGAGAGAAACAAAAGAUGAAUAUGGGGAAAAUGGAAAAUCAAGAAUCAAGAAAAACAAAAGAAGGGAAAUAAUAGAAAAGGAACAAGAAAAAACAGGAAAAGAUGGAAACAAAUAUGGGGGAAAUGCGUCGCGUGUAUUGGACAGGGCCAGCAACACAAGCGGAGCUAUGCCAUCUCCCGCAGUGGGUGGCUUACAAGAUUGAGUAAUGGUACAUGUACGUACGAGCUCGUGUUUAUGAAGAUUAAAUACAAGAUUUGUUGGAAGCUUACGAUUGUUAGAAUUGUGUCGAAUAUUAUUGUACAAGGUAGGUUAUAGUUGGACUUGGUUUUAGACUAUGUGUAGACAGAAUAGGAGUUGUGUCCUAAUAUGACACUUGUAUCCUAUGCCUCUCAUAUAUAUCGGGGGUAGACACACGAUGUAACCUAUGCCAACAUAAUAGCACGGGCACGCGGGGGAGCCGGCGGCGUGUGCCGGCGCCCAGGCGGCCAGGGUGCGGUAUUGUAACGGUGUCAUGGAAAGGAGCGCCCGUAGUCAUGCCCCGGGGGUGUAGCCAUAUCGAUGAACCUCGUUAACAAAUCUCGGUGUCGUGCUGGUGUGAUUUCUUGAUCCUCGAUAGAUUGAUGGAACGACUCGGAUUUAUUCUAACAAAUGGUAUUAUGAGCUAUGGUUGUGAAGAGGCUGUUUGAUUGAUCUAGAGAAGGGCGACGAAGGACGUCUGAUAACUCGGCCAUGGUGGUCGGAAGAGUUUUCGAUGGACGUGAGAAUUGUUGCAGGAAAAGCAAUCGGAAGUGGCAUGCAAAGAACGCGAGCAAGCAGCCGGCGCGGGUUUCUCUACCUGAUCGAAGUCGUAUGGUGAGGCGGCGGCCAAGGCAGGCAGAUGGGAGCAGCAGGAGUCCGCCUGCAGCGGCGACAUCAAGCUGCUAGAUCGGGCGUGCGGGGCAGGGCAGCAAGGCGUGCAACAGAUCGGAUCGAGAUGCGGCGGCGUAAUGCUAGGGCAGCGAUGCAGGUGCAUGCGCAACCAAAGCAGGAGACGGUGCUAGCGGGCCAAGGCGCAGGCAAGUUUCCAGGCGCAUAGACGUGCGCGCGCUGAGGCCAAGGCUUGGCAGGAGCCAGCGGCAGGGGUACGUGGCAGUACGUCGGUACGUGAGGCUAGGAAUUGGAGCUGGCUCGUUGACGUGUGGCACGCGAGGCAACAUGUGCAUGCAAAGCUGGAGCUGCGUGUGAGAUUUGUUUGGAUUAAAAAAAGAGCACGAGUGUCUAGGCUUCACAAUUGAGAUACGAGUUUGUGUUUGUGUACGUGGGCAGCUAGGAGAUGGAUUUUUUUUUCAAGUCUUUGUUGCUAGAGGUACAUGGAGAGCACACGCAAAUUGUGACGAGCAAAGAUAAUUGUGCAAAGAAUUCUUGGGGUCAGGUUUGCAUGAAAGUUUUUUUUCUGUCAAGUUUGCGAAGAGGGCUCGAAGAGUGUGUGAAGACGAGGACAGUGUGUCGUGCGGAUCAUGCAUACACAGGGCGUCAAGCAAGACACGAAGAUGUGCGGGCGGACACGACGCAGGGUGGAGUAUGGUUGCAGUUGGAUAGUUUCGGCUGAGUCAGAUUGGACUGUCUGACGGAUCGACAGGAAGACGGCGGUGAUUUCGGCGACGACGACAUAGGAGCGUGAUGCCGAUGGUGGCCGACUUCUGGGGCGUGGAAAUACGUGGUGCAGGUCUGAGGGCUUGUGCGGCUUCGACAAGACUAUGGCGCAGGGUUGAUUCAAGGAAGUGUACACAUGAGAGCUUGAAGUCGACAGGGCGCGGGGUAGCACGGCCAGCUACAUGGAGUCAUGUUGAAGGUGGAGCUGGAGUCUAACGUAAGACUUCAAUCUGUGCUGAUGGAGGGGCUACGGUGUAAGAUAUCGGAGAAUCGAAGCCUAUUUCAGUGGGAUAGCGAGAGACACGUGGAUCGGACUGGGGCCCAAUGGUCUGAUGGAGACGUGAUACUUGACAUCGGUCGGUGAUGAUCGGUGGUUCUCUGCAGUGGGGGUUGAGGCAGUGUGGGCUAGCUACCCGGGAGACUCGACAAGGACAGCAGAGGCUUGACGCGGUGAUAGCGGCGAGGCGUGCGGUAAGCACGGGACACAGCGACGGACCAAGGCACUAAUGGUGAGACGUGUGGUCAGACAAAGUGUGCAGGGGGUGCUGAAGCAGUGUUGACGAGUACCGGAUUCAAGUUGGUGACUGGGUCUAUCGGUGCUAGUUGAUGGACAGGAGUUGACCAUGGAGAAUCUGAGAAAGUGGCGGAAAGUCUGGAUUUGUCAAAACAGAGAGAGUACAUGGCCGUAGAUUCUGUGGUGUUCGGUGCACAUGGCAAAGUGCGGAUGACAAUACAGAUGGAGGCGGAGUGCUAUAGUUGUGGGACAUGUCAGAGACUAUCUGGGGAAAAGGGUGGGACAACUGUGAAUUUGACUCAAAGUGACAUAGGGCGAUGGUGAAAUUCCUUCAAGUUUCAGACAGACGAUCAUGAAAGAGCGGUGAUGUUGAGUUCAGGUAACUCUUAUAUGUGACACCCAAUAUGUGAGUUGUUCAUUUUCACGCAGAUUAAUGAUCAGUGUGUGAUGGCGUUGAGCGGAUACUCUGAAAGUUGGGAGCACAAAGUAGAGUAACGAAAAACUUAAUUUUUGCUCGAGUGUUGACUGUGAUGAAGACGAGAAGGGACUACAGUUGCAGGUGGAGUCACAUGGAGUCUGGAAGUAGCAGCGGUGCUCAUGGCGUAUCUCAAGUCCAAUAUACAUGGAGGUUCGACGCAUGAAUAAAUUCAAGGUGGUGGAGAAUAUUCGCCAAGGUGGAGUUUGUUAGAAUUGUGUCGAAUAUUAUUAUACAAGGUAGGUUACAGUUGGACUUGGUUUUGGACUGUGUGUAGACAGAAUAGGAGUUGUGUCCUAAUAGGACACUUGUAUCCUAGACCUCUCAUAUAUAUCGGGGAUAGACACACGAUGUAACCUAUGCCAACAUAAUAGCACGGGCACGCGGGGGAGCCGGCGGCGUGUGCCGGCGCCCGGGCGACCGGGGUGCGGUAUUGUAGUGGUGUCAUGGGGAGGAGCGCCCGUAGUCAUGCCCCGGGGAUGUAGCCAUAUCAGUGAACCUCGUUAACAAAUCUCAGUGUCGUGCUGGUGUGAUUUCUUGAUUCUCGAUAGACCGACGAAACGACUCGGAUUUAUUCUAACAACGAUUAGGGAUGAACCCCACUCUGAAUUUCCCGGUGGGGGCAGGGAUUGUUAUCAACGAAGGGGCACCAUUCUCCUCGUAAUAGGCUUGUUAGGCUUGAGAUCCUCUGCAAUACCAUACGGUGUUAUAGUACGGAUGACAUAUGGGUUCAGGUCUCAUAUGGCAGUGACUGUACUACAUCGUAUAGUACCGUAGAGGAUCCUAACCCCUCUUAACAACCCGGUACGUCUAGGAUUACUCUUACCUAGGGGAUGAGUCCCACNNNNNNNNNNNNNNNNNNNNNNNNNNNNNNNNNNNNNNNNNNNNNNNNNNNNNNNNNNNNNNNNNNNNNNNNNNNNNNNNNNNNNNNNNNNNNNNNNNNNNNNNNNNNNNNNNNNNNNNNNNNNNNNNNNNNNNNNNNNNNNNNNNNNNNNNNNNNNNNNNNNNNNNNNNNNNNNNNNNNNNNNNNNNNNNNNNNNNNNNNNNNNNNNNNNNNNNNNNNNNNNNNNNNNNNNNNNNNNNNNNNNNNNNNNNNNNNNNNNNNNNNNNNNNNNNNNNNNNNNNNNNNNNNNNNNNNNNNNNNNNNNNNNNNNNNNNNNNNNNNNNNNNNNNNNNNNNNNNNNNNNNNNNNNNNNNNNNNNNNNNNNNNNNNNNNNNNNNNNNNNNNNNNNNNNNNNNNNNNNNNNNNNNNNNNNNNNNNNNNNNNNNNNNNNNNNNNNNGCUUAAGAUUACUUAGGGGAUGAGCACCACUCUUAAAUUCAUGCCGGGUGGGGUUAUUAACGAAGGGGCACCACUCUACCGUAACAACCCUGCACGUCUAGGAUUAUCGUAUAGGAAUCGGGGAACGUGUAAUACAUAGUUGUUCGUGUGCUUCAAUUUUUUCUUAACAUCGAGUAAAAAAAGUUUUCACAUAAAAUAAUCGAGCAUGUACACUCUUCUUGUGAAAUUUUGCGUGAAGUACCUACUUCAUGCCAAAUUUCCCAAGAGUGUACAUCUUCACUCCGUGUACAAGUGUAAUUAAGUAGGAUCGACAGUUUUUUUUUUUGAGAAAGAUCCUUGCCUUUGCAUUCCGUGUGCUCCAUUUUUCUCCUAACAUUGAAAAAGAGUUUUCUCGUAAAAUUAUAGAGCACGGGUCACUUCAUGCCAAAAUGUCACAAGACAAGUGUACAUCUUCAUUCCGUGUACAAGUGUAGAGGGUUGAUAGUAAUUCACCUUGCCUUUGCAUUAGAAAUUGAGGAUUCAACCGUCGUCACAUAUGUAGAAUUGUAGAUGCAUGCAUGAUUCGCUGCUGCACAUACUUUGAAUUUGAAAUACAUGUUUCAAGUGCUGGUAUGAUAAUCGGUACUGGCCACUGCUUCUGGGGCUUAUUCGUCGACGUAUCGUUCUGGCGAGCUGCCGACGUGUAGCCGUAGGUCAAUCACGAGUUCACCUUGGAGCAGCUGAGCCUGAUCUGGCCCUGCGUCCCGGUGAGCGGCGCGAUGUUUCCCAUCUUGAUCAUGGCCGUCGUGAAGGCGCUGCUGAAGGCCGCCGCGUUGGACGCAAAGUUGCGGACAGUGUUGUCGGUGGUGUCGUUGUUGAAGAGCACCUGGUCCGAGUGCAGGAGCCCUUUCUGUGACAGGAGGUUGGUGUAGUAGGCAUUGUCGAACGCAUUGGGCGUCAUCGUGUCCAGGUUCGCCAGGUUGGUGUUGCCGCCGGACUGGGGGCAGUUGGCCUUGAGAGACGUCGCGAAGGCAGUGUUGAUGUUGGUGUCACCGCCAUAGAUCCGAGUCCGGAAGUUGGAGCACUGGGCCUUCCCGAUGGUGUGCGCGCCUGAGAGCGCGACC
This 215317-nucleotide long non-coding RNA is filed under the name Triticum aestivum (bread wheat). RNAcentral's name for it is "long non-coding RNA (TAES_LNC020160)". The record is from RNAcentral. Lineage: Eukaryota; Viridiplantae; Streptophyta; Magnoliopsida; Poales; Poaceae.